This 192533-nucleotide long non-coding RNA is filed under the name Eucalyptus grandis. RNAcentral describes it as "long non-coding RNA (EGRA_LNC004058)". Lineage: Eukaryota; Viridiplantae; Streptophyta; Magnoliopsida; Myrtales; Myrtaceae. The record is from RNAcentral.
AUCUAGUUCGAGCAUUUCAUCAAACAAGUAAUAUGCAUUUUGAUCAAGGAGCUCAUACGCAAAUUUAUGGCAACGAUUGACUUUCAGAUCAUCACGACAAUAACAGUACAAGUUCGAGUUGCUAAUAGAGCUUCAAUCUCAACUGAUUUACUCACAUACAUUAGCUAAAGCUAACAGGCUCUGUUUCGUUCAUGAGCGCGGCAGAAACAGAGUGUAUGGGAUUUACCUUGACGACAUUUAAGUUUUUGACCUCGGACGAUGAUCAGAUCACUGACAAAGUUCCCGGUGGUGUCAACGCCGAUGAUCGGGGCCAACGAAAGGGGAACGACCAAGGUUCGUGAACUUGCAAGCGUCCUGACCAGAAAACAGAGCAGAACGAGAGUCGGCCUUGCUACAACGAAACCGACAAUGGCGGAGCGGCUACAGGGAUCGCUAACGGUGCCUGAAGAACGACGGAGAAGGAGAGCCGAUCUAGAAGCCUCAAGAAUUCCCGAGAAAGAGAGUUUCUUCGUCAGGUUCAGCGUACGCGUACUGUUGUGUCAUCGCUGAGCCUGUGGCGACCGUCAAUGGGGGCUCAACUGUGGCUGGUUUGGCGAUUGGAGAUGGCGGACGGUGGAUUUCUGGUGUCGAUUAGUAGUGGAGAAUCUUUUGGAACUCGGCUAAUCAAGAGGGAGAGAGAGAGAGAGAGAGAGAGAGAGACUGUGGAUUGUGGGCUGCGAUGAGGGAAAUUGUCUGGGCCGAGGUUUACUCUGAUGGGCCUGGCAUGAUCUGGGCUACGAUUAUGGAUCAGACCCAACAGAUCGGACCACGGGACCAGGCCCUCUCAAUUCUGACCGAGGGGGGGGGAGCUUUUUUAUUGCUUUCUUUUUUUUUAUUUUCUUUAUUAUCUUAUAUACCUUUAAAAAAAAAACCAUGUUCAACUUGCUGGCAAAAGAAUAACUUCACAACCGACUCUGCCACAAUCCCUUAUUUGUGCAAUAUUGCGACAUCAUUCAGUGAGGAUAGUUAUCAUACCUAGCUCUAUAGUCCUUGAUUUGAAUUUGAGCAUUGAUGGCAUGGUUGUACUCAUGCUUGAGUUGAUUUCUUGCAAAAUCAAUUAGGUCAAUAGCCCAUUGCACACUCCCUGACCAAAGCAAUCCGCAUGCCAAAUGUGGCUUCGUUAGAAUAGGCAAACCCCUCAAGUUCAAUAAUAAACCUCAUAUCGAGACAUAAUCCAAAACUUGUGAGUAAGUUUCCAAUUCGCGGUUCUCCAUUGCUAGACUUUCGGGACACUUGUAUGAUACUCAAAUUACAUAAAUUGCCCAUGACCAUAAGUGUAAUUCUAUGUGAUGUAGUUCUUUGAUUCACUUUUGUUUAUACUAUAGAGAAACACACCAUUGGAAUUUAGCUAUAGAAAGUACUCAUUCUUAUAGGACACUCUGUCACUUUUGAUUGAACAUGAAUCUGCAUGGCUUUCAUUGUUUUGAAAUUUGACUAUCUUCCAUUUCAUGAAUAGGCGAAUUUCGCAUUUGUCAUUAAAGAUAAAUUUCAUGACGCCCUUGCAAACCCCCAAUCUCAUUUCCUUAUAUAAAGUGGAAUCUUCUUGCUGAAUGUUUCUAUUUAUUUCCUAAAAUUCGCAGGAGCUAUAAUUGCAUAAUAUAUUGUCUCCCCAUAAAUUUAAUUUGUAUAAAAUUUCCAAGACCCUCCUCACGUUGGUGCCCAGUUCACACACCACUUACCACUUUGCAUGCUCUUGAUAUUUAGAAUUCCCACUUCGUAUCUUAAGAUUGACUAAAAAGACCGAAUCACCCUUCAAUUAAUGUACAUAAAUUCAAUCGGGGUGAGAGAAGCGGAAGGGCCUUUUUUAAAGAAAAGUGACAGUUCAGUCUAAUUUUAAACUCUAAUAAAUAAAUUCUAAAUGAUGCUCGAUUAAUUGAGUUUCAUGCAAGUUAUAUCACCUUGUUUUUCUUUUUAAGAAAACACGCCUAGGAGAAUGUCUCCAUCAAAUAAUACCCAGACAAACCUCAUGAAUUAGAUAAUAUAGGCAAGAACCCUUAUGAAUUAACCCAAGCAAAAGAUGACUUGCAAUUGUUAGUGUGAAAAAAACUGAUUCAUGUGAGUUUCCUACGGUAAUAAGCCUAAGAAAUUUCUAUGUGCACAUUAACACUACAUUUGUUUUGCGAAAAACAAGUUUCGAGAAAAUAUUUUCCGGAUUUUCCGACGUUCGUUUCAUGGAGAAUAAAGUGACUAGGGGAAUACAUUUUCCGUCAACAGAAAAAACUUCUUCAAAAGUGGAAAAAAUGUUUUCCGUUUUUUUUUCCAUCCCCUUUCUUUCACUUCUAAACCAAACACUUUUUUUAGCCAAACACAUUUUCCUUUUAUUUUUAUUAUUUUAUUUUAUAAAAAACUCGAUUUUUUUAAAUUAUUUUAAAAAAAAUUCCUCCUUCUUCAUACUCUCCUCAUGUCCGCGCACAGUUGGCAUGUGUCCGCACACCACUGCACGCACCGUGGCCGAAGCACCCGGCCACGGUGGAAAGAAGCAUGCGUAGUAGUCGAACCCCUUUUCCGCGACAGUGGACCUCAGAUCGCACGGGAUGGUGUAGAACGCCACAGCAUAAUCGUCCUGAUCAGAUUGCUGCUCUCCACUGCAUACUUCGUCCACAAAAGUCAAGCGUCCGAGUAGCAGAGCAUCGACGCUCACGAGGCGCGUGCAUUCGGGAAAGAGGAACACACGAACGGGAGCCUCAGCAGAAAAUUCUCUAUCGGAUCAACCCCAUUUCCUGACGCUUCUCCAUCUUCGCUCUCUCUCUCCGUCGCCUCAGUCCACCGGUUGCCACCGUCGCUCAUCCUCCAUCGCCAGCCAGAACUCUUAUGCACUCGGCACAAAUCACACACGGUGGGAAGGCUCAGAGAUUUCUGAACGUCCGGAGAGUUAUCUCUCUCGGCUUCUUGCUUCGUAUGGUGGCCUUCAACAAACCUCCCGGCACCGUUAGCAUCAUCUCCGAUCAUUGCUCCACCAGCAGGCCGUGGCUCUGUUAGAACCUGUUUUCCAGUGAGUUUGCUCGGACUGCUCUGAACUUUGUUCGUUUCUCCUUCGCUGGCUCCAAUCCUCAGCAUCAUUGUCUCAGACAACCUCUUCCUCUCAUCCGAUAGUCCUUCAUGCAUCGGAUAAAAUAAACACUACAAUCUUCUUCUUCGUUCUCAGUUUCAUGAAGAGAGACUCAGGCAUUUUUGUGUGAUUUUUAUUGUCAAAUUCACUGCUGGCGUGUCAAUAUGCACGCUACAAGUGCUUUGUAUGAUUGUCGCUGAAGUGCACACCGUGAACUGUUCACAAUAACAAUCUGAAUCACAAAUCAACAUCCACUGCAAUGCAUGUUUGUCUCAUAGAUGGUCGAUGCUUGUUUAGUUCUUCCUGCAAAAUGUCUUGCAAAGAUGAUUCCGUCUACAUCUAUGUUACUUUGAGAUCGCCAAGUGUAGGUUGCUCUCUUUGGCGGUUUCUGGAGUAAUGUUCCAUAACCUGUACAAUCUGUUCUACUGGGAGAAGAAAGAAAUUCUCAGCAUUAUCUCCCAAAUGCUGAAAAUAUAUUUUCUGCAUUCUGUUAUGUCAUUCUUUGUUUUAAAUUCGAAAUCAAGUUCCGUAGGCUUAUUAAAAUCAUGGGUUUUAUUUUUUCCCAUGGGGAACUUCAAAGAGGUUCAUGAGAAAAUAUGGUCAGAAUUUCUGAGAGCGUCCAACGGUGCAAUUAUUUAGCCUAUGGAAUUGGGAAUAUUGCGACAAAGUUAGAAUGAAUCCAUGAAAUCGUACUUGAUAAAAGCUCGUCCCAGAUAGAAUAUCCGCGAUUGACAGCGAAUGCCAAUGGCGAGGAACAGAGCCAUGGCUAUUGUUGAUUUGUCUCGAUGAAAGUGGAAGACGUCGGCGACGGCCAUGAUGUUUUGGUCUGAGCUUGAAGUCUUGGGGAUGAAAUGCAUUCGCCUAAGAAUCCUCAGCUUUGUGAGUUUGCAAAGUUCAUGACAGUUCCCAUUCGCGUUAAUUUUAGCAGAGUUUGGGGAGAGACAGAUGCUCGAACUGCUCGUCAUAAGAUUUGCGAGGUGCGAGUCAUAGUUUACGAGCUAGAGCUAAACCUCCCCAUGCGACUAUGUUGUUCUCUUGUUUGAUUCGAAUUCCGUACAUAAUCUGUAUGGGUUGGGGGAUCUCGGAAAUGUCAAGCUAAUGGAAACAAACUGAAUCGGUCAUAUAGGAUAUGAUUGUGCUGGAAAAUGACGUUGGUGUUGUGCUUAUAGGUCUCGAAAGCUAGAUCAUUAGAAAGACUCGAUCUAUUGUUUUAGGUCACUAUGCCGGUAGAUACCAGUCGCACAUAACAAGGUAUGCCUAGAGAUUGAAAGCUUUCUUCUCUUGUUUUAUUUGCAAUCGACGCAGGUAAAGCUGAAAGAGCAAGGUGCAUGCAUAGCCCUCAAACCAGCAAGCAAUUUAAAUCUAGGUAUUCUAUCUUGCAACUUGCGGUGAGCCAAAUAUAUAUGAAGUAAACAAUGUGGUAAAAUCCUCAUGGUCAUGACUGCUCUUGGAUUUAGUAAAUGAAAACAUCACCUAAUAAACCAAGCUCAUAAUCAAGGGAUUGAAAGUAAGUAAAUACGGAAAUUAAAGUCCGAGAAUUCAACUUGAUACAAUGUUGCGUAAAGAAUAUAUAUUGUCUCAUUAUCAAGCCUUGGGACAAAAAAUCUCAUAAGUUAAGUCCGGAAAUUAAAACCAAGCCUAAUGAAGACAUAUGUCGAAGUGACCCCGAAUGUAAUCCUAAUAUUAAUGCAAACAGGAUUUUUUUAUAUAAUUUAUUUUCAUUUUUUUUAUAUUUUCUUUAUCCAUUUCAUAUGAGAAAAACACAAUGUAAAAUUUCAAUUUAUUUCAAGAUUCAAGAGCUAUGACCUCCCUAAACUUGGAAAACAUGAAUAAAAUGAAAUUCAAAUAAUAUAUAUAUAUAUUUUGGUGCUGGAGGAACCACUUUGGCUGACAGCCGCCAUGUAAACCCCCAGCAUGAAUAAAAUGAAAUUCAAAUAAAAUCAUUUUUUUUUGUGCUGGAGGAACUGCUUUGGCUGACAACCGCCACAUAAACCCUCAGAUGUUGCUAGCGGGGGAUCCACCACCCCGACGCCACGCGUAAAUCACCUAAUAGCCCGCUAGCCUCCCUACAACUUGUGUUGCAGGGGCUUUAAACUCCUGACCUUUCCUCAAAAGUUUGAAGCCUACCCAGCGAAGCCAUCAUGGCCGGUGGUAAAUUCAAAUAAAAUCAUUGUUAAAACAUAACUGCCCAAUUGAGACUUGCGUAUUUCUACCAUUUUUAUUUAUUUUUAUCUUUAGUUAGUGAAAACAAAAUAGGAGAAUUUAUCUGGAAACAAAGAGCCUGCAUGUUUUCAUUCUUUUUUUUUUUUUUUAUGAACAUAAAAUUUGUUUUUUUGUUUCCGGGAACAAAAAAAGAAUAGAAACGCGUUUGUUUGCGUUUUUGUUCAAAAUCAGAUUUUUUGUUCUCGGAUCACAAAAAGAACAGAAAUGAGAAACAAAAAAAAAUUGUUUCUUGCUCCAGAAAUACUUUUGAAGAAACACUUCUCUAUUUUCAUCUUUUCUUCUUCUUCUUCUUCUUUUUUCUUCUUCUUUUCUUUGGCCGGUCGCCGGCCUUAGCCAUGGCCGGCGACCAGCUGUCGAGGGCUGGCGACGCCGUCGAGGGCCGGCGACGCCGUCGAGGGUCGGCGACCUCGCCGGUGGCUGGGCGAGGCUCGGCCUUGUCGGAUCUGGGCGAGCCUGAGCUCACCCAGCCAAGGCGAGGCCGAGCCUUGCCCAACCACGGCGAGCCUCGCCGUGGCUGGGCGAGGCUGUCGGCCCCGUCAGCUGGUCGCCGGAGGCCGGCCAAAAGAAGAAAAAAUAAAAAAGAAAGGAAAAAAGGAAAAAUAAAAUAAAAAUAUUAAAAAAUUAAAAGAAACAAAAAAAGAAUAUAAUCUACCAAACGUGUUUCUAUUCAUUUUUUAUUCCCAGAACAAAUUUACCAAACGCAUCUUUCUGGUUAAAAAUUGUUUCUCGGAACAGAAACACUUUUUUCUAUUUCUGUUCCUCGAAAUAAUUUUUGAACAGAAACGUUACCAAACGCGCCGAAAUGUGCCCCAAAUAUAUCCACUUCAACUAUUUGACUCACGAACAUUAUUAGCUAAAGCUCAUGGGCUCUGUUUUUUGUUCAUAAGCGGCAGAAACAGAUUGUGUGGAAUUUACCUUGAUGAGAGUGAGGUUUUGACCUCGAUCCGUGAUCAGAUCAGAGACGAAGUUCCUGGAGGUGUCGACAUCGACGAUCGAGGCUGGCGAAGGGGAAGCGACCAUGGGUCCGUGCUCUUUCGACCGUCCUGACCAGAAAACAGAGCAGAACGAGAGGAGGCCUUGCUGCAAUGAAAUCGGCGAUGGCGGAGUGGCUACAGUGGCGGCUAACAGUGUCUGGAGGACAAUGGAGAAGGGAAAACUGAUGAAGAAGCCUCUAGAAGCCUAUAUGUGAUGUGCACAAAGAUGAAAUCAUUACGGAUGAAUUCGUUGCAGGCCUCGAUUCCCUUCUUCCUUCACGACCGCUCGUAAAGAUGAUACCCUGUCAAGGUUAGCAUUUUCAUCCGAGUUGAGGUCCUUUCUUCUGGAUAUUCAUUCUAUUUAGAUUGGCCUCUUUGUAAAGUUCAGUCCAUGGUGUCGCGUUUAUUUCAAUCAAUCUCGCGAUUGUGCUAAAGAUUAAUUUGCCCCAGUUGCUCAUCCUUCUCCCAUUAGAGAUCGUCAUGUGAUCUUAAAUGCCUAAAAAUCUCUCACACGGCUCAUCAAUAUUUAAUUUCAUCGACUUGCUCACUAUCUGGAAAAAGACAUUGAAAAAAUGAAGACAAAAUAUUAGGUCUCCCAUUUUACAUCUGCCUUACAAAUGUUCCUUGGCUAGAUACAAAACGAGAUGGAUUUACUCCUAUGAAACAUAAUUGCAAUGUACACAAUUAGGUCCUUUGAUUUGUUAGAUUCGUAUUAUUCAAUUGUAUGUCCUUUAAUUUGUUGGAUUAGUUCAAUUCAUAUUGUUUGCAUCUCUUCCUUACAUAGCAUAUUCACAGAUGAUUUGGUUAUCGACUCAAAAACCCCUGCAUACUCCAAUAAAUCAAUUAUCGUACUCACAUGAUUCUGGGUUCUCAUUGUAUUAAAAAACAACAAUAUGACAAAAAAGACAGUGAAUAAUUUGUAUCUCGUCUAUUUUCUUUUUGUCCUUUUUUGUUGGCCUCUGAAUGCGUAUUGUACUACAUAUUACUUGUAAUAUCGUUGUGGUUGUGUCCUAAGUACGUAUAAUAUAUGCCUUUUCAUGAAAAAAGUGCACUAAUCGGGUCCCUUCAUUGAUGCUUCUAAUUUUCAAUUGACUGCAAAUUAUAUGUGGUCUAGCGCGAAUGGGUUGACAGGCCGAGGCUUAUUUUGAUGGGCUUGGUACGGUCUGGGCUGCGCUUGUGGAUCGGGCACAACAGACCGGACCUGGCCCUAUAAUUCUCACUGAAUUGGACCUUUUUUAAUUACUUUCUUUUCUUUCCUCGUUUUUUCUUUGGGUUUUUACUUAUUUUUUACUAUUUUUCAUUAUCAUAUUUUUUAUAUUUAUUUUUACCACAGUGCGUGUUCGACUUGCUGAAAAAAAUUCAAUGUCAAUAGAGGCAACAUUCCAUCAUCUGGCCAAAGAAUUACUUCACACUAAACUCACUACUAUCCUUUAUUUGCGCAAUAUUCAUUCAAUGAAACAAUAGUCCUCGUACUUAACUCUGCAAUCCUUGAGUUGAAUUUCAGCGUGAUAAUGUCGCUGCGCUUGUGCUUGAGUUGAUUUCACAUAGAAUUGAUGCAUGGUGUAAAGCUUGGGCAUUGAAGCACACCAUUACAUGCUCCAUCCAUGCAACACACCGUGGUGGAAUCAUUAUACAUGUUAUAGUAGUUGUACUCAUGCUCGCCAUCUUAGUGCCCAAGUCCUUUAGGAUGAUUUUCACUAUAGUUCGUAUGGAACCAAAGGGAAAUACCGUCGCUUGCUAUAGAUUAUCUUUCACACAGUCGUGUCUACUGCAUAGCUCAUUGUGGUGCACAAAAGGAAAGAGUUGAUGCGUACGAUUCCUUGAAACGCCAUCAUGAUAUUCAUAUAAGUGAUUUGUGUAUUUUCAAGACUGCUACUUUAUUCCUGUAGUAUCAAUUAUCUUGUGGAUCCAUCCAGGUCUUACAAAGUAAAAGCAUUAUUGCAUGGAUCGAUGUCACGUAGUUAAUAUAACAUGUAGGCAACAUAUGAGUUGGGUAUAACCACAAUGAGUUCGCGCCUCACAUGUGGAAUUGUGAUGAGCAUUUGACAUUAGUGCUGGUGAGAGUUUUAGAGAGUUGGUAGGAAAAGGGGCUAACUCGGAAAGCCAGGGAGUGGCCUAACUUUCCCCCCCCCCCCCCCCCCCCCCCCCCCUUUGUUUACAAGUCCUAAGUUACUCGGUGAAAUCGUAGUACUUAUACAUGAUUCUGCAAUCUUGAAUUGUGCUCCGGCGGUAUGUGGACAAACUUUUGUUAUUUGCUUCUGGGCGAUAUUCAUGCAGCCGGCACGAUUCGAUUGGGUCAAUGCCCGACUGCACACUCCAUGGCCAAAGGAGUCCACAUCACCAUUUGACUUAGCCAGGAUAGUCGAACCCCUCAGUUUCGGUAAUAAGCCUCGUAUCAAUCGAGACAUAGUCCAAAACGCCCACGUAAGCUUUCAAUUCAUGGUGCUUCUCUCCACUACAAAUCUUUUAGAUAAACGAGAUGUCGGAUCACUUACAGUGUUCAAGCUGUACAAAAUCCUCACGAAUGUAAAUGUGAUUCUUUGUGAUGUAGACAUCUAGCAUAUGUGGUUCUUUCAUUCACUUUUGUUUAGAAACACGAGAUUGGAAUCCAGCCAUAAAAAGGACUUGUUCUAAUAGGGCACUCCCUCAUUUAUUAUUAUUAUUAUUAUUAUUUGGGUUAAGUAGCUGAUCUCUUAGUCAUUAAUCACGUCAAAUGGAUCUUUGCUUUAAUCAAACUUUAGAGCAAUUCCAACUAAUCGUCCAGCCAUUGUUAUGAUAUAGGCAAAAAUAACUUAGUGAUUCUCCAUCAGUCUUGGAAUCUUGACUAAAUGCAAAUCUUCGUUGUUUUCAUUACUUCAAGGUUUGUCAUGCAAGACAAAAUUUCUUGACGUCCCUAUAAUGCAACCCCUCAUCUCACAACCUUGUCUUAUUUCUAUUUGCUUAUUUCCUAAAAUUUACACAAUGUAUAAUUGAAUCAAAUAUUAGUUUCGCCUUAAAUUUAAUCCAUAUAAAAAUUUUCAAUACCCUCAUGAUUGGUUCGCACUCUCCACACCACUUUACAUGGUAGACGUUUGAAAUUCCCAAUUUGCAUCUUAGAUUAACUUGAAAGACCGAAUCACCAUUCAAUGGUGAACAAAACUUAAGUUGGCGUUAGAAAAGUGGAGGAGCAUUUUUUCAAUAAAAAAGUGGAAACAUGGUCUAAUUUAAACUCUACUGAACAAUAAAAAUUCUGGAUGAUGCGUGACUAAUCGGGAUUCAAGCAAGCUGUAUUGUUUUUAUUUUCUUUCUAAGGAAACUUUUAUGUUGAUCGAAUUCAUGCAACUAUUGUGCAACCUAGGAAAUUUCUAUGUGCGCACUAAGCGAUAAAGAUCCUUUGCCACGGUUUGUGUUCGCGUCAUGCCAUCAGCUCGGGGCUCCGUAUAGCUCGCUCUAUCGCUUACUCGGUUCUCUCUCCUUCCCUCUCUCCACACCACCACCGUCAACAUCUCAUCGCAUCUAGCCAUCUCAGUUGAGAUUUUCCGAGAUUCGACGAGGAUGAAGAACAGAUCUGGAACCCACCGGUGUGAGGUUCAUAAUAAUCCAGAUGCACACACUCAUUAUUGCCACAUUCUGAAUCUAAAUGAAUCAAUAAGGAUUUGCUUCAGGAUGUCCUUUUCGGUUAAUGCAUUCCUAUUUGGUUGUUGUUCAUUUUGAAUUUGAAAUCAAGUCUCUUAGGCUUAUUAAGAUUAUGGGUCUUAUUCUUCCAACAGGGAAUGCCAAAGAGGUUCAUGAGAAAAUAGGGUGAAAAUCUCUCAAAAAAGGAUGCUUGUCAAAGUGUGAAAUGGUGCAAUUAUUUGGCCUAAGGAAUUGGAAAAAUGUGAUGAGAUGAUCAUACUUCAAAGGGUUGAAAUGAAUUUGUAGAGCAUUUACCCUAUCUGCGAGGGCCAAUUUUUGGUCUUUAAAUCUGAAGUGGACUCCAUUUUCCAUGUAAUCAUAUUUGAUAAAGGCGUCUCCGAUAUGGCAUGUCCGCCAAUGAGUGGUGAUGCGAGGAACCGAGCUGAGCCUCAGCAAUUGUGGAUUCGCCUCGCGAAAGUGGAAGAUGCCGGCGAUUGCCGUGAUGUUUCGGUCAAGCUAUAAGUCUUGGGAGAUGAAGUGCAUUGACCCAAGAGUCCUCGGCUUUGUAAGGCAACAAAAUCUGAUCAAGUUUGUGAAGUUCAUGGCGGUUCCUAUGCACAUUCAUCAUUGCGGAGUUUGGGGAGAGACCAAAGUUUAAACUGCUCAUCACGAGAUUUUCGAGGUGUGAAUCUUAAUCACUAGUUAAUUCUCCUCCAGACUCUGUUGUUCUUGUGUUUGAUUCAAAUUCUAUAUAGGAACUCUCCACGACGCUAGUUAAGAUAGACUGUGUUAGAGCUAAUUCAUCCCCGUAGUUCUUCUCUGCCUCUAGCUCUCUAGUGUGUGCAUAUGUAUGUGUUGGGUGAUCUCAUAUAUGUCAAGCCAAUGAAGACUAGCAGAACCGGUCAUAUUGGACUAAAAUGUGCUGAAAAUGACAUUGCUGUGCAUAUAGGCCUCAGAAGUUAGACCAUUAGAAAAGCUCACAUCUAUUGAUUUAGCAUUGUUAUGUCGAUGGACAUGAGUUUCACAUGACCAAAAUAGUGAUGCCUAGAAAUGGAAAGCUUUGUUCAAGUUUUGUUUGCGACUGCUGCAGGUAAGCUGAAAGAGCUGACCUUGUGCAGAGCUCUUGAACUGGCCAGCAAAUUUAAGCCUGAGUAUCCUUUCUUCCAAAGUUGCAGCAAGGUAAAUAUAUCUGAAGAAAAGCAACGCGAUAAGAUCCUCAUGACAAGGAAAACUGUUGGAUUUAAAUCACACAGAGUUGCUAAACUAUGUUAGCUCUAGGUUAAGCGUGCAUCGUGUCAAUAAUUUCUAUUUUUAUCCUUCAUAUGCUUUGAAAACGAUCCGCCUACUGUCUUCCUCAGAGCUCAUUGGUUGUUGCAAAAUGUCUACUUGAGCAGAGAGUUACCGGCUCACUCCAAAAAUGCGCAUCAAGAAAAGUCCGCAGACCGUGGCUCUCAUAUUUUAAGACAAACCAUGGCCGGUGAUGCUCAUCAGCCACAGUUAUCAUGGAAAGUUCUCUGCCAGUUGGACCGCAUUCACAAGAUAAACUUCUCUGAAGGCAGGUGGCAAUGUGUGCUCGAGCUUUAUUAGAAGGGAUGAUGUCAUUUUUGGAGGGUCCUUUAUCAGAACCGCUGAGAAGACUUGGGUGAACAAUACUAUGCAAUGGACACAGCAGAGGAAGCAUUACUUUUAGCUCAAUUUUGGUGAGAACAGUGAUAUAGCUAGUAAUAGCACCUAGAGGGGGGUGAAUAGGUGUUUAAAUAAUUUUUUGAGAUAUGAAAACAAUACUGGACUAACAACAGAAAGGAAGCUCUCCUUUAGUUAACAAAUCGAACUAUGAUCAAAGUAAAGCGGAGAGUAAGGAAGAGAAGAUUGAACACAAGGUUUAUAGUAGUUCGGCUUAUUCCAAGCCUACGUCCACUCUUCUGCACUAACAGCCUACUGGCUGGAUUUCACUAUGAACAAAAGAGAUAUUACAGCAUUGCUUUCCCUUGAUUCCACAGUGUAGAUAUUCUAUCACACUUCCUCAAGGUCUCUCAAAGUAUAGACUCUCUUUUGUGUACAAGAUUUCGCUCAGCAAAUGAAUUGACUAAGAAUCAAAGAGCUUCAGACUUUGGAAUUCUUCUAUCGUGCACUCCUCGAACAACUGGAACGUCUUCCUUUUAUACUCCUUUGUACCAUCAUACCCGUUGUCACUUACCAAAUGAAUUCUUCCAAUCCUCCCGUUGGACAGAAUCAAUUAGGAAGAUUAUUCGAGCUAUUAAAGGAACAUGUCGAUAACCCAUCAAUCCUGCUCGCCCAUACAAUCAGGAUCUUGGUUUCCAUAAGUAGAACCUUCCAGGAAUACUUCGUCAAUCAUCAGAUCUUUAAUCAUUCUUGAUUUGAAUAAAGGAAUCCGUUAUGUCUUAUUCAGCCAAGAGAUCUUCUCUAGUCGAUAAGGCCAAAUCCUUAGUGAAGCACUCAGUUCUGGAUAGCAUUUCUUCAACGGAUUAGAAACUGUUAAUCAGAAUAGACUUUGAGUCUUGAGUCUGGCAGUCCGGAGGUCUUCAGACUUUAAUAGCAAAGUCUGCAAAUCUUCAGACCAGACUGAUAGAAAUGUUUUGUCAGCUUCAAAAUAUUCGAAAGAUUUCUCCAACAAUCUCCCCCUUUUUGAUGGUGACAAAACUUUCCUGCAGAUUUGAAUAACUUUGACCUGCAAAACAUUACUCAAGCAAAUAUGGAUAUCUCAUAAAGAUUAAUAGCUUAAUGAUAACACUAGAAUCUGCAACCACAGAAAAUAGGUUAGUCUUUCAUGAGAGUAAAGCCAUUCAUAAGAUAUCAAUAGUGCUUAAUAUAAAUAGCAUUCAAAUCCAAAUCCACGUUAAGUUAAUCCAGACACAGACACACAUCAAAACAAACUAAAAAUUCAACAAGUUUAAGUCCCAAGGAUUUCAAAUCUCGCAUCUAAAUCCACGUUCAGUUAAUCUAGACACAGACACACAGCAAAACAAACUAAAAAUUCAACAAGUUUAAGUCCCAAGGAUUUCAAAUCUCGCAUCUCUCCCCCUUUUUGUCAUCAUCAUAAAAAGAAGUUGAGAUGGGAAUAGAAUGAAGUCAAGUUUGCUUGGGAAUGCGAACAAGCUGGAAAUCUCCCAUGGACUGGAUGAUGCCUUCCAGCUUUUUCAGAUCUUCCUUUAGAUGAUCCACCUCUUCAUUUUUAGCAUUGGCUUGAAUCUGAAGAGCAAGGGCUUGGAUCUGAUCAGACAAUGAAACGGAAGAAGCGUGUCCUGCAUUCUUCAAGUUCUGAACCUCGCUUUCCAAAGCAUAUAUCUGACCCCGCAAUUCCAAAAGAACAUCAAUGAUUCUGCGAAAAUCUGUUGAGUUAUCAGUCUGCGUACUAGCUUCGGCACGAUCUGAUGGAGUAAAGGCAGACGAUGGUAUAUCAACAUAAUCACGCAGAUUUGGCGAUGAAGCACCAUGUCCCUCCUCAGGAAAUUGAGAGGCAUGAAUGUCUUCUGGAUUUGCUGGAGAGCGACUGACUCCUUCACUGUUAACAGGAUAUGAGGACAUUCCUCUGUUUUCACUAUCUCCCCCUGUCUCCAUGGCUUCAGGUGGAGAAGAGUUUUCCUCAUGCUCUCCUUCAUUUUCUUCUUCAAACCUUUCCUCGUCAGUUUCUUUUUCUUCAGCUUCUUUCUCCUUUUCUUCCUUCUCCUUUGCUUCUCUCUCCUUUGCUUCUGUCUCUUCUUCUUUCUCCUAUUCUUCUCUUUCCUCUGCUUCUUUCUCCUGUCGUUCUACUGAUUCAGGUACAGAAUGACUCAGCUUCUUUGAUGCUAUAGCAAAAAUUGUGAGGUCAUCCUCAUCAUCUUCAUCAAUAAUGAGUGCUUUUCUCUUUUUGGAUGGAGUAACCAUGGGCUCAUUCCCUUUUCUUUUCGCUGCAAAAGAGACUUGAUGAGAUUUGACAGGGGUUUUCUCCUUAAAUUUCUCCAACACCUUGUCGAGAUCUUUCAAACGCAUUUCGGACACCAUUUUCAAUCCUACCACCAUUUUGUCAUAGGGUCGAACACAGAGAAUUUGUGGAGGCUAAAUAUUCAAAUGUCUGAAUAUCUUUGACACAAGACCUGGAUAAGGAAGUUGGCCCUUGUCCUUCACCACUGCUCUAUACAUGUGAAACAGAAUAGUGUGAGGAAGAGAAAACUUUUGUCCAGCAUUGAUGGCGUACAUCAGCUUUGCCUCUGAGUUAGAAAAUCAGUCUUGGAAGUUGAUUUGGGUCUGAGGCAAUUUAUCACAAUUUUGUGAAGUAGAAUGUUGAACGCAUGCAUCCUUGAGUACGAAAUCCUUCCCUCUGUCAUUCUAUCUUUAACAAGUUCCAAUGUGGCACGAGCUAUAAAGACACUGAUGGGUUGAUAUCUCCCUCUCUCAACCCCAAUAACAUUUGCCAACAUAUCCACAUCCACUACAAAGUCUUGAUCUCGGACACUGAAGGAGAUUCUAUUCGCAUCCAAGAAACUAAGAUUUGAAUAGAAAUAUGCAGUUAGUUGAGCAUAGGCUUCUGUGGUGUCGGAACAUAAUUGUUCAAGUUGAAGAAAACUGAACUUUUCUCUCAAAUUGACAUUCACAGCAUCAAGGAAAUCAAAAUCUACACUCCUAGGGUUUAUCACCCCACGUUUCAACAAUUUGAAGUAUAGAUCCUUCUGUUCCUUUGAUCUAAACAAUUAUGUUCUUUUUCCUCGAAUUCUCGCCGCAACACCCAUUCUCGGUUGAAAUUCUUUGUACAAUCUGUCAUCAUCAUUUCCAUCUAUCGGAUUAAAACCUCCAACACGCGAAUCACUUGGGAUAUUUGCAAGGGUUUUUUCUGCCAUCCCCUUAGGAGCUAUUUCCAAACUCUCCAUUUUUCGCAAAAAGAUGUACUCAUUCCCAUAUCCCUUGUCCUUAAGAAACUCAUCGAUGUAGUUCAAUGGAGUACCAAUGUUCUUUAAAGCACGGUAGAGCUUAUAAAUAAAAGAGGGCUUUUGAACUCUUACAAGAUCUGCGUCUUCGACGAUUUCUUCCUCUUGUUGAUGAACAACAUUCUGUGGACUAGAUGGAGGAGAAUGACGCUGCUGAGAAUGUUGUGGGCUCUGCUGCUGACUUGGUGACUCCUCUUCCUCGGCGAGAUCAAAGUGAGUAGGCCCCUUACUCAUUCGCCGUGGUCCCCUGCUUGCAAUCCUUGAAGACUUUCUUGAAGAUGACAUCUUUCUCAGUCUUUGAAAGAUUCCUUGCUUGACUUUCCCAAGAAAGAUGACAACUUUUUGAAGAUUAAACAAGGGAGAAAGACAGGAAUGGAAUAUCGAUGCUUUUUAGGGUUUUGGAGUUAAGUGAAGAGGAACCGAUUGUUUAUAGCUUAGUCGAAACGGGGGAAUGUCAAACGUCGUAAAGGGAGGUUAAAAUAUACCUUUUUAAAAAGUAACUGCCUUUUAAAAAAAAAAAGAUAACUGCCAUUAACUUAUUUUGAAAAGGAAAAAUUGCACUUUUCACGGAAAUUGAAGAUAGCAUAAAUCAAUUAUGAAUGGAUAAAUGAUCGUACCUUUACGAAAUUUAAUAUGAGAGAAAAUAAAAUAACUUACAGUCAAGAACCACGAUUGUCUGAAACUGAGAGUCUCUAGACUUUAACUUCUUCAAGCUUCAAGAUGUUAAGUCUGGAACGGAUGAUUUCAAUUUGAUUUUUCUCCAAAGGCUUAGUAAAUAUAUCCGCCAGUUGGUUCUUUGAGUCAACAAACUGAAUCGAAACUUCUCCAUUUUGAACAUGAUCUCUAAUGAAGUGAUGUCGAAUCUCUAUAUGCUUUGCUCUUGAGUGAAGAAUUGGAUUUUUGGUAAGAUUGAUUACACUGGUGUUGUCACAGUUAAUCUCCGUGCAUGAAUCUUCAAUUCCAAAAUCUCUUAAUUGUUGUUUUAUCCAUAGAAUUUGUGAACAACAACUUCCGAGAGCUACAUAUUCUGCUUCUGCUAUAGAAAGAGCUACUGUAUUUUGCUUCCUUGAAAACCAAGACACUGUCCUGCUUCCAAGUAACUGACAGGUACCCGAGAUGCUCUUUUUAUCAACUCUGCAAUUGGCUAGAUCUGCAUCUGAAUAUCCAAGGAGAGUAAAGUCACCCUUUUUAGGAUACCAAAGACCGAUGCUUGAAGUUGAAGCAAUGUAUUUGAUAAUACGCUUUGCAGCACUUAGAUGAUUCUUUAGGGUCUGCUUGAAAUCUGGCACAAAUGCAAACACUAAGCAAAAUGUCAGGUCUAGAAGCAAUAAGAUAAAGAAGUGAACCGAUGAUACUCCUGUAUAGCUUCUGGUCAACUUUCUUUCCUCCUUCAUCUUUGUCGAUCUUCAAGGAACUUGACAUUGGUAUAUCAGUCUUUUUGCAAUUUUCCAGUCCAAACUUUUUGACAAGAUCAUUAGCAUAUUUUUCUUGAUGAAUAAAAGUCCCUUCCUUCAAUUGUUUUACUUGAAGUCCAAGAAAGAAGGUUAGUUCACCCAUCAUGCUCAUUUCAAAUUCAUCCUGCAUAGACUUAGAGAAUUUCUUGCACAAACUUUCAUUUGAGGAUCCAAAAAUGAUAUCAUCGACAUAUAUUUGAACAAGCAGAAAACUUUUGCUUUCUCUUUUGAUAAACAGAGUAGUAUCUACUUUACAUUUUUCAAAGCCAUUUUGAAUUAAAAACCUACUCAGUCUGUCGUACCAAGCUCGAGGUGCUUGCUUUAAUCCAUACAUGGCCUUUUUCAGUCUGAAUACUGAGUCUGGCUUCCUUGGGUCUUUAAACCCAGGUGGUUGUUCCACAUAGACUUCCUCAUGGAUAAAUCCAUUCAGGAAAGCACUUUUGACGUCCAUUUGGAAUAACCUGAAAUUCUUAUAACAAUCAAAAGCAAGUAAUAAUCGAAUUGCUUCUAACCUUGCUACUGGUGCGUAAGUCUCGUCAUAGUCUAUCCCUUCUUCUUGCGUAUAUCCCUUGGCCACAAGUCUUGCUUUGUUUCUUACAACUUUACCUUUUUCGUUCAUCUUGCUCCUGAAAACCCAUUUAGCUCCAAUAAUAGAUUUACCUUUUGGUUUAGGAGUUAAUUCCCAGACAUCAUUGAUACUGAAUUGUCUGAGUUCUUCUUGCAUAGCUUCAAUCCAGCUUUCAUCAGAUAAAGCUUCUUCUAUGCUUUUUGGUUCUAUUUCAGAAAUAAGAGCCACAGCACUAGACUCUUCGCGCCUUUUGGAUCUUGUGCGAAUUCCUUCAUUAAUGUCGCCAAUAAUGAGGUCUUUGGGAUGACUGGACUUAUGCUUCCAGUUACUGAUUGAUUUGUCAGGUUGAUGAUCACUUCCUUCAUUUGAAUCUUCAAUAACCAUUUGAUUCUAGUUUUUCAGAGUCUGAGUUGCUUCUUGAGAUUUAGACUUUGUAAAGUCUGGAGCAGAUUCAGAUUCUUCAAGAUAAGUCUGAGAGGAUUCAUUUUGCAUAGAAUCCUAGAAUUUGACAUUCAUUGAUUCCUCCACGGAUUGACUCUUCUUGUUAUAGACUCUGUAAGCUUUGCUUGAGGUUGAAUAUCCAAGGAAGAUUCCUUUAUAUGAUUUUUCUUCAAACAUACCAACUCUAUCAUUUGCAUUUUUCAAUAUAAAGCAUUUGCAUAUGAACACAUGAAAAUAUGAAACAAUAGGCUUCUUUCCUUUGAAUAACUCAUAAGGGGUUUUUUUUUCCAGAAUAGGCCUUAGAAAAACUCUAUUUAUAAUGUAACAUGUUGUUGAAACUGAUUCAUCCCAAAAACGUGAAGAGAUGUUACUUUCAAUUAAAAGAGUUCUAGCCAUUUCUUGAAGCGAUCUAUUCUUUCUUUCCACAACUCCAUUUUGCUCUAGAGUAUAUGGAGAGGAGAAUACAUGUUGAAAACCAUAUUCAUCACAGAAUUUUGUAAAAUCAUGAUUUUCAAAUUCACCUCCAUGAUUUGUUCUUAUACUCGAGAUAACAUACCCUUUUUUUCAUUUUGAACCUUUUUAGCAAACUUUUCAAAAUAAGAGGAAGUUUCAGACUUACUUGCCAGGAAAUACACCCAAGUAAAUCGUGAGUAAUCAUUCACAAUUACUAGGCAAUAUUUCUUACCUCCAAUACUCUGAGUUCUGGUAGGUCCGAAAAGGUCCAUAUGCAGAAGCUGCAGUACACGAUUAGUGAAAACUUGAUUUAUUGGUUUAAAGGAAUUUCUUACCUGCUUUCCCAAUACGCAUGGUGUACAUAGAUAAGACUUUUGGUAUGACAAUUUGGGUAGACCACGAACAAGCUUCUUUGCUGAAAUUUUGGCUAUCUGCUUCAUAUUGAUGUGCCCAAGCUUUUUGUGCCAUAAGCUAGCUUCAUCUUGAAUUGAGAUUAGACAUUGCGAUUCAUCUGGUUUCACAUCCAAGAGGUAGAUAUUUCCAUGUCUUCGGCCCAUGAAUGACUGAGUAGAAUCUUUACUUGUUCUUGAACAUAUUCCCUCUUGAAAGUUGAUUUUGAAACCAGUGUCACACAGCUGACUGAUACUGAGCAAAUUGUAGUUGAGUCAUUCCACUAGGGAAACAUUGCUUAUUGUGAGGUUUCCAAUCUUUACAGUUCCAAAUCCCACAAUUUUUCCUUUGUUGUUUCCUCCAAAAGAAACUUUUCCACCAUUUACUUGAACGAGCUUUAUGAAGCAAUUUGAAUCUCCUGUCAUAUGUCUUAAGCAUCCACUAUCCAGAUACCAUUUUACCUUUUUCUUGAUAGUGAUCUGCAUUUAAAAAAGAGACUCAAGCUUUCUUUGGUACCCAUAUUUUCUUGGGUCCAUUGGUGUUAGUAUGAUAUGCGGUUUUUGCCCAUACUUUCUUAACAUGUUUCCAAACCAUAGGACACUCUUUUUCAAAAUGAUCUGCACUAUUGCAUUUUGAACAUCUGAGAGCAUUUCGACCCACUGGUUUUACAAAUACUUUUUGAAAAUGAUUUUUGUAAAAUGUCUUUGAAGGUCUAUGCUUAAUUCUUUCCUUCACUUUAGAGGAAUGGUUUCUGUUGUCAUUCCCAAACCUGAUUUAUUGAAAUAAGGUAUUUGUGCUGAAAGAAUUUUUUCAAGUUUCUCAGAUCCUAUUGAGAAUCUUUUUGAAAUAUUUGAUAAGUCAUUUUUUUAAAAUGAAUUUUCUUUCAAGAUAUUAUCUUCGCUUUCUUUAAGAGUAGAAAUAUUCGUGUUUAAAUGUUUCAACUUUUCUUUCAAAACAUUUUCUUGUUGUUUUAGUGCAGAGUUUUCCUUUUUAAGUUCGGAAAUCCUUUUAAGAAAAGUCUACACAGCUCAUCAAUGUAUUUAGAGACUUUAACAGGAAUUUUAAAGUUACUUACCUCAAAUUCACUGUCUGAAUCUGAGUCUGUCUCGGAGUUUGAAUCUGAAUCCGAUUGUGCCAUCAGACAUAUAUUGACAUAAUCAUCAUCACUUUCUUCACACUCUGUAUCACUCCAGGUUUCUGCUUUAAGAGCCUUUCGAUACUUUUCAGCUUUUCCUUUCUUCUUUUUCAGAAGAGGACAGUUGGGUCUGAUGUGUCCAUUUUUCUUACAUUAAAAGUAGACUACAUCUUUGUUUGAUUCAUCAUCAUCAACAGACUUGGUCUGUUGCUUUUGAAAACUCUGUUUCUUUGGAUUGAAUCUUCUUCCUUUUCUGUUCAGCUUUCUGAAUCUUCUUAUCAUGAGAGCGAGCUCCUCAUCAUCCAUAUUGUAUUCAGAAUCUGUGACAUCAGAAUCAUCAUUAGAUUUUAAUGCAAUGGAUUUCUUACCUUUAGGAUCUUCGUCUUCAUUGAUUCGUUCCACUUCAUAAGACUGAAGAGUUCCAACCAACUCAUCGACAGAUAGUGGCAUGAUUCUUUGUGUCUCUCUUAUUGAAGUCUUUAUGUGAUUCCAAUCUUUGGAGAGUCCACGCAGAAGCUUGUUUACUUUCAUGGGAUCAGAAAUUGGUUGCCCUUGAUUUUCAAGGCUAUUCACAAUCUCUGUAAAACGACUAAACAUGUCAGUAAUAGAUUCUCCAGAUUUCAUUUUGAAUGCUUCAUAUUGACCGAGGAGAAUGUUGAUUCUGGUCUCUUUCACUUGAUCAGUUCCUUCAUAGGCGAUAUGUAAUCUAUCCCAGACUUCUUUUGCUGUAACAAAAGAAGAUAUUCUGUUAUAUUCAGUAGGUGAUAAAGCACAAUAUAAAGAAUAAAUUGCUUUUGCAUCAAGAGCUUGUCUCUUGAAUAUCUCUUCCUGAGUCAUUUCACUUGACUCAACAGUUUCUUUUCCUCUCUCUGUGACAGAUGCAGCUUUAAGAGUGAUUCAUUUUUCUACAACGUCCCAUUCCAGAGGAUCCUUUGAUCGUAGAAACGCUUUCAUCUUGUUUUUCCAGAUGUUGUAAUACUUUCCAUCAAAGUAAGGUGGUCUGGUAUUGCUCUGCCCUUCCACCAGCCCUGGAGCUAGCAUACUAGCCAUGGAUCUUUUACUCUAAAGUAAAACACUUCAAAUAAAGUGAGUACACAAGCUCUGAUACCAAUUGAUAUAGUUAGUAAUAGCACAUAGAGGGGGGUGAAUAGGCGUUUAAAUAAUUUUUCGAGAUAUGAAAACAAUACUAGACUAACAACAGAAAGGAAGCUCUCCUUUAGUUAACAAAUCGAACUAUGAUCAAAGUAAAGCGGAGAGUAAGGAAGAGAAGAUUGAACACAAGGUUUAUAGUAGUUCGGCUUAUUCCAAGCCUACGUCCACUCUUCUGCACUGACAGCCUACUGGCUGGAUUUCACUAUGAACAAAAGAGAUAUUACAGCAUUGCUUUCCCUUGAUUCCACAGUGUAGAUAUUCUAUCACACUUCCUCAAGGUCUCUCAAAGUAUAGACUCUCUUUUGUGUACAAGAUUUCGCUCAGCAAAUGAAUUGACUAAGAAUCAAAGAGCUUCAGACUUUGGAAUUCUUCUAUCGUGCACUCCUCGAACAACUGGAACGUCUUCCUUUUAUACUCCUUUGUACCAUCAUACCCGUUGGCACUUACCAAAAGAAUUCUUCCAAUCCUCCCGUUGGACAGAAUCAAUUAGGAAGAUUGUUCGAGCUAUUAAAGGAAUAUGUCGAUAGCCCAUCAAUCCUGCUCGCCCAUACAAUCAGGAUCUUGGUUUCCAUAAGUAGAACCUUCUAGGAAUACUUCGUCAAUCAUCGGAUCUUUAAUCAUUCUUGAUUUGAAUAAAGGAAUCCGUUAUGUCUUAUCCAGCCAAGAGAUCUUCUCCAGUCGAUAAGGCCAAAUCCUUAGUGAAGCAAUCAGUUCUGGAUAGCAUUUCUUCAACGGAUUAGAAACUGUCAAUCAGAACAGACUUUGAGUCUUGAGUCUGGCAGUCCGGAGGUCUUCAGACUUUAAUAGCAGAGUUUGCAAAUCUUCAGACCAGACUGAUAGAAACGUUUUGUCAGCUUCAAAAUAUUCCAGAAAGAUUUCUCCAACAAACAAAACUGUAGAAUUGCUAGGCUGAAAUCUGUUUCUGAUUCGGCAAAUUAGAUAAAAGCACAAGUUCCGUUCCAAUGAAUGGAAUGCUCCUGAAUGUACAUGAUACCUUCCUCGAUCCUAGUAUUGGCAGUCACCAUGUGGCCACGGGUCAUGAGACGGAGGAAGCUGAUUACUAAUGUCGAUUUGAUAACUUCCAUUUCUGGAAACAAUCUCUCGAAUUAGUUGCUUCUUUAAGGUUUCCGGUGGCUCAACCCAACCUUUGGAACUGUUGAAGUUGUAGUAGCAUCGCAUACGCUUCCCUUAAGCCAUGUACCAACUCUGAAUUUCAAGGCACAACCCAUGGUUUUACAAGCUCAAUGUGGACAUACAUUAGAUUCUAUUCAUCGUCUCUUUUCGAAUUCAUGAAGAUUCUAUGACGAGCCUUUUUUGGCACGUGGGCGGCACAAAUUGAAGUUUUCUUAGUUUCUUCUCAUGUGAAGAGCAUUCGGAACUCAUUUUGUCAAAUGAACUGAAUCUGAUAUGCCUGGCCAAGCGAUUUUCCAAUCCAUGCUGCUUCUUUUCAUGGUUAGCCAAUUAAAGAAACUUUCACACCAAUGUCUACUGAAUUCCCUCAUUGUUUUAAACGGGGAAAAUGGGAUUUUCAUGCCUCUCUUGCAGCCAUCUCUUUUGCCGCAGUAGCAUAACUCUGUAACGGCGUCACUGCCACACAACUCUUCCGCAACCCCUCUCAACAAAACAGCAAUCAAGCUGGAUAAACAUCGCCGAUUCUCCAUCUCUCUUGAACGGGGCGUUCUUCGAAACAGAGUCCGACUUCGUCAUUCCAUGAAACAUCUUCCUUGCAAACUCGAUUCCCUCCUCCACGGGGCAACUGACGGCAAUGGAAUUACGCCGGGGGAGAGAGAGAGAGAGAGAGAGAGAGAGAGAGAGAGGCGAAACAGAAAAUCAUACAGACAAAUUGGGAUGAAAACGACCUGGUAAGGGUGAAUAUCGAAUGAUGGAUUCCGUCAUCGCCUGAAUGUAGCUAGGAACAGCUGUCUGCAGAGAUUUCUCGAAGCAACGUUCAUCGGAGAGAGCUCGUGGGCAAAGGGAAUGUCUGGAUACUGUCUGCCAAUUCAAAGGAUGGGAUUUUUUGGGGUUUCACUCUAUCGGCCCUCCCGCCAGUGCGGCGUCCCUUCAUCGACUGACGCAAUCUGAGGCCGAUCGAGUCGUCAUCGUCCGAGACUAAUAGGCCGAGAGCGUGAAGAUCGGUGGCGAGGCUGAAGAGAAAACAACGAGAGCUAAGCUGGUGGAGAUGAUCGCGUUGCCGCGUUCUGUUUCCCGUUUGAAUGAACAGUGCUUUAAUGUCAUUUGUGAAAGCAAAAUUCCACUUUUGUUUCAAACAACUUCUAAUUCGGUAGAAAUAUUUUAAUUUUUCUUAUGUCUUUUGAUUUGAGAUUUCUAUUUAAAUUUCCUUUAAUUGGAAAAAUUAACCAAUUUCAUUUCCGGUUAUCGAAAUGUCAUCGACGUAAAUUAACAUGUGAUGGAAUGAAUUUCAUCUCCUUAAAGUAAAGCAGUAGUAAAUCCUAAUUAAAACAAUGUCUUGCAUAAAUGUGCUUAAUACCUUUCAAUAGUUUAUCUGCACUAUUUCCCUUAAUUAGUCCUACAGAUUUUUGUUGACAUCGGUCGCACGGUCCUUACCACCAUAAAAAGGAAGGAAAAAGCAGCUUCUGUCCAGGGGUCCUUCCAUCCUUCGCGGGAAACACUUCAUCAAUAUGAAAAUGAGUCUUUCUGGUACCUAAUUCUACAAUCUCGGAGUUGGAUCUGGGCCCCUGUGCUGCGUAAAUAAUAAAGUUUAUUCUAGUUGAUUUCUUCGUCUCACGUAUCACGACGUCGGCUGAUUUAGUUUUCGUUUUGAUUCUUGUUUUUUUUUUUUAAUCCCCACUAAGGACUCCAAGAGUAAAAAAUCUCAACUCCAAUAAACCUCGAAACAUAAGUUUUCGCAUUUCAUCAAAUAACUCACUUUGUCUCAAUAUUUUCCAUGCAAAGCUAGUUUCACGUUCAAUAUGGUAUCCAUCUAGAAUGUAAUAAUCCCUCGCUUUUAAUGUGGGAAUAUCUGAGUUGCAUUGUACCUGAUGGUCGAUGUAGUCGAUGGUGCGGAGAGUGCUGGGUAUAAACAAUUGAUAUACCAAAUUGGUGUGCAAAUGAGAUUUUUCCGUAAGUGGGGUAAAUGUCAAACGUAGUCACUUUGUACAAUCAAGUCACUAAACUUUAAUUUCAAUUGUCUGAUACAUUAACAUCAUUUUUUUCCCAUAUGUAAUCAAUGAAUUAUGAAGACUUUUAGAACAAUUUUCUACGCAAUAUUUACAUAGCAGUCUUACUUAUCUGAUUAAAAAUGUUAUAACGACGACACGACAUCAUAUGAGUCUCCACUAAGAAAAAACCAAUAUAUAUAUAGAAGUUUUAAAAAAAGAGAGGGUAGGGAUUCGUUCACUCCAACUCAGGUUGAAACUCUCCGUCUCAUUUGGGUUACAUAGCCCUGUGUUACGAGGGGAGGUUCUCAAGGCGUAACCCAAUUGGGAGCAAGCUAAAUUUAUCAUUAGUAUUUAAAUCCUCUUUAUCCCCAUCGGAUUUUCUAAAGAUUUAUAUAAUUGAGUCCAUAAUGACUACUUUCAUUUCAAUUUGCCCCCACAAAUUAAUGAACCUUGAUAAGCAAUUGUAGAAUCAUGAAAAUCUAGUUGCCAUAAACAAACCAAACCGACGCAACUGUUAUUUUCAUGUCAUAUUAUUGAGUUCAAGAGCAUCGGUUUGUUUACUGAAAUAAUCAUUAUUCACCGAAGUUCGCCCCCACUAGGAAAAAUUUCUAGAUACGUCCAUGAUGAAUUGGCCAUGGUUUGCUUGGGUUUUGAUUUGUUACAAAUUCUAAAGUUCAUUUGACGAUUGAAAUCAAAAUUCAAUGACCCGAUUGUAAAAUGCGCUAUAUAAUCUAGUCGUCAAUAAUUGAUUCCUCAUCUGUUGUUCUCUUUAACAAAUUUGAACGCCUAGCCUCAUCCGAUCAAACUUCCACAAAAUUCCCAUCAAUCCCUCUCCUUUUCCCCUUCAACUUAGCUGCUACUCGUAGCUGCAAUCACCGCCUUCUUCCCGUCUUCAGUUGAAUGAAAACCUGUUAAAUGAGCGUUAUGCAAUCUUUCGAGGUCAUUUUGGCUCGGUCUUUGAAGGUUGAGCUGAAAAGUUUGAAGGUUGAGUUGAAAACUUUUGAGAAUAAAUAUCCGAAAUCAUUUGAUGCAGGACUACGCAGUCUGCUUUUGCUUUAGAAUCAUAGAAAACUGUUAAUUUUUGAAUUUGUUUGUCAGAGAAAUGAUUUCUCAUGUAUCCAUUUCUAACUAUUUAGUUCCAUCUUUAACUAUUAUAGUUUCAGCUGCAGCAAAGCAAGGAGAUCACAUUUUUUUAGGUGAAAUCAAGAGUUGAUCUUUUUUUUCUUGGUCGAAGAAAUCAAUAGUCGAUUAUUUUAGUGUUAAAUCAAGGCAAGCCAAACAACCAUAGUGUAAGCUGUAAUCUCUGCUAUUAUUUGGGAUGCUCUUGGUACAAGAGAAAAUAUAAGAAAUGACAGCGUAAAAUGGUGCUUUUUUCUAUUGGGUGUUUUGAGAAAUUACUUGGAAAAGCUCUAUCUUUUAAUUGGUGGUUGAAAAGUCUGCAAUUUUAACUUUUGUGCAAUCUCAGAUUUUUCACUAGUACUAAGAUAGAGGAUGCAGUUGCUUCUCAAAGGUGGUGUUGUAGCAUUUCUUGGUGUUCUCAGUUUGACAUCUAUCAAGCUAAAGUAGAAUGCGAUAAACGGACAUUUGCUAGCAUACCUAUAAUUUUUGUUUAUUUCCAUAUCACUUUAAAUUUCUUUAUUGUAAUUGUUUUCUGUCAUUUUAUCUGUAUCCCCGUUUCUGAUUAAUGUCUCUUUUUUUAUGUAACAUGAACUAUGUGGAAGUACUCUUUUUUUUGUUUUCUCUUCCUAUUUUGGCUGGAUGGAAACACCAUCUUCUACUGCGUUGAUACAACUGCAGUGUUGCAUGCUUCAAUAUUUUUACAAUCGCUGAACGGUUGCUCUUGAAUUUUUUGUCAUCUUACUUCUUGCAAUGUAUCAAAUUUUGGUUUUUCUUCCUUGUUUAUUCCUGUAUGAUUCCACCAUUCUCUAGAUGUUACGUUCUGCCUUCCAACAGGUUGGUCCUCAUGAAGAAAAGUGAUACUAUUGGUGCCUUUUCCUUUGCAUAAACAAAAGUGAUACCCCCAUUAUUUGCUUGAGUUUUCUUCCUAUUUAUGUCAGUCUCUCAAUUAAGAGUUUUUUGAAACUGAGCAUGAAGAAACUGACACCCUUGGGGUGGUCACUCUGGCUAGUGAUAUUUUGUCCAGUCCACGUCAUACCUACAUUGUUUAUACACUCAGUACUUCCGAACGAAUCAAUCAAAACCGCAUAUAACUCCCACAGUACAAUCUUAGGAGCAUAAAGCAGAAGGAAGAGAACUAUAGAAGAUAUCUAGGAAAUGCUGUAAUAUUCAAUGAGGUAAAACCAACAUAGCUAAGAGGCUUACCCAAACUGCAAACCUAGAACAUCUAAAAAGCCAUUAAUGAUACGUAACCAAGCCUCCAUAAUAUGUCGCGUUCAGCAAGAAAGCCAUUUCUACAAAUGAGAGACUUUGUUCCAAGGAUUGGAAGCACGUAGAAAACUGCUUUCAUGAACAUGCCUCGGAUGGACCGCAAAGCUGAAUGAUUAGCUUAGCUGAGCAAAACAUGCCUCGCCUCUUUGAUUUGAUUCCGAUCAACUAGUCAAAACACAUUAGUAACUUCCACAAUGCCAUGUUAAGAGGGUAAAAAACUCAUGCAUGCACAGGACUUAGAUGCCCAACACAUAAACAUUUAGUGGACCAAGGAACCACCUAUUUGUCAUGAUUCUGAUUUGACUACAUUAGCAAUCGAAUACACAUCAACAUAUAUGUAAACAGCAUUAUAUGACACAACCUCUUGGUUGAAGUGAUUCAUGCAGAACCAAAACAUAUCCUCCAAGUUCCUAGUCCAUUCCUGUUUGCAAUGCCCAGCAUGGCAAUCAUGAAAAUGGUGACUACAUUCCCACCAAACGUCACAACUGUGGACACCGUUAAGGAGAAGUGAAUCCAAGAAAAGUGAAACUACCAUUCUAUUGCAUUUGAACCAGAAAAUACAAGGUAUCAAAUUUAAAGGAUAUAUAUUACUAAAGCAUUUGAAAAAUCUAUUUCCAUCCUACACUUGAAAAGCCACAAACAAAGAUGCUCAAUCAAAUUCCCCUAAAACAACAGAUGCUCCAUUAACUAUUUACCGAAUGAAUGAAACUAUGUAAACAUUAUCAUCAGAUUACUUAUUUCCACAAAGAUUGGGCCCAAAAUGGGGCAUAGGGACAAGAGAGAAGUGUGCAGUGAAAGCUUGUUUAAGUGGAGUCCUUCGAUCAUUAAUUUUUUCCACAGUUGUAGUGGAACUUAGGCACUUGUCGAGAUAUUUCAAAACCAGUAAGUGGGAAAGACAACUCAAUGAUCCCCAAGUUGAACUAGAAAGGGCUUAACCAGAAACUCGAAAGGCAAAACCAUCACAUGAUUAGUUCUAAAGCUAGCUCAAAAAAAGCGAUUGCAUCACUGAACAUUUCUAAAUAUACAGAAUUUACAUAUCGAGAACUAACGAUGAAUAUAUGUAGCUAGAAGCCCAGAUUAGGACAAUGAGACACAAGCUAGUUAAAGGCCAUAAAGUGAAAAUCCUAUGGUUCGCGUGUGAAGCCACUGGAACGAGCUACAGAACGAUUCUCAUCCAACUGAUUUGAUCUGACACUUCGGUUUCGCAGCAACCCUGAUGUCGAAUCCUGCGGCAACAUCAUCAUCACCAUUGAAUCUAGCAUCGAUCGAAAGUGAAUCGACAAGUGUCAAAUUCCAAGACCUCAACUUCGCAUCGGAAGCAGCUUAAGAAACUUGCGGGAAGAGGAGAGGGGGGAGAAGCCAUGUGGUGAAAAGAGGAGGAAUGGUCUGCUAUUGGGACUGCGGCGGCGUUGCUGGCUCCCGAUCCUCGGGUAUGUUGGAGAUCGGACUUCCCAACACCGGCGACGGUGGUGUCGAGGGCAGCGGCGAUGGCUUGGCACGAGAGGAAGGAGAUGAAGCAAUGGAGGCGUUUUCAAGAAUUGCAAUGGAAGGGACUAGAAAACUGUGACAUCCUGAAAUUCGACCCCCUUUUCGAUAAAGUGAAAUGGACAUUUCGUCGACGUGCUUAGGGUCUUUUUUCUCUGAGCUGAUCACUCACUUGUUAACUAACCUAUUGGGUGAAGCUGUUAAGGGAUGUAUCUGCAGUAAAAUCCAUAAAAGCUACUCAAUUGGUUGGAUUGAACUAAAAUCACGUUUGAUUUCUAAUCAUGAAAUUUAAUUUGGUUUCGGGAAUCGAAUAUUCGAGCGUGUCACGAUUCAUUUUUAGGAUCCUGUCUCAUCGUCCGUCAAAUUAUUGACGAGUCCGAAAUUUCAAUAAAGAAAUUAUCGGAGGAAAAUUGAAGACCAAAAGAAAAUAGAAAGGAAAAGAGAAAAGAAAUAAAAUAAGAUAAUGGUAAUAUUUUAUUUCUCUCUCUCCCUCUCUCUUCUUUUCUCUUUUCUCUCUCUCUCUUCUCUCUCCUCUCCCCUCCCCUCCCCUUCGUGCAGACAACCCCCCACCGACUUCUCUCUCUCUUUUCAUUUUGACCAGUCAAACACUCUCUCUCAAUCCUUAUCUCCUCUCUUCUCUCUCUCUCUCUCUCUCUUCUCCCCCACUCCCCCACGUGACCGAAACCCCCCCUCUUCCUUGCCAUUUUGUUCGUGAAAACCAGAAGCUUGAACCAGAAGCUGCAGCUCGCCGUCGCCGCCGUUCCGCCGCCCGCACCCGCACGCCUCCGCUUCCCUUAAGCAUAAUUAGCCAACUAAUCAGAGAUUAGUGAGAUUACCCACCGAAAUCGAGCGGAAAUCGGAUCAAUCCAACGGGAGCGAUGCGAGGAACAACAAACUCCAAAGCGGGCCUCGAUUAAGGGUGGUUUAUUUUUAAUUAAUUAGGUUUAGGUGGUUAGAUUAGUAUGGAUUAGUGUUUAUUAAUCAAUUGUGAUGCGAAUUAGACAAAUUGAAUGUGUAUUUAGCAAGUAGACGUGGUCUAAUAUUUAUUGGAAGUGUCUCGGGAUUUUUCCCGACCCUUAGUGGGCUUCAAUUAGGCUUUUCGGGCCUAAGUGGAAUUUUUUAGUAUUUAAAUAUUAAUUUUCGAAAUUAAAUUAAAUAAUUAUUUAUUUUCCGGAAAUUCAACUGGGAUGGCCUGGAACCGGAAUAUUAUGCUGAUGAUUGUGGUGAAGUCUGUUUAUUUAAUUGGGCUUUAUUUUGUGCUAAAUUGAAUUUUUAAUAUUUAUUAAUUAAUUUUCGAAAUUAAUUAAUUAAUUAAUUAAUUAAUUUUCGGAAAUUAAGAUUUUGAUGGCUGACAACCGAAAUCUCGUGCUGAUCGUCGUGGCGCAGUCUGUUUAUUUAAUUGAGCUUUAAUUUGCAUGGAAAUUAUUUAAUUAUGAAUAUUUAGGAGUUAUUCAUAUUGACUUGAUUGUUAAUUAUUUGAUUGAGAAAUCAUUGGGUAUUGGUUAUCACUUGAAAUGUAAUACGUGGGCUCGUUGAAUUGGAAUAUCACUUGGAGAAUGCACGUGAAUUCGGUGAUUGAUUAUGUCAUCUUGGCGAAAAGGUCGCCUAAGAGAAUGCACGUGGCUCGGAGACUUGGUAGGUCUUCCUAGAGAAUGCACGUGGCUCGGUGACAAAGUUUGGCAUCUAAAAGGGCACGUGGCUCGGUGAAUUGAUGCAUCACUUUGGUGAGAUAGCACCUAAGAGAAGGCACAUGGGCCCGGGCAUCGUAAAAAGGACAUGUGGCUCAGUGAUCUGAUGCGUCACCUUGGCGAUUGAGUGCCUUAAAGAAUGCACGUGGGUUCAGUGUUCGGAAAUAGCAUCUAAAAGGGCACGUGGCUUGGUGACUUGAUGUAUCACCUUGGCGAAGAGGUCGCCUUAGAGAAUGCACGUGGGCCCAAGGUUUGAGGCACAUGGCUUGGAGACUUGGAAUGUCGUCUUGGAGAAUGCACAUGGCCUAGCUUUUAGAUACUCCUCCAUGGAGAAUGAUUUGUAUGACAUGUAAUCGACUAGUUCGAUUUGUUUAGAGUAAAUGGGUGCCUAUUGUGAAUUGUACUGACUUGCAGGUAGGAUCUGAGAUCAAGGUAAGUCAUUUGUCCUGUGCGUGUUAGGCAACCUAUAGUAUAAUGGUUUACUAAUCGAGCCUUAGUGGGGUAGAACUCGCUGAGACGUAGUCUUAUCCCAGUUUGGGGAAAACAUUUCAGGACCCCAAUGAGGAGCUGAGGAGGAGGAGUCUGGGAAAGAGAACUCGGAGGUAAAAUCUGAGGAGAAGAAUUUUGGAAGAUGAAGAUAAUCCCAAGAGGGGCCUUGAGUACGGCCUGGAUGGAUUGAGAUUCUAUCUUCUUUUGAGAUCUACAUUUUGAUGUGAAUAGAGAUAGAGUAAAAAGUUGUGAAGUGCUUUGGUUUGUGUUUUGUAUAAAAGUUUGGUUAUAAGUUUCAAUAUGAAAAAUAUUGCCCUGCUUUUCUAUCCCAUCGUUUUAUUAUCUGGGGAUUUUAACUGCUUCCACAUGUGCUUAAUAAAUAAAAGGGUCGGCGAUACAUAGUCCUGAGAUAUCGCAUUAUAAAAUCGACCAAGUCAGAAGGAUGUGUACGUGCCCGAGGAUCGGGGCGUGACAAAAACCGUGAAAUUGAAAAGGGAAACAUGAUCCCGAUUCAUUUGGAAUUUUCUUUAUUUUUAGCCAAUCACAAAUUUCAGAAAAAAUUACCUCAAUUUAAAUCGCUGAAAAAUGUGGUGUAAAUACUUGGCUGGCCAAUGAGAUCAAAUUUUUAUUUAAUACUGAUUAGGCAAUUUCAUAUUCUUAUUCAAAACGAAAACAUGACAAGGGGAGGAGAAAAAAAUGGAGGAGUCUACAAGUUAUGUGACGGGAGUGACCUGAAUUGUGAAAUUGGAAAAGAAAACCUAAUCCCAAUUCAUUUGGGAAAUAUAUUCUUACUUUUAUCAAAUUAAAAAUUUGGGAUAAAAUUGCCCUUGUUUAAGUUGCUGGCUUAGAUCUUUAUUUGAGCUUAAUUUUGACCAUUUUAUACCCUUAUCUAUAACAAAGUCCAUACUUUUCUUUUUUCGCCAAGGAGGAACCUUGCUAUAUGAAAAUGGAGGAGCUAGACUCGAACGAUUUGCAGAAAGACUCAUGGACUUUGACUUAGAAAAACUUUUGUACUAUUAUCACACGAAAAUUUGUUGGAUGAUGAUUAUUGAUCUUUCAUCAUUUCAAUUUUGAAGAGCUUCGAUGCUUUAGGAUCUUAUUUCUCUUGAAUUAUUUCUUCUUUACAACCUCAAUUGUCUGCAAAGAGCAUUCAUCAUAUGCACGGCAAAGCAAUAAUCAAUCUAUGCUACAUCUCUUCAUGGUGAGUCAAUUAAACCAAUUUUUAUGCCAAUGUCUAUUAAGGUCCUAUUCGUUUUGCGAAAAGUAUCGCGUUUCUGAAAAAUGACAAUAUUUUCUGAGGUUUACUUGAAACUUGAAAAUGAAUUAGAAAAUAUUUUCCGUCAUUUAAUUUGAAAAAUUCGAUUUGAUUUCCCUUUGUGCACUCCUUUUAACAUCUUUUUAAUUAAAAAAAAAUCAACAUUUUUAAUUUUUUUCAAAUUUUAAUUUUUCUCUACUUUUUAUUUUUUAAUUUUUCUUUUCUUUUCCUUCCUCCUCCUUAUUCAGCUAGUUGCUGCUUGAGCUCAAGGCUUGUUGAUCUGGUGAGACCCAAGUUUGCCACUCGCCUGGCUCGCCAAGCUGGCAAAUGCCAAGCUUGAAGUCUUAGGCCUUGCCAAAGGCUUGCUCGAUAUACAAGUAGCAAGAUCACCAGAGGUCAUUGAGCCUGGUUAAGGCUUUGGUGAUCAACCAAGACAAAAGAAGAAAAGAAAAAAAGAAAAGAGAAAAAAGAAAAAAGAAAUAUAAGUAAACAUUCAAUUUUUUUUUUUUUUGAAAAAAGAAAUAUAGGAAGGAUAACGGGUGUGGAAUAAGAGAGAAUGAUUUAGAAAAAUAUUUUCCCCAUUUGAAAAGUAAAAAAUAUUUUUCCCUAUUUUACAAAACUUCUUUCCAUUGAUGAAAAAUGUUUUCUCAGACGAAUUCAUUUUCCAUAAAACGAAUGCUGAAAAAUUCAAAAAAAAAAAAUUCUUCAAAGUUGGUUUUCACGAAAUGAAUGAAGACUAAAUUCAUCAUUAUUCAACUGUGCAAAAUGGAUUUCUACCCACCCCCUUACCCUCCGCCAUGCAACUAAAUGAAAUGAUGUCAUAGGAUACAAACAGAGCAGGUUUUUCAUGGUCUUACACUUCAAAUACCUCUCAUUACUCCUAAAUUAGCUUGCAAAUUCGAUUUAUAACUAUCCUUCUUCAAAAUGGUCUCAAUAGCAUCCGAGUCUCAUUGGGACAAUUGCUAAAUCCGACAUCUGACAUCUUAUAUGAAUAGUCUAGUAAGAUCUUGAGCUUAAAUUGUCACCAGUAUACCUAGAGCUCAAUUGUGAUUGCUAGCACUUACAAUAUCAUGACCGCUUUAGUAGUUGAUGUCCCCUUGUUGGAGAUUUUCAUUUUAUUUUAUCUAUAUUGUGUUUAUAUAUAAUCCAAUAAAAUACUAAAACAAUACUCAUCAAUAACAUGCAUUAGAAAAUGAUCUCGCAAUUAAUUCCUUUCAUCCUCGAGCACUUUUAAAUAGAUAAAUUUAUCCUAGGAUUUCCUCGCCUUCAAAUCAUUACCUUCUUGCUCUUUGCCCUCAGAUUUUAUCUUUGGAUUUCUCAUUCCACUUAUAUAAUUUGAUCGUUCAAAGAUGUAAAUGUGUGGAAUAUUCCAGAUGGAUUCAUCAAGCAACAUAUUCAGGAAAAGCAAAGAGCAACUCUUAGGUAUUUUGACAGUGAAGUUCAUAAGGAGCUAUAGACUCGUUAGAGGGGCUCUAUUUCUGUCCUUUUCUUCUGGUAGACGUGCAUUUUAGAGAGAAACUCACCUACGUGUAGGAAAUGUUUGCAUGAAUGGAUGAACAAGGAUAAUCACCUGAAGGCCUGCAUUCUUUGCCGCAAUACCUUCUCAAUACCAUGUACUUAAAACUACUUGUGACCAGUACCUCCACCUAAUCAUGUGCUUUUUUUCUUCCUCACAUUUAGUGUCGAAAAUCCACAAAAACAUUACCUCAGAUCUUCAUGAUUUGUAUUUCUAGAGUCUUUAUGCUAAUCUGCCAUCAUAAGAUCCAUGUAUAAAAAAAAAAAAAAUGCACCAAAUGGCCUAUCAUCAAUGAAGAAUGCCUAGGAGUGAGCUUUCGGAGCUCACCAAUUUCCUACCCCACAUUAGAAUAGAAUGAAACAACACAUAAUAUUGAUACUAAAUAACCAUGAAGCAAAGCAGACCCAAAAUAAAUAAAUUCAACACCUACAACACUAGAGCAUGUAAUUAACAAAUCAAAUUCAACAAGAUUGAAUCAUCAACUAAUUACAUUCGUUAUCAAAUGGAACGACAAUUUAGAGAAUAGUGUAAUAGGUCACCCAUCAAAGUUUAUGAGGGCAAAGAGUUACUGAAUAGCAAAGCUAUUACUACUUCGGAACAAGACAGGCUUGUCAAGAAUUUGCGAAUGAUUGCUUAACCUUUCAAACAAAGGAAGGCAGGAAAAGGACGGAGGAGAUGUGAAACUUUCUGUGGCUAAUACCAAACAUUACAAGAUGAUGAAAUUAGUGUAAUAACAAUCGUUCCAUCCUUUGCCAAUGUCAUUAUAUUGAGCAUGUGUCAAUGGAUUAUCUCAUUUUUUUGUGCUUAUGUUGAUACUGAAUAUCAAACUGAAAAGAAGUUUUGAGUAAAUUUGCGACGACACAAACUAUCCACUCCAUGAGGAAAAUGCAUUCAAACAACAUAACUAACACACUGUACUGAGAAAUUAGUGACCGUCAAUCUGAAAAAAGCAGAGGAUGAGGAAGCACUUUGGUUGGAGGAACAUGCUAAAUACUUGGCUAUAAUAAAACCAUUAUUUAUUGUGUUAUGCACUACUUGCUCCAAUACACAAAAGAGGUAGAGGCAUUAGAGGAGCAUGAAUUUUUGCCUCCUUCAAUAUCACCUGAACUUUUAUCCUUGUUCAAUCGAGUACGAAAUGUGACUUGAACUAGUAACUACGUUAGAAGAAUUGUCACAUAAUGUGUAUCAACACGGGCUGCUUGCUCACAUGUGACUCGCCUAUUUGGCAAAAGUGUUGAGAAGGAUUACCAAAGGAAAGUUGAAUAAAUUAAAGGAUGUGCUUUUCUAUUUUUCAUUUUCAUGUUCACUUUCCUCGUGAGUUUUGCCUUUUGAUUCAUUGCUUAGCCGGUUAAGUUCUCCUAUAUACCAUAUAGAGAGUUCAUUCAUGUCAUAAAUUAGAGAUUGCUUGAUACUCUUUUUCUAAUGCUUUAAUAAAAAAUAAAGAAAACAGUCAAUAAACCAUAAAAUGCUUGUGUUAUAUAUAUACUUACUUUAUUGACUUUUGAUAGUGUUCUACCUAUUGACAUAUUAGAUUUGGACUAACUUGCACCCUUAUAUCUAAUUAAUGUUGACUAUCAUUGGAAAAUAAGUCUUGAGUUUUCAUGUACUACCUCUCCAAUUUCACGUAUUUGAUGGAAAACCCCUCAAAUCAUCCCUUUCAAUGGAAAAAAAAAUUUUGUUUAUAAGGAAAAUUUGAAGUUGAUUAUUUUUUUUUUGUCAACAAUAAUUGUAAGAAUAAACUCAAAAUUUCAAUCAAGAAUUUUGAGCCAUCAUGGUACAGAUUAAUGUGGAAUCAUAAUGGCAUGGAAUCAUACCAUGUUUGAGCAUGAUUCCUUGAGUAAGCAAAGUUUGAAGGGAGAAGUAUAUUAGAAGUGCCUUAACUUGUGUACGAUGUUCACUUUAAUGCCACAACUUUUCGCGAGUUCACUUAAUUAAAUGAUCACUUAAGUGCCAACUCCGAUAUGAGUUGUCGGAAAUCUAACGUGGUAAUUUGUUAUUAAUUUAUCAAUCCUAUGUGGUUUGCCAGCAUGCCCAGUCAGCAUAUAAUCUUUAAACACUUCAGUGCCAAAAAAAACCCCUAAAUGUUGUUGUAUAACAAGUUAAAAAGCAAUUACUUCAGUGCUAGUCAUUCUAAAAAAUAUGAUCACUUCAGUGUCAAUCUUGAUAAAAAAAAAGUGGUCACCUCGGUGUCAAAAAAUGCCAUCUUAGACAAAAAUUUUAUAUAUAAAAGCCAUGUAAUUUUUAUAGUCAGAAUUUUUUGUUGGAAGCACUUAAGUGAUCAUUAUUCUCUGAUUUUGACACUUAAGUGAACUGGCGAAAAGUUAUGUCACCAAAGUGAAUAUCAUAUAUAAGUUAAGGCAAUUCUAAUGUACUUCUCUCAAAGCUGGAAUCAAGGACUCUAGUCCACAUUGUGGUUUUUUGACAUACUAAUAUGACCUUGCAGGGAAGUGAAAUUGAAUGAUGGGGUGCCAUUAUUUUGGAACUACAUGUCAAUUUAGGCUAAUCUCACUUGAUAAAUUGCCGAUGCCACGCUCAUGUUUGUUUGAAUUCAUGCAUGUAUUAAGUAGCCUUCAGAAUUUUCACAAUUUCACCAAAUUACAUGCUUAGCUUAAAUUAGUGAUUUCGUUGUUGUACAAUUGUCCAUCAUAAUACUAUCUCUAAAGCACUCUCGUCUAAUGAUAUAAAGUGAAAAGAAGAGUUUCCUUUAUAUUUGAAAACUAUGAGGUGAACAUGACCAAUGAAGUAAUGUUAUGUGAGUCCUCGAUACCCUUUUCACAAUGAGAUGAUGUUAUUGUUUCGCUUUUCUAGUUCUAUAUUCUAGGUUGAACUGGUUGGAGACUUGAGAAGCAUUGAACUUGAAAGAUUCUUUCCCCUAGCUUCUCAAGAAACUUUUGGAAUUAAUUCUUCAUUAUACAAUAACUCAUCAUAGUAAAAUCGAAGUGCAGAAAGAAAAGGAUAAACUCCGGUUGCCUCCAUCAAGAAAAGAACGAUAACAGUCUUAUAAACAAUCCAGUGAUAGAAAUAGAUCACCUGUGAAAAGUACAUACAUGGAAAUGGAUGAUUUUUUAUUUUACAAUUUAUUGUUCCUUGAUCAGUCACCAUCACUAAUAUCCAAGUCCCCACGGCAUUUCUUUCACUACUCAUGGACAACCCUCUAAGGGCCUGUUUGUUUGUGUUCUUUUUCUUUUCCUCGGAACACAAUUUUUGUUAUUUUGUUUUGGAGAACAAAAAAAGGAACAAAAACACGUUUGUUUACACUUUUGUUCCCGGGAACAAAUUUGGAACAGAAACAAAAACUUGUUUCUUGUUCCCGGAAACACUUCCGAAAAAUAAUUUUUCUCUCUCCUAUUUUUUCUUUCUCUUUCUUUUCUUCUUCUUUUAUUCUUCUUUUUUCUUUGGCUGGUCGCUUGCCUUGGCCAUGGUCGACAACCUUGCCGGAGUGUCGCUGGCCCCCAGUGAGGCUUGGCCUCGCCUUGGUUGGAUAAGUUUGAGCUUGCCUAGCCACCGGCGAGGCUAGGCCUCGCCGGGGGCCAGCGAGCCUUGCCAUGGUUGGGCGAGGCCACCGGCCCUCGUCGACUGGUUGCCGGCCAUGGCCGAGGCCGGCGACCAACCAAAAGGAAGAAAAAAGAAAAAGAAAACAAAAAAGAAAAAAUUAAAAAUUAAAAGAAACAAAAAAAUUAUAUAAGUUCACCAAAUGUGUUUCUAUUCUAGUUCUAUUCCAGGAACAUAAAUUAUAUAAGUUUACAAAAUGCAUUCUUUUGUUCAAAAAUUGUUCCCUAGAACAUAAAUAGUUUUUUUUUAAUUUAUAUUCCCAAGAAUAAUUUUUGAACAGAAACGUUACCAAACACAGCCUAAAUAUACGAAAGAUUGCAUUAAUUAGGAUCGUUGUGAGAGAGAGAGGGACAAGAGUAAUUGAGGGUAGUUGUGGGAGUUGAGAUGACCUUUAAUGUGAUGAGUCCCUCUUCUAGAAAUGAAUGGUUUUCUGCAUUUUACUAUUCGUUUACUUGACCACUCACCAUCAAUGAUGUCUAUCUCCUUGUCCUUUCAUCUGCUGCUAUUGCACAAACUUAUAAGUAUACAUAAGAUUGGUUUAAUUAGGGUAGUUGAGAGAGACACAGAGAUUAAAUGAGAAAAGUUGGGGGAAGCUGAGAUGGUGUUUAAUGCGACAACUACCUUUCCCUGCAUCCUCAUAAAUGUAUGACAACUGACUGGGUGCCCUCACUUGUCUGGCCUCUUUCCUUUUACUGUCGAGAAACACUGCUUUCCCACUUCAACGCUCCCUCCCGAGGCAAUGAUCAAUUAAGCAAAAGGUCAGCCAAUUAUUAAGCGAAAACUGACGGCUCUCUAAUGAGGCCCAAAUGAAUUGCUUGCUUAGUUUAAAAUAGUGAUUUCAUCGUUGCACAAUUGUACGUUAUCAUAACAUUUUUGAAAAGAGGAGUUUCCUUAAUAUUUUAAAACUAUGAUGCGGACAUGAACAAUGGAGUCAUGCUCCGUGAAUCCCCAAUACCCUUUCCACAUACAAGAAGAUAUUAUUGCUUCGCUUUUCUAAUUCUAUAGUCUAGACUUAACCACCUGGAGCCUUGAGAAGCAUCGAGUUCGAGAGGUCCUUCUCACAGCUUCUCAAGAAAUUUGAAGACGUGGGUAUAAGGGAUAAAGUAAACAAAGUGAAAACUUGAGCUAAGAACAAACUAUGAUACAAGGCAAGCUUUCAAAUUUGAAGACAUGCCAUGAAUGAAUCAAGCUUGGGAUCUUUCCAUGGAUAUAUUCAUAUAAGAUAGCCGUAUCACCACUUUGAAAAACGGAUGAUCCGAUUCAAAUUUGUUGGCUAAUUGAAUCAUAUUAAGAGUAAUGCGUUUGGAAAUGAUUGAUCAAACAAUGUGGUAGUCUGACCAACUUAUUCAUAUCACAUUUAUAAAUCAGUUUUAUAAAUUAAUUAUUAUAAUUGUAUCAUCACUCUUUGUUGAUAAUAUUCGAAUGAUUUGUGUGUAAAAGAAUAAAAAACUUUUGUCUUGAUUUGUGCCUCACUAGACGCACUAGACCGAGAAGACAUUACAACUUAAAAAAUAUGAGUAAUUGAAAAAGACGAGCUAUUUCAACUCAAACGAUUGUAAAAAUAAGAAGAAUAGAAAAGCUCAGAUUGACCUUGACUGUAACCAUUGUUUAGGAAAUCCAUCACGCAUGAGGGAAGGACGUUCCUUGUUACCAUUGGAGCCAAUUUUGAAGGGAAAAAAUGGUUUUUUAAUUGCAUGAACCCAGUCCUCAUGAUCCCAAAUGAUCUUACUCUUUGUGUAAUGUGAUUUUCAAUUGAGACCCAAAUGAUACACGUUGAAACCAAAUAUCUCUCAUAUAUUACUUUAUCUAAUUACUUUAAUAUCGUGGAGUUUUUAACAUGUGGAAAUAGAAUUUCAUGAUAAAGGGAGAAGAUACAAUUAGACAAACAAAAUUGACACGUGCAAAAUAUCAAUUCACUCAAAAAAUUAUGAAAUAUAGGAGGUGAGGAUUCUGUCAUGAUCAAUAUGGAGAUAUUAAAAGAAUCUUCCAUUCUCAUUAAAGUUCAGUAGUAUUGUUGGAAAAUUACACAAUCAACAAACAACAUAUUGCACAGAAUUAAUAUUUUGAGGAAAAGUGCAAUUAAGUGCUCUUUGUAAAGUUUCACAUGAUUUAACUAACGCGUUAGUCCAAUCAUGGCCAAUUGUCUUACAUUUAAGGAAGAUGGUGCAAAGCAGACUAAAACUACAUGGAAUGACGUUGUUCCUUCUUAGAUAAACAGCGUUGGUGCUUGGUCGAUAGGCUAAAGUAAAUCACCAAAUCUUGAGCUCUAAUGUUCGACUUAAACAAAAAGGUUGAUGGUCUAAGGCAACAAACAGGAGCAAGGCCCAACAUCCCUACAAGGAAGUGAUUGAUUGAAAGUUAUAACUAUCAAGUAAAUAUUUUUUAAACAUAAACACUAAUCAAAGAAUAUGAAAAUGGAUAUUUUUUUUAGCCAAGACCCAAACCAUGAUAAAAAAAAGAAAAGAAAAGAAGGAGAUGGGUACAAGCUCGUUAACCUAACUUCAGUUUUUUGUUUUAUUGUUUUAUUGUUUUUUUUUGGGGUCUGAACCUAACCUUAGUCUAGGCCUUAAUUAAACGCCAAUCAAUUCCUUAGGCAUAGAAAUGGAUGAUUUUCUACAUUAUUGUUCCUUUAGUGGACUAGUCACCAUCACCAAUUCCAUCCUUUCCUCUGCUAAUGGGCAGACGUUGAUGCACCACUGGUCCUCAAAUGUAUUAAUUAGUUCUAGUCCAUCCUUUCAUCCUUCCCUCCACCGCUAAUGGACAAACAUUGAUUAGGUACUAGUCCUAAAUUCACUCAUUGUGUGAGUCAAUGAAAUCAUAUUUAAAAGGUUCAUAUUAAGAAAAAUCCUAAAUUGGUAUAUCUGUGAAAUAUUUAUCUCAAACUAAUUUUUUAUCAUAAAAAAUCCCAAAUUGAUAUACAUGUGACAAAAUAAGGGAAGUCUCAAUAAAUAAAAUUUCGAAAUUAUUAGUUAUUAAUUUUUUUAAAUUUCCAAAAAUCCUCGAUAAACAAAAACAACCUUUGAAUUGAUUAAAAUUAAUACAAUUAGUGCUAAUUAAAUCGCACAAAAUAAUCGCGCACCUACACGUGAAUAUGGUGAGGUUUAGCCCACACCCAAUCAUCUCUUUAUGUACACUAAAAAAACCUCACACUUAUUAAUUGGCCCACUUCUUCUCACUUUUCUUAUGUGGAACAAGGAAAAUGCACUGAGUUUGUUUUUACAAACAAAAACUUCCAACAUGUACAAGCUUUUGGACCACUUUGAGGGUGCAAGGUCAGACGUUCUCGAUCAAGUGGGUCGAUAACUUGGCGUUGCAUGGCUUCAUACUGCAGCGUUGCAAGCCAAAGCUCUAUCGGUUACUGAUGCGGCCAUGGGGCGCGCAAUGGCGAGCUGGUAAACGGGGAUCGCACGACGUGCCUACCGUCGGCUGACAAGUAGGUCAAUUAAAGUGAGCAGAGCAUCAAGACUCAGGUUUAGAUUCAGGAGGUAAGAGGCUUAGCACUGUCCCAAAUAAGAGAUCGGUACUUAUGCAUGAUUCAUGUGUUUUAUGAGGAUCACAUCUUGGAAUUUGCGAAGGGAGCGAGAAGAGGUUGUCAUUAUCUCUUUGGAAUGCAUAUUGUAUUGAAAUUAUUAAUGCAUGGAACCCACAUAGCUGGGUUGAGAUUCAGGAGGUAAGAGGCUUAGCAUAGUCCUGAAUAAGAGAUUGGUACGUAUGCGUGAUUCAUGUGUUUUAUGAGGAUCACAUCUUGGAAUUUGCAAAGGGAGCAAGAAGAGGUUGUCAUUUUCACUUUGGAAUUGGAUCUUCAAAGUAUUUUUCUCUUUAAUGCAUAUUGUACUGAAAUUAUUAAUGCAUGGAACCCACAUAGCUGGGUUGGCCUAGGGCUUGGCCCCAAAGACCCGUCAAACCUCGCGCAUAUAAAUACAGACUUGCUCUAAUUGUUGUAACUCAACAUUCGAAAAUUUUAAAAGUUGAAAUUGCUCAGGUAUGUGCCUUUUUUAUCUUGCACAUUAAAUAUGCAUUCAAGUUUGAUUAAUUUUAACUAGAUUUGUUUUUUAUAUUUAAAUAUCGACGUGAGUUUAAAUAUUACAUCUAUAGUGAUACUUAUACGCGAGAAAAUUGGUCCGUGUCUCUAUUGAGUCAAAUUCAACUGGAAGGCUGGUCAAAUCCCAGUCAAAGUGUCAUCAAUUGUGAAGAAAUAAAAGUUCGGUGCCGAUAAUAAAAAUCAAAGUGAGGCAACUUGAUUGCAAAAUCUACGAAUGCUCAUAGAAAAUCAACACUUUUAAAAGAUAAAAUUUCUUAAAAUGAUCACUUGUAUCACUUAGAAUAAUGAAUGUGAUGAAAAUUUUCAUUAUUAAUGAUAAUCUAUAGAUAUAGAUUGUUACUAAUAAUAAGAAUAUUUUCUGUUGGUUAAUCGGUUAAUUUUCUUAAUGUUUCAUAAUUGUUAUCCACAAGAUGGGUACUGCAAUUCUCAGAGGGAUGUUUGAGUCAUUUGAGAAUGAAAGCAAGAACGGUACGUAGCAUGCGCAUUUUGAAUUUAAUCUGCAUUUAUUCAAAUAUAUAAUAAUAUAUUUAUAUUUAAUCGACAAGAUCAUGUAAUUUUUCAUGCAACCAAUAUAAACAAAUAUGGUUGGUCGAUUUCGUAUAUGACUGAUCAAUGUAAGAGUUUUCCUAAUGUGGACUAUAUUAAUUGAUAUUGUAAUUUACCGUUUUAUUAUGGCCAGGGUUGUUUGUAGCAAUUAACAAGUCAUACAUUUACCAUGGUAUCGCCCAAAGCCUACGGACAAAUAAAUACAUCUUCGAUUAUUCUGUGCAAAGAAGCAGGAAAUGAGAAGCCGAGAAACACUGGAGCUACGCGAAAGCUUGAUGUGAAGAUCGCGAACGCAGUUCAUGUUUCUCCGGCGAGGGAAACGUUUGGCGGGCUCUACGCUCUUUCAAACCUCGACCAGACCCUCCCAUUCAUGAUCGAGAUCAUGUUCGCCUUCAAUGGCGAAGGGAGAGGAAGUCGUUCCGCUGCGAUUGAGACAAUCAGAGAGUCGCUGGCCAAGGCAUUGGUCGAGUUCUAUCCAUUCGCGGGCAGACUUGCCAUGGGGAUCGACGGGAGGAUGGCAGUGAGAUGCACCGGAGAAGGUGUCCCAUUCGUCGAAGCGACGUAGGAGGAUGACAUCGCAGCGCUGGGCGAUAUCAGCACCAUCAAUCCUGCCAUGCUGCGAAAACUCGUGAAGCACAGCGACGGAGCCCCGACCAUAUUGGAAGUACCUUUGCUUUCGGUGCAGGUAAAUACUAUUGAACAUGUUCGUCGUGCUGAUUCUGGCGUGCCCCUGCAUUAGUUCAUCGAUGAAUCAUAUAUUAGAGAGAUUGUACGAGAAUUAUGGCUACUUUGUGCGAGAUUUUUCUUUUGGGGCAAGAUAGAAGGAGCAACAUAGUGCUUUUGAACAAUUUAUCUAACAGAAAGAGAUCGUUUCUGCACUGCUUUUUUUUUUUUUAAUCAUUCAACCGCUUGCGGAGCAGCAUGUUCGCCUGGACUCGUGCAAGGGGAUUUAGACUUUCCAAGACUGACAUACACAUAAGUAGAUAUCCACUUACAGUUUAUCAUGAAAUCCAGGUGACGACGUUCAAGUGCGGAGGGAUCGUCGUCGGCAUCGUCAUGAAUCACGUCCUCGUCGACGGGAAAGCCCUCACGGACUUCAUAGCUUGCUGGAACGGCCUGGCUCGAGCCAAGCCACCAUCAAUUCUUCCCUUUCUUGAUCGAUCGGUGUUGCGCCCGAGGCAAUCUCCACGUGUCGAUCUCCCCCACUGUUGGAGAAAUCUUUCCAGAAGAUUUUGAAGCUGACAAAACAUUUCUAUCAGUCUAGUCUUGAUAUCAUUGGUUUAAAGUCUCAAGACUUUGUAAUCUCAAGACUCAAGACUCAAGACUCAAGACUCAAGAUUAUUCUCACUGACAGUCUUUCUAAUCCAGCUGCGUAGGAUAUCCGAAGCCGAAGUAUAUGGUUGGGGAUUUGAUCCAAUCCUCUGGAAUAGAUCCCUUGGUUGGAUAAUCAUUUCGGAUUCUUUUGAUUCUUAUCUAAGAUCAAUUGAAGAUCUGAUGGUCGACGAAACAUUCUUGGAAUGUUCUAUUCUUGGAAACCAAAAUCCUGAUUGUAUGGGCGAACAGGAUUGAUGGGCUAUCAUCAGAUUCCUUAAAUAGCUCGGAUGAUCUUCUUAAUUGAUUCCGUCCAACGGGUAGAUUGGAGGAAUUCCUUUGGUAAGUGCCAACGGCUAUGAUGGCAUAAAGGAGUAUAAAAGGAAGACGUUCUAGUUGUUUUAAGGGUGUGAUCGAUAGAUAAAUUCCAGAGUCUGAAGAACCUUGAUUGUUAGUCGAGACUGUUCAAGCGAAAUUGUAUACACAGAGAGUAGUUGUACUUGGUGAUACCUUGAGCGAGUGUAGUAGAUCAUCUACAUCGAGAGAUCAAGGAAGAUCAACACUGUAACAUCUCUUUGUUCAUAGUGGAAUCCAGCCAAUCGGCUGUCAGUGCAGAAGAGUGGACGUAGGCUUGAAUCAAGCUGAACCACUAUAAACCUCGUGUUUAAUUCUCUCUUUCUUUUACUCAGUCUUACGAUUGUUUUUUAAUCCUUCAUCUGUUUAAGUAUUGCGCAAACUGCAAGAAAAUUUUCAUAAACCUAUUCACCCCCCUCUAGGUAUUCGUACUAGCAUUAUCAAUUGGUAUCAGAGCUUGUGUUCUUACUUUAUUUGAAGUGUUUUACUUCAGAGUAAAAGAUCCAUGGCUAGUAUGCUAGCACCAGGGCUGAUGGAAGGGCAAAGCAAUACAAGACCACCCUACUUUGAUGGAAAGGAUUACAACAUCUGGAAAAACAAGAUGAAAGCUUUUCUACGAUCAAAGGAUCCUCUGGAAUGGGAUGUGGUGGAAAGAGGAAUUACUCCUACUGCUGCAUCAGUAUCCGAAAGAGGGAAAGAUAUUGUUGAACCCAGCGGAAUGUCUCAAGAAGAGAUAAACAAGAGACAAGCACUCGAUGCAAAAGCAAUUUACUCUUUAUAUUGUGCUUUAUCACCAACUGAAUAUAACAGAAUAUCUUCUUGUGAUACAGCAAAAGAAGUCUGGGAUAGAUUACAUAUCACUUAUGAAGGGACAGACCGAGUGAAAGAGACCAGAAUCAACAUUCUCCUUGGUCAAUAUGAAGCCUUCAAAAUGAAACAAGGAGAAUCUAUAUCUGACAUGUUUAGCCGUUUUACAGAUAUUGUCAAUGGCCUUGAGAAUCAAGGACAGAAAAUUUCUGAUCCUAUGAAGGUGAACAAGCUACUACGUGGACUCUCCAAGGAUUGGAAUCAUAUAAAGACUUCAAUAAGAGAGACGCAAAGAAUUAUGCCAUUAUCUGUAGACGAGCUGAUUGGAACUCUUCAGUCUUAUGAAGUGGAACGAAUUAAUGAAGAAGAAGAUCCAAGAGGUAAGAAAUCCAUUGCAUUAAAAUCUAACGAUGAUUCUGAUGAUACAGACUCUGAAGAAGAUCUGGAUGAUGAGGAGCUUGCUCUUAUGAUUAGAAGGUUCAGAAAGUUGAAUAGAAAAGGAAGAAGGUUCAACCCAAGGAAACAAAGUUUUCAGAAACAGCAAACCAAGUUUGUUGAUAAUGAGGAACCAAACAAAGAUGUAGUUUGUUUCGAAUGUAAGAAGAAAGGACACAUCAGACCAAAUUGUCCUCUCCUGAAGAAGAAAAGAGGAAAAGCUGAAAAGUCUCGAAAAGCUCUCAAAGCCGAAACUUGGAGCGAUACAGAGUGUGAAGAAAGUGAUGAGGAAUAUGCUAACCUAUGUCUGAUGGCACAAUCAGACUCAGACUCUGGAUCAGACUCAGACAGUGAAUUCGAGGUAAGUGAUUAUAAAAUUCCUGUCAAAGUCUCUAAAUACAUUGAUGAACUAUGUUUUAGUCUUAAGACUUCUCUAAAAAGAAUUUCCGAACUGAAAAAGGAAAACUUAGUUCUAAAACAAAAGGAAAAUAUUUUAGAAGAAAAAGUGAAAAGUUUAGACUUAAAUUUUUCUACUCUUAAGGAGAAUGAAGAUAAACUUUCAAAAGAAAAUGCUUUCUUAAAAACUGACUUAUCAAAUAUUUCAAAGAAAUUUUCAAUAGGGUCUGAAAAACUUGAAAAAGUUCUUUCAGUCCAAAGACCUUACUUUAACAAGUCUGGUUUGGGUAUGACAGCAGAAACAAUUUCUUUAAUUGAUUUUCCAAAAGUAAAAGAAAGAAUUAAGAAUAGACCAACAAAGGAGACUUACAAAAAUCAUUUCAAGAAAGUCUUUGUAAAGUCUGUAGGUCGAAGUGCUCUAAGGUGUUCAAAGUGUAACAGUCAGGAUCAUUUUGAAAAAGAAUGUCCUAUGGUUUGGAAGCCUGUUAAGAGAAUAUGGCCUAGUAAUGCUUAUUCUACUAACGCCAAAGGACCCAAGAAAAUUUGGGUACCAAAGAAAGCGUGAGACUCUUCUUUGAUUGCAGGUCUCUGUCAAAAAGAAAGUUAAGUGGUAUCUUGACAGUGGAUGUUCAAGACACAUGACAGGAGACUCAAAUUGCUUCAUAAAGAUUGUUCAAGUAAAUGGUGGAAAAGUUUCAUUUGGUGGAAACAGCAAAGGAAGUAUUGUGGGUUUUGGAACUGUGAAAAUUGGAAAUCUCACAAUAAGCAAUGUCUCUCUAGUGGAAGGACUCAACUACAAUCUUCUAAGCAUUAGCCAAUUGUGUGAUACUGGUUUCAAGAUCUCCUUUCAAGAAGGCACGUGUUCUGGAAUUAGUAAAGACUCAACUCAGUCUUUCAUGGGUCGAAGACAUGGAAAUAUCUACCUUCUUGAUGUAAAACCAAAUGAAGCACAAUGCCUAAUUUCAAUUCAAGAUGAAGCAGUCUUAUGGCACAGAAAGCUUGGCCAUGUCAAUAUGAAACAAUUAGCCAAAAUCUCAUCAAAGAAGCUUGUUCGAGGUCUACCUAAAUUGCCUUACCAAAAGUCUGAUUCAUGCACUCCAUGCAUUCUGGGAAAGCAAGUAAGAAAUUCAUUUAAGCAAAUAAAUCAUGUUUCUACUAAUCAUGUACUUCAAUUGCUUCAUAUGGAUCUCUUCGGACCAACCAGAACCCAGAGCAUUGGAGGUAAGAAAUAUUGCCUAGUAAUUGUGGAUGAUUACUCCCGUUUUACUUGGGUAUAUUUUCUUUCAAGUAAGUCAGAAACCUUUUCGUAUUUUGAAAAAUUUGCCAAAAAGAUUCAAAAUGAAAAAGGUUGUGCAAUUUCAAGCAUAAGAACAGAUCAUGGAAGUGUAUUUGAAAAUAAAGAUUUUACGAAAUUUUGUGAUAAAUCUGGUUUUAAUCAUAUGUUUUCCUCUCCAUAUACUCCAGAGCAAAACGGAGUUGUGGAAAGAAAGAAUAGAUCUCUUCAAGAAAUGGCUAGAACUCUUUUAAUUGAAAGCAAAAUUUCUUCACGAUUUUGGGCUGAAGCUGUUUCAACAGCAUGCUAUAUUAUAAAUAGAGUCUUUUUAAGACCUAUUUUGGAGAAAACUCCCUAUGAAUUGUUCAAAGGUAAAGAGCCUAUUGUUUCAUACUUUCAUGUGUUUGGUUGCAAAUGUUUUAUUUUGAAAAAUGCAAAUGAUAGAGUUGGUAAGUUUGAAGAAAGAUCAGAUGAAGGCAUCUUUCUUGGAUAUUCUACAUCAAGCAAAGCCUACAGAGUCUACAACAAGAAAAGCCAGUUAGUGGAGGAAUCAACGAAUGUUAAAUUCCAAGACUCAAUGCAAGAUGAAUCCAGCAAGACUCAGUAUGAAGAGUCUGAACCAAUUCCAGACCUUCCAAUGCUUACAACUCAAGAAGCAUCUCAGUCUCUGGAAGUCCAACAUCAAGAAGCACAUGAAGAUUCAAACAAAGAAAGAGAUCAUCAUCUAGGAAGAACAACCAGUAACUGGAAGCAUAAAUCCAGUCAUCCUAAAGAUCUCAUUAUUGGCGAAAUGAAUGAAGGAAUCCGCACCAGAUCAAAAAGGCAUGAAGAAUCUAGUGCUGUGGCUCUCAUUUCUGAAAUCGAACCAAAAAGCAUAGAAGAAGCUUUAUCUGAUGAAAGUUGGAUCGAAGCUAUGCAAGAAGAACUCAGACAAUUCAACAUCAAUAAUGUCUGGGAAUUGACAUCUAAACCAAAAGGUAAAACUGUUAUUGGAACUAAAUGGGUAUUCAGGAACAAGAUGAAUGAAGAAGGAAAAGUCGUACGGAACAAAGCAAGACUCGUGGCCAAAGGAUAUACGCAAGAAGAAGGAAUAGACUAUGAUGAGACUUACGCUCCAGUAGCAAGGUUAGAAGCUAUUCGUCUAUUACUUGCGUUUGCUUGUUAUAAAAAUUUCAGGUUAUUCCAAAUGGACGUCAAAAGUGCAUUCCUAAAUGGAUUCAUCAAUGAGGAAGUCUAUGUGGAACAACCACCUGGGUUCGAAGACCCAAAGAAACUACAUUCAGUCUUUAGACUGAAAAAGGCCUUGUAUGGUUUAAAGCAAGCACCUCGAGCAUGGUACGACAGACUAAGUAAAUUCUUAUUAAAGAAUGGUUUUGUCAAAGGUAAAGUAGAUACUACUUUGUUUAUCAAAAAGGAAAGCAAAAGCUUUUUACUUGUUCAAAUAUAUGUGGAUGAUAUUAUUUUUGGAUCGUCUAAUGAAAGACUAUGCGAGAAAUUUUCUAAGUCUAUGCAGGAUGAGUUUGAAAUGAGUAUGAUGGGAGAAUUAACAUUCUUUCUUGGACUUCAAAUUAAACAAAUGAAGGAAGGAACUUUUAUUCAUCAAGAAAAAUAUGCUAAUGACCUUGUCAAAAGGUUUGGAUUGAAUAACUGCAAAAAGACUGACAUACCAAUGUCAUGUUCUCAGAAGAUAGACAAGGAUGAAGAAGGGAAGAAAGUAGAUCAAAAGCUGUACAGGAGCAUGAUCGGCUCACUUCUUUAUCUUACUGCUUCUAGACCUGAUAUUUUGUUGAGUGUUUGCAUUUGUGCUAGGUUUCAAUCAGAUCCCAGAGAAUCUCAUCUCAAUGCGGUAAAACGUGUUAUCAAAUACGUUGCCUCAUCUUCAAGCAUCGGUCUCUGGUAUCCCAAGAAGGGAGACUUUAAUCUUCUAGGAUACUCAGAUGCAGAUCUGGCCGGUUGCAGAGUCGAUAGAAAAAGCACAUCUGGAAUUUGUCAAAUACUUGGAAACAGGACAGUGUCUUGGUUCUCAAGAAAGCAAAGCACUGUAUCUCUCUCAACGACAGAAGCAGAGUAUGUAGCUCUUGGAAGCUGCUGUUCGCAAAUUCUCUGGAUAAAACAACAGCUACAAGACUUUGGGAUUGAAGACUCAUGCACAGAAAUCAGAUGUGAUAACACCAGUGCGAUCAAUCUCACCAAAAAUCCAAUCCUUCAUUCAAGAGCAAAGCAUAUUGAGAUUCGACAUCACUUCAUCAGAGAUCAUAUUCAAAAUGGAGAAAUCUCGAUUCAAUUUGUUGAUUCAAAAAGUCAACUAGCAGAUAUAUUCACAAAGCCUUUGGAGAAAAAUCAAUUCAAUCUUAUCCGUUCAAGACUCAACAUUUUGAAGCCUGAAGAAGUUAAAGUCUAGAGACUCACCAACUCUAAGACUCUAAUCUUUCAGACUUUAAAUCCUCAGACUCAGACACUCGUGGCUAAAGACUGUAAGUUGUACGAAUUUUCGUUUAAACUCAAAAAGGUACGAUCUUUCGUUCAGUUAUUUGAUAAUCCGCAUGAAAUUUAAAAGUCUUAUCUGCUUAAAGGAAUAAUUUUGGCAGUUAUUGAUUUUGAAAAUAAUAAAUUGUUCACUUUCCUUACACCGUUUGAACUUCCCUUUUCAAAACUGAGUUAUAUAUAUAUAUAUAGUUUUUCUAUUCUCCAAUCUUCAAAACCCUAAAAGGCACUCUCCUCCCGAUACUGUUUUACUGCUUGUUCGUCUUCGAGAAAGUGGUCAUUAUUCUUGGGAAAGCAAGAGAAGGAAUCUUCCAGCGACAAAGAAAGAUGUCUUCUUCGAGGAAAUCAUCAAGAAUCGCAAGCAGGGGACCACAAAGAAUGGAGAAGGGACCGACUCACUUCGAUCUCACUGAGGAGGAAGACUUAACAAGUCAGCGACAAAGUCCGAUUCGCUCUCAUCCACGUCAUUCAACGCCUCCUGCCCCACAAGGUGCAAGUCAUUCUUUGGAAGAAGAGAUAAUCGAGGAUGCUGACCCAGUAAGAGUCCAAAAGCCCUCCUUUAUGUAUAAACUUUAUCGUGCGUUGAAAAGCGCAGGUUCUUCGUUGAAGUUUAUAGAUGACUUCCUUAAGGACAAAGAUUAUGGGAAUGAGUAUCGUUUUCUGAAGAAAAUGGAGGAAUUGGGAAUUGCCCCGAAAGGAACAGCAGAGGAAGCACUUGCGAACAUUCCAAGUGAUCCUCUUAUGAAAGGACAAAAUUUAAUUGAAGGGAACGAUGAUGACAGAAUGUUCCUUGAAUUUCAACCGAAAAUGGGAGUGGCAGCAAAGGUGAAAGGAAAUCAGAUGGAUUUGUUCAAAUCCAAGGAUCAAGAAAAAGUGUUUUCAAGGCUAAUGAAAAGAGGGGUGAUAAACCCUAGAAGUGUCGAUUUUGACUUCCUGGACGCCAUCAACAUAAACUUAAGAGAAAAGUUGAAUUUGUUUCAACUUGAGAAUUUUUGCUCUGACUCAACAGACGGGUAUGCUCAUCUGACCGCUUAUUUCUAUUCAAAUCUUAGCUUUCUGGAUGCGAAUAGAAUAUCAUUUAGUGUGCUAGACAAAGUCUACGUGGUAGAUGUGAAUUUGUUGGCUGAUAUAAUUGGAGUUGAACGAGGACGUUAUCUUCCAAUCAAAGUCUCACCUGCUCGUAUUACUCUGGAACUUGUCAAAGAUAGGGACGCAGAGAAGAAAAUUACCUAUUCCAGGAUGAAUGCUAUCAACAUUCUGCUUCAUAAGAUUGUAAUCAAUUGUCUUAGACCAAAGUCUACGUCAAAGACUACUGUGUCUCAUUCUGAAGCAAAGUUGAUGUAUGCGAUCAACUCAGGACGAAAGUUCUCUCUCCCGCACACUAUUCUCUUCCAUAUGUACAGAGCAAUGUCGAAAGACAAAGGACAAUUGCCUUAUCCUGGUCUGGUGACCAAGAUCUUCAGACACAUGAAUAUUGAACCGCCUCAAACACUUUGUAUUCAACCAUGUGAUAAGAUGGUGAUAGGUUUGAAGAUGUUAUCGAAGAUGCGUCUGAAAGAACUUUCCAAGGCAAUGGAGAAAUUCAGAGUGAAAUCUCCUGUUCUGUCUGCUUCAAAGAGAAAAGGAAAGGAGGCCAUUGGAGCCCCAUUGAAAAAGAAGAAAAGAUCUCUCAUCUUGGAGGAUGAAGAUGAAGAGGAUGAAGAUCCUACUAUUCCUGCUUUGACAAGAACAAGACGUUCUGUGUCUCAGCCUACUGAAGUUCAGAAGAAACAGAGAGAAGAAGAAGAGCAAAUCAGAAGCAGAGAAGAAGAAGAACAGAGAGAGAAAGAGAAAGAAGAUGAAGAAGAGAAAGAAAAGUCUGCUGCUGAAUCUGGAGAGAAGGGAAAUCUAGAGCAAGAUCAUCACUCUUCUCCUUUGGAUGUACUUGAGACAGGGGGAGUUGGCGAACAUGAAAGGUCUACACCUCAUGCUGCAGAUAGUGAAGGUCCAAGACAAUCUCCAGAAGACUCAGAAGAAUUUCAGGUUUCUAAAUUGCCUGAAGAAGGUGAUACAUCUACACCAAAUCUGCAAGACUAUACAGAAGCGCCAUCGUACACAUUUACUCCAUCUGAAAAAGCUGAUGCAUAUACUCAGACAGAGAAUUCUGCAGAUUUUCGUCGUAUCAUGGAUAUUCUUCUGGAAAUGCGUGGACAAAUAUAUGCUCUGGAAUGUGAAAUUCAAGUCAUGAAAAAUGCUGGACAAGCAUCUUCAGUAAACCUGGAGGAAAAGAUGAAAGACCUUGCUCUGCAAAUUCAAGCCAAUGCCAAAGGAGAGGAGGUAGCUCAUCUAAGAGAGGACUUGAAGAGGCUAGAAGGCGUAGUCCAGUCAAUGGGAGAAUUCCAGAUCGUGCGCAUUCCCAAGCAGACAUGACUCCUUUCUCACCCUCUUUUUAAAUGAUGACAAAAAGGGGGAGAACCAAUUUGAACAAACAAACAUUAUUUUAAACUUUGAUUUUUACUGGUUUAUGUAUGACUUGAGAACUUGAACUUGAGUGUGAGACUGAAUGGAAUUUGAUGCUUGCCUGGUUGCAUUUAUAUUAAAUAUUGUUAUAUGGUAUUACUCAUGAAAGACUAACCAAUUUUGCUGUGGAUGCAGAGUCUGGUUGUUUAUUAAUCUUUAUGAGUUAGCCAUAUUGCUUGAGAAAUAUUUUUGCAGGUCAAAGUUGUUCAAAUCUACAAGAAAGUUUUGUCACCAUCAAAAAGGGGGAGAUUGUUGGAGAAAUCUUUCCAGAAGAUUUUGAAGCUGACAAAACAUUUCUAUCAGUCUAGUCUUGAUAUCAUUGGUUUAAAGUCUCAAGACUUUGUAAUCUCAAGACUCAAGACUCAAGACUCAAGACUCAAGAUUAUUCUCACUGACAGUCUUUCUAAUCCAGCUGCGUAGGAUAUCCGAAGCCGAAGUAUAUGGUUGGGGAUUUGAUCCAAUCCUCUGGAAUAGAUCCCUUGGUUGGAUAAUCAUUUCGGAUUCUUUUGAUUCUUAUCUAAGAUCAAUUGAAGAUCUGAUGGUCGACGAAACAUUCUUGGAAUGUUCUAUUCUUGGAAACCAAAAUCCUGAUUGUAUGGGCGAACAGGAUUGAUGGGCUAUCAUCAGAUUCCUUAAAUAGCUCGGAUGAUCUUCUUAAUUGAUUCCGUCCAACGGGUAGAUUGGAGGAAUUCCUUUGGUAAGUGCCAACGGCUAUGAUGGCAUAAAGGAGUAUAAAAGGAAGACGUUCUAGUUGUUUUAAGGGUGUGAUCGAUAGAUAAAUUCCAGAGUCUGAAGAACCUUGAUUGUUAGUCGAGACUGUUCAAGCGAAAUUGUAUACACAGAGAGUAGUUGUACUUGGUGAUACCUUGAGCGAGUGUAGUAGAUCAUCUACAUCGAGAGAUCAAGGAAGAUCAACACUGUAACAUCUCUUUGUUCAUAGUGGAAUCCAGCCAAUCGGCUGUCAGUGCAGAAGAGUGGACAUAGGCUUGAAUCAAGCUGAACCACUAUAAACCUCGUGUUUAAUUCUCUCUUUCUUUUACUCAGUCUUACGAUUGUUUUUUAAUCCUUCAUCUGUUUAAGUAUUGCGCAAACUGCAAGAAAAUUUUCAUAAACCUAUUCACCCCCCUCUAGGUAUUCGUACUAGCAUUAUCACCCACCACGAGUAUGCUCCGAGAGACCAGCGGCCCGGACUCGUGGUCGACCCCCAAACCAAGCCCCUUGUUUACAGAUCGUUCUGCUUCAAGCCACACGCUCUCAUUCAGCUCAAGAAAGCGGCAAGAAUCGCAACCCAGAAUGGCUCUUCCGUUGUCCCAACGACCUUUGAAGUCAUAUCGGCGCUCGUGUGGAUCUCGCGAACCAAAGCUCUUGGAAUCGGUCCUCACGAGACGACGAAGCUUCUCAUUGCAGUCGACGGCCGCCCCAAGUUUGACCCCCCGUUGCCGAGUGGCUACUUCGGGAACGGCAUCGCUUUGUCCUGCGCUGAGUGCAGCACCGACGAAUUGACCCGCAAGCCCUUCUCGUUCGCUGUCCAGACCGUGCGUGAGGCGCUCGCAUCCGUCACCGAGAGUUACAUAAGGUCGGCCAUCGACCACAUCGAGCUGAACAGGGUCCUUGUUGACUGCGAGGGCAACUCUUGCUGCAUCAGCAAGUGGAGCCGACUCCCUUUCUACAAGAUGGAUUUCGGGUUCGGGAGGCCAUUCCAGGUGGCGCCGGCGACGGUCCCCGACAACGUCAUCUUUGUCAUUUCCCAGAGCAGGGAGAGUGAAGACUUGGUUGUGUCCCUGGGGCUUACUAGCAACGCCAUGGAUGUUUUCUCGAAGUUGAUUAAGCAUGAGCUCACGCUGAAAAGCAAGUUCUAGUCUCAUCCAUGGAUAUGAGUAUAUGAAGCUUAGUUUUCGAGCCCCUGGUUUUAAGUAGGACUAGCGCAGUGGUGUUGCGCUGCUUGUGCCUAUUGUUUUAUAUGAUAUGCUUCCAUCAAUAAAGUGAUGUACUUUCUGAAAAAGGGAAUCUUAUAGAUACAAAUGUCAAUUUAUGAAAGAGCGCCCACAGCAUACACUAGUAAUGUGAGAAAAAGUUCUAGACAUGUAGUUUUGUACACCAUUGAUCAGAUAGUAAGAGUAAAUUAAGGGCAUAUGAGGCCGUUUGUGUGAGAAAAUAUUAACCGCACAAGUUGUGGAAGGAAAAGAAAGUGAAAAAAAGAAAAUAAAAAAGAAGGGAGAAACGGCAAAAAAGAAGAGAAAUGGAGGUGUGAGUUUACAAGAGGAGAGAGGCAAGGAGAGAAAAAUUUGACAAAUGGGCCAUUCAUGGACACAUCGCUUAAUAGAUGGGCAUCUACUAUGUGGUGCUAGCACAACUUGUGUAGCUAAUAUUUUUCGUUAAUUUUGAAUAAGACUAGUAUAGUGAUGUUGCGCUCCUCGUGCUUGUUGUAUUAUAUGACAUGCUUCCAUCAAUGAAGUGAUGUACUUUCUAAAAAAAGAAAUCUUAUAGAUACGAUGUCAAUUUAUCAAAGUCGAUCAGUUUAGUAUCUAGUUUCAAAAUUGGGAAUUGAUUCCAAUAAGAUAGUUUCCAAAUUACUAGACUGGAAGUUACUCACUCUGUAACCAAUCACCUUAAUACAUACAUACAUACAUACAUACAAAUACAAUAUAUGUAUAUAUAUAUGUAUAUAUAGACACACACAUGUGUAACCAAACUAGGGAAAUCAUUGGUUGAAUUUGGCCAAACAAAUGAUAAAGUAAAUUUAAACAAAUGAUAGAGUAAUUUUAGCCACAAUAUGUAUUGCCGGCCAUCAAGGGAUUUGAUUGUGAUCAACACAUGAAAAGCAAGAAAAUUUUGCUAUUUUGGUCAUGCUUUUUCCGCUCCUUUUGCUUAAAAACUCCAUUUUAUUAGUGUAUUGACGACAUUACCUCUUAUUUGGCCCACCAUUUAGCAUGUUUCAAUUAAACUUUACCAAAGAAAGUAGUUCCCCUCUUUUUGUUGGUCAAGUGAAGUCAAUCCUUUUGUUUUAUUUAUUUUCCUUUUUCUUUGCGGUCCCCCUUUCCUUCUUACUCACUUCUCUCUGUUCUCUUUCAUACAGUGGAUCCUCUUGGUGUCUACCAACAACGAUACCAUUCGGUAGAGCAUUGUCAAUCAAGGGCUGGUUGAAGGUUUUCUCGUUUUGGUGGAGUCGUAGUGCUAUGGAAGAAGAGGGAGAUGAAAUUGAGUUUGGUGGGUAGAACCUAGUCAAUAUGCAAGGGAGCACAUGUUUGAUCCUUCAACUUGACAAAAAGGGUAUGGGUGGUGUUCUCGUUAUGGCAAAAGCAAGCGGAUCUUCUGCCGACAUUUCUUCAGCAUUCACAGAUACAGGGUUCUCGCUAAUUGCUCCAAUGGUGAGUAUUUGACUGUCAUCACUAAAGUCAACUAAGUUAUUGGAGCCUCCGGUGUUAUGAAUGAGAUGCAAGGCUGUAGUUGCUCAGUAAGGAAUACCAUUAUUCAUAUGUCUUUUAGCAAAGGAAGUGCCACAUUAUAUAUGCUUAGAGAUUGGACAACGAGGACCCACAUAAGAGGACAACGGAGAGAGUUCACCAAGAAUACAUAUUAUAGAGAAAUUAUGGGCAACGCACAAGAGACACUCAUGACCAGAAAGCAUCAACCCAAAUAUUUUAAUUUUUAUCACCAUCUUUGAUUCACAAAAGCCACCAUCAAGUCAUUUCUAUUCCUAUUGAUUUUUUGAGUCGUUCGUCUGUUCAGAUUUUUCCUCUCUCAUUUUGUCUGUUGGUUUCUUGGGUCUUUGAACCGUUUAAAGCCUAUUCGCCUCUAUCUAUACGUAGCUUGGUGGCUGCCUUGCCAUUAUCAUCACUAGAUCUUCAAGUUCGCACACCACCGCAGGACAAGCCAUUGAUAUCAAUCUGUGGUUUUGCUGUAGAAAAAGGUUACAUUUUGUCUUGAAUUAUUUUCGAUUAAGUAAGUUGGACAUCAAGAGCAUCCUUGCCAUUAGACGCAAAGGUGUGGAAAGAAGAGAAUUGUCUGUAAUGGAAAAGAUAAAAAAAGAAAGCAAAAGAAAACAGAGAGACGUCAAUUUGACUUGGUGGGCCACACAAGGAUAAUGUGAUCAAAGUAUUGUAAAAGGGAGUGUUUGAACUGAAGGAUGGUUGAAAAGAGCACCAUCCAUUUAAAAGAAUAGGAUAGUAAAGUUUUAACCAAGAAAUUAAGUGGAAAUUAUAAAUCCAAUUUCAGCCACUUUAGCAGAGCAACUUUCAGAACUGAAUUGAUAUAUCCCAUUAUUUCGCCCUCUUAUAGGAGACGGAGAUCACGAUUUUUCUGGAAAAGAGAGGGCUAAAAAUCCGUGAGUUUUAGGGCAUAAACAGAGGAAGUCUUCUGCAGAAUAAAAAGGCGGGGACACGCACUCACGGGGGAAUACCGCAUAAAAAGAGAGCGUAGAGAAAAGGAGGGAGAACGGUACUGAGGGAUACAUGUUCAACCAGAAGAUACUGGCUGCAUCAUUCACGUUGCCAUUAUCGUGGGGCCAUCUUGUUAAGGUGCAUGUGUGAGUUUUGUUAGAAAGAAGUCCCACGUCGGAGAAUUGGUCUGGUAUAGAACGGUUAAUGUAUGAUAAUUGGCUCAUAACUCAUCGACUUAAGCUUUGAAUGAAAAUACAUCGAAGAAUUGGUAUGGUGUAGAGAUGUUAAUGUAUUAUAGAUGACUUAUAACUUCUUGGCUUAAACUUUUGAGUGGAAGUUGAUCUAAUUGGAUAGAUUGACGAGCUCAAACUUGGGCCUUUUCUUGGUAAUCUCCCAGCUGAAGUAUCUUUGCUGCGCACUCCCAACAUAUUGUCUCAAGCCACUAUGUUGCCUGGCUGUUCUUGAAUUUGUUAGCCCAGACAGACGGCAGUUCCUCAGCGACAAGGCAUUGUUGAUUUGUUCCCUCUUAAUCCUCAGCGAUAAUGCAAUUUGUCCAGGUGUGGAUACUCAGGCUCUAUUUAUUUGGCAGAAAAUAAAAUCACUUAGGCAGUACAUCACAUGUGAGCAUAUCUCUAUUUAUUUUGCAGAAAAUGAAACUAUUUAGGCUCUAAAUCACAUGCAAGGCAUAUCUAGAAAAUUUGUGAAUACUUAAGUAUUCAAACCCGGACAACACGUAUCGAAAAUUGCAGCCAAGGAAGUGGUUGCCUGAAUAACCGCGCAGGGGAAUCGACAGUCUCGAAGUGGUCGAUGCCUCCAAGAGGAUGUCAGCGAUUCGUUGUCUUGAUCAAAUUCAAAUUGACCGACACAGCUUUGCUGUGAGGACAAGGACUAAGAGGGAACAGAUCGGUGUAGGUGAGGACGAUGCCUUGUCGCCGAGGAACUGCUUUAUGGGUUGUCAAACUCGGGAACAGCCCGGGCAACGUAGUGGCUUGAGAUAGAUCAAACUAACCGCGUGUAUUCCCGAUCUUUUAAGAGUGUUUUAUUUGGUGAAAGAUGAAUGAUUUGAAAAAUAUUUUUUUUUUAAAUGAUCAUUUAUAUCGAUUACAAAAAUGAGUAACAAAAAGAAUGAUUCCAUUUUUUACGUAAAUAUUCGUAUAUGAAUUUUUGUCGAUGAUGAAAAGAUAUUUCAUUAACUAAUUAUUUUAAGGGAUGAAAGUGACUAUUUUUAGAAAAACAUUUUUCCAAAUUAUUUAAUUUCUAGGAAACAAACGGAGUCCUAUUGUGGUGAGCAUAGUCCUUAAUUUAUGCCCUGAAAUUUAGGGAUGGGCAUGGCCCUGAUCCAAUCUGAGAACAGAUUGGUUGGUUCUAGACAGUUCUCAAUUUCCAAAAUGGAAACCAGCAAUAAGUAGUAUGAUUCUCGAUUCUGCAAAGGAAUUGGAUUGUACCAAUAUGCCUUAAAUUUUUUUUUUUGGGUGUAAUUUUUCUGCGUCUAAUUUUCUAAACUAGAGCCGUGUAAGUGUGCAUCGGUGAUUUUUUCUUCUUCUGUUUUUAUUGGGUGUUUUCACUUCCCAUUUUAUAAUGCAAUUUUUCCGACGAAGAAGGUCGUAUAUUCACCAGCUUGCACUAUAUAUAUAUAAGUUGACAUGAAAUUGAAAUCUUAUAUAAUCUCUUUCUAAUGUCUUGAAAUUUAAAUAAAUAUUUUUAUAUUCAUUUGUGAAGAGAAAAUCAUAUAAAUAGAAGUAAAAAUUAACUGAUAAAUUGCGACAAACAUUUUAAUAUUUGGGGCAAAUUUUUGUGCCGGUACCCACCCACACUUGCUUUAACUCUUAUUGGCGGGCAAUAGCCAUUCUCUCGGCCGUAUAUUAACUUAGAACCCAACAGAAGCGAGUCGAACUACACCGCAACUCAGACCACAAUUAGCAUGACGUAGUCACCUUGUUGUAUUGAUCCGUCUAGAGAUGAUUAGUUCUGAGAUGCGUUGAUUCCCACCCUAAAAUUUAGAAGUAGACUGGACGGAAUCGGUUUUCAAUUUGUGGAACCGAAAACUGGCCCAUUCGAUCUAGUUCAACUCUUAGGUCGGUCCAGGAACUGGUGAUUCCUUCUCUUUUUAUUAUGGUUUCUUCUAUUCCCAACAAGUGGGAGUUUUCAAAUAGUAAAAGGAAAUGGUUAUUUAUGGUUGGUCCCAAUCAAACCCGGUCGAUCUGUUUAAUUUCCAGGUCCACACUGGUUCUCGGUUCCACAAACAGAGAACUGACCUUGUCUAGUUUGGUUCCUAAUUUUAGAGUGGGAACUAAUGCAUCCUAUGAUUGAUUUUUUUUUUUUUUUUGGUAACCCUGGGAACCUCCGCACGCCGCUUCGCGGUGGAGAGUAAACCCAGGGGAGACACGUGAGGAGCAUCCUAUGAUUGAUUACUCUUUCUAAAACUCAUGAAUCUUAAACCCUCUCUUGUCCAGAAAAAUCCCCCCAUACUCGGGCGAAAUAUGCAGAAUAUUUCAAUUUAAUUUUGCUGAAAGUUGCUUUCCUAAAGUGGCUGAUAUUUGUUGUUGCAGUUUCCACUGAAUUUCUUGGCCAAAACUCCACUUUCCUAUUUUUUUUUUUUAAUAGCUGAUUUCUUUUGCUUUUCAUGUGCUCAUCACGAUCAAAUCCCUUAGACGGCCGGCAAUACAUAUUGCAGCUAAAAUUGCUCUUUUAUCCCUCAUUUGGUUGGCCGCACUCGACCAAUGAUUAUCCUAGUUUAGUUACGAAAAUGUGAAGUCAGUGUCAACAGUUGUCAUCAACCGAAAACCUAAGGAAUCGGACAGUCCAUACGAUUGUUCCUUAGUGACGAGGGGCGGUCGUCCCCUAUGCCGAUCUAUUCGCUCCAAGUCCUAGUCCUCACCAAAAAGCUGUGUCCAUCCGUCUGAAUCCAUCAAGACAACCAGUUGCUACCAUCCUCUUGGAGACAUGGACCGCAUCAAGAUUGUCGAUUCGCUUGCACGGUCGUUCAGGCGACCAACUUGUUGAGUGCAGUUUGUCGUACGUGUUGUCCAGAUUUGGAUACUUAAUGAUUCGUGAAAUUUUUUCGAAAUGUCCGCGUGUGAUAUAGGGCCUAAAAUGGGUGCUUUUUGAUAUGUGAAAUCUCUUGGAUGCUUAAGUGGUCCUAAAGCGUUUUUGAUACCCAUUUGAGUAGUGAAGUUGAUAUUCAGAAUUCAGAUCACGUGCAUAUUCAACAUUUAUUGAACGUCAAUCAUUGCUGUGCCUAAUUUUGCGCUUACUUUUAUCUUUUCUUUUGGUGUUUUGAUUGUCUGAGGUGAAAGUAGGAAAAAAAGAGGGUUUCGUUUUUCCUGUUUGGUUGUCAUUAGGACGCAUUUCAUGUGAAAAACAUAUGUACUCUUUUCCAUGCAUUUUUCUUUUAUUUAAAGAAAGUAGAAAAACUGAACAUAAAAGUGCUUUCUUACAUGUCAUUUGCUCAUGAUUGUUCAAUUGCAUAAUAGGAUCAACAUUGCCUUUUACAUUGAUAAUGUUUCGUGGUUCAUAGAUUGCAUGUUUAUUUAUUAGAUACUCUGCAUAUUGGAAACUGUCUCUUGUAUAUUUGCAUAUCUAGAAAAUUUAUAUCUCCGUAUCUAACUGUAAUCCCAUUUGUACACGUCUAGAAUUUUGCAUAUCUUGCAGAUUGGGAUAGGAUGUCUAGAAUUUUGCAUAUCUUGCAGAUUGGGAUAGGAUUUCGCAUUAUAUUUGUGCCAUGACUAUUGCCAUGUUAGAAUAAUUAGGAUGGAUUUUGCAUGAAUAAUUGUUUUAGUGCACAUCCAGGAUAUCUAGUGUGCAUUAUUUAAUAUCCAUAUUCGCACGUUUCUUUCCACAAUCACAUGUCAUAAAAUGAAAAUAUAAAAAAAAUAUCAUAUCUUGCAUGUUAGUAAUUUUAGAUUGCAUCUUCUUUGAAAAAAAAUCACAAAAAUAUGUCUAGGAGUGCAUUUAGGGGAAUUUGAAUAUUCAUAUUAUACCAAUCGAUUCAUUCUCUUAGUAUUGCAUCGCAUUUUAGAUUGCAUUAUUUUAAGUUCAAUUUCCAUGUUUAAGGUUCAUUUCAGGAAAACACUUUAUUUAUUAUAUUGAAUAACAUAACAUAUCAUAGUUGCAUAUUCACUUCCUUUUGAUACAUUCGUCUAAGCCUGUGUACUUUUAGACUUUCCGUUUACUGCUCACGGGGUUUUAAUCUUGAGGCGUAAUUAGGGGUGAUUACUUUUUGGGUUGGGUGUGUUGCCAAAACUGGAAUUGGAAUCGGAUUGGUUGGUCCCAGUCCUUUUGGCAAUUCCUUUUUCUUUUUUUUUGACUCUUUACAGGGAAAGGAAAAAUUUAAAAGAAAUAACAUAGCAGUUUGGCCCAAUCUGGAUGGUUUGAUUCUGCACUUGGAAUUGGAAACUGCUUAGAACCAGUUAGUUCGGUCUAGUCUAGUCCGGUUCCUGAGCUCAGUCAUAGGCAUAAGUAAUAACAAGGCUAUAAUUUUUGCCCAAUACAGCUCAAGGUUCUGUCACGUGUGUAUGUCAGUUUAAACAAUGCAAUCUAGAUAUCCUAGAUCUGCACUAAAACAAUCAUUCAUGCAAAAUCUAUCCUAAUUAUUCUAACAUGAUAAUAGUCAUAACAUGCAAAGUCUUAUCCCAAUAUGCAAGAUACGCAAAAUCCGAGACAUGUACAAAUAUGAAUACAGUAGUUACAUACGUAGAUAUCAAUUGCCUAGAUAUGCAAAUACACAAUAAGCAGUUUCCAAUAUGCGUUAUCUUAUAAAUUUACAAUCCAUGAACCAUGAAACAUUGUCAAUGGAAAAAGCAAUGUUCAUCCUAACAUACAAUUGAACAAUCAUUAACAAAUGACACGCACGACAUUUUCAGUUUUUCUAUUUAUUUAAAAUAAGAAAUACAUGCAAAAGAACUUUUAUUUUUCUUUGAUAACCAAACAGGAAAACGAAACCUUUUUCUUUUUUACUUUCACGUCAGACAAUCAAAACACAAAAAAGGGAAAUAAUAAAUUAAGCCCAAAAUUUGACAUAGCAAUGAUUGAAGGUCAAUAUAUUUUGAAUAUGCAGGCCUUGGAAUUCUAAAUAUCAACAUCGCUACUCAAAUAAACUUCUAUAUCCACUUGAUAUCAUAUAGCACUUAGGAGAACUAAAGCAUCCAACAGACUUCACGUGUCAAUAAGCACCCACUUAGGCCCUACAUCACAAGUAGACAUAUCAAGAAAAUACAUGAAUAAUUAAGUAUCCAAACUUGGACCACACUUUGACCGAAAAAAAAAGGACCACACGUUUGACAAAUUGCACUCAAGAAAUUGGUAGCUUGAACAACCGUGGAAGCGAAUGAACAGUUCUGAUCUGUUGCUGUGUUAAUUACAUUUGCCCAUAAUGUUUUGGAUAAUCCUACAUUUUUUGUUUUUGUUUUUUCAGUAAUCCUAUGUGCAUACUCAUAUUUCUUGUAGUAAUUCAAAGUUCUAUUCAUCCUUUCAACAACUUUGUUUACCAUGAUAUGUUGGAGACUAUUCUUGUCAUCCUGAUUCAAUUCUUGCACAAAACUACAUGUACUUCUCAUUAUCAUACUCACUACCAUUGUUGAACUUUAGAAAUUUAAUAUUCGGGCCAAUCUUAUUUUCAACUAAGUAGCAAACACAUCAAUUUUAUUUUUCAGAAAAUAACGCAUACAUUUCUAGUUGAGUUUUCAAUGAAUGUGACGUAAUAGCAUGACCCUCUAAGGGAAUGCAUAGGGGCUGGCCACCUAAACUUGUGUAUGUACCAUCUCUCAUCUUCCUUUUCUUGGUUUUCUUUCAAUUUUCAAAAUACUUACGUAUUUUUACUUACCAGAACACGAUCUUCACAUGGACCGAUAUUUAUGUACUUCAAAUUAGACGGUUUUCUGUUUGAUGCUAACACCAUCAUCCUUUUUUUGCUCAUCUGUCCAAGCAUGCGGUGCAACAGUUUGGAACUAGCUUCUAAUUCAACAAGUCCUACUAUUGCUCUGCUACUUUCAGUCAUCUAUAAUGUUCCCAACAUUGUUAUUUGUGCUACAACCGUAAGGCAUUUAAAAAUCUUCAACGAGCAGUCCCCAAAAAUGUGUAUCUUCUGUUGUCUAAUUGAACAAUAGAGAUCAGAUUUGUCUUAAGGCCAAGAACAAAUUUGAUAUUUUCCAACUCCCGUUGAUACUCGUUCACAAUCUUUAUCUUGACAUUGUUGACACCUAAAAUUUUGAUUAGGUUAUUAAUUAGGCCUUCAUUUCUUUUAUUUUUCUUUUUUUAGAUAAUAAAUAAUAAAUAACAAAAACAACAAAAAAAUCAAUAAAAACAAAAGAAAACAAAAAAUGGCAGCUAGGCCCAGCCCACUCCUUUUUCUCUCCCUUUCGCGGGCCCAAGCCCAGCCUCCUUCUCCUCCAAGCCCGGCCCCCUUCUCCUCUUCUUCUUCCUUCUUCUCCCUUCUUCUUCCUACGCCUCUGCAACUCACGCACUCGAAGGCAACCUACGACCGAGGAAGGUAGGCCGACGUCGGCCGGAGAUGACAGAUCUCAGGCGCCAUUAAUGGCCGCCUUCAAUGCCGAGCACGCUUUGUCGGAGGAGCGAGGAUGGGACGCCGGUUCGGCCGCGGGUGUCCGUUCGGCGUGCGAAGACCGGCGGUCGAAUCCCCGUCGACCGGCCGCCCCCUCGCCUAUAAAUAGCGAGGCACCACCUCCGUCGAAGGGCACGGCGAACUCCGAGAUCUUCCCUUUGAGAGACUUUAAGGGGGAAAUCAAAGAGCAAGCCAAGAGGGCAGAGGAUCGGGUCGCAAGCUAGACGACUUCCCACCGAGAGACAUCGGGGGAGGCCGGCGGCAAGCGAACCCCGAUCCGCGAGCAAGUGAGCUUGAGAGGGAGAGGUUCCGCCAGAGAGACACACGAAGGGAGAGAGAGAGAGAGGAGAUCGAAGUCGCGACCCUUGGACACCCCACUGAGAGACUUCAGGGGGGCCGAGGGCUUGCGGCUUCGGAUCUGAGUCUCGCCGGAGGGAGGAGUAAAGGAGAGAGAGAGAAGCGAGGUUGGAGGAGGUGCAAAGGUUCUGGAUUCGCGAAGAGGGGCGGAAGAAGGUCCCACCCCCCGACGCCGUUGCUGUGCAAAAUCCCGCCGGGCCGCCGAGCGCCUCCGCCGCUACCGCCUUCGAUCUGGCAUUGUUGCCGCCACCGUCCCCGUUCGAGAAAAGGUAAAAAGCAUCACCGUUACCGUUGCCGUCGCCGUUGUCGCCUUCGUCGUCACCGCCGUAGUCGCCGUCGCCGCCAAGCACCUCGGUUCCCCCCCUCGGCGCCGCGGAUUCGCAAACCCUAGGGUUUGCAAUUUUCCGGGUCUCCGGGUCGGAGCCGGGUCUCGGAACUGGGUAUGGUUUCCGCGAUUUAAGGGGCGGCGGAAGUCGGGUCGGGUGAUGGAUCCGGGUCGGGUGGGGUUUCGCAGGGGGGAGCGGGUAGCUGGGUCGGGCGUGUGACCCGGCGCUCUAGGGUUACGAAAGGCCAGCUUCUCUGUGGGCCGGGCAUCUUUUUUAAAAAAGGCCCAAAUCCGUGUGUGUGGGCUGAGUUUUUUAAAAGAAAAAAUCUGAGUCGGGCCCGCGUUGCGGGCCCGUCCGCGUUUUGGGUCGUCGACCCGGGUCAGACCCAACCCGCGGAUCCGACCCGGGUCAGUUUUUAUAUUAUUUUAAUAUAAAAUAAUAUUUUAAAAAAUAAUAAUAAUAUUUAUUUUCCAAAAAAUCAAAAAAGUCAAAAAUGUCCAUAUUUUCCCAAAAAAACCAAAAAAGUCAGAAAAAGCCAAAAAAUGAUUUAUAUUUUCAGAAAAAGAUCCAAAAAUCCAAAAAAAAUGCUUUUUAUGUCCAAAAAAAAUAGAAAAAGACUAAAAAAUGUUUUUCCUUCCAAAAAUGCAUGGAAAAUCCCUCAAAAAAUCAAAAAGCCUUAGGGUUUAAACAAGAUUAGGUACCGAAAGGGCAUUAGUGAUUAACUAGUGUAAUCAAGUCCCCGAUUCUAAUUUCUCUGGUUACGCAUGAGCGAGUAUUUCUCCCGAUAUUUCGCUUAGGUUUCUAAUCAACCCACCCCAAACCGAUUAGUGGCGACUCCAUUUUAAAAUUGACUUACAGGUUAAAAACUUGGACUAUUAAGUCGUGAAUUGGUGGACUUGGGAGAGUCCAGGCAUAAUAAAUUUAGCUGAGCCAUUAGCCUCCUUAGGCACCCGUACCCGAUUGCGGGCGCCGGAAAAAAAGAGAGGUCGCGACAGACAUUACAUUUGUCCACAGUAUCCAAAGCUUCAUCAUCAACAAGAUAAACCUUUCCAAAGUUUGUGGCAACAAAAUUAUACAUUUAUCCCUUGCAUGAAGUUGAUUGAAAUGAUGCACCCAAGUCUAGAAUCUGAGACUCAAUUGGACUAUUGGCAAUCAAUGUUAAGCAUCAUGGGCAAGUGUCUUUUUAAAGGUCGCAUUAACAAAUUUCUCCUAUUGAUUUUGAUACCAAAUUUUCUUUUUUGGGGCUCUAAAAUCUUGUUUUAUAUGGCCCUUCUUACCACAAUUCUAGUAAAUUAUUUAACCACGAGGUAUUGACUUGCUUCUCUCUGUGGAAUUCAAUCUACCGUAGUUCUAUUUAUGACCUCUUUGAUUGCUUCUCCCUCUACCUUUACUACUUAAGUUACCACCUGAAUAUUCAUUUGAUUCUCUUCUAAAAUCCUUGCUAAGGUGCAAUCUCCAUUCUCUUGAAACUUUAUGUUUUUUAACCAAAGGAGGUGCUUAUCACAGUCACAGUAGCACUUCAACUUUCAAGUAGAAAAGAAAAGAACAUCAAAGCUUUUACCUCAUCCCCUUAAUAUGAUUGCUAGUAAACUCAUUUUAAUAGUGAUUUUCUUGAAUUCGUCGAUGUAAUUUGUCAUAGAAGCACCUUCGUCCAUCUUUAGAUAUAAACCCAAUGCAUCAAAUAUAUCUUGGUUGAUGCAGAGGGCUUCUCAUACAUGUUGGACAAAGCCCUCAUCAAAUUUGUCAUUGCUUCUUAUUGGCGAUGUUGAAGGCAACAUUCACACCAAAGUCAGAAAAAUUACACUUAGGGCUUGCCGAUCUAACAAUUCCCAGUCUUCUUGCUUGAUUGAACCUGAUUUCUUUUCUGACAGAGGCUGAUGCAAGUUCCUCUAAUAUAGCAGAUGCUCGAUCUGCAUCUUCCAUAAACCAAUGUCCUUGCCAUGAAACCGAUCUAUCUUCACCUUCCAUUCGUCCAUCUUCAUUGCCCCACUAUUUCGCUAAACGAGGCGUUGAUACAUACGCGAAAUGUUGAAGAGAAAUAUAGAGAAGAAGACACGCACAUUUUUACGUGGAAAACCCAUUCAAAAUCAGAAAGGGAAAACUACGGUACUGCACUUAACCAGCUCUUUACUAUCACUAUUAGUUUUAAAGCUAUAAGUUAAAACUACAACAUAUAUUAAUCCAAUAUACAAUAGGAGUUUAGGGCUUACAAAGUUAUAGUAUAAAUUAUAUCUAUGCCAUUAAUAGAGUACAAAAUCUCUCUGUUUUGUUAUUACUUUCCACUUUUAAACUCCACAGCUCUAUCACGAUGGGCCAGCCAUAAAAUUGAAUCUGAAGGAGUUAUAUGAUGCCCUCAAUCCCAACUCAAUAAGUCCAUUCUCGGCAGACAAUAUAAUGGUAAAAUGAGUGAACCCAUUUUCAAUUGGAGGUUAUCUUCACCCGCAAAAUUCAUUACAUCUAUGACAUUUGCAGUUGUGUUCUAUGUUUGUGCCUAAUUUUUGCAACGUCUACGUGUGUAUUUGUUGUGCUCAAAGAGCGAAGACAAUAAAAGAACAAGCGUAUCUGUUGAUUCUGCUGAAAAGUUGAAAAUAGUUUAUUGGAACGCGUUUAACUUAGUUGCCACGUCAUAUUUAAAAUAGACCAUUCACUGAUCAUCAUAUUCGUUCUAACAGAUUUGCCGAGUUGUAAAUACACUUUCACUUUGCUUCUGUUUCUCUGCAAUGCCAGUUCCCAUUGAAGGACCACCAUCCUUGACCAAGUCCAUUUUCUUCUUUGAAGGCCAUAGACUCCCUCCUAGCUAGAUGGUCACUUGGAGGAGAGACUUCAGAUAUGGAAGGCAGAGGGAAGGCGGUCGCCGGUGGGCGCGGUGGCUACGGCUCAACGGUGGUUUCUAGGAUGAGGUUGCGGUGGGCUCAGAUCUGGUUCCUCUAUCUGUCCUAUUGAUUUUUAAGCUCGCAGUAGCUGCCUACCGUGGCUUCCCAUGGCCGGUCGGAUCUUGACUUCACAGUCACGGCCAUGAAUGAGCCGGUCGUGGCUAGAUCUAAAGCGGCUGGAAGUGGAUUCUGCGUGAAAUUUGGACAGCUCCAUGCAUGGUGAGGAGUAUAAGGAAGGACAAGAAAUGAAAUGGAAGAGAGAGGGGAUAACGGAGGAGAGAAGAAAUCUGAAAGUGAGCCCAACUUGGACGUGUGGCGAUAAGUAAAUGGUCUAUAUUAAAAAAGACAUGGCAGAUAUUUUGUCCGCAAUAUUUUCUCCACAAAAAUUGUAGUAAAAAAAAAAAAAGACUUACCCCAUGGAAAUUGCAAUUCACGUGAUUUUUGUCAAUAAUCCAAAAUUUUAGAUGGGGCCUACGACUUUUAUUAUUCACGCUGUCUUUUCCUUUAUAUGUCAGAUGUCGUUCGUCCUAUCGACUGAUCGAUAGCUAUUUUGGGGCACUGUACCAUCUGAUGCAGCUUUUUCGCAAACCCUAAUUCUGGAAUGCAUGUUGACUAUAAAGAGAAGGAAGAAGUAAAAUCUUGAGUUUGUUCAUUUCCCUGUAGGCCUAGGACAGAAAAUUGUGGUAUACUUUUGACAUUGCAUUAUUCCCAUGUAGUAAUGCAUCUUAGCUCUAUUUAGAAUCAGUGGAUUUCAUCAAUAAUUGAAUUUUAGCAUAAUCUCAAAUGAAGUCAUGGGGCUUUUUGUUGGUCAUCUAACGUAAAAACUUUAUUUUACUUCUUCUGAAUGGAUGCACUUUGAUUGGAGUUCCAUAAAUCCUCAAGGUAAAGGAUGAUGUGGUGACAUGGGGCAAUUGUAAAAUUUUGUGAUACUUCUGUCAAAUGUUUUAAAAGUUUAAAUUGUUAGAUGAAGAAAUUAUUUAAUAAAUUAAAUAUUCUAAUAGUCUCCUUCAUGCAUGAGAUUGACCAAAAGCACGUGGCCCAAUUCCAUUGCCAUAGCCAUAGGUAAUGAGCCAAUGACAACCUAUUCAUAAUGACCAAUAUCUCCGUGCUUCACUUUUUAUCUGCUACAAAUAGUGCAGACUUCUCACUUCCACUUCACUCUCCCUCUCUCCCCCCCUCCCUCCCUCCCUCCCCCCAUUGUGAGAGAAUUUCUCAAUCCCUCCAUUUUCAAAAUGGCCGCCAAAGCGCUUAUGAGCUGUGGCAUCUCCAUUACCUCCUUCCCAUCCAACCUCUCCUCUUCGAAGUCGAAAUUCGCCACUGUAGUCUCACUUCGGAGCACCACCGUAAAUGCCUCGUCCCGCUUCUCCAUGUUGGCCAGGUGGAUGCCUGGUCAGCCCUAGCCACCCAACCCCGGCAACCUGCCACCCAGGUAAAUCAAAUCUUAAUACUACAACCCAUUCUAAGAGUGUUUUAACAACGAUUGAUCUUCCCAAUGUAAUAGAAAGAUCGUUGAAAAAGGUAAUGAUGGUACAUCCAAAGGUUAUGUGUCUUAAGUUAGCAUUUAACUGAAAAGUUGGUCAGAUCCCGUUAAAAGUGCUAUCGACUAUGAAUAAAUAAAAAGUUUAGUGCUGACAAUAAGAAUCAAAGUUCAGUAACUUGAUUGCAAAGUCUAUGGUUGCAUUUAUUUUGUUAUAAAUCCACUGUUGAGAAAACUAUGGUAGCUUGUUUUGAUUACAAAAAUGAAUGAACAAAAAAUAUUUUCCUUAUUGAUGAAUAUGUCUAGGUAUAUAUUGCUUUUAAUAAUGAAUUUUCUUUUUCAUUGACUAAUUUUUCAAACCAAUAUAAUCAAUUAUUAAUUUUUGCAAAAUUAUUCAUUUUUGAAUAACUAUUUGUGAAAUUUACUCUCGUUUUGAUUUAAGUAAUUUGAUGAUUUUUUUCUUCUCCAGUAUCAUAUCUAAAUGAUUAGUAGAGAAUCUAUGGAUAGAUAGUAAAAGUUGCAUGUGGUUAAUUUUUUUCAAACUUAUAGAAUGAAAAGGUUUAGGAUAAAAUAACCUUAUUUACGACUUUGGUAUAAUUUACUGUUUUUUUUUUUUUGGCAAUGUUAUCCAUAGGGUGGGUUCCAAAGUUCUCGAACAAACAUUGGAGCAUGAAAGCAAGGACGGUACAUAGUGUGAACAUUGUGUAUCUUGUAUCUAACCAGAUUGACUCGUAGAUACUUAUGAAUCUGAAUAUUCAUAUGGGUGAUGGUGAAUACAUAUGUUUUGCCCGGUUAAGUGGGAUUUUUCAAAUUAGAAAAAAAUUAUGAGUCAGUCAAAACAAAAAGAAAAAAAGAAAAGGCACUUAUUUGAAACAACAAUAUAAUUUUUUUUUAUGUUUAAUGUAUAAAAAGUUUAAACAUCUUUAUUGCAAAAGAAAUUAUACUUAGGGUUUCAAUUACCAACAUCAUUGACGUAAAACAUUUUUCAUACUUGCAGCCAUGAAAGAAAAAUAUCCAUCAUUUAAGAAAAUUCACUUGUCAAAAUUAUAUCUUGAAUACGUGUUGGUAUAUUGACUUUCCUUGUGGAGAAACUUUUUGCACGCCAAUGUACUUAGAAAGUGAAAAAUCGUAAAUAUAUAGACAAAUGAGUAUUAGAUUUUAAGUCAAGUAAUACUUAUUAGUGUGCAAUGACGGUCAAAAGAGACGAUAAAUUUUAUUUUAUUUUUGUUAUAAUCAAGAAGUACACUUUCAAUCACUCGGAAGCCCAUGGAGUACUUGCCAGCCACGUGGAUUGACGCCUUUGGCUUAUACAAAUGACUCUAACUUAAAAAAAAAAAUUGUACGCCAUUAAAAUAUAAUAGAUAAUUAUUGACACGAAUAUUCAUAUAAAAUUUUUGCAUAAUCUUUUAAAAUUUGAAUAUCUUUAUUUUUUAUUUGACUAAAAAGUUAAAAGUUAUUUUUGACUUUUGAUAAGUCUAGACAAUGAACCCCAAUCUCAAUUAAUACAUCGCUUAACUAAUAUAUUUCAAACUAAGAGUGUGUUUGUUUGGGUGAAAAUUUCAUGAAAAAUGAAAACAUUUUUCAAAAUAUUACUUUUCAGCAAAAUGGUUGAUUUUUCUUUAAUUUGUGAUAUGUGAUCAAAGCUGUUUUGAAUAUUUGGAUCUCAUUUGAAAAAUGAUUUCAAUCUCAUGAACAAUUCAUUUUUAAAUAUGUUUUUUUUUUUUCUUUCGCUUUCCUUCUUCCUCUUUCACUAGUUGCCAGGCCUUGACGACAACCUUAACAGGCUAUGGCACCAUCGCUGAGGCCCAACAAGGGUGGACCUAGCUGACCUCGAGCAAGGUUGAGUUCACUUGUCUUGGCAAGCUCAAGCCUUCUCCAAGGCUAGCCUUACUGGCUUGCUACUGAGGCCCAAUGAUUGGCGAAGAAGAAAGAAAGAAAAGAAAAACAAAAAUAAAGAAAGUAAAAAAAAAAAAAAUUAAUUUUGAUUUUUUAAAUAAAAGAAAAUUAAAAUAUUAAAAAAUUCAAGAUGAACAACUAUGAAAAGUGUUUCCAUCUUCUUAGAUUUAUAAAUUCGCUUUUCUAAUUUUAUGUAUAAAUAUUUUCCUUGACCAAAAAGUGUCAUUGAUUCACUAAUAAUGUUUUUACAAACGAAAGAGGUGAAAUUUCUGACCCUAGAAACAAUCGACAUCAGAUUCCUCCACAAGUCCAACCAAUUGCAUGGACUUGUGAAAGAAACUCGUGGUCAAAAUGUCGCCGUCAUUUUUAUAAAAUAACGCAGAAAAAUGAGAUGUUAAACUAAUCUGUAUGACCAAAUAGCUCCAUAGCUUGAGACAUGUAGAUAUUGCUUUUGUCGAAGUUGUUUGCAUUAACAAGCAAAUUGUACAACAAGCGGAUGCAUUGUAACAAGAAAAUUCCAACAACUAUUUUCCAGAUUUGAGCCUUGUCUCUAAAUCUCCUUCUAGUCCAAACUAAAAGGGAUAUAGAAUUGAUAAAUCAUAUAUAAACAACCCCUGUUUUCACCAAAGCCCCCAAAUAAUUAAACUUUACUCGUGCAAGGAAGCAGGAAAUGAGAAGCCAACGAACAUCGGAGCUACGCGAGAACUCGUCGUGAAUAUCACGAAUGCGGUUAUCGUUUCUCCGGCGAGGGAAACGUCCGGCGGGCUCUACGUUCUUUCUAACCUCGACCAGACCUACCCUCACAUGAUCGAGAUCGUGUUCGCCUUCAAAGGCGAAGGGAGGGGAAGCUGUUCCACUGCGACCGAGACGAUCAGAGCGUCGCUGGCGGAGGUAUUGGUCGACUUCUAUCCUUUCGCAGGCAGACUUGUCAUGGGCAGUGAUGGGAAGAUGGCAGCGACAUGCACCGGGGAAGGUGUCUUGUUCGCCGAAGCGAUGUCGGACGAUGACAUUGGGAUGCUAGGCGAUAUUAGCGUCAUCAAUCCUGGGACACUGCGAAAACUUGUGAAGCAUAGCGACGGAGCCCAAACCAUAGUGGAAGAAUCUUUGCUCACCGUGCAGGUAAUGUUUCCAGAGAUUCGUUUUCUGAUGUAAACACCCACUUAUAGUGUAUGUAUAAUCCAGGUGACGACAUUCAAGUGCGGAGGGAUAACCGUCGGCAUCGUGAUGAAUCAUGUCCUCGUCGAUGGUAAAGCCCUUGCGGACUUCCUAACUUGCUGGAGUGAUGUGGCUCAAGGCAGGUCGCCGUCGAUUCUUCCCUUUCUCAAUCGAUCGGUGUUGUGCCCAAGGCAACCUCCGUGUGUCGAUCUCCCCCACCAUGAAUAUGCUCCGAUAGAUCGGCCGUCUGAAAAGAUAGUCGACCCCCAAACCAAGCCUCAUGUUUACAGAUCAUUCUACUUCGAACCACACACUCUCAUUCAACUCAAGAAAUUGUCAACAAUCACAACCCACGAUGGCUCUUCCAUAGUCCCUACGAGCUUCGAAGUCAUAUCGGCGCUCGUGUGGAUUGCGCGAACCAAAGCUCUCGGAAUGGAUCCUCACGAGACAACAAAGCUUCUCACCGCGGUCGACGGUCGACCCAAGUUCGACCCGCCGUUGCCAAGCGGUUACUUUGGGAACGGCAUUGCUUGGUCGUGCGCCGAGUGCAGCGCGGGCGAAUUGACCCGCAAGCCCUUCUCGUUCGCUGUCCGGACCGUGCCAGAGGCGUUCCGAUGCGUCACCGAGAGUUACAUACGGUCGGCAAUCGACCACGUCGAGCUGAACGGGGUCGUGGUCGACUGCGAGGGUAACACUUGCUGCAUCAGCAAGUGGAGUCGGCUCCCUUUCUACGAGACGGAUUUCGGGUUCGGGAGGCCGUUCCAGGUGGCGCCGACCACGGUCCCCCACAACCUCGUCUUGGCUUCCCAAAGCGGGGAGACCGACAACUUGGUUGUGUCUCUGGGGCUUCCUCGUGAUGCCAUGGAUAUUUUUUCAGAGUUGAUUCAGUCUGAGCUUGCACUGAUGAAUAAGUACUAGUCUCAUCCAUGGACUUGAGGAUUAUGAGUGUGGUUUGGUAGAUCUGUGGAGUCUAGUUUCUGCGCCUCUAGUUUUCAAGUUGAAAUAACACAGUGCAUGUCUGUUGGGAUGCUUAAGCCUGUUGUAUUAUUUGAGAUGCUUCCAUCAAUAUUGUGAUGUACUUUCCUAAAAAAUGGAAUGUUAUUGAUUCAAAUGUUAAAUUAUGAAAGAGUAAUGAUAGUAUACACUAGUGGUGCAAAAGCUAGAGGUUUCGCACAUAAUUGAUCGGACGGAGUGAGCAAUUUAAGGCCAUACAAGACCGCUCACGUAAAAUUAUUUUAACACAUGGGCGGUUUAUGUUCUAUUUUUUCCUUUAUGAAAUAAUCGAUUAAUUAUGUGAUAAGGCCAAUUCUCUCGAGAAUUUGCUAUGCCUAUUUAUACGACAAUCCAUUGUGUCGCAUUAUUUUUGUAAGUACAUAUUUUAGUCACUAUAUAUAUAUCUUUAGCAUUUGGAAGAGUAUUAAUGGGUUUUCUCUUUCUUCAUGCAAUGUACCUAUUGAAUUCAAGGUUGUGUAUCUAGAGCACCGACGAUGACGUGGCAACAACAUAGGAACCCUAAAACCAAGAAUUCGAUACUAUACAUAAAGUGCAAAUAGUGCAUUAUUUUAGUAGAAUUUUCUUUUAAGAAUCAGAAAAUAAUGUGUCUAUCUACGUAUGAUCGGCUUUGUUGUGCAUGACAUGUUAUGUGGUAUAUAUACAGAAAAUAUCUAAUAAUGUAUUCAAUAGUUAAUAUAUAGUGAAAAAAUUAACAAUACCAUUCACUAUAGAGAGUACAAUUAUUUCGGUUCCAUCCAAUACAACAUGUAGUAAAAUGCAAUAUCGGAGUAAUGUUUCUUGGAAUAUUAGAAUUACUUUAAAAAGUGACUGAAAAACUCGAGUUGAAUUAGAUAGAAAUAGCCUAUGAUAAUCCAAUCCUUUAAAAUAAGAAGAAAUAUUUGAUAAUGGUAAAGUAAAUUCAUAAGUAAGGCAAAUGAAUCCAUAAAGUUCAAUUAUCAACCAAGUGAUAUGCAUUGCAUUCAUGUGAUAUUUCCUUAUGCUUAUUCAACUUCAUGAUUAUUGUCACUUUCUAAAAAAAUUCUAUAAAUACAUUAUUGUUAUAGAGAGCGAUGGUGCAAGACUAGAAAAACAAUUUUAACAAAUAAAAUUUUUCAAUAAUUCUGGAAAAAUAAACCCGCAUGGGCAAGUGUACUAGUUAAUUUCUAAUGUAUACUCUUGUUCUCUCUAGCUAGCUGCCAUUUUACUAAUAAAAGCUCCUUUUAGAAUGAGUGAGUUUUACCGGCGAUCAUUGAAAUUUAGUGUACUAUCAAAGGUCAUAAAACUGUCUCUUGAUCAAUCAAUGUAAGAUCUCUAAUUUUUUAAAUGGAUGCACUUUUAUUGGAAUUCGAUCAGUCCUUUGGGGGAAAUGAUGAUAUCGUGGCAUGGAGCAAUUAUAAAAUUUUACAAAACCACUAUUAAUUAUUGUAAAGACUUAAACUAUUAUAUAACUGCGAAAUUCAAUAUUUAACUAUUCUAACAUUUCCUCUCAUGUAUAUGUUGUACUUUGGCCUAUCACUAGUGAUUGUGGCGUCAAUUAGGACUCGAACAUAAGGCUUCAUGCUUUUUAAAAUACAAGAUCCCAAUCAUUCUACCAUUAAAAAAUCCUUAAUUAUCUACAAAUUUUACAAGGGGAAAUUAAAUACAGGAGUCAUCAUCAAAUAUCCUAUAUUGACAUAGCAAACCUAAUUGAUGUUUAGGAGUCUAUGCUUAUAUUAGUUUGGUUUCUCAUCUUCAUCAUUGAUUCAAACAGUUGCUCAUGCAUAAUGGUCCCGAUUCACUAAGAAGGACAAAUGCUAUCAGAGCUACACCAAGCAACUCAACAUCAAUUAGUUGAGUUGCUUGGUGUAGCUCUGAUAGCAUUUGUUGGACUUCGUGAAAGCACGACUAUAAUAAGCACUUUCUCAAUAUUACAGGCACACUUAAUUUAAACUACUCACACAAUAGGCAUAUAUUUAUUAGGGGUAAGCGGUUCCAGGUUCCAUACAAAUUCCAUCUGAAACCUGAAAUUUACCCAUUGGAACAAGUUCCUCAUUUUUUUUUUUUUUUUGGAAAUUAGAAUCUAUCCUACAUACCCUAGAAUCUAGAAUCUACCUUGUUAUAGGUUCCACGGUCAGUUCCAAAGUCUACUCAAGUUCCACUUAUAUUAUUAAUUAAACGAUUGUAAUGAAUUAAAACAUUUAAUGAUCAUCAUUUGCUACUAUAAUUCAUUGACCAUAAAGACACAUGGAAAAUAUGAGCAGCAAUAAAGUAAAAGUAUCAGUCAUAAAAUAGAAGCUCAAACUAGUAUUUCCAGAUUAUACACUCAUCAUCAAACGAUAUAGAAUAUCGUAAGAUUGUGCGAAGACAUGUACCAAGAAAGACAUUAAAACUUGUUUUAGUUCUAGUUUACAAGUUCCAAGUUCCAAGUCAUGUAAUUAAGAACUUGGAACCUACCUGUCCAAAUAGAUUCAUCACUUUUUGGAACUUAGAACCUACUAUGCAUACUUUAGAAUAUGAAAUCUACAUGUUCCCACAAGUCCGGUUCUUAGGUUUUAAAUUUUACCAUAAAACCAUACUUACCCCUAAUCUUUAUGCCCCAACACUAAAUGGAGUCUCUACACUUACACCUCAGACUAUACACCACUCUCUCCACUGCUCACCACACGCUACCCAGCACGCUCUGCUCUCUUCUUUCUCUACACGACUCUUACUUCUCACAUGCACACACAGCACACUCUACACAACACACUGUAAAGACCCCACUCACUACACAAGACCCCUAUGCCAUUAAAUGGAACACUAGCUCCUUUUUAUAGGCUGUUGAAGUCGGUUCAUUAACCGACCUUGCCAUCUUUCUUACACAUUUCUUUUAUUAUUUUAUAUAGCAACUUGCCUAAAAGGUGGAGUGCAGCAACUUGCCAACUUGUAUAAAAAUCUGGUCAAACAUGUGGCUGCGAAGUGAGGAGAGAAUUCGAGAGAGAGAGAGGCGGUGAUUAAUUCAACAUAAUAUACCCGCUCUCUUACGUGGAGGCAACAAUCCAUCAUUUAGUGAAUGAACAAUUCUCCCACCGAGCAUCAUUCGGCGAAAGAAUACAUCUCAUACCUAACUCUCCAAUCAUUGAGUUGAAUUCGAGCACCAACAGCGUGGCUGCACUCGUGAAAGAGUUUUUGCCUCGCUGAACCUAUGCACGGGUUACAGUCCGCGGGUCCAAGUAUGCCGCUACUCUCUCUCGGGAGACAAGCUAUAGUAGUUGAACCUACAAGUAGCUAUGUUAAGUUGUCCAGGACCACAUUCACUGCAGUUGCAUAUUCAGGUUGAUACUUUAACCAUGUCCUUAAUAAAAUUAUCUGGAUUGAGCUCGCAGGAGCACCAAGUUCGGCCCAGCCCAUUGAAAAUCCUAAUGGCCAAAAAUCACAUGAUAUAAGCACAUGGAGUGUGCUAAACUAAGAAAUAUUGCAAUAUUUAAUCAAAUUUGGAGGCAAUAAAGGAUAAUUAUUCUUAAGAAUUUUAAUAGAAUGACAAUAAGGGGAGACGAUAUAUUCUUUUGGUCCAAAUUAGGAAGGUAAGGCAAUAAAGGAUAUUUAUUCUCCACCUUGCGCCGCUCACUGAAUGGAGUUGUGUAAAAAUGAGUGGCACCACUUGUGAACACGAUAUUUUCUCCUAAAAUUGAGUCUAUAUGAAUGUGUUAUCAAGACAUUCAUGGGGAGGGAGACGAGAAUAUACAAGAACACGCUCCAAAGAAGGAAAUGUUGAAGCGAAGGGGGGCGAAGCCUCUGUCCUCUCAUGGCCUCCAUUGGCGUCAUUUACACCCCCUCUCCAGACGACGUUGUAGCAGCUCCCUUUACUGCCGCCUCCCCGCCUGUUCCUGUUGGAAUUUUGUUUGUUAAAACAAAAUAAGUGCUUUUUACUUUGUUCUACAUAGAAAAUGUGGGAGCAGGAGGGUCAGUUUAAAAAUGUGAGAUUUCCCUUUUGUAGUUAAAGGAGUGAUUAGGUGGGGCUAGACCCCACCAUACCCGCGUGCGGGUGCGCGAUUUUGGCUCGAUUAUUUGGCGCACUUAGCGCUUUAAUUAGCAUUAAUCCCUUGCUAUUUAUUUAUUUAUUAUUUUAUUUUAUAUUUUUAGUUCAAAGGUUGCCUUUUAAUUUGAGAAUUUCGGAAAUGAAAUAUAAAUGAAAAUUCGAAAUUCUAUUUUUUUUAAAACUAUUCCGAAUUUUAUUUGUGUCUUUUCAAUACAACCUUUGGAAAAUUACUUAUUCUGUUUUAAUUUUUCCGAAGGAUUGCAAUUGUUCGUUUUCGACUUCUUCCGAAGAGUCGCAUUUGUUUAUCCGAACAAUUUUCUAAAGACGUGUUUGUUCGCAAUUUUCACGAAGAGUUGCAAGACUGUUUCAUUUAUAUACUUGUCAUUUUUUGGAAAGAAAAGUGUGGUUAAUUUUCGAGUCUUCUCUCUGAAAAACUGCAGCCAAUUUUUCGAUUGUUUUCCUAGAGAGACCCUGGAGAAAUAAAUUGCUAUUUAGUAUUCUCAUCCGAAACUUUGUUGUAUCCUGGAGGAUUUUUGCCCGUGACCAUUAGCAACGUUGUGGGGCAAAUAAAUCCUUAAAGAAAGUGACAUCACGCCUCAAAGUCCAAGUUGUUUUACUCGAUCUGAUUUCAUUGUACUACCCAAUUUCGAAGCAUAUUUUAUCAACAGUUCCAAUAGCUUCCAGCAGCCUCGGUGACUUGUCCAGUAACAACUGCAGGCAAGAUUCAGCACUCUCAGGGCUUCAGGCCAUUGCCUAACAUCCACCAGCGAUCUCCAACAACGACGGCAGCUCCUCCAGCGAAGUGGUGUUGCUCCCGUCCAGCCCCAUGCCUGCUAGCUUCCCCGCAACGUUGGUGGCCCAUGCCACGCCCAGCUAGCCUUCACUGUCACCGGAGCUUCCCUGCUGGCCUCUGUCCAGUAUAAUGUCUUCUCUGCAUGGCCAGACCAGCCUGAGCCUCGCCAAGUCACUGCGACUAGUCCUUCCCUGUCAUCACCUCACCGUCGCACUCCACUGCAAUCUGCUCCUUAUGUUCGUGGUACAACCAGCAGCAGCGCCUUUCCAGCCAGCUUUGGUUGGUUGUCCAGCACAUCCAGAGAGCACCAUAGCCACGCCUCCAACUGUCCACAGCUUCUCCGCAGCACCUAACGUUUUUCCUGCAGGUUUCUCGAUGCCUCAGUAGCUUCGGCAGAUGUCCUGCAGCUCCGGCAACAUGUCCAGCUGGUCCCCGCUGAAACCAAGCUUCCCUGUCAUUGCUCUUUAAUGGCUGAACAACGAGAUCCACUGUGACAUCCAGAUUUUUAGGAUAUAAAGUUAAUUACGAAUUAACUUGGAGUUUUGGAUGGCACGUGUAGGAUGUCAAGUGAGUCAAUAAUUUUGGUGACGUCGAAAGUAUGAUGGAUGAUUUUCGGAGUCUGUAGGACUUGAAAUGCAAUGAAUUUUAUAUGUUGCCACAGUUACUAUUGACGGGGAACGAUGCGAUCCGAAAUAAAUGUCAGAUGUCUUUCAUUCAUAAUUUUACUGAGUUUAAAAUAUUUUUUGGACUUAUUGAUAUUGAGAACGGACAUUGAUUUUCUUGUUCAUUUAUCAAAGCAUAAUAUAUCUUGCUAGACUAUCAAAAUAUCCACUUGGAAGUCACCUAUAUUAAGUCAUUUGUGACUUUCUAAUCUGAUCACAUAACCUUUAUUUUUUACACAUGAUUUUAACGUCAAGUCAUCAUUACUUUUAAUCCGAGUUAAUCAUUUUUAUCCCUUUGUAACUUAUGUAAGUCUUCCAAAUACAUCCCUUCAUUGAUCGUAUGAACCACAACAAGUAUUCAAUCUUUAAAAAGGAAGCUUCAAUUCAUUCUUGCAAAGAAAGAGAGGUUUCCAUGUCACUUUGCCAUCUUCUUUUAUUUUCCACUCUUUAGAAACAAAGGUGAAGGUCCCAUGUUUGGUUUCUAAAGUUUCUUAUUCAAUAUUUCAAGUGUUUGGCCCGUUUGGUUCGGUUUUGGAGAAAUGAUGUAGGGAAACUGUAAAUACCUUUGGGCUAAAGGGAUUUUUUGAAAUGCUAUUGUGUUUGGUAAAUUAUAACUUUAAAGUGUAUUGGAAUAUAAUUUUGGCUUAAAUACCAUUUGGUAAAAUCUAAUUUGUAAAGGACUUUUGCUAAACUUUUUUUUUUUUUAAAGUCUAAAAAUUAAAUCCGGUGGAGCUUAGCCACUGACCAACUACCGCAGUCAAAUCUAACCACUGGGUAGCCUUGUAUGAGGUCAGUGACCUCAAGUGUUGCCUAGGUCGUGGGAACCUUAGCGACAUUGCUUGAGGUCGGAUGACCAAGGGGACACCGCCUGAGGUUGGGCGACUCGAGCGACGCUUGAGGUCGCAUGACCCCAGGCUGCAGUUUCUGGGGAUGCGAGACCCCUUAGGUGUUAGUCAUCGGCCUCUAGCUCCUCCGCACAAAUCGGGGAAGAUGAAAAUAAACAAUAAGACUUGCAUUCCCAAAAUAUUGAAAGCCCAAAACAGGUGGGGAUUUGCCUUAGACUUUCAACUUUCGCAAUGCUAGCAUUUGGUCAAUAGAAUCCCAAAAAUACUUACCAAACACUUCAUGUUUCCCCCAAAGCUCCUUGAAAAAGCCAAACCAAACGGGACCUUUAUCAAACUAGUUUUGUUGAUUAAAAAGAAUGAGAAUUGUUAAUUUAUAUUCUUAAAUAUUUUUCUUUAAAGGUAAUUAAAGUUUGAAUUUGCUUAAGUCAUUAUUCAUGCAAGUGAAACUGGAGGGACUAAAUUAGAUCGACAACUAACUCUAGGGACUUUAUUUUACAUCUAGGGUGUAUGCUCUUUUUCUCAUAUAUCCAUGCAAUUAGCUUAUAAUAAUCUUGAUUUUUUAAGUUCCGAUCUCGUCUAAUCCGUUUCCUAUGGUACUUUUUAACAACAGAAAGUCUUUUCUUGACAUUUAUCAAUGAAAUGUGAAUUUGAAAUCUAUUAUUUUUUCCAACCCCCCAAAAAAAGAAAAAAAUCCAACCCCCCAAAAAAAGAAAAAAAACAAAGAAACAGAGAAGAAAUCCAUCCUCUUCAAAUUUAAUUGAGAUAACUUUGCAGUGGUCAAGCUCAAACAUUGUCAGAUCAAAUUGAACAAGCUCAAACAUUGUCAGAUCAAAUUGAACCAUUCUUGUAGACAAUUAAUCAAUUCAAACAGAUACAAAGAUAAGUCGCACCAAUGAUGCCACUCAUUCCAUGUGCAUAUCGCACCGUGAUGAGAUCUUAUUAAUUAUUGAUUUUCUUAGAGGUGACGUAUUAUGAUGCAAUGAAAGCUCAGGUUAUUCUCUGAAUGCGUAUUGCUCAUAUCUAAGCCUACAAUCGCGAAGCUGAAGUUGCACGCCAAUGCUGUAUGGGCAUACUCUCUUGACUUCCGUGUGGGCGAAAUCCAUGUAGCUAGUACAUUCGGUGUGUGUCAGCGCACCGUUGCACCCACCGUGGCCGAAGCACUCGGCAUGGAAAGAAGCAUGGGUGUAGUAGUCGAACCCCUUUUCCACUGUGUCGAACCUCAGAUACAUCGAAACUCAGAUGGAUCAGGACGGUGUCCAUUGCCUCGGCAUAAUCUUCCCAUUCCGUACUCCUCUCCGUUGCAUACCUCGUCCAUAAAAGUCACGUCUGGUUCACUUCUAAUGAUACAAAGACAAAGGGAAAGUACUGUGGGCAGGACCGCGAUUUUCUGCGAUGUGGCCAUGAUGAUGGCAUUCACUUUCCCUCUCAAACUCUCUUUGCGUUUAAUGUAGAGAAAACACAAAACUGAGUUGGGUAUAAAAAGGGCUCACUUCUCAUAGGGUCCUCAGUCAUUGGUCCAUUAGGUUUUAAGAGUCUUUUCUUACUCAUUAUGAUCAAUAUUAGACAUGAUCUGGGGGCCGACAACCUUUCCCAAAUUUUCUAGAAAUCUUGGUGGAAUGUUCAUUGGAUCAGAAGUGUCUUGCUCCUCGUUCUAACUGGUUGAUUUGUCACACACACACACACAUGGUAUAAUCUAAGUUUGUUGACAUCCUGGCAAACCAUGCUCUCUCGUAUCCUUGUAUAUUAUAAAGUCAGAAUUAUAUAUAAUAGCCAGCUUGUGUUUGCACAAGAUAUGAGGCAAAAGUACAUCUCACGUGCCACUCUAAUGCCAAACUUUAGUACCAAAUUUUCCAAAAGGUAUUACUCAAAUGCCACUUUUUUUAAAAAUCGGACACUUGAGUGUCAACUCUAGCGAGACUUGCUAGAAAUCUGACGUGAUAUUAUUUUAAUAAUAAAACUAGUCUAUGUGGCUCGCCAGAAUGUCCACUCAGCAAUGUUUGUCCCAAAAUAACGUCGUUUUGUGCUUAUUUAGUCACGUCAGCACCAUGUCGUUAAGAGAAUUACCACGUCAGAAAAAAAUUCGCUGGAAAAAACCAUGUCAACAGUUUGGUUGGAAAUUCUUGUUGUUAACACUUGAGGCACCCCAAGAUAUGAUCCCUUGUCAUGCCAGUAGAAUAUGGAAUUUUUUUUUUUUUUGUGCCUACACCUUAAUAUAUACCCUCUUCCUCUCACAACGAGCGUAUAUGAAAGCCAACUAGCAGUGAAACUAAGUCAAGAUCUCACGAGUUGCUCAAGCUUGGGUUGAUGAUCAUCUAAAACAUCUCGACAGGUUUCUAGUCAAGCUCUAGCUCGAACUACUCGAGGAUCGUUUCAAAUUGAAAGUCGUGCUUGCCAAUACUCAGCUCAACAAACUCUCUAUUAAAUUAAUGUCUCGAAUUUGAAUUCGGAUAACAAUUUGUUAAACCCAAUUUGUCGAUAAAGUUUUUCCCAAGUAGAUUUCAACUUGGAUAAAGAUAAAAAGAAGAAUUUCUUCUUUGGACAUACACACAUGGAUGUCUAUAGGGGUGAGCGGUUCCAGGUUCUGGUUCGGUUUCAUCUGGAACUUGGAACCUACCUGUCAGAACCGAGAACCUAGAACCUACCUUGUCACAGGUUCUAGGGUCGGUUCCAGGUUCCAACAGGUUUUUUUUUUUUUUUUUUUUUUUUUUUUUUUUUUUUUUUUACGCGCACGUUACCAAAAAAAAUUAUAACGUACUCGCACGUUACCAAAAAAAAAAAACGCAGCUGGUUCAAAGCCAUUGGUAGCUGCAUUGAACUUCCAUCCUGCAUCCGGAGGAAAUUCUGCUUACUAAAGGAAAUGGACAAAAAUUAUGUUCACCCUACACAAUGGCAUGCAAAGAGAAACAGAAACGCUUUUUCCUAUCAAUGGCUUCAGGCAGAAACAGACAUAUACUAGAGAUCAAAUUAACUUCUACGAAGAAACAAGGAUAUACCUGAAUACCAGCAAAUAGCAGGCCAUUACCCACAACCAUGGCAUAAACUUGUCCGACAGGACCAUUGAGACUGAGGUUUGCAUUACUUUGUGUGUUGUAUGCCUACAGUAUCACGACUACUUUAUUACUGGCCAAAAACUUCAGAAUACCAAUACAGUUAUGGAGAACAACCAUUUUAAAAAAAAAUGUAAUAAAAAUAUGAGAGGCUUAUAAACCGCAAAAUGGGGAAAAAAAUGGAGUGUGCUUUCCCACAUUACCUUUACGAGAUUUGGUAAACCAACAAACACCCAUGGACCUUCACUUAUCAUACAACCAAUUUCACCACCAAGAUUGACCACACCUGCACACUGCAAGACAGACAAGAAGAAUGGAACUAGUCCAGUCAACUCCACUAGGCAGAUGAAAUAAACAAAGGCAAGACUCCAGGCAUAAUUUCAUGCCUUCAGCAUAAACCCAAUUUCUGGGACAAGUGCUCCAGAUCAAGCAAAAACUGUGCUUAGUUGGAAUGCCAAUAUAAGCAACACUGAGGACAGACAUAGCAUUUCAGACAAUUUUGCAAUGACCUUCAGAGCAUCCUAAAAGUGAAUUCCUCCCACAAGCCCAUUAAAACAAAAAAAAAAAAAAAAAAAAUCAAGGUGAGAACAUCUUCGGAGAACUUUUAAGCGCAUCUAUCCUCCAAGGGUCACAGGAGACAGCACGGUCAAAGAACUGUCAGUAUCCUUCUUCAUAGACAGACAACCUAAGAGGAAAUAACAUGCAAGAACAUUGGAAUCUUCAUCUUAAAAAUUCAAUAACAGCAGAAUUCUCACGCCGGUGAAGGGGGCGAGGGAAUGUGUGGGAUCGAGGUUGAGAUAUAGAGCGACAACGUGCGAGUCUGCGAGAGAGAGAGAGAGGGGUGACCAGCAAGGCGGGGCGUGGGAACAGCGACGGGGGGCGGCGCUUCGGAUGGCUGCACGGCGGCAGAAGAUCGGACCGCUAGCAGCACUCGUGGUCGCGGGUUCCGCAGGUGGAGAUGCGGCGGUGCGGCGCGGAGUGUUGGAAUUUUGUUUGUUAAAACAAAAUGAGUGCUUUUUAGUUUAUCCCACAUAAAAAAAGUGGGAGCAAGUGGGUCAGUUUAAAAAUGUUGAAUUUCCUUUUUGUAGUUAAAGGAAUGAUUGGGUGGGGCUAGACCCCACCAUACCUGCGUGCGGGUGUGCGAAUAAUUGCGCGAUUAUUUGGCGCACUCAGCACUUUGCACGCCUGCGCGCCCGUGGUUUAAUUAGCAUUAAUCCCUUGCUAUUUAUUUAUUUAUUUAUUUAUUUAUUUUUAAUUCAAAGGUUGCCUUUUAAUUUGAGAAUUUCGGAAAUGAAAUAUAAAUGAAAAUUCGAAAUUCUAUUUAAAAAAAAAAUAUUCCGAAUUUUGUUUGUGUCUUUUCAAGACAACCUUUGGAAAAUUACUUAUUCGGUUUUAACUUUUCCCGAAGGGUUGCAAUUGUUCGUUUUCGACUUCUUCCGAAGAGUCGCAUUUGUUUAUCUGAACAAUUUUCUAAAGACGUGUUUGUUCGCAAUUUUCACGAAGAGUUGCAAGAUUGUUUCAUAUAUAUACUUGUCAUUUUUCGGAAAGAAAUGUGUAGUCAUUUUUCGAGUCUUCUUUCUGAAAAAACUGCAGCCAAUUUUUUAUUGUUUUCCUAUAGAGAUACUGGAGAAAUACUAGAAUUGCUAUCUAGUAUUCUCAUCCAAGACUUUGUUGUAUCCUGAAUGAUUUUUGCCGGUGACCAUUAGCAACGUUGUGGGGCAAAUAAAUCCUUAAAGAAAGUAAUAUCACGCCUCAAAGUCCGAAUUGUUUUACUCGAUCCGAUUUCAUUGUUCAACCCAUUUCGAAGCCAUAUUUUCCCAACAAUUUUAAGGAUUUAUUUUGCUACAAUGGAGUCGGAGACAAUCAAAGUUAUGAAUCAAGAUAUGGUCAAACUAGACCGGUUCGAUGGGAACAAUUUUGCUCGCUGAAGGGACAAGAUGAUGUUCUUACUCACUACUCUGAAGAUCUCCUACAUACUGGAUCCUAACUUGGCACCUAUAGAAGAUCCUAAGCCUACUUUCGAUGGAGGACAGCCAAGUGCGGAAGCCAUUGAGAGGGUUAAUAAGGAAAAGAAGAAAUGUGCGGAGGAUGAAUUACUUUGUCGAGGACACAUUCUGAACAUACUCUCCGAUCGUCUGUACGACUUAUUCACUGAAAUGAAGUCAGCCAGAGAAAUUUGGAAUGCACUGGAAUUCAAGUACAAAACGGAGGAGCAAGGUACCAACAAAUAUCUAAUUGCAAAGUAUUUUGAUUUCAAGUUUAUUGAUACUAAGCCCUUGCUGGAACAAGUCCAUGAAUUGCAAGUGAUUGUGAAUAAGAUUCGUGCUCUCAAGAUUGAUAUUCCAGAAGCUUUUCAAGUUGGAGCAAUUAUUGCGAAAUUGCCUCCAAGUUGGAAAGACUAUGGAAAAAGGCUGAUUCACAAGUCGGAGGACUUUACUUUGGAGCAAAUACAAAAACAUCUUCGCAUUGAGGAAGAGUCACGUUUACGUGAUAAUUUUGUUUUGUACAAUUCCAAGGUGAAUUUUGUGGAUAAAAAAUGAAAACUCGGCCAAAAUUUCAAAGUAAAAAGCGAGGGGCAUAAAUUCAAGAGAACACAAAAGAAGCAAAAGGGUUGCUGUUUUGUUUGUGGCAAACAGGGACAUUACGCCAAGGAUUGCAUUCACCGUAAGAGCAUUUCAAAGGACAAGAACAUUCCGGUGGUGAAAGCAAAUGCAAAUCUGGUUGAAGAAAAUUAUGUAGCCAUCGAACAUGUUUUCGAACAUGGAAAUUUCUGAAAUCAAUGGUGCGAUGCCUAUGGUUUCUGAAAUCAAUUUUGCCACUAUCCAAUCCGGUUGGUGGAUAGAUUCUGGAGCAACUGUUCAUGUGUGCAAGGACAAGUACAUGUUCAGGCAAUUUGACGAGAUUGUUGACUCAAAUGUUCAAGAGGUCCUGAUGGCGAAUAAUGCUCUUGCAAAGGUUGCUGGAAAAGGCACGGUGGAGAUAGACUUCACUUCUGGAAAGAAGAUAGUUCUUCUUAAUGUGUUAUUUAUACCCGAAAUUAGGAAGAACCUAGUUUCUAUUGAUUUACUUUGUAAGAGGGGGUUUCAGGUUUUGUUUGAAUCCGACAAUGUUAUCCUGUCGAAAAAUGGGCUGUUUGUUGGGAAGGGUUAUGCCAAUGAUGGCAUGUAUCAACUGAGUAUCAAUAAUAAUAUUUCUAGUUCUGCUUAUAUUGUCGAGUCUUCAAUUUUAUGACAUAGUAGGUUGGCACAUAUAAAUUUUCGUUAUUUGAAGAAUAUGAAAAAAUUAGACUUGAUAAAUUUUAAUGGCGAAUUUGAUAAAUGUGAAAUAUGUGCUAAGUCAAAACUUACUAAGAAGCCAUUUCCUAGUGUUAAAAGAAAUUCGAAUUUAUUGGAUUUGGUUCAUAGUGAUAUAUGUGAAUUUAAUGGUAUGCUAACACGUGGAGGUAAAAUGUAUGUUAUUACCUUUGUGGAUGAUUGUAGUAGGUUCUUAUAUGUUUAUCUCAUGAGAUCGAAGGAUGAAGCAUUUACCAUGUUUAAGAAAUAUAAAGCUGAAGUAGAGAAUCAAUUAGAAAAGAAAAUCAAAGUUCUACGAUCAGAUAGAGGUGGAGAAUAUUUCUUAAAUGAAUUCUCUUCAUUUUGUGAAGAACAUGGUAUUAUUCAUCAAGCUUCAGCACCAUAUACUCCACAACAAAAUGGUUUAGCUGAAAGGAAAAAUCGAUCUAUUGGAGAAAUGGUUAAUUGUAUGCUUUCAAAUUCAAAGCUACAAAUUAAUCUUUGGGGAGAAGCAUUACUUACUGCAUGCAAUAUUCAUAAUAGAAUACCUUCCAAGAAAAAUGACAUAACCCUUUAUGAAAUAUGGAAAGGUAGAAAGCCAAAUUUGUCAUAUCUUAAAGUGUGGGGGUGUUUAGCGUACUACCGAGCUCCAGAUCCUAAGAGAACAAAGCUCGGUCCUAGAGCUAUCAAAAGUGUUUUCGUAGGGUAUGCUGAAAAUAGUAAAGCUUAUAGGCUUCUUGAUUUAGAGUCUAAUGUCAUAGUAGAAUCGAGAGACGUCGAAUUCUUUGAGAAUAAAUGUUUUACAAGUUCUGAAAUUAUUGAAAAUAAUUCAAGAUCUAUGGAAACUCAAAGUGAUUUUGAAGAGAAAAAAACGAAUUCUAAAGACAUGAUUGAACUAAGGAGAAGUACUAGAGCUAGGAAAAUAAAAGACUUGGUCCUGAUUUUAUUACUCAUGUUUUUCUUGUUGAAUGAGAUAGAGAUAAUAAUGUGGUAAAUAAAUACCCUUUAGUGUUAAAUUUAGAAGAUGAUCCUGGAAGCUUUGAUGAUGCUAUGUCUUCUAGAGAUGCUUCUUUUUGGAAAGAAGCUGUGAAUGAUGAAAUGGACUCAAUUAUGUCCAAUAAUACUUGGGUAUUAGUAGAUUUACCGAAAGGAUCAAAACCUAUUGGAUGCAAAUGGGUUUUUAGAAGAAAAUAUCAUUCUGAUGGUUCUAUUCAAGCUUUUAAAGCUAGGCUUGUAGUUAAGGGAUAUAGACAAAAAAGAAGGAAUAUAUUAUUUUGAUACAUAUGCUCCUGUUGCACGUAUAACUUCCAUUCGAGUUCUUUUUGCUCUAGCUUCCAUUUAUGAUCUUUGUGUUCAUCAAAUGGAUGUUAAAAUUGCUUUCUUAAAUGGAGACUUAAAUGAGGAGAUUUACAUGGAACAACCGGAGGGUUUUGUUCUUCCUAGAAAUGAAAGAAAAGUAUGUAAAUUGAUUAAGUCUCUUUAUGGACUUAAACAAGCUCCUAAGCAGUGGCAUGAAAAGUUUAAUUCGGUCAUAUUGUCAAAUGGUUUCAUCAAUAAUAGUGCCGAUAGGUGUAUAUACUCUAAAUUCACUAAAGACUAUGGUGUCUUAGUGUGCUUGUAUGUUGACGAUAUGCUUAUCUUUGGAACGAAAAUGACUGGAGUUAAUGAGACUAAGAAAUAUCUAACUUCCAUGUUUAAAAUGAAGGAUUUGGGUGAAGUAGAUACUAUCUUAGGUAUUAAAGUUAAGAAAAAUAGUGGGGGUUACUCUUUAAGCCAAUGUAGUUAUGUUGAAAAAUUAUUAAAUAAAUUUCAACAUCUUGGUUUUAAAGAAAUAAGUACUCCAUUUGAUUCUAGUAGUAAAUUAAAUUAUACUACUGGUAGAGCGGUGACACAACUAGAAUAUGCAAGUGCUAUAGGGUCUUUAAUGUAUGCGAUGCAUUGUACUAGACCCGAUAUUGCUUAUUCUGUAUGCAAGUUGAGUAGAUAUACUAGUAAUCCAAGUACAGAACAUUGGAGAGCUAUUACUAGAAUUUUUGGUUAUCUUAAGAGAACUAAAAAUUUAGGAUUGUUCUACAAUAAUUAUCCGGAUGUAUUAGAAGGAUACACUGAUGCUAGUUGGAUUAUAAGUGUGGGAGAUGAGCGUUCCACUUCUGGAUGGAUCUUCACACUAGCUGGAGGUACUGUAUCUUGGGCGAACAAGAAACAGACAUGUAUAACUCACUCAACAAUGGAAUAUGAAUUUAUUGCUUUGGCGGCAGCUGGGAAAGAGGCUGAAUGGAUUAGAAAUUUGUUGUUGGAUAUCAAAUUAUGGCCUAGUCCUAUGCCUCAUAUUUCUAUCCACUGUGAUAGUCGGGCCACUUUGGCAAGAGCCUAUAGUAGCACCUAUAAUGGUAAGUCUAGACACAUUAGUCUAAGACAUGAAUAUGUGAGACAAUUGAUUAAAGAUGGUACCAUAACAAUUGUCUAUGUGAGGUCAAGUAAAAAUCUUGCAGAUCCUUUGACGAAGGCUUUACCAAGACAUAUGGUAAUAACGACCUCACAAGAAAUGGGGCUGAAACCCUUUAAAUGAAAUCACCAAUAAUGGUAACCCGACCUUUUUUUAGAACAUCACUAGUUACAAGGUUUAAUGGGUAAGAAGAAGUUAUUGAAUGUGAUUGUUUGAUACUGACAUAGCCCUGAUAUGAGAAGUCAGUAUUGUCUGUUACGUUUUAUAGGCUGAAUUGAAUUCUUAAUGAAGUAUGAUACAAGUUUGUAGUGUGUUGAUAGUAACAGAAACACAUGGUAGAUACUUCACCUAUAUGAGCUUAGAAGUGGUGCCGCUUCUUACGAAAGUGAGGGUUGCUUUCUAGAGAGCUCAUGAAACAGGAUCAAGCACAAGGCCAUAAUAGUGCGGAGUAAUAUAGAAAUUCUCGCUGAAACAAGAGGUUAGUGUAUGUGUGGUAUGUUCGGUUCUAUUACAUAAAAGUACAAGUUUAAAGCCGAGCUACUUGUCACUUUGAUAGAGCUUUGAUAUACUUGCACUAAGUAAAGGUUUAACUCGAAAGAGACCUUUAUGUAUUUAUAUUAAUCUUACUGAAACUUUGGCUGUAUAGUUUUUAAAAUUUUAUUUUGAAAUCUUUGUUUUACAAACAAAGUGGGGGAUUGUUGGAAUUUUGUUUGUUAAAACAAAAUGAGUGCUUUUUAGUUUGUCCCACAUAGAAAAUGUGGGAGCAAGUGAAUCAGUUUAAAAAUGUUGAAUUUCCUUUUUGUAGUUAAAGGAAUGAUUGGGUGGGGCUAAACCCCACCAUACCCGCAUGCGGGUGCGCGAUUAUUUGGCGCACUUAGCGCUUAGCGCACUUAGCACGCCCACGGUUUAAUUAACAUUAAUCCCUUGCUAUUUAUUUAUUAUUUAUUUUUUAUUUUUUAUAAUUCAAAGGUUGCCUUUUAAUUUGAGAAUUUUCGGAAAUGAAAUAUAAAUGAAAAUUCGAAAUUCUAUUUAAAAAAAAAUUAUUAUGAAUUUUGUUUGUGUCUUUUCAAGACAACAUUUGGAAAAUUACUUAUUCGGUUUUAACUUUUCCCGAAGGGUUGCAAUUGUUCGUUUUCGACUUCUUCCGAAGAGUCGCAUUUGUUUAUCCAAACAAUUUUCUAAAGACGUGUUUGUUCGCAAUUUUCACGAAGAGUUGCAAGACUGUUUCAUAUAUAUACUUGUCAUUUUUCGGAAAGAAAUGUAUGGUCAUUUUUCGAGUCUUCUUUUUGAAAAAACUGCAACCAAUUUUCGAUUGUUUUCCUAGAGAGAUCCUGAAGAAAUACUAGAAUUGCUAUCUAGUAUUCUCAUCCGAGACUUUGUUGUAUCCUGGAGGAUUUUUGCCGGUGACCAUUAGCAACGUUGUAGGGCAAAUAAAUCCUUAAGGAAAGUGAUAUCACGCCUCAAAGUCCGAGUUGUUUUACUCAAUCCGAUUUCAUUGUUCAACCCAUUUCGAAGCCAUAUUUUCCCAACACGGAGAUAGCCGGUGGCUCGGGGGACGCCGGUGAAGGGGGCGAGGGAAUGUGCGGGUGUGGGAUCGAGGUUGAGAGAUAGAGAGAGGGGGCAGCUACGGGCGAGUCUGCGAGAGAGAGAGAGAGGGGGCGUCUGGUUCUUUUCUUCUAGAGCCCUAAGUAACCGGUUCUAGUUCUGAAACCGGUUCCGGUUCCAGUGCCGGUUCCAGUUCAAGUUCCGACUCCCAGAAAAAAAGGAAUCGGGAACUGGAACCGGUCCCCUUGGAACCGGGAACCAAACCGGACCCUCCUCCAGUUCGGUUCCGGUUCCUGGGUAACUCGGGAACUGCGCUCACCCCUAGAUGUCUACGCCGAAGUCUCCAGGAGGUUCCGUUUUUGGGAUGGCCGAAUUCUUCUUAUUCACAGUGGGGCCCAAAGCUUGGGCACACGCUCACGCACACCACGCUGGAUUUUCCUUUUACCCCCACGGAAACAAAAUAGGUGGGCCCAGGUCAAAAGUUUGACCUGGGCACACGUAUAAAAGAGGAAUUAUGCAGGUCUUCUUUUCUUUGCCUGAGGAGCCGCGCGAAGCAAUAAAAGGCUGCACGUCCGCGCCGCUGCACCUGUACGAGAGAAAGGGAAGUCAUGCGAAGCUUUGAAGAGAUACGCGAUUUCAUAUGUACGCGAACCAGGCGUACGUAGAGCGUUGUAUUUUGAGCUUGUACAAGGCAGUAAUUUUGUGCCGUGAAUUUAUGCUCAAAUGAGUUGUUUAUUUAUAAACACUUUAGGUUUGAGAUUAAAUAUAGGUGUGGGAAACACUUGAGCGUUUAAGCGAUUGUAGACUAUAAUUCUCCAAUUUUAAUAGAUUAUUUGCUACUGAUUCUCCCCGUGGACAUAUGUACUGAUACUCGGAUCGAACCACGUAAAUUUCUGGUGUUCUUAUUAUUUAUUUUUUUGUGACCCAGGGAACCCGCACACCGUACCAACACGGACAGCCCGAAAGGCCUGGGGUAACGAGGGGUAAACCUGAGGGCAACACGUGCUAGCCACCACACAUGUGCCAUCGGGUAAGUCACCCUGCGACGCCCGGGAAUCGGACUCCUCCCCUUGCGUUAGGGGGAGAAGCUCGCCGCCAGUAGCGCCACCCAGGUGGGUGGUUCUGGUGUCCUUAUUUUUCUCGUUUAUUUUUCUGAUGAUUUCGCGUUGACGUAAAUUGCAAGAUCCUAUCGUUUCUGCGUAUUAUAUUCCAACACUCUCGAACCCAAUUCAACAAAUUUAAUGUUAUAAAAUUAGGCAUAGACAUCCCUAACCAUGCACGUGCAUGCACACAAACAUAUAUAUAUGAAAUUAAUAUGUGAUUGAGCGCAAAUCGAGUUUAGAACACUGAAUAUGAGUUAAGUGGAUCUCGACUUGGGCACUAUUGUGUCUCGUUUGGAUGCCCAGGGGCCAUCCAUGUCGACACUAAGUUCUAUUCAUUGGACCCGAAGUCUCCAUUGAAGCUGUUGAGCAUUCUCACAUGCAAAACUUGAAUUUGAGGUCCUUGAGAAGUCUCGUUACUCACGAUUUGGUUGCGAUCUCCAUCAUGCAAGUAUUAAGUCCCCUAUAUUAAGUAACUAACAAGAUACAUCGGUCUAAGAGUAUAUUUGUUAUAUUACUCUAAAUAUUGUGUUGACAUAAAUUUUUGUGAGAGAAACAAUAUUACUGAAAAUUAUGGCAAUAUAUAUUUUCAUAUCAAUCAAAUUUUCGCUAGCGUUUACGUGUAGUUUUAUUUAAUAAAGUGGACCCGAACUGCAUCAUGUAGUUUCGGGAUAUGGAAUUGCAAUAUAUACCAAACAUAAUAUAAUUGCAUGUUGUGAAUCAAUAAGAGACUUGAGAGCACAAAGAAUGAAAAUUCCUUUCUCUUGAUAGAUUUCCUACAUUUGUCAAAUUCUCUAGAUUUUCGACUUGAUAAAGAGAAGUUGUGCAAGCUAUUGAUGAGAAUCUUCUUAAGAGUAAAAUUAAUGGUUUAUUUUCUCUCCUGAAUUCACUAAUCCCUAUUUAUAGGGAAUUUUAUUAAAUAGGUUUAAAUCUAUUGUAUGACUAUCAAUUUAGUCCCAAAAAUUUUAAUUUUCACAUCAUGGCCCUAAAUCUAUGCCCAAAAUUCCUAUGUAAUCCUUUCAAGCAAUUUUGGGAUGAAAAUGCCGAUGUAAACAUUUUGCAAUUGCCAAAACGAUGUCCUUAUUUUUUUUGUCUUUAUGAUUUCUUUUCUCUUUCCUUUUUCUUCUUCUUUCUUUUCUUUCCUUUAAGUUAUUUUCAUCUUCUCUUCGUCUUCCAUCACUUCCUGUACUGUUCAUAUUCCCUGACUUCAACCUCUCUCCUCCAUGUAAAGUCUCGUAAACUCUUAUCAACAUAAUUACCAGCAUCCAAUUCAAAUUGCCAAACUCCAAGAACAAGAGCCACAAAUUGAACUAGUUGAAGGAGAGGAGGACUAGAAGACUUUUAAUUUUUGUUAUAGAAAUACUCCUAAAGUAGUUGGAUCCCACAACUAACAAUCUAGCUCUAAUAGCAUUAGCAAUUUCUUCGUGUAUUCUCCAUGAAUCGUCCUUUCGCUCUCUUUGUGGAGUCAUAUCCGAUGAAUAAUUGAAUCCAAGGUCCAAAGCUAGUGAAGUGACGUCCAAUGUGAUUGUGGCACCAAUUAGAAAUUGAGCAUAAGGAUUCGCGCAUUUUAAGAUACAAGAUCCCAAUCAUUCUACCAUUUAAAAAUCCUUGAGAGUUAUCUACACAUCUUACAAGGAUAAAUUAAGUAGAGUAGUCAUCAUCAAAUAUCCUACAUUGACAUAGGAUACGCGAUUGAUGUUUAGGAGUUUAUGCUCCUAAUAUUUCGAUUCCUCCUCAUCAUCACCAGUGCAAAUAGUUACGCAUAUAUAACGGUCUCUAUUCACUGAGAAGGGCAAUCUUGUCAUCAUAUAUAUUUUUGAUCUUAUUUUACAUUAGACAUGAUCUCUUACACGGAGGCAACACUCAUUCAUUUAGGGAAUGAACGACUCUCACACCGAGCAUCAUUGGGUGAAAGAAUAUAUCUCAUACCUAACUCGGUAAUCUUGGAGUUGAAUUUGAGCACCGACAGAGUAGCUGCACACUUGAAAGAGUUGUUGUCUCGCAGAAUUGAUGCACGCAGUACAGUCUGACUGUCCAAGCAUGUCGUUACAUGCUCCAUGCCCCCAAAAUUGAAAGUAGAAAUUGAGAAACGAGCCAUAGUAGUUGUACCCAUGAGUCGCCGUGUUAGCGCUCAGAUCGUCUAGGACUGCAUUCACUGUAUUUCCAUAUGGACCAUGAGGGUAAUAUUGUUGCCCAUCGCAAAUUCUGUUUAGCAUGGUCGUGUUUGUGGCACCACUUGCCGUGGUGCACAGAGAAAGAAGCCCUACAAUGAUGCCUACGAUUCCUUGAAACCUCAACAUGAUGUUUAUAUACGCAAUCUCUAUGUCUUCAGUAUAUAUUUCUCUGACGUUUAUAAGAGCUAGUUUCGGCUAUAUAUAAGAGGGUCGAUUACAUAGGUUGGGCUGCUCCUCUUAUAUCAUUACAUCAGUGCAAAUGUCAGAUGAAUUAGGUGACAACAUCCUCGAUUAUUCCAUCGUCUUCACUCUUGAACACUCUUAGCCAAGAGAUUCACAACUUCCUCGAUUCCCUCAUCCUUGUCUAUUCUUUUGUGGUAUAUGGUUCGAUAGGCAUAAAAUAGACUAGAUACUCUUUAGGAUCAAGAAUAAUUUGCUCCAUCCUAUAAUAUCAAUUGUCUUCUGAAUUGGUCUAGGUUUUACUGUUGUUAAAUUAACACGGAAAUUGACAAGAUCUUGAAAUUAAAUUAAUCAGAGAAAUAAAUGAGAAACAAUCAAGGACACAGGAAAUUUACAUGGUUCAGUCUGAAAGUUGGUACCUACUUCAUAGGGAGAGCUGGUCGUAAAUAAUGUAGUAAUAAUCUAGAAAAUUAAAUUUACAAUAUCCCAUACUCUUAAGUGUUCCCACACUUCGAUUAAUUCCAAACUCACAUUAUUUAAAAAUAAAUAAUUUAAUUGGAUGUACAGCUCACAGCAUAAGUCUCUCAAUUACUUGCUGCUUGAAAGAAAUAGAAAAAACCCACUCACUAUUCUCUUUCCUUUUGGGGAAAAUAAUACAAAUAGUCCAUGAACUUUAAUAUACAAUAUGAUGCUUGAACUUUCAAUUUGUUCAAUGUAGUAUAUAACUUUAUCCUAAUGUCAACGUAGUUUUUGAACUAUUAAUUUAUUCAAUGUGAUCCUUGAACUUCUGAUACAUGUUUAAUUUUUAAUUUGUUCGAUGUGGUCUAUGAACUUUCGGUACAUAUUCAAUUUAAACCAUGCACUUUAUGAAAAUGUUCAAUAUGUAUAUGAACUUGAAUAAAUGAAAUGACUAUAUUGAACAUUUUCAUAUAAUUCAGGGAUUAAAUUGAAUAUGUAUCAAAAGCCUAAAGAUCAUAUUAAAUAAAUUAAAAAUUAAGGAAACAUAUUGCAUAUUGAACCAAAGUGCAAGUAUGAUUUGUGUCAUUGACCAUUCCUUUUUCUCAAUUACAAUACAGCCAAAGUGAGUUCUUUUUUCUGUCCUGUAGUGACCAUUAUCUUUUUUCUUUUCUUUUGCUUUUUGGUGAAGACGUCCACUGCGAGACAUUUAAACAAGAUACAUCUUGAUCGGUCAAACUAAUCAAGGAGGGAAUAUUUAUCUUCUCCAACAAAAUAAAAGAGCAAAUCCUUUGUGCCCAAGAGAUAAAAACAAAAUCUGCAAAUUUCCUUAUUUCAAGGCCACUUCUGAAUUAACUCACAUUUGCCUCGAACGCCUAAUUAUCGUUACAAUACAUGGAGUCUACAUCUUCCAAUCAGAUCGAUUCCCUAACGAGCUGAAACUUGAGAUAUAAUCUAACACUUACAGAAUGGAGGACUUAAAUGGAGGAAUUAUUGCAUGGAUCUAUGUGAUGUGGCGAGUAAAAAGAUAGGUAACAUGAAAGUUUGCAUAUAACUACAACUAGUUCGAUAACAUAUUAUCCAUUAUUGAGAUGCAUCUAUAAGUUGUGUUAGAAAGCGCAUAGAGUAGUUAAGAUAUCAUGAUUCGCCCAUAAUGCAUAGGCUUAAAUUUUAAAGUGAAAGUUGGUCUAACUGGAAAUAUUGAUGGGCUCAAAUUUAUGCUCCUUAGCAAUCUCCCUAGGAGAAGGAAUUGACUUUUAUUACAUGCUUCCAAUAAAUGAUAUCAUAUACAGGCAUUUCCCAAUUUGUUGACUGCUUGUUUUAAGCAAACGAAUUGACUGCAGAAGGUUUUACCCAUAAGGCUAGCUGCUUUGUUUAUCUCACUUGCCAUUAGUCCGUCUAGCGCCUUUCGGUUGGCGUCCGUCUUGGGUAGCCUCCUGCUUGACUGAUUUCUCGAAGUCAAAAGCUGGCAAUACCUCGGUUUAUAGAGCCAGUAAUUUGGCAUCUUCUAAGGAGUUGCCAAGAGGUGGACCUAUACGGGAAAUCAGAGGUAGAUAGUUCAAUAAGAUCAUUUUCUCCUUCUUUACUGAUGGUUAAUCGGUGGCCCACUCCUAUGUAUAUCUAUAUUUGGUGAAUAUCUCAAGAAAGGAAUUUCAUGACCAAUGCAGCUUUUGGACAACCUUGAUGGUUCAUUCUAGCAAAAGAGACGUGGGGUGAAGUUGAACAUUGUAUUGUAACAAUGCGGUCACAAUGACAGCCUUCGUAAUUCGGUUGAGAAAGAGAGCAGGGAUGAAGAUGAGUGUUGAAGAUUGAAGUUUGGGACAUGUUGAUGUAGAAGGGUACUUGAAUUAAAGGAGAGAAGACCUAUACUAAGCUCACACAUGAGACUAAGUUUAACAUUCCCAAUUUGCAUAUUAGAUAACUUUAAAGACUAUAUCACCCUUCGACUACUGAACAAAACUUAAGUUGGGGAUCAUUUUUUUGAAGAAAAGUGAUAAUGUGGUCUAAUUCAACUUUAAUGAAAAAAAAAAUCAGAUGAGGUCUGACUAAUAAGGAUUUGUGCCAGUCAUAACAACUUGAUUGAUUUCAAGUUAAACUCGAGUUGCUCGAGGAUCUCAUCAAAUUGUUCAAACUCGCCAAGACUUUGCUCAACAAGCUUGUUGUUGACCAAAUCUCGACUAAUUCAUCCAUUGCUUUAUACCAUAAUCCUAUAGUACAUUUUAAAGAUAGACAUUAGCAUUUCAUGAAAUUUUUAACAAAAGUCUGAGAUUGAUAUCUAUACACUUCCAAUUUUAAUAUUUUCUAUUCAAUUGAGAUAACUUUGUACUUGUCAAGAUCCAACAUUGCCAAUUUCAUGGGGGUCAAACUCAAACAUUGUCAAGUCAAAUUGAUCUAUACUUGUAGACAAUUAAUCAAUUCAAACAUAUACAAAGACCAAUGGCACUGACAAAGCUACUCACAUUCCACAUUUAAACCACGCUCUGAUGAAACCUUAUUGAACUCAUAGAUUUUUAUAGACAUGCCACCAUUGAUUUUGGACAUUUUUCCAAUAUAAGUUUAGGUUAUCCCCUGAGUUUAUAUUGCAAGCUAUGUCCACAAUCGCGAAGCUGAAACUGUGCACCAAUACUAUAGGGGCACUCUCUUAAAUUCCUUGUGGGCGAUAUCCAUGCAGCUAAUAAAGUCCACGUGUCAAUACACCAUUGUACACACCGUAGCCGAAGCACUUGCAUGGUGGAAAGAAGCAUGGUUGUAGUAGUCAAACCCCUUUUCCGCAACUGCGUACCUCAGAUCGACCAGGACGCUGUUCCAUGCGGAGGAAUAAUCGUCCCAUUCGUAGUAUUGCCCUCCAUUCCAACCUUUUCCGCAGAAAUCAUGUCCGGGUGACUUCUAAUGAUGCAAAGACACUGUGAAAGUACUAUGAGCAGGACUGCGAUUGUCGGUGCUGUAAACAUAAAGAUGGUCUUUCCUUCUAAUUCUCUUUUGUUUAGAUUACAAAAACCCAAGAAUUGAGUUAGGUAUAAAAAGGGCUCAUUCCUCAUUGGGUCCUCAGUCAUUAAUUGAUUAGGUCAAGAGUCUUUCUUAGGAUCUUGGUGAAAUCUUCAUUGGAUCAGAAGGCUGUUGCUUCUCUGUCUAACCGGUGAAUUUGGCAUAUACACCAUAGAAUACAAGUUCUUUGACGUCCUUGCAAACCAUUCUUUCUCGAAUCUUGCAUAUUAAAAUGAGAGUUCAUGUAUAAUAGCCAACUUGUGCUGGUAAGAUAUGAUUCCUUGUCAUACUAAUUAUGUUAGGAAAAUUCCUACCUACCCCCAAUGUAUACCCUAUUCCUCUCACAACAAGCAUAUGUCGAGACCUAGUCGGAGUGAAACUAAAUCGAGCUCUCAUGAGUUGUCUAGUCUUGGGUUGAUGAUUAUUUGAGAAGGGCUCGAUUGAUUUCUAGUCAUAUUCUAGCAUGAACUUCUCGAGUGUCUUGUCAAAUUGAAGUCGGGGUUGCUAAUACUUAGCUGAACAAACUUGUGAGUCUAAUUCAAAAAAAAAAAAUAUUAUUAUAAAAUUAGACAUAGACAUCCAUAACCACACACAUGGAUAUAUGGAGUGCUGGACACCACAAGUGCCAAAAUUUGGUACGGGUAGACACUUAAGUGCCAAAACUUUCAAAAAGUACACUUAGGUGCAAAAAUUGAAGAAGAAAAAAAAUACUUAAGUGCCAACGGUGAGAAUUUCUAGCCAAAUUGUCAAUGUGGCUUUUUUCCAACGACAUUUUUUUCUAACAUAGAAAUUCUUUUUUUUUUAAAUUAUCCAUAUGGUGCUAUAAGCCCAAAAUGAGUCAUUUUGCCCUCGAAUUUGAUUUUUAAUAAAUAUCAAUUAAAUUAAAUUUGAAAGACUAAUUUUUUUUAUAAAAAAAAUAAGAAAAGAAAAAGAAUGAGGAGGCAGCAUUUAGUGAGGGCCUCUAUAGCCCUCAUCGUUGUUGCCCCUACCGUCGCCAACCCUUUUCAGCAAUGGUGGGGCGACAGCAGUGGCGAGGGCAUUCCAACGAGCCACGUAUACCACUUUUAUCGAAUGUUGCCUCCUUCUUCUUCCUUUUUCAAAUUAAUUUAAUUAAUAUUUAAUUACUAAAUUCGGAGGCAAAAUGAUGUCGUUUUACGAAUUGAUUGCUAAAUAGACAUUUCAACGAGCCACGUAUACCACUUUUAUUAAUAAAAACACCACUUCAGAUUUUUAGUUAGCCUUGCCGAAAUUAGUACUUAGGUAUUCAAUUUUCAAAAAAAGUGGAACUUAAGUAUAUCUUUUGAAAAUCUUGAUACUUAAGUGUCCAACCGUGCCAUGUUUUAGCACUUACAAUGUACUUUUGCCCAGAUAUAUGCAUAGAGUACACUAGUACCUCGUCUUUUUAUUUGAGUCAAGCUCCAUUAGGAAAAUUAUACUUGAUUGAGCUCAAAUCGAAUUCCAAACACUAAGUAUGGGAGUUUUAGUCUAUCUUGACUUGGGUGACUUGUUUAGACACUCAAAGCCCAGCCUUUUUUACACUAGAUUCGGGUAAUUGGAGCCAACACGUUCAUCAAAGCAGUUGAGGAUUCUCCCAUGCAGAAUUCAAGUGCGAGCUUCUUGUUGAGAAAUCGCAUUAUCACGAUUUGGUGGUGAUCUUCGUUGUGCAACUUUCAAGUUCCCAGAAUUUUUAAUCCUCUAUAUUAAGCAAUCAGCAGGAUAUAAAACUGCAAUACUCAUCGAAUUAUAAUAUACGUACAUGCUAUGAAUCAAGAAGAAACAGGAAAGCCUAAAGAAUGUCAAUUCCUUUCUCUUGAUAGCUUUUCUACGUUCGUCGGAAUAUUCAAAUUUGUGCCCUCUGGAUGUGGAAAAGGCGGGCAAGUUAUUUAUACAGAAUCUUAUUGAGAGCAAAAUUAAUAGUUCUUCUAUCCUCCAUUUGCUACUUUAAAAAAUUAUGAUCUUUGGAGUUUCUGUAUAGUUGAAAAGAAUAGUAGAUUCUAACUUUAUCUCGGCGUCAGCUUUGAAGAUCAGAAUUUUGAUGUUUUUGCUAAUGAAACAUCGAUUUUUAUUACUGUCUUGUUUCGCUGAUCAUCCCUCAACAUCACAUUCUCAAAGCACACACAGGCAAAGUGGAACCAAACCCUUGCCGAGAUCUAGGCGAUGGCGAGGGUUGACGACAGCCACCGCUUGCCCUCAUGUAGUGGUGCCGCACUAGUGACGAGAGUCAGACAAGUAGGGAUUGGCUGGUCCUUGUGUUUAUUGGUGCGCCACUAGCACAUGAAGGCGACAGCAAGUAACCCUCGUGGUAGCCCAGUGAUGCUUGUCUGUGCUCGACGCCGAAGUAAGGGUGGCGAUGGCACCACCGGAAUUUUUUUUUUCUUUUAGCUAUCUUGGGCACCAGAUUAGCAUUUACUUGGUGCCUUAUCAAUCUCAACUGACGUAAAAUUUUUGGAAAUGCCACGUAUUUUGUUCACUGAAAAUGGAAAUAAUGGGAAGUAAUUGAUAAUUUUUUUUUAACAAAAUUUAGGAAUUGGCCGUACCACUUGAAAGUUUGAAUUAGUUAGUACUCACUCGUUGCUUGAUUGCACUUUUUUUUUAAUGACUUUUACGUCGGUGAUUUAACUAUAUCUGGUAGCAUGUUUGUUUGUUUUAUUUUUAAACUAAUAAAUGGAAACAUUAAUAGAUGGAAUACAAGACUAGUGGUGUACUGAUUUUAUUUGAUAGGCAAAUUAAUUAUGAGCUCUCCCAUUUGAAAACCAGUCUAAUGUUUUUGCCUGAAGCAACUACCAUGUGUCACUUCAUCGUAGCGUUUGUUGUUGAGCGAGCCAGCACAUUUGACCAAAGUAGUCAUUGGUUAGUCUAUCAAUUCGGAACAUCCAACAUGUCUCACUAGUCCUGCAUCCAACAUGUGAUCUCACUAGUCCUUUCAAGUUACGUGCACAAUCUCAGUCAUCAAAUUAAAGAAAAUUGAUGUCAACUGUUGGAUGACAAGGCAUCUUGACCGUGUAAUCAAGAGAAAUUGAUCAUGAGCUGCGCUAUAUCACCAUUGCACUACUUAUGGAAACUGAUCUUCAUCCAUGUUGCAGAAUAUAAAACUUCUUAGUUUUCUUUAUUUUCUUUAUUCACUUCGGUUUGACCAUGAUGAAUUGUUGUCAUGGACUUGCAGUCUUAAUCUUUUUUUUAUAGUAGAUAAUUAAUUCCAAGAAGUUCCUUGAGAAGAUGUGGAAAGGAUCUCUUGAACUCGGUGCUUCUCAAGGUUCCAGCUUCUUCAACUUGGACUAUAGAACUAGAAAAGGAAACCAAUAACAUCUUUUUGUUGUGAAAAAGGGUGUCAGGGAUUCAUAGAGCGUUACGACAUUGGUCAUGUUCACCUCAUAGUUUUCAAAUAUAAAGGAAACUCAUCUUUUUGCCUAAUAUUAUUCAAUGAGAGUGCUUCGGAGAUAUUAUGAUGAUGCAUAAUUGUACAAAAAUGCAAUCACUAAUUUAAACUAAGCUUGCAUUUUGAUGAAAUUGUGAACAUUCCGAAGGCUACUUAAUACGUGCAUUGAUUCGAUCAAACAUCGGCAUGGCGUUGGCAAUUUAUUAAGUGAGAUUCGCCUAGAGUAACAUGUGGUUCCAAAAUUACGGCACCUCAUCAUUGAAUUUUACUUCCCUACAAGGUCAUAUUAGUAUAUCAAAACAUAGCAAUAUGGACUAGGCGGAUAGGGAAACAAAAAAAAUUAAUCAAGAUACAGAGAAGAAGAAAGUGUCGUAACUAGAGGAAUGGCGAGUAAGAAAUUUUCAGAUAUGGAUCAAGUUAGGCCCAGUAGCAAACCAGGGCGCAUGUCGGCAAAGAACAAGGGCAUAUCUCGAUCACGGGCUAGGCCCAGUCCAGGUCACGAAUCAGGCUCUGUUUAGUUCGGCUCUAUUCAGUGAUCGUCAUGAUUUGAAGGAAGUUCUUGGACUCUAUGCGCGAAAAGCUCAUCAAUAAGAGACAAGUGUUCAAUCUAACAAGAAUGCAAGGACACUGGUUAGACUUUAAAUUAACGAUUUAAAGGAAGUUCUCAAUCUAAAAAAAAGUCCUUUAGUCUUAAAUGUGCAAGAAUGCAUUUCAAGAAUGAGGACGUGAGACUAUUCAGAUUGGAAAUUUUUGUUUUGUCAUAACAUUUUUUUUUGAAAUUAGUCAUAAUCUUUUUAAAUAGUCAUAUUAUAUACAGUUUUACAAGUCAUUUGACAUUCUAAUCUUACAACUUUGAUCUGCAGAAAAAUUAAACAAUUACAAAUUUUCCUCAUGAUCUGAGUUUUUUUUUUUUUUCACUUAAAGGGAUGAUUUGAAGGGCUUUUUGUCAACACGUGUGAAAAUUCGAAAGAUAAUACAUGAAAAUGCAAGACUUAAUUUUAACUAAUGGUCAAUAUUAAUUAGUUCUAAUUCUUUAAGUUAGCUCAAGUCUAAUAUGUCAAUAGGUAGCACAUUAUCAAAAUUUGCUAUCAAUAUACAUAUAUAACAUGGCCGUUUUACAUUUAAUGGAGCGUUUUACUUAUUUCUAAUUUAGAAAUUUAUAUUGCUCUGAAAUUUAGAGUGAAUAAACAUAGAAGUUUCCAAUCGAUUAUGGCAUUGGAAGAAGAACAUCAAACAUGUCUAAUGUACGCCAUGAACGAAGUCUCUAUGGGCGCAUUUGAUAACGUUUCUGUUCAAAAGUUGUUCCAGGGAACAGAAAUAGAAAAAACUAUUUCUACUCCUGGAAACAAUUUUUGAAGAGAAGAAGGCAUUUAGUAAAUUUGUUCUGGGAAUAAAAAAUGAACAGAAACACGAUUGGUAAAUUUGUUUUUUUUUUUGUUUCUUUUAAUUUUUUAAUAUUUAAAAAAAAAUCUUUUUUUUAUUUCUUUUCUUUUUUUCUUCUUUUGGCCGGUCGCCCAGCCUUGCCCCUUGCCGGCGAGGCAAGGCUGAGCCUCGCCAGGGGCCAGUGACGCUAGGCCUCGCCGGGGGCCGGCGACGCUCUGAUGAGGUCGCCGGACCUCGACAGCGUCGCUGGCCCUCGACGGCCAGUCGCCGGCCAUGGCCGAGGCUGGCGACUAGCCAAAGAAAAAAGAAAAAGAAAAGAAGAAAAAAAAGAGAAGAAAAAGAGAGGAGAGAGAAAAUUUUGUUCUUAAAAAUUGUUCCAAAAACAAGAAACAUGUUUUUCUUGUUUCUCAUUUAUGUUCCAAAUGUGUUUCUAAGAACAAAAAAAUAGAUUUGAAAUAAAAACGCAAACAAACGCAUUUCUGUUCUUUUUUUGUUCCCUGGAACAAAAAAAAUAGGAUUUUUGUUCAUAAACAGAAAAAAAAAAUGUUAACAAACAGGGCCUAUAUGGCAAUUACUAGCACAGCGGUAGAUCAAAAAGCAUGGGUACGUCAUAAAGCAAAAAUGUGAAUGCUCAGAUUUGGAUUUGAUGCUUGCUCCUUACGCAACUCAAAGCAAAAGGCAGAAAAAGGAAAAAGUAAAGUGUCUUAACAUUCAAAGACCUUUAUCUAUAUCUUCACUUUCCAUGAUAUCAUUAUUAAAGUUAUUAUUUCCAAAGAAGCACCAUGCACUAAUCACUAAAAAUCCCAUCAUUAAAGAUGCAAUUAUUUGAAUUAACAUUUGAUAGUGGGGUGUCCCAUCUCCCUCUCAAGUCCACAUUUACUAAAGAUGCUUUAUGAAAACACUAAAAAGAUGAUAGCAUUGAUUAUCCUGAUCCCAUUUCUCUCUUGAUCCACCUUUAAUAAAUAUGCUUUACAAACUUGAUCCACCUUUAAUAAAGAUGCUUUACAAAAAAGCUAAAAAGUUGAAAGCCUUGAUUAUCUUCAUCCCACCACUCUCUUGAGUCCGCCUUUAAUAAACAUGCUUUAUAAAAAAAAAAAGCUUAAUAGACGGAAGUGUUGAAUAUUUUGAUAACUUAAAGAAAGAAACGGUAAAGCGCCUUUAACAUUCACAAAUGUUAGUCGAUACUUCCUUUUUCAUGACAUCCUUAUUAAAGUUAUUAUUUCCAAGAAAGCAGCCAUGCAUUAUCACUAGCAUCCCGUAAUUAAAGGUGCAAUGAUUUGAAUAGACAUUAGAUAGUGAGGGUGUCCCAUCUCCCUCUCGAGUUCACCUUUAAUAAAGUUGCUUUAUAAAAAAGCUGAAAAGACCAAGCGUUGAUCAUUUGGAAAUGGCUUAGCACAAGUGACACAACACACAAGAGAUGUUUGCUACAAUGUGGAAAUAAAGCAAUAGAUUAAUGAUAAGCCAAGUUGGUCACUGUUGAGAAAAAAUGGGCAUCCGUUGGCAAUUUUCAUUUUUACCAUUGAAAUCACUUCUGUUUUGUUCCAUGCCCCCUUUGUGGAGAGUUUGUUUAGGCGUAUUUGUGUAAUAGUCUUGUUUUAGACGGGUCGUGUUACUAACUUAGUGGUGGGGUUAUUGGGGCUUACUUCUAUUCGCUGCUAUAUAUACCAUUGACCCUUUUGUUUAAGUCGAACUUUAGAGCUAAAGAUUUAGUGAUUUGGGGCUUUAGCCGCUCGAUCAAGCACGAAGCUGUUUAUCUAAGAACAAACAGCAUUGUUUCAUGUUAUUUUAGUCCACAUUACACCAUCUUCCUUACACUAAGGACAAUCGAACAUGAUUGGACUAAUGCGUUAGAUAAAUUAGGCAAAACUUGACCGAGAACACUUGAUUAUACUUUUCCUCAAAGAGUUAAUUCUGUGCAAUAUGUUCAAUAAUGACUGUAAUUUUCUAGCAAUACUAUAACACUAGAACCCUAAACUUUGAUGAGAAUAGAAGAUUCUUGUGUGUCAUGUAAAUCAUGAUGGUAUUUGCCGAGUAAAUUUGCACUUGUCAAUUUUGAUUGUCUGAUGUUAUCCACUGCCUUCAUCAUGAAAUUAUAUUUACACGUUAAAAACCUACGCUAUUAAUUAACUAGAUAGAGUGGUAUUUGGGACAUAUUUGGGUUUAAGGCAUAUCAUUUUAGUCUUAAGUGAGAAUCACGUCGUACAAAGAACGAGAUCAUUUGGGCUCAUGAGGACUAGGUUUAUGCAAUUUCAAAACCAUUUUGUUUUUUUGAAAUUUGGCUCGAUGGCAACAAGGAACAUUCUUCCCUGAUGACUAAUGGAUUUUCCUAAACCCAUGGUUAUGGUCAAGGUCAAGCCAAUCUUUUCUAUUCUUCUUAUAUUUACAAUUGUUUGAGCCGAAAUAGCUCAUAUUUUUCGAGUACUCUUAUUUUUGAAGUCGUAACAUCUUCUCGAUCUAGAGUUUAGAGUAAGCUUGUGUCUAGUCAGGCAACAAACAAGAUCAAAGCUUUUAAUAUUUUUACACAUAUAGUUUGAAUAUUAUCAAGAAAGAGUAGUACCACAACUAUAAGAAUUAAUUCAUAAAAUUGAUCUAUAAAAGUAACGUGAAUUAGUUGGUCAGACUAUCACAUCAUUUUGUCAAUCAUUUCCAUACGUAUUGCCCUUAGUUGGAUUCAAUUAACCAAUGGAUUUGAAUCAAAGCGUCGGUUUACUCCAUAGUUGGAUUCAAUUAACCAAUGGAUUUGAAUCAGAGCGUCGGUUUAUUCCAAAGUGGUGAUGCAGCUAUAUGAUAUGAUGAGAUUUGUGGAAAUGUCCUAAGCUUAACUCAUUAGUGGCAUGUCUUCUAAUAGAAAAGCUUGCCUCAUAAUUUUAGUUUGUUUUUGAGUUUUCACUUUGUUUACUUUAUCCUUGAUACGUCUGGCUAUGACUUGAGAUUAUAUUAUGUACCCUAUGUCUAAUUUAAAAGCACAAUUUUUGAUAGGUUAAGAUUUAUUUCAUUCAGAUUUUACAGCAUAUUAUACAAUCAAAGGUUGCUGAUUAUAAUUCUUCAAAUUAGCAAAUACUGCGAAGUGCCGCGAAUAUACAUCUUAUGUGUUCUCUCAUUUUGUUUGCUUAUAUUGUGGUCUUUCAUAUUCAUACAUUCCUUGUUCAAAUAUGUAUGCGAGCAGAUAAUUCCCUUUGGAUUAAUCAAAUUGCAACUCUUACACAUUCUAAUGGAUCAUGCACAAUGAAGCUGAGAAUCCAUCACGUCUUAUCAAAAAGAUGAGGACUAAAUUACAUUUACUAGUUGUCUGCCUAGUUGGAAUUGCAAUCACAAGAGCAUGGUGGUGUCAUUUGUAGUUACAAGCCAUGUUUUGCUCACAUUGCGAUCUUUUAACUAGUGUUUAUUUAGAUCACAUGUUUUACAAAUGGGAGGUACUUGGAAAUAUGAGUUCCAGUGAAUGAUAUGAUGUUAGUAUUCAAAACUCUUAGUCUAUACUUUUGUUUUUUAUGAAAUCCUUAUUAAAAGUUAUUAUCUCUAAGAAAGUAGUCAUACAUUAUUACCACAAUCCCAUUCAAACAUGCACGCAAAAGUUGGGUUCUUAUGUACUCUUCUUGUCUGAUAGAGCUCUAUUGUUGGUAAAAAAAAAGCUAUGACGAUGCUCGGGCUUGCCUGAGUUCGUCCACUCUUAAAAGGGUAAAUGAUAAGGGAGUGAUAAAACCGAUCUCAUAAGAUACAAUAAUUUGACUAGACAUUAUAUAGUGGGAAGUCCUUCCUUCAUCUUGAGUCCACCUUUAAUAAAGGUGCUUUCAAAAAAAGCAAUAAAGACAAAAGCCUUGAUAAUUUGAAAAAGGCUUAGCAUUUAACAAAGAAUCAGACAGUAGAGAUUUUGGCCACAAUGUGGAAAUAAAUCAAUAGAUAAAUGAUAAGCCAAGUUGCUCAUAAUGGGAUCUUGAUAAUUUUUUUUUCCUUAAGUAGGAACAUGAUUUGACAAUAACACUCAGAACUCUUAGUCCAUACCUUCAUUUUCUAUGACAUCCUUAUUAAAGUUAUUAAUUUCCAAAAAAAGUAGCAAUGCAUUAUUAUCCAAUCCCAUAAUUGAACCAUUCAUGUAAAAAUGGGGUCUACAUGUAUUCUUUUGCUAAUCAUUGGAAAAAAGCUAUGCGUGUGGGUCAGGUCCAAAAGAUGCAAUAAUUGAACUAGAUAUCAGAUAUUAGGGUGUCCCUACUCCCCAUCGAGUCCACAUUUGCUUGUUUAAAUAUGCAUGCGGGAAGACAAUUCUCUUUGCAUUUUUCAUGGGAUCUAUUAAGGAAAAUAAUCAAAUUGCAACUCUUAUGCAUUCAGACAGAUCAUGCACGGUGAAGCCGAAGAUCCAUCACAUCUUCUCAAAAAGAUGAGGACUAAAUUGCAUUUACCUUUUUCUCUAUCAAGUAUGAACUCUAAUCGCAAGAGUUUGGUAGGGUAACUUAUAGUUUCGUAUGCCAUGUUUUUUUCUCGAUAGUGUUUAAUUAAAUUGCAUCUUUUAUAAAUGGGAAGUACUUAAAACUAUGAGUCUCUAUUAACAUAAGCAUUACAUGGCAAAUGAUUUCAUGAUAGCACUCAGUACUCUUAUUCUAUACUUUCUUUUUCUAUGACAUCAUGUUCCAAGUCCAACAAGGCAUCAAUGCCUUAUCAACCCAAUCCCAUGAUUGAACCGUGCAUACAAAAGUGGGGUCUUUAUGUGCUCUUUUGUCUGAUAGAAUUCUGUCGUUGGAAAAUAGCUUGCGGGCUCAAAGUUUCGGGCAUGAUCCUAGUCAUCAAAUAAAAGAAAAUGGAUGUCAACUGUUGGAUUUGGCAUGACCAUUUUGUCCUACCAAACCCCACUGUCCCAUGUCUCAUGCCAGUAGUAAGCCGUGCUACAUCACCAUUGCACCAGUCAUUGUGUAAACCGUAGUUUGAAUUCUCUAGCUUACACCCCUGUGAAAUGAAGCGACUAUCACUACAAUUCAAUGCGCAGCGCACCGCUCAUGGACAGAUCUUGCAGCCAUGCUGUAGAAUUUAAAACUUCCUAGUUUUCUUCCUUUUCUUUCUACACUUCGGUUUACUAUGAUGAGUUGUUGUAUAAUAAAGAACUAAUCCCAAAACGUUUCUUGAGAAGCUGUGGAAAGGAUCUCCCCUCGAUGCUUCGUAAGGCUUUGGCUAGUUCAACCUAGACUAUAGAACUAGAAAAGCAAAACAAUAACAUCUUUUCUUUGUGGAAAGGGUGUCAAGGAUUAACGGAGAUUACUCUAUUGGUCAUGUUCACCCCAUUUUUCCCAAAUAUAAAGGAAACUUCUUUUCAUCUAACAUUAUUCAACGAGAGCGCUUUAGAGAUGUCAUGACACAUACAAUUGUAGGACAAUGCAAUCAUUAAUUUAAACUAAGCGUGCGGUCCAUUUGAGCCUCAUCAAGAGAGUCGUUAGUUUUAGCUUAAUAAUUGGUGGCCCUUUGCUUAAUUAAUCAUUGCCUCGAUAGUGGCGUUGUGGGAAAGUAAUGUUUCUCAAUGGUAAAAGCCAACUAUAUUCUCAAUUAAUCUCUCUAUCUGUCUCAGCUGCCCUAAUUAAAGCAAUCUUACGUGUACUUAUACGUUUGCGUAACAGCAGCGGAGAAAGGACGCAGAGAUAGACUUCGUUGAUGGUGAAUGGUCAAGUAAAGGAACAAUAAAAUGCAGAAAACCAUUCACUUUUAGAAGGAGGACUCGUCGCAUUAAAGGCCAUCUCUGCUCCCAUAACUAUCCUCGAUUACACCAUCCCUCCCUCUCUCACAACUACCCUAAUGAAAGCAAUCUUUCGUAUAUGUAGAUGGUUGUCCAUGAGCUAUGGAAGAAAGGACGUGCAGGCUUGGACAUUAGUGACGGUGACUGAUCAGGAAACAGUAAAUUGCCAACAAAAAAAAUCAUCCAUUUCCACAUAUAUUCUUUUUAUGUUUCAUCUAUUUUUAGUUUUUUCACUGGAUUGUUUAUAAGACUAUUACCAUUCUUGUCUUGAUGGAGGCAACCGACAUAUAUAAUACUCGAAUUGCAACUCUAAGUCAUUCAUACAUCAUGCACGAUGAAACUAAAAUCCAUCACAUCUUAUCAAAAGGAUGAAGACUAAACUACAUUUGUCAUAUUCUCUGCCAAGUCCAAACUAUAGUCAUAAGAGUUUGAUAGUAUCACUUUCAGUUUUAUAAGACUUUUUUUUUCUCGCAUCAUGAUCUUUUAACUAGUGUUUAAUUAAAUUACGUCUUUUACAAAUGACAAACUUGAAAAUAUGGUUCCUAUUAACAGUAAACAUUACAAGGCGGACUAUUUGAUUAUUAAAGUUAUUAUUUAUAAGAAAGUAGCUAUGCAGUAGUACGACAAUCCCAUGAUUGUACUAUGCCUGCAAAAGUGACUCUUUUGUCUGAUAGGGCUCAGUGGUUGGAAAAUAGCUUUGCACGUUCCUUGAACAUCUUAUCGCAACUUUUGUCACUUUGCUUCAGUGACACGGUCAAGCAUCUUUGCCUCGGUCACCGAGCAAUCUCUUUGCCAUUUCUAAGACUUUAAUCACAUGAAUUUUACAUGAUAAUUUUUUUAUAUGCACUAAUUCAUCAUAGACUAGGAUAUUAUUACGCAAAUUAUCCUUAUCAACUUAAUUACAAAGAGAACAUCUCUCAUGACUUUAAUUAGUCAUAACAUUUAGAAAUUAGUCACAAUAUUUUCAAAUAGUCAUCAUGAUAUACAGAUUUAGGUGCAAUUUCACAUUCUAAUCUAAUAUUUAUGGUUGGCAUAAUAAUUAAAGAACUUUAAAUUUAUUUUAUGAACUGAGUUUUUUUUUUUUUCACUUAAUGGGACGCCUAGUGGGGCUUUUUGUUAACUAAUCAAGGAAAGAUAUUAUAUGAAAAAUCAAGGCUUAUUUUCAUCUCAUGUUUAAUAUUAAUUAGUUAUAAGGGUCUAAGCUAGCCCAAAUUUAAUGUGUCAAACAUUAUCAAAAACUUCUAUUCAAUAUAUAAUAUCUACAUUAGCAUAUCAUCAGAUUACCCAUACUUCUACCUCUCUUAAUGGGACAUCACAUAUCCUUACACAAUAAGGGUUAAUUGAAGUGAAGGGAAAGGUUGUUCAUUUGGGUCUCAUCAAUAGAGUUGGAAGUUUUAGCUUAAUAAUUGGCGAGAUCUUUUGCUUAAUUGAUCAUUGCCUUGGGAAGGUGAAGUGGGAAAGCAAUAUUUCUCAGGUAGUAAAAGGAAAGAGGACAAACAAGUGAGGCAUCGGAUCGGUUGUGUACGUUUACGAAUGCUGAGAUGUUUGUCCAAAAGCGGUGGAUGAAAGGACAGAGGUAGACAAUGGUGAUGGUAAGUAAAGGAACAUUAAAAUGCAGAAAACCAUCUCCGUUCCUCCAUCGACUCUCUAUUUCUAUCCCUCUCCCACCACUUACCCUAAUUAAGAAUCGUCCAUUUCCAUAUUAUGAUAAGGACAUUUUUCUUGGACAUUAGUGAUGGUCACUGAAUCGUUUGUCAAUCUAUUAUUGUUCUUAUCUUGAUGGAGUGACGGACAUAUGGCGCCCCUUUUGUAUCUUUAUUUUCGGCCAGUGACGGCUUGGGGGCAGUCUGCUUGCCACUCAACCCUCCAGGUGGAGCUCCAUCCAUGCCCAUCUCCUCUUUCUUCCAUGGAUUUUUGAGUCAUUCUCAAAUUUCUAAAUCGCUGGAUAGCUAGUAUUAAAAAGUCAGUCGUUUCUUAUAAAUUUUUCCAGCAAAAUGUUGCUGUUUUUUUUUUUUUAUGCUCCCUGCCCUUCAAAAAAAAAUUAAAAGUGAAAGAAAAUUAGGGUUAUUAAUUAUCAAAAGCCACAUAACUUUACUUGUCAAUAUUUGUAUAUUUAAAAAAAAAAAUCGAAACUGACUUGUGAUAAAUACAAUGUUUUAAAAUAAAUCUUAAAAUUAAAAUAUUCCAAAGAGACCCAUGCAUUUGAAAGAAAAGGGCGAAACUCCAAUUGUAAUGAGAGACCAUGAAACAAAAGUAGUGGUGACUUAGAAUUGAUUCUCAUAUUAAUAUUGUCUUGUAUAGAGUAGUAGUGCUCAAGAAAGUAAAUUGGUUUAAAAUGUUAAUAAAGAAUGGCAAAAGUUCAAUUUAUUUAGAAGUUUUGAUCUAACAAUUUCAAUUGAUGUUACGUCUAACGUAACAACUAUAAUUGACAUUAUCAUCUAAUAAUUUGCUUAAUUAUAAUGUUAUUUCUAUAUUUUAAAUAUGAUUGUAUUGAUUCGUGCAAGGAGUGGGUUUAAGACUAAUACUUAAUCGGUGUUUGUCCAUUAACGGUGGAGGAAAAGAUGAAAGCAUGGACUAGGACUAGCACAUUAGCGGUGGAAAAGGAUGAAAGGACCAUUUGCGGUGGCGAAGGAUGGAAGGAUGGAUAACUCAUCAAUAUCUAUCCACUAAUGAUGGAGGAAAGAAUGGAGACAUGGACAUUAGUGAUGGUGACUGGUCAGUAAAGGAACAAUAAUGCAGAAAAUCGUACACUGAUAUGCUCAAAAGGAAUUGAUUGGUGUUUAGUUAAGGCCUAACUAAGAUUAAGUUAACGAGCUCCAUAGUCUAUACCGGUCUCUUCUUUUUUCCACCAUGGUUAGGGUCUUUGCUAAAAAAUCAUCCAUUUCUAUAUACAUAGAUUAGUGUUUACAUCUUAAAAUAUUCAUUUCAAGAUCAUAACUUUCAAUUAAAUUAUUUAAAAUGUUUAUUCUGCCUACCCGAAAUCCAACGUGGCAUUAUACUUGGGAUGCACAUUUUAAAAAAGCUAUGACAUCUAAGUAAUCAAAAAAAAAUUAUGACACUUAAGUUAGUGCCGUACAAAAAUUACAACACUUAUAAUGUCUUUUUUCCAAGAUCUUUAGCAGCAAAAUAUGCAAGGAAUCAUCGGAGUUUGAUUGUUAGGUCCACCAUGUCUCAUGUAGCAUGCAACCACUUAGACUAAUUAUCAACCACUCAAGCCCACAUUUGAUAAAGAUGUGGCUGGAUCUACUACUAUCUCGUUCAUUUGUAAUUUGAGGCUUUAGCCACUCAGACCAAGCAACAAUGCCAUUUAUCUAAAUAUAAACAGCAUCGUUUCAUGUGAUUUUCGUUCAAAUCACACCAUCACCUUUACAAGUAGGACAAUCAUCCAUGGCUGACUCAUCACAUAAAUCAAUGUAAACUUUGACCGAGCGAACUUGAUUACACUUUCCUAAAAUAGUUAGGACUUAAUUGAUUGAAUUGAAAGAUUUAUGACUCAAUUAUAUUCUGUAUAAUAUGUCUAAUAUCAAUUGUGCAAUUUUCUGAGCAAUACUAAAACACCAGUACCUCGAACUUUGAUGAAAGUAGAAGAUUCAUGUGUGUGUCUCCAUAUUGAUCAUGACACAAUCUUUAUCUCGUACAUUUAAUAAUUUCUCAAAUAAAUUGAUAGUUUUCUCUUGUCAAUUUUGAUUGUCUAAUUUGUUGUCCUCCCUUUAUCAUGAAACUCUAUUUCCACAUGUCAAAACUCCCCACUGUUAAAAAUAAUUAGAUAAAGCGAUAUAUACAAGAUAUUUGGGUUUCAUUUCUUGUAGCUUGGGUUUCUAGUGAACAUGACGUGAUACAAAGAGGGAGAUCAUUUGCACUCCUGAGGAUUGGGUUCAUGCAAUUAAAAAACUAUUUUGUUUCUUCAAAAUUUGGUUCUAAUGGCAACAACGAACAACCUUCUCCCACGUGUGAUGGAUUUUCUUAAGCCUCGCUUAUAGUCUAGGUCAAGCUGAUCCUUUCUAUUUUUCUUAUUUUUACAAUUGUUCAAGUCGAAAUAGCUCAUUUUUUCAAAUACUCCUAUUUUUGAAAUUGUAAUGUCAUCUCGCUCUAGAGAUUCGAGUAAGCUUAUGUCUGACCACGCACUAAUCUACGAGUUUUUAAUUGUUUGAAUAUUAUCAAGAAAAAAUUAUACUACAGUUAUAAGAAUUAAUUUAUAAAACUAAUUUAUAAAAGUGAUGUGAAUAAGUUGGCCAGCCUAUCACAUUGUCUGGUCAAUCAUUUCCAAACGCAUUUUUCUUAGUAUGAUUCAAUUGGCCAACAAAUUUGAAUUUGAGCGUCCAUUUUUCAAAGUGGUGAUGCGGCCAUCUGAAGUGAAGACGUUCAUGGGAAGAUCCCAAGCAUAAUACAUUAGUGGUAUGUUUUCAAAUUUGAAAGCUUGCCUCUAAUUUUAGUUUGUUGUUAGCUUUAGUUUUAACUUCGUUUGUUGUAUCCCUUAUACCUACGGAUAAGACUUGAUAUUAUAUUAUGUACGCAAUGUAUAGUCUAAAAGUACAAACUUUGACAGGUUAAGAUAAAUGAUUUUUGGAUGAUGCAACCUAUCGCAUCAUUAAGACUAAGAUUAUAACUCCUGAAUUUAGCAAAUACUAUCAAGUGUCGUGAAUAUACAUAUUAUUAUGUUUUCUCAUUCUAUAUGCUUAUAUUAUGGUCUUUCAUGUUGAUACAUUGCUUGUGCAAAUAUGCAUUGUGGGAAGACAAUUCUCUUUGCAUUCUUGAAGGGAUACAUUGAGGGAAAUAAUAGAAUCACAAAACUUAGGUAUUCAACCAAAUCGUGCAUGGUGAAACCGAGGAUCCAUCACAUCUUGUCCAAAAGACAAGGACUACAUUACAUUUACCUUUGUUCUCUGCCGAGUUCAAAUUGCAAUUACAAGAGUUUGUUGAUGCCAUUUGUAGUUUUAUAAGCCAUUUUCUUUUUCACAUCCAAUCUUUUAACUAGUGUUUAAUUAAAGGACAUAUUUUACAAAUAGUAGGUACUUAAAAAUAUGAGUUUCUAUUAACGAUAAUAAUUACAUGGUGAAUGAUUUUAUUAUAGAAUUCAGUACUCUUAAUCUAUACUUUCAUUUUCUAUGACAUCCUUAUUCAAGUUGUUAAUUUCUAAGAAGGCAGCCAUGCAUUAUUACCCCAAUCCCAUGAUUGAAUCAUGCAUGCAAAAGUGGGGUCCGCAUGUAUUCUUUCAUCUCAUUGGAAAAAAAAGCUAUGGUUGUGGCUUAGGUCUAGAAGAUGCAAUAAUUUGACUAGACAUUAGAUAUUGGGGUGUCCUCACUCCCUGUCGAGUCCACAUUUGAUAAAGAGGUGGUUGGAGCUAUUACUACUUUGUCCAUUGAUAAUUUGGUGCUUUAGCCACUUGACCAAACAAUAAUAAGGUUUAUCUAAGAUCAAACAACAUUGUUUCAUGUAAUUUUAGUUCAUGUCACACCAUCACCCUUACAUAUAGGAUAAUCGGUCAUGAUUAGACUGACAUGUCAAAUAAAUGAGAAAAAACUGGCCGAGAUAAUUUGAUUACACUAUUCCUCAAAGAGUUAAGACUAAAUUAAAUUAAUUAAAAGGUUUAGAAUUCGAUUACAUUAUGUAUAAUAUUUUUAAUACCGAUUGUGCAAUUUUCCCAGUAACACUAAAACACCAAUACCUCGAACUUUGAUGAAAAUAGAAGAUUCUUGGGUAUGUCUCCAUGUUGAUCAUGGCACAGUCUUAACCUUGUAGAUUUCAUAAUUUCUCAAACAAAUUGAUAAUUUACUUUUGUCAAUUUUGACGGUCUAAUUUGAUGUCUUCCCUUCAUUGAGAAACUCUAUUUCCAUAUGUUAAAAACUCCGCGCUAUUAAAGUAACUAGAUAGAGUGAUGCUUCAAAGGUAUUUGGGUUUCUACGUUAUCCAAGUGAAAAUCAAGUAAUACAAAGAGUGAGAUCAUAUGAGCUCAUGAGGAUAGGGUUCGUGCAAUUGAAAAACCAUUUUGCUUAUGCAAAAUUUGGCUUUGAUGGCAAUAAGGAACAUCCUUCACUCAUCCGUCAAGGUCAAAAUGAUAUUUUCUAUUUUUCUUAUUUUCACAAUUGUUUAAGUCGAAAUUGCUCAUCUUUUCUAUAUUAUAUAAUUUUUCCCAUUCCCUGUGCUUAUAUUAUGGGCUUUCAUAUUCAAACGUUGCUUGUUCAUAUAUGCAUGCAGGCAUACAAUUCUUGUUGCAUUUUUCAAGGGAUAUAUUGAGGGAAAUAAAUGAAUCGCAACUCUUGGGCAUUCAAACAUAUUGAGCAUGGUAAAGUUGAAAAUCCAUUACAUUUUGUCAAAAAGAUGAGGACUAAAUUGCAUUUACCUUAUUCUCUACCAAGUCCCAACUACAAUUACGAGAGUUUGGUAAUGUCACUUGUAGUUUUAUAAGCCAUGUUUUUUCUCAUAUUGCCAUCUUUUAACUAAUGUUUAAUUAAAUGGCAUCUCUUACAAAUGGUGGGUACUUAAAAAAACGAGUCCCUAUUAACGAUAAGCAUUACACAGUGAAUGAUUUGAUGAUAGCAUUUAGUUCUCUUACUGUAUACUUUCCUUUCUAUGACAUCAUUAUUAAAGUUAUUAUUUCCAAGAAGGUCAUGAGUGAACCAUGCAUGCAAAAGUGAAGUCUAUAGUUUCUAUUAAGGAUAAGUAUUACAAGGUGAAUGAUUUGAUGAUAGUAUUCGGUUUUCCUACUCUGUACUAUCCUUUUCUAUGACAUCAUUAUUAAAGUUAUUGUUUCCAAGAAGGCCAUGAUUGAACCAUGCAUGCAAAAGUGGGGUCUAUAUUUACUCUUUUGUCUGAUAGAGUUGUAUCAUUGGAAAGUAGCUUUGCGCGUUGCUCAGGCCAGAAGAAGCAAUAAUUUAACUAGACAUUAAAUAGUGGGAUGUCCCAUCUCUCUCUCGUCCAAGAUGCUUUUUGGAAAAAGCUAAAUAGAAGAAACCGGAGCAUCAAACACAAGAUUUUGGCUACAAUGUGGAAAUAAAUUAAUAGAUUAAUGAUAAGCCAAGAUGGUUAUAAUGGGAUCUUCGGCAGCAAAAAUUGCGGAGGAAUCAUGAAAGUUUGAUUGUUAGGUCCAAGCACGCCUCAUGCAGCAAGCAACCACUCAGACUUUAUCGACAACACUCAGAUCUUAUCGACUUUUUCCAGUAAAAAGCUACCAUAUUUUGACAGCACCCUCCCUUCUUCGUCUCUCUCUGUUCUUGCCCUGUUUCACCCUUUCUUCUUCUCAGAACAGCCAUUCUUCCUCCUCCUUCCUCCUAUCAUCCCAAUGGCACGGGUAGACAUACAACAUGGCCACAUUUCACACUAGACAAUCUACAUCCCAUGUAUAUGGUCCACAUCAUCAUCAACUCAUUUUGCAUAUUUGACAAAAAGGAUUUGAAUAAUUAUAUAUAUAAUGUACGUAAGCAGUUGACAAAAAAAAUAAAAAAUAAGAGUUCAAAGACCUACUGACAAUGUUCGCAAAAAAUUCAAUUACUAUGAUGCCUAAAUCCCUUAUUAAUUAUCAAAUCCCGCGCCAAAACUAGUUCAAGCCAUCAUUUUUUUUUUUUGUGGGAAAAUGCAGUGAAUGAAAACCGUAUCUUUUAUUGGUCUUUGCUAAAAAAUGCAUCACGGCUCACAAGAUAUUACCGAGUAUCAUUUGAGGUACACACGUUUUGGUGAUGAAGUGUCUAGAACAGCUUUAUUUCACAGGUUGCCUUGUUGAUUCGCGCAUGGUGCCUAGAGUCUGCAAACGAGUUCUACUUUGUGGGACAAUGCCAACACGUCCCUUUGAGCUCCGUUGAUGUACUGUCAAGUUCCUAUCAAUCUUCACCGAAGAAGAUGCGUUUGUUUGAGACUCCUCAAAAGGUGCGACCAUCCGAGUGGAUCCAGUACAUUGAAAAGAUCAAUAAUAUGAUUCUAGCGGAUCCAUCAGGACAAACUAUUGAAGAGUGGGAAAUGGAACAGCUCAUCAGGAAAUUUGAAAGAGAAAAUGACGAAAAUUUUGACAGCUCAAUGAAUACUUCGAGUGAAUAGAAACACCUAUGUGUACCAUGUAAGGCAUCUUGUCUUACACGAUGCCUCACAGGCCUGUAUUAUUGAGUUCACUAUGCAUUAUUGGUGUGGGACUCGCUCUCUCUUUCUCAGAAGAAAAAAUCAAUGACAAUUGUUGAUUGAUGUUGCCAUUUGAGAAUAAUAGGAAAAAUUACAUUAAACUCAUAUCAAUAAGUAACUUUUAAAGAGCUACAACAAAGGGACAUUAACAAAAUUGCAACCAUAUCGUCAAAUGGCAAUUUUAUGAUACUUAUUUCACAUUCUAAUCUAAUAAUUAUGGUUGGCAUAAAAAUUAAGCAAUUUCAAUUUUAUUUUGUGAACUGAGUUUCUUUUCACUUAAAUGGAUGCCUAGAGAAGGGCUUUCUGUCAACAAAUCUGCAAAAAAUAAUACAUGAAAAGUCAAGACUUAUUUCUAAAUAAUGGUUAAUAUUAGUUAGAUAUAAGGAUCUAGGCUGGCCCAAGUCUAAUGUGUUAAUAAGGAGAACAUCAUAAAUAAAAAAAACUGCUAUUUGAUGAACAAUCGCUACAAUGGCAAAUCAUUGAGAUCACUCAUCUCUUGAAUUCUUAAUAUCCUCACGUAACAACGAUUAAUUGAAGUGGAGGGAAAGCAUGCUCAUUUGGGCCUCAUCAAGAGAUUCGUCAGUUUUAGCUUAAUAAGCAGCGACUCUUUUGCAUAAUUGAUCGUUGUCUCGGAAGGGGUGAAGUAGGAAAGCAAUGUUUCUUGACAGUAAAAGGAAAGAGGCCAGGCAAGUGAGGGCAUCCGUUCAGUUCAUGCAUUUACAAAUACUUGGACGUUUGUCCAAUAGUGGUGGACGAAAGGACACGGAGGUAGACAUGAGUGACGGUGACUGGUCGAGUAAAGGAAGUAAAAUGCAGAAAGCCAUCUCAGCUCCUGCAAGCAACUACCCUCAAUUACUCUCCCUCUCUCUCCCUCUUCCACUACUUUUACCCUAAUUAAAGCGAUCUCCCAUAUAUUUAGAUGGUUGUCCAUAAGUGGUGGAAAAAGGAUGUGGAGAGUUGGACAUUAGUGACGGUAACUGACCAAGGAGCUGUAAAAUGCAAGAAAAAAAAAUCUAUUUCCAUAUAUAUGCUUUUUAUCAGUCUUUUAUCAUUCUUGUCUUGACGAGCGACCGACAUACAGCGGCCUUUUUUGUAUUUUUAUUUUUGGGCAGUGAUGAUGUGGGAGCAGUCUGCUUACCACUCAACUUCCCUAAUGGAGCUCCAUCCAUACCCUAUCUCCUCUUUCUUCUGGGGAUUUUUGAGUCAUUCUUAAAUUUCUAAAUCGCUGGAUAGCUAGUAUUAAACUCAGUCGUUUAUUACAAACUUUUCCAGUAAACUGAACCUUUGUGCUAAGUACAAUAUUUGGAAAAAUGAGUAUUAAAAGUAAAAUAGUCCAAAUAGACCCAAGCAUUUGAAAGAAAAUGGGAAAACUCCAAUCGAAAUGCGAGACACGAAAACAGUGUCAGUGGCUGCUCAUAAUUAUUUCCCAUAUUAAUUUUGUCUAGUAAAGAGUAGCAAUACUCAAGAAAGUAAACUGUUUUAAAAUGUUAAUAAAGAAUGGCAAAAUUUUAAUUUAUUUGAAGUUUUGAUCUAAUAAUUCCAAUUGAAAUUACAUCUAAUGUAAAUUGAAUUGUAAUCUAACAAUUUGCUUAUUUAUAAUGUUACUUCUAUAUUUUAUAUAUGAUUUCAUUGGUUCGCGCAAGGAGUGGGUUUAAGACUAGUACUUAGUCAAUGUUUGUCUAUUAAAGGUGGAGUAAAGAUGAGGAAACUUGCGCAUUGGGGAUGAUGGCUGGUCAAGUAAAGAGACAAGAAAACCAUUUCUAUUAUCAUGUUCAACUUUUAAUUAAAAAGUACUGGGAGACACCAAAAGGAGAUCUACCCCACGAUAGAACUAAUAAUUUAUUCGUUGAUUUUGCUAGACUCACAAUGGGUUGAAAAUCACUCAACGCAAAUCCAUAGGGACUUGCAUGGAAUUUGUUAUGCUUUUUAAUAUCAUUUCAAGUUAGGAUCUAAGCAUGUCCUUAAACUGCUUCUGUUCUCGAAGUCAACCCCAACAGUAAAAUGGGGUAAUGAUAACCGCGGGGGUCCGGACUACCCUUAAUUCGCCUUGAUUCCCGUGAAGCCAUUCUCCUAGCAUACUAGGCUUGGUUCAGGAAAGUGAUAGGCAGCUGGUCCAGACCGGCAACUGGCUUAAAAAUUUUGAGUGUCUUAUAUACACCUGGUCGCACUAAAAUUGAGUUGAAAAUGAGUUUCUUAUGCAUAUCGCCACGUCUAGAUGGAACUACAAGUCACAUGGGUUUUGAUCCGUCCUCUUCCUUCUGUUCUCUUUAUUAAUUACAUUUGCUAUACGGAAGAAUGACAAACCUAUAUAAGGUACAUAUUAUGCAUGAGUGAUGAUUUAAGUCCAAUCAUUUUAAUAAUUUCGUUUUAAUUGAAGGCGUUAUAUACAUUUCAGAUUCUAAUAAUCACUCCGUGUUGAUUCACAAAAGGGCCCACAUACAAAUAUUGAUAAAAAUAUUAAUAUUAUAAAAAAGAUUAAAGAUGCUACUUAUCACGUGCAUGGGUGAUCUUGGCCUAUCCUUAUCACGGGGGUGUGCCUUUCUUUCUAUUUGUUGCCCUUUCUUAAUUACAUUUUGUUAUAUCAAUGUGACGGAGUGUUUAAAGUAUUCAUAUAAUUCAAAUCAAAUCAUUUUGUUAUUUUAGCAGUCGGUAAUCAUUUGUAUUUUAUUUUUGUAAGCCUCUUUGAUGAGCGUGCAACUUAUAUAAUGCAAAGAAAACAAUUUACUCCACAGUUAUGACGCGACGGACAACUGUCUUAAUUAAGGAAUUGAUUGGUUUUUAAUUAAGUCCUCAACUAAGAUUAUAUUAAUAAGAUCUAUGGUUUGUUGUCCACAGGAGUAGUAGACCAUGCACGAGCCUUGCGAGUUGGGUUUUCCUUCCAAGUAAAAUAUUAAUUCAUGAUACGAUCCGUUAUCUCUUAUUAUAUCGAGUGACGGUUGUUGUAACUUCUCAUCUCUCUUGAAAAAUCAAUUUUAUAAAUGAAUCGUAUGUCUUGAGAUCAUUAAUCAAGUCAGAAAUUAUACUAAAUAUUUGGCAAAACAAAAUCACAUAUCAUAAUUAAACAACUAUCUUGUGAUUAUGAUAAAAUAUUUGUUUUAACAUUUAUGGUAAAACGAAUUAAAUAAAUGUACUAUCAAUAAUCUAGGAUUUACACAUUGAAUGAUACAUUCCCAUCUACUUGUUCGUAUAGUUGCCAGUGUAGAAAGUUAAGUUUAUGUGAUUAUAUCCACUGCCUAAUUUCUCCCCAUGAAAGCACAAUGUCAUAGACUCAUCAUGCAUUGCGUGCUAUUUAACUUAUACUGCUAUAAUGACUAAAAUGUUUAGUAUUGCGCAACAACUAAUUUCAUUUAUGUAUCUAUCUAGGCUAAACUCUUGUCAUGAAAGGUUAUAAAACCGUCAUGCGGUGCAUGCUGUGGUGCUACUUGACUUUACACCAUUGGUAGGGUGUCAUUGACAAUUAUACAUUCAGUCAUAUUUACAAAUGAUAGAUGCAUAUCCAUGUAAUAUAACCCUCUAAUUUUUUUUUUCGUUCUAUAGACUUUUACUAAUAAUAGAUAAUUUUUUAUCCUAUUGAUUUUCUAUCCAUUGUUUUUUUUUAGUUUUUAAUAUUUAUUUAUUUGCAAAGCAUGUGCCAUAAUUUUUUUUUUAUGAUGAUAGAUAAUUCUUUGAAUUCUCUAAUGUCAUUUAUUUGUCAAAUAAAGAUUAUCAUGUAGUAAAAGAUUUCUAAUCAACUAGGUAUUACAAUGAGUCAGUCAAGGUGUUAUAAACAUUUCAAUUUCUAAUCGUCACCCUCUUUUUGAGUCAAACCAGCGGUUGCGUACAAAUAUCGAUGAAAAUAUUGAUUGCAUGAAAAAAUAUUAAAUAUGCUAUUUAUCACAAUCAUGUAUUAGUUACAUAUAAAAAAAUCACGAAUUUUCUUCAAGCACUCAUGAAUUUCCAAGGGUCCCCACGCGCUUUUGCCUUGGUAUGUUGGCACCGACAGCACCGUGUGAACGUUCUCCCAAUUGUCAGCUCUUUUUUGGAAUUUUAACCCUGAGGAAAGGAAAUCACGGUAAGUGACAGUGUCACGUGGGUGGGCCCGUCCUUGUCCAUUUAUUCUCAUUAUUAAUUACAUUUUAUUAUAUUGGUGCUGACACACUGUGUAAAGUACAUAUUCCGAGGGCGAAGGUUUAAGUCGAAUCACUUGUUUACUGCUUUAACCACCGCCAAUCAUCUCUACAAUUCACUGCUAUUCCACGCUCCCCUUCCUUCAUACUUCCUUGCGCUCAAGUCUUUUCGCCUGGUUCGUUUCUCGCUCUGUUUCGCUCUUUCUUCUCCUCGGCUCAACCAUUCUUCCUCCUCCUCUCCUUCUUCAGUAUCUGUUGCUCUCUAUUUCAUCACUCUCUCUCUCUCUCUCUCUCUAUCUAUCUCUGUUUUUUCGCUCUUUGUUUCUCAGGAAAAGAAGCAAAGAGAAAUGUCGGCCGACUCUGCCGUUGCUAUUGCAUGGGAUCUCUUGAAGGGGGCAGUUACUGCGAUCAAGCGUCCAAUAAGAUACGUGAUGUCCUCCAAGAGCUUCGCCGACAGUCUUCAGGAGGAAGUCCAGAAUCUGCAGAACGAGGUUCAGAGGGUCAACGUUCUCGUGGAACGGGCCAGAAACAAUGUUCGGAAGUUCCAUGGUGUCUUCACGAUGUGGGAGAAAAAAUCUGGCGAUGCUUUGAAGGAGGUGGGAGACCUGUUGGGCAACUUCGAAAAUGCGACCAAGACUUGCUGCUACGGGACUCUUCCCGACCCCAAAUGUCGCUAUCAGUUCAGCAGGAAGGCCGAGGGCAAGAUCAAGGUCAUUCGGGAACUGGCUCAAAAAUUCAGCGGAUUCAAAGAAUUGGACGACAUCUCCUUCAGCGAUCCUACUCCGGGAAAUGUCCCUGCUACGAAUUCGGCCAACAGAGAAUGCAAAGAUGUUGUCCAGUCGACCACUACAACGGCCUCUGCUUUUUCUGCCUCGACGUCGUUUGUGCUUGGGGACGAUGGCGUUUUCGAGUCCAGAGCUACGAUGAUACAGAACAUCAUGGACGCUCUUGCCAAUAACAUCAAUAGUGUGGUCGGGGUCUACGGGAUGGGUGGGGUCGGCAAGUCCACCCUUUUGGUGGAUGUCGAAAGGAUAAUAAAGAAAAAGAAGUCGUUUGGUCUGGUCGCUAAGGCUGACGUGUCGGAAAAUCCAGACAUCAAGACAAUUCAAGGAGAGAUUGCGGACGCCUUGGGCCUUACUGAAAUAAAGAACAAAGAGACUACCAACGGGCGAGCGGAACUUCUACACGAGAGGUUGAAAGACGAGGAGAAGAAGAACAAUAAGGUGCUCAUAAUACUGGACAACCUGUGGAAGGGGCUCGAGUUGAAAUCAGUCGGCAUUCCUUGCGGACGUGACAAUAAAGUCAUAGGAUGCAAGUUACUGUUGACAUCGAGAUUUCGAAAUGUUUUACGAAGGGAGAUGAGCUGCGACAAGGACUUCGCCCUAGAUGGACUGGAGGAGAAAGAGGCAAAAAUAUUGUUUGAGAGGAUAGUGGGAGAAAAAGUUCAUAAUGACGAGUUCAGACCCUUGGUGGAUGAAGCACUCCGCAGAUGUGCAGGUUUGCCUCUGCUGCUUGACGCAAUGGCGAAACAAUUAAAACUCGCUUCUCUACCUGAAUGGAGGGAUGCUUUGAAACAAAUCGAGUGGUCCACAAGCGAAGGAAUAAGUGGAGUGAUAAAUACGGUGUUACAACGGAGUUAUGAUCAUUUAGAAAGCAAGGAUGCAAAAAGUUUGUUACAACUUUGUGUUGCUUAUGGCAUCUCUAAGCCCUCUAUUGAAAACUUGGUGAGGUAUGGCUAUGGUUUGGGGAUAUUUCAAAAAGAUAGCAGAAUGGAAGAAGCUAGAGAUAGGUUGAACACACUCAUUUGCACUCUUCAAGCCUCCUCCCUUCUGUUGGACAAUGAAGGCACGGAUGGGUUAAAGAUACAUGACUUGGUUCAUGACUUUGUUGCCCAGUCCAUUUUAAGAGAUCACCCUCUUCUUGUGCUGAAAGAUAAAGACAUGUUGACAACACAAUUGCAUAAUGAGAGGCUCAAAAGUUGUUCGGCGCUAUGCUUUCCAUAUAUUGACAUAGAGGAGCUUCCCAAAGAAUUAGAUUGUCCCGAAUUGCGCAUCUUUUUGCUUUUCGACAACAAUAUAUUUAAUAUAUCUCUUGAGAUUCCAGAUUCAUUUUUCAACUCUAUGAAGAAACUUGCGGUUCUACAUCUAAGUGCGGUACGUAUCACUCGUUCACCGACGCCAUUUCAAUUCUUGGAGAACUUACAUACUUUGUAUCUUCAGAAUUGUUCGCUAGAGGAUGUGGCCAUUCUCGGCAAGCUAAAAGGGUUACAAGUUCUCAGCUGUAUGAACUGCAACUUACAACGAUUGCCGAAAGAAAUUGAGCAACUAACAGAGCUGAGGUUGUUGGACUUGAACUAUUGUCAAUUUCUUCGGAUGAUUGAACCGGGUGUACUUGGAAGAUUGAUCAAAUUGGAGGAGUUGUAUAUGGCAUAUAGCUUUAAUCAAUGGAAUCCCGUGGAGCAAACUCAACCAACUAAUGCCAGUUUGAUUGAGUUGAAUCACCUGAAGAAUCUUUGCACUCUACAGGUCUCACUUGAUCCAAAAGCGCUCCCAGAGGACCUAGAUGUCAAGAAAUUAACCAAGUAUAAAAUCCAGAUAGGUAAUGCACAGCAUCGGAGAAAGGACUUAGGAUCGAGGAUUUUGUACCUCGAGUUGGAUCCAAAAAUUGAUGUUCUUCGAAAAGGAUGCAUGCAAAGUAUCUUAAGUAAAACCGACGAUCUGCUUUUGGCCAAGUUGAACGGAAGCGAGCAAAGUAUUUGCGCAUUAUCUCAAGAAGGCUUUCCAAAAUUAAAGCACCUAAUGGUUGAGGAUAGUUCCUCUAUCCAAUACAUCCUCCAAUGUCGUUCCCUUAGUGCUUUCGAGAUGUUGGAGUCAUUACUUCUCAUAAAGCUCAACAACUUGACGAAGAUAUGCUACAGCCAUAUUUCCUCCUCCAAGUCUUUCGGUAAAUUAAAAGUAAUUCAAGUCAAAAGUUGUGACAAAAUGGAAGUUUUGUUUCCUCUUUCAUUACUAAGAGAACUUCCCCAACUAGAAGAGAUUAAAGUUGUUGGUUGCGAGUUAAUGCAUGGGAUUGUAGAUGUCGAUGAUUGUGGCAAAGUGGAGUUGCAAAAUUUGCGUAUAAUGAAUUUGCACCAAUUACCAAAUAUCAAGAAUUUUUUCACCACUGGAACAACUCUUUCGAGUAGUACAUCAGAGGACCAAUUUGGCACUCAAAUUGCAUUCUUCAAUGGGCAACAGGUAACUUUCUAUCAAAAGAAUAUAAUAUUUAUUGAUUUUUCCUACCUUUGCUAAUUAGAUGCACAGCAUAUCAUGUUGCUUAUUCAUUUUGUUAUUUUCAGUUCAUUUUUUUCCCGAUAACCUUAUCCAUUCGUGCCUUCUCUGUAAUUAGAUAAAUCAACCUUCAGUUUCUCUUCAUUGCGUAGAAAUCCAACUAAUUGUAUGAAAUCCAUGUAAAUUUAGUUUGUCGUAGGUUCCGAGUUAUUUUCAAUUUAAAUGCUACUAGUAUAUCUAAAUUAAUAGGGUUUCAAAAAGAAAAACUAAUGAGAAUUUCAGCACUAAAGUAAUUCCAUAAGUAAUUUUAAAUCUUUUGAUAUGGAUUCAAUUGAAUUACUUAUCAAACUUUGUUAUUAUCCACAAAAUGUAUAAUAUAGGUUACUCUUAAAAACCAAUACGAAAAAUGGGAAGAAGGACCGGUUUUUUUUUUUUAUAAAUAAAAGCAACUAGGCUAAUGUAAUUGAUGCAUGUCUUCUGUGUUUCUUGUUUAAAUAAGCAGUUAGUUAUUAUAUAGACCCCACGGUUAUAAGAGUAUAGAGUUUUGUGCAUGUUCAUGCAUGCAUAUUGUAUACAUAAACAUCUUUAUACUUACUUUUGGCAUCACAAAAACAAAUCCACAAUCUGUGUUUAAUAUCCUAUUAAAUUGGUUAUUGAUAGUGAUAUACUAACAUUAAAGAGAAGCUAGUAAACUAAGGAUGAUCAAUGCCCAAUUAAGAAAAGCACGUGGCUAUUUUACCAGGGAAAAUAUUGCUACGAGUAGAGCCUUUUAAUUGACUAGAUAAGAUAGCCCUUUUAAAGUGGCCCAAUUAUCACAAAAGUUGAUCAUUGGGCAUGAGACUCACAAAAUAGAUUAGCUUCCCCGUCAGCAGAAAGCAGUGGAAAUAUAAGUUGUGGGUCCACACGCCAGUGACUUGUCUUCUUCCCUUGCUUUGAGCUUCCAUGGAGUGAGCGCUUUCAAAGAUAAUGGAACUACAUCGGAGAAAUUUUACAAAAAGCUUUUAUGGCUUUGCUUUUUCCUUUUCUUUUUUCACAUCAUAAUCUUGUAUGGUAGAUCCUCUGAGUAUAAUCUUUACCCCAAGUUUAAAGAAGAUGACAAAUCAUUCAAGUUCAACAAGGGUGAGCAAUUACAAAGUUGAUAAAGUAGCUCUGCAUAAAAAUAAUUAAUUGCAUUCAAUUGAAAUGGAAGACGAUUAUUUGUAGUAUAUUGAAUUCUACACUAGUAGGUGGAAAUAUAGUAAACAGUUUAACUAGCUUUAGUGAUAAUAUUUUAUAGGUGAUCCUUUUCAUAUAAUCUCUACACCAAGUUUAUAGAAGAUGACAAAUCAUGCAAGUUUAAAAAUAGGAGCAGUUACAGGUGAAAAUCUUUUGUUAUUUGAUUUUAUCAAUGAAAAUGAUGUUAGGCCGCUGUAGAUAUAUUUUAUGGUCCUAUUUGCACUUCUACGGAUAAUAAUUUACUAACAUGAAAGAGAAUUAGUAAACUAAGGAUAAACAAUGCCCUCAAUUAAGGAAAGCCCACGAUUGUAUUUUAUAUGGGUGAAAACUGGUUUUUUUUUUUUUUUUUAUAAGACAAGAUUGCUCCCUUAUAGCGUCGCAGGCCCGAGGCCCAUGCCAUACGCACGGCCCAAGACUCCCAAUAUGUUAAUUUCCCUGUCAGUAGAGGGCCCUGGACAUGUUUGUUGUGGGUUCCACAAGGCAGUGUGUGUCAUCCUUUUCGUGUUCGCCUUUUCUUAAUCGCCGCAGUCUUCGGGGCUUUUAACUUUUGCCAUUGUUCUCAUUGGACACUGGCCAUGGAUACCGGUCGAACUAUUUUUGGGCGAAAUUUUGAGGUGGGAAGUAUUAAGUUUGCUUUAUUAUACAAAAAGAGACAAGUAAUGCUCCACUCGCUAAUUCAUUUCCAAAGGAGAAAUUCUUCGGAUGGAAUAAAACUAGCUCACUCAUCAAAUUAAGCUCAGCAUUGCAAGUUUUUUAGCGAAGGAAAGACUGGCAAUUAGAAAUGAUAUUAGUGUGGAGAUUUUUUAACUCCAUUUUUCUGUUUUAUUCUUCUUCUUCUUUUUUCCUUUUGUGCAAUUUAAUAAUCCCCCUCUCCACUUGCCACUCAUCUAUAUUUACUCUUUGAAAGUUCACGAAUUUGAGAUUUAAGUUAAUCACCAAUUCCAUGAGCAAAUUUCACAGGUUGCCUUUCAGAGAUUGGAGACAUUAGAAAUCAUUGGCUUGGAUAGCCUGGAGUUUAUAUUUUUCCCAUCCAUGGUUAAAUCUCUCACGCAACUGAAAAAAUUGACUAUAUUGGAUUGUGAGAAGAUGGAGGCGAUCAUUAUGGAGGAAGAAGGGUUGGAAAUGGAAACAUCAGAAAUUUUGGCAUUCCCAACGUUAACCAAUUUAAGCUUGGAACGUUUGAAAAGUUUGACAGACUUCUCUCGUGGAAAGUGUAAGAUUGAUUUUUUUUUUUUUAUUGCUAAAAAUUGUCUUGUAGAUAUAUUCAUCCUUGCAAUACAAAUGGUGAUUUCUUUUCAUCCAAUGAAAUACAAAUGACAGGUGUACAAGAAAGUCGAAGUCAGGAUCACGUUAGAUCACCCGCUACUUCACUCUUUAAUCGAGAGGUAUGUAAUUAACAUUAGUCAAAUUAUUAAAUAUACCAAAGACAAGCAUAGCCAAAAUAAAAACUAGGUAAGUUACUUAUAAUGUAUAUUUUGGUUAAAAAAUUUUAACAAAAAAUGAGUGGCAUACAAGCGUAAGUGUUUGGAGUUGCCGACAUGUAUGAGUUGCAAUUUCUCACUUUUAAUUUGUCUAGACAUAGUUUCCAUAAAUAUGGUUGAACAUCUCUUAUGGUACCUAAGCAUAGCAUGAACGAGUAACACAACCACCGAAUAGGAUCUCUAAAAGCUUUCCGAUAUUUACAAGAAACUUAAAACUCUGAACAACCUUACAUGUAUGGCUUAGACAUUACACGCAUGUACACUGAAAGCAAUUGAAAAAACAAUCGAGAGGAAAGUGAGCUAUAAUGUUCAAGAGGUUGGAGAUGAAGGGCCUUUAAGACACUCACUUGACUUCAUUUGCACUUACAAGAUCUCAUUUUUUUAUCUAGUCGAAAGACGCUUUACUCUUUCUUAACUGCACCAGCAAAGGGAGUCGAAGCCUUCUUCAUCGCCUAGCUGAGAAAGACCUCUCAGAUCUUGGGCUUCUGAUACCACCCCUCUUAGUUUCUUCAUGAACUGCAAGACCAUUCUUAUGAAAAUCAGCCAUCUUAGUUGAGUCAUCGAAAUUGUUGAGCGCUUACCAGAAGAAUGUUUCCGUGGAAAAUGAAAUAGAGCAGUGUACGGACGGGUUGGCUUUGACUAAACUAAAAGCAAUAUAGGACGUUCACCUAAAGUGUUUAUGCAGCCAAAAUAGGCCGUACAAGUGGGCCCUCCCAUAGGAUUAAUACAUCGACCUUCUUAGAUAUUUUUUAACUAUUAUAAUGAGAUAUUUAGCAUUGUUUUUUAUAAUUUGACUCGAGUAUAUGUAUAUGAUAUGUCGUUUGCAUAUAACUAUUGGACCUUCCAGCAUUAACAAAAAAUCAAUUUUAAAAGGAAAAUUAUCGAUCAAGUGUAUAUAAUGGUUUGAAGUAUGAAAUGACGUGAGUAAAAUUUGUUCAUUUGGCCCAAGCGAUUCUUUUUUUAAUUGCUUUCUCUUAGCCUAACUAUGUAAUUGCCUUGAAGUGAUCUAAUAUUGAUUUGAGGCAUUCGGUAUUAGAUAAAAUCAUAUCUCUUAUUGUAGUGCACCAUUUGAUGGUUUAUCUAUUGCCUUUUUAAUCUCAAUGUCUCCAUCACUUUCUUUCUAAUGGCUAAUAUUCUUCCUCAAGCGAUCCCCCAGCUGCAUUCUCUAACGGUGAUUACCCAUUUGACUUGCUUUUUGUUUCUUUAAAUAAAUUCUUCCUCAUUCUUAAUUAAUGUAUGAAAUGGUGCAAUUUCACUGAAGAAUUUCAUCCAUGUUGUAACUUAAAUGACCUUCUCUAAGUUAUUUAACAAUUGCUACGUAUAGUUACUAUUUCAUUCUUGGGCUAGCCAAAAGAGCACAAAGGGAGAGAUUUUAUUUGAGUUUGGGAUCUAUGAAACACUAAUGUCAUUAGAUGAUUGUUAUAUGAGCGUAUCCAAAUUGCCAUUUUGCCCAUGCGUAACACAUUAUGGUCAGAAUUAAUACUUAGCACUUUUUGUUUUGUCUCUAGUAUAUUCCAAUAGCCUUUCCGUUCUGGAGUCAUCGACAUAAAUAUGGAGAUUAUUAUUUUUUAUUUUUACUAUUUUCAUUUUAUUCUUUUUUUCUUUUGUGCAACUUAAGAUAGAAUUACCAAUUUUGUGGAUUCGUAAAUUUACAUCUUGGCACUCUUCUUUAUUUACAUCUUGGAAGUUCAUGAAUUCGUAAUUUAACUGAAUCACCAAUUCCGUGAGUACUGUAGGUUGCAUUUCCUAACUUGGAGAAUUUAUAUAUCACGGACAUCGAUAACAUCAAGAUGAUAUGGCAUGAUCAAAUCCAUGCAGAUUCUUUCUCUAAGCUAAAAUUGCUUUCAGUUAGUGAAUGCAAAAGGCUUGUGAACGUUGUACCUUCUAUCAUUCUAGGACAGCUCUUGAGCCUAGAAACUUUGACAGCAGAAGCAUGUAAAUCCCUUGAAGUUGUUUUUAAACUCCAGCCGCCAAAUCCUCUAGAUGGAAAUAGUGUUGCUCAUUCUCCAUUAAAAGAGCUGAAGUUAAAUGAAUUACCAAUGCUAAACUCUGUAUGGGAUAAGGAACUCUACCAUCAUAUUAAAUUCCAGUGUCUACGUUCGAUUACCCUUUGGAGAUGCGCUAGGCUCGCCUCUUUGUUUUCGGCCUCAAUAGCCAGAGAUCUAAUCCAACUUGAGGAGUUGGAGAUCAAUCAAUGCGGCAUUGUGGAACUCAUUGAGAAGGAAGGACCGGAUGAGCUGAGCAUCAAUGUGGAAGCCAUAGAAGGCCCAAGUCAUGAGCUAAAAGUAACAUCAUCAUUUCCAAGUUAUUUUCAGCAUAUGAAGACUUUAGAUGUGUCAUGUUGUCAUGGGCUAUCAAAUCUGUUCACACCGACAAUGGCUACAAACUUGGCAGAACUCACAAAAUUAAGGAUUAGUAAAUGUGAAAUAUUGACAGAAGUCAUUAUUGAUGAGGGAGGAAAGGAGAGGCAUGUAGUGGCUUUCAAUCAAUUGAAGUAUAUGGAGCUUGAUGGGUUGACUAGGUUGAGAUGUUUUAGCUCAGGUGGAUACGCUUUGAUGUUCCCUCUCUUGGAAGAUAUCAUUGUGAAUACAUGUUCCAAGAUGAAGUUCUUCCACGAGGGACGAAUAGAGGCGCCAAAGCUAAAGGGAGUAAAAGUAGUAACAAAGUGCCAGUAUUUUUGGAAGGGAAACCUCAACUCAACCAUCCAAAAUAUGUUUGAAGAAAUGGUAUGCUUCAGUUACUAAAUUCUGUGCAAUUUGAUUUUUUCUUUUCACCAAUAAAGUAAUUUUUUUUAACUAGAAUUUUACGUUUAAUGAUGCAUUUUCUAAUAGGCUACAUUUGCUGGGAUUAAGUUUAUGUGGUUGUCUAAGUUCCCGGAGCUGAUUGGAAAAUGGCACGAUGAACUUAAUCCCGUCACAUCAUCUUGGCAAUUAAAAGCACUAGUGGUGGAUAAAUGUCCAUCAUUUAUUAACGCUAUUCCAUCCAGCUUGAUGCUUGUUUUAGAGAGAAUGACAAGCUUGCAAGUGCAUGAUUGCGAGGCUCUGGAAGAAAUAUUCAAUCUUGAAGGGCUUGAAGCUGUGGGUUGCACUCAGGUGCUGCCUCAGCUACAGAAUUUGUACUUGGUCAAUCUACCAAAGUUGAGGCAACUAUGGAACAAAGAUCUCCAAGGAACGAUGUGCUUUAAUUCUCUAAGGCUUCUUAGCCUUUAUAAAUGCAACAACUUGAGACAUGCUUUUGUUCCAUCAAUGGCUCGGUGCCUUCCCAAUCUAAGGAUGAUAGAAAUAAAGGAGUGUGAUAAAAUGGAAGGAGUGAUUGCAGAUGAAGAAGGGCAAGUAAGCACAAUGGAGGAGAUUACAUUCCCAAAACUUCGGUGGAUAACUUUGGAAUGCUUGCCCAAUUUGACUAGUUUCCUCUUGUGGAAGAAUCAUAUCCUAGAAUGCCCUAUUUUAUCAACCUUGAGCAUUGCCCAUUGCCCCAAGAUGAGAAGUCUAAGUUGGCAAUCUUCAAUGGAGAUUGACAAUGGCACCCCUUCGCUUUUCACUCCACAGGUUAGUCUCUCAAAUAAAUGCAUUUUUGGCAUUUCAUUUGAACAUAUUCAUUUGUUUAUAAUUGGACAAUGCAUGGUAUGCAGACAGAAGUGCUAGAUAUAAUUGUUUGUAGUGUCAAUCAUCAAUGCUUUGCUUAAAUUUGACUGGGACUCUGUGUUUUAUACCUAAACAAAGAUGACCAAAAUAUUUGCCUUCCCACAAUAAUCUAGGAUCACAUCCAUAAAGUAUUAAUGCAAAACAAUUCAGACAUCGGUAAUCAUGUGUGGUUUUAAAAUCAUUUAAUUAUGCAGAUCUAUGUACAUAAUCAAUUAAUAUUUACUUAAAAGAUUAAAAGUUUUCUAAUCCUCAACAAAUAUAAGUAUUAAUUGUCCAUCUCCAUAUAUUUUUACUAGUGUUAUUUAUGUGAGCUCAUAAAAUCAUAUUGUGUGCAAUAACUCAAAAUUGAUUACAGAGGGAUCUUAAAAAAGUUAUGACAAUAACCAUAUGAAAACAUUUUCUUUUUGUAAUUUCAACUAUAAAGAACAAAAUAGUGAACAUAGAAUAGCAUUUUUUUUUUUUGGUCGAAAAAACAUAGAAUAUCAUUUGAAAAUGGCAGAAAAAUAUGAAGUACCACCCACUUCAUAUUUUCUUGCACAGAAGCAAACUGGUGUCGUUCCAUUAAACAUGAAGAGAAGGGAAAAGAAAACUUCAUAAUUAUAAAAGCCUAGUUCACAAAUUGCUUAACUAUUACAGCUCUUUGUACCAUAAUCAUCUUCCCAAUCAACGAAAUUGAAGGAAUUAGAGAGAAUUGCUCUUUUAAUUGGGUGCUCUAAACUUCGAUAAUGAUAAGUACAAUCAACUUUUUUAUUAUCUUUUUUAUAUCUUAAUAAUCACCAAUGCUUGACUGCGUCUUGAUGAUAAAAUAAGUAAAAAUAAAAAGGCCAAUAUGCAUGAAGUUGUUCAUCUUCUUUGUUUGUAAAUCACACUCGAAUUGAUAUACUUCAACAACCUAUCAAAUUACCUACUCGUAUUAAACAACAAAUAUUAACUCUAAAUUAUCAUAUUGAGUGAUAAUUAGUGUGAUGCUGCGCACAAUCUAUGUUUAGCAAGAGAAAAUGCAUAUUGCUUUUUCCAGAAAAGAAAUGGCUAAAAUAAGGAAAAAAUAAAAGAGAGAAUAGGAUAGUUGGACAAUAAAUAUUAGCAAUUCCGCGGGUGGUUGUCGGCAUUGCGAGUCUUAUUUCAUAACUAGAUGAUAAUAUUUAGUCAAUGUCCUAGCUAAAAUAAAAAUCUAAAAAAAAUUGGAAUAAAUUAUCCAAUCAACAACACUACUGGAGAGAAAAUAUUGGGUGCAUUAAAUACACCAUGUAGGAUCUGUAUUAAAUCAUCUACAAAUCGACAUGUGGUAGAGCCAGGCCCACCUAUCAAUUGAACGAUUGAAAUAUUUGCUCCCGCUCUCUUCAAUAACGCCCUGUUACGGGAAAGCUCUCUUUCCUCUUUUUUGGUGUGGCUUUGCUCCCUCUCUCUCUCUCUCUCUCUCUCUCUCUCUCUCUCUCUCUUUCCUUCCUCGGUGGCCUUGGCCUCCGUAUGUUGCAGUGCUGUUGCGGUGUGCUCAUUAGACAAAGGAAAAAAAAAAAGAAAAAGAAAGAAAUUAGACAAAGUCUAUUUGAUGAUUUAGCUUCUCCCCCUCUAAGAAAUGUUUGCUCUAAGUCAUUUCGUUUCACCUUGAUCAUCCUCGAAGAGGGGAAAAAAAGAAAGUGAACCAAAUCUAUAGACUCAAGUAACAAUAACUCUUCUUCCUCCCCCUCCCCCUCAUCUUCUUGCCUUCUGUUUUUUUGGGGGCGAUUGAUUGGAUGUUCUGUCCAAUGGUUGAAUCGGAAGCUUCAGAAUCGCUUCUCUGAAGCUCGCCUCCUCUCUGUGCACGUGCUUCCAUGGGUUUCGAGUGAUUACGCGAACCGGAUCUUGUUGGUUAUGGUGGGUCGAAGUGGAUCUCCGAUGCGGAAGCGAUUUCGGUGUCGAUUCGGUUAGGGCAUUGAUUCCCGGCGAAGAAAAAAUUAAAAAAAAUCUUCUAUUCAGCCUUCUCUUCCUCCUCCUUCGUCCAUAGCCGCCGGACCUUCGCCCCUCCUCUGCUAUCGCCACCGGCGGAGUCACUGGCGCCUUGAUUAGGCUGACCCCCGCUAUUUCCAAGGCAAGCAUGGCGACUUCCUCUGCUUUGUCCGUCUCAUCGUCCUACAGAUCUCGAAAUCUGGCCAUCCAUAGUGACGGAGUUGUAGAUCUGGAAGUCGACCAUCGUCGCUUGUAGCCAUGGACGAGCCGCUGUCGCUAGAGCCAUGGUUGCAGAUCUGGAAGUCUCAUCGUGAGCAACAAAGGCUUAUGGACUGCCAUUGUCCCCUCCGUCGUCACCCGCGGUCGGCUCGUGGUUGGCCCCGUCCAUGGCCGGGCCACCCCUCCAUCGUCACAGCUGUUCGUGGUCAUUGCCCGUCCAGAUCUGGACAGGAGUGGUGCCUAUAGAUCUAGUAUCGUCCAUGGACGCAAGCCUAGCUCAUCCAUGGCUCGCGAGGAGGCUCUUCCACAGAUCUGGCGACCCCUGCUUGUCCAUGGCCAUGAGCCUUGACGGCGAUUUUGAGAUCCCGACGGCCAUGGACUGCGAGGUCAAACAGCGAAAGAAAAAACAAAGGAAUAAAUGUCGGGGAAGAGUGGCCAUGGAUGAGACGGCCGGAGCUUGAACGCGGCCAUGGACGAGACGGCUUCAUGAACGGGUAAACCACAAAGACGACGGAGAGGGUUGGAUGCCCAGCUAUGGUCGCCUUGGACGUGGCACCGGCAACUCUGCUGGUGGCGAUGGCAGAGGGAGGCGGGAAGGUUGGGCUCAAUGUGGCUGGAGAUGGAGGAGAAAGCGUAGAUAAAGGAAAGUGAGGUGGAUUGAGAUUUUUUAUAUUUAUACAUCUGAAAAAAAAAAAAAAAAAAAAGCCCAAUGUUUAGUCAAUGUCAUAGCUACAUAAAAAAUUAAAAAUAAUAGGAAAUAAUCAUCCAGUCAACACUUCCAUUACGUCUCAUGAGAUUCUCCUCACGUAAAGACUCAAUGCAGUAAAUGACGACCUCCUCGGGCGAUUCUUUUUUUGGGUCGAAACUGGGGCACUUGAAAAUGCGCGAUAUCAUUUUUUAUUACAAAUUCUAUACAACUUAUGUUUUUUCCUUUUUUUUUUCCUUUUUCUAAUACUUUUACGCAAUUCUUAUGAUUGUUUUAUGCAAGUAGAAUGUUCAAUUAUAACAAGUAUCUACACAUUUGUUUACUUUUUAAUUGUAAGAGUUAUCGCUAAUUAUUUAUCUAUAAUGUCGUUUGCAUGUAUAAGUUGUUAUAUAAUGCCUAGCCUGCAUUCUAAGAAUAUUUCAAAAAGUCAUUAUAACACUCAACAACAAUACUAAUAAAUUUAGGGAAGUAUGAAAAUAGUCAUAUGAUCUUUUGAUAAUGACAAGUUGUGAUAACGUUAAUUUCAUUUUAGUGUCAAAUAUGAGCUGUCAUAUAAUAAUUGAUUUCUCCCACAUUAUUAGAUAAUUUCAAAAACUCAUUAAAAUCCUCAAUUAAGAAUAUUGAUAGAUUUAAGGAAGUGUGGAAAGUUAUUCUUUUUUUUUUUCUUGUGACAACUUGUAUAAAAGCAUCGAUCAACCCCUCCCUAUUUAUGUCACUAACAAGAUCUCGACUUCUCAUGAUUUGUGAGAACAAGGGAAGUCCGGAAAUUCCUUCUUUAGGGUCAUAAUUCAAUGUAAUCACAUCCAUUGUGUUAUUUUUUUUCUCAAUAUGGCAGGUACAAUUUCCUCAACUUAUGCAAACGCAUCUCUCCCACAUGGAUAAUUUAAGCAAAAUAUGGAUUGAUGGUCCUCAAGAAACUUUGACUUUUGAUCAUUUAAGGAAAGUGGAGGUUCAGAACUGUAAGAGCCUUGAAAAUUUGUUUCCGUAUUGGGUGGCUAAAAGUUUAACCCAACUUAGAGAACUUCUAGUGGAGUCGUGUGAGAUCAAGGAAAUAGUCACUAGUGGGGAUGACACUCCACACUCCAAUACUACUCAAGAUCUUUUCCCAAAACUAACAUCUUUGGUGUUACAUGACAUGCCACGAGUCAAGAGCUUCUGUCCUAACUUGCCCACUUUGAAUUGGCCAUUAUUGGAGGAAUUACGAGUGACUCACUGUGACAAACUGAACAUGUUAUCCUUUGUGGCAUCCAUGAAUGGUUGGGCUCAAAGCAAUGAUCAACAAGAUCUUCCAUAUCAAGAAGCACACUCUUCAUUUGAGAGGGUAUGAUUAUAGCUGCUCUCCCUUAGUUUCUACUUUGUUCUUUAAAGUAGUCACUAAUAUCAUAUCCAUUGCAUAUCAUGUCAUGCUAUAUUGUUAUAGAGAAGAUGAUCUCCCUUACCUAUUAGUUUGUCGACAACAUUAAGACAUUCCUAAUAUCUUACGUAUACUUUCAUUUGUGGAUAUGCAUAAGAUAUUCCAUUACCUAGAGUUACAAAAAUAUUUACAGCAUCCUAUUGACAAUAGAAUAUAUUCCUAAUCUAACCUAAUGGUGCUCCUUGGCGACAUCAAUAAGACUUUGACAAGAGGUCCUCUCAAUUAUUGACAUGUAUCACGCAUUUGAACUUUUCUUCUAUAUUUCAUCUUCUACAAACUCUAAAAAAAAUCAAUUCGAACUUUUUUUUUAAAACAAAAAUAACAUUAGUACCUUAGUGCACUAUUUUGUACUGUAUUUUUUAAUACACUGGUGCACUGCAGUUGUCGUGUUGUCUUGUUAUAAUACUAUAGAAAACUAGAACCCCUUUCCUAUAAGUUUGUGGACAACGUAAGGUAUUUUUGAUAUCUUAAGCACACUUCUAAAUUUGUGGACCCCAUAUGUUUUAGUAACAUCAUGAGUGCAUCCCGCUACAUAACAUUCCAAAGAUGAUAAAUUUUUGUUGACAAGAUAAGAAAUUCCUAACGAAAGAUGAAUUUAGUGAGUGCAGGGAUCUUGAAUUUAGAUUCAAUCUAUGCACUUGACCAUACCAACCUCUACAUGAGACUUUUAAAGGCUUGAGUCUUGGAAAAGAGGUUCUUGAGAUAUAAUGAACUUUAGGAAGAUGGCCACCUUCCAUGCAAAUCAUCUAAAUAGGUUUACUUUUAACAACACAUGAUUUAUUGCCGAAACUUAGUAGAAUUUACUUCUCUUAUUGUAUUGGUUAUUUGACAGGACUUUCCCAACUUUAAGAGACUUUUAUUAGUCAAUAACAAUAUUCAGAUGAUACAAGAUGGAAAUUUUCCCGAUGACAUCUUUAGCAAACCAAAAGCACUAAUAUUGGCAUGCUUUCAUGAUGAAAAGGCCGUCUUUCCUUCUAUAUUCUUCUUAGAGAGAUUUCAGAAUCUACAAAGCCUUGAGGUAUUCUGUAGCUCCUUUGGAGAUAUAUUCCCGGAUGAAGGGCUUGUUGAAGGGGGGAAACAUCCGAUGCUUGAAAAUUUAAGAGAAAUUAAGUUAAACAAGCUACACAACCUGAAGCGUGUGUGGAGAGAAGACUCUUUAGUGUCGAAAAUUCUUCAAAGCAUCAAAACAUUUGAGAUUUGGGAUUGUCCAUGUUUGACGACAAUAUUUCCAACUAUGGCGUCCUUCCAGAAUUUGAUGGAGUUAGUAGUGAAGAAUUCCUCUGGAUUGGUAUAUCUAGUAACAGUUUCAAUGGUCACAAAUUUGAUGCAUCUCAAUACCAUGACUAUAAUAGGAUGUGAAAGAAUGAAAGAAAUAGUGGCCAAUGAUGAAAAAGGAGAAGGAAAAGUGAUUUAUUUUAAAUAUCUACAAAAGUUGACACUCCAAGAUCUACCAAGCCUAGAAUGCUUCUCCUCCAUCUCGAGUUGCACCUUCAGGUUCCCAUGGUUAUUGACUAUUAAAGUGGAAGAGUGUCCAAAAAUGAAGACCUUUUCUAAGGGUAUGCUAAACACACCACAACUUCAGCAGAAUGAUUCGAUGAGCCUCUUCAGAUACAAGUGGGAAAGAGGGAACUGGGAGGAGGGUGAUGAUCUCAAUACAACCAUACAAAAGUUAGCAGCAUAAACAAAUGCACAUAGAAUUGGUAAAGAUUCAAUCGAUGUCAUUCUCUCAUCCAUUCGUUUUUCUUUUUUCUUAUUUUUUUGGUAACACGAUAAGUUUUUAAAUUUUUCUUUUUGUAUCUUUUCUAUUAUUGAUACCGUCGGAUCAAAGCAUCAUCAACCCUUAUCUAUCGAUCGAUCGAUCAAUCUCGCCUCCUUCACCGAACAGCAGGAAACGAAGCAAGGCUCUCCUUCUCCUUCUUGAUGCCAGAGGCUCUCCCUGCUGCAUUCACGGAGGACGGAGCGAAAAGGAAGCGACGGGAAUUGCCAGGACUGAGAGAAGAUGGCAUUGCCAAGUCUGGACAGUCAGUCCUCCACUCACUUCAUCAAAGAAGAAGAACAUUCUCUCUCCGCAUCUGUAUCCGACGAAUCGUAAGUUCACUCUUCUGCACACAUCAUUCCUCUCGUCUGCCAGAAUUUCUUCCCGAUUUUCGUGUCUUGUUGCUCGUAAUUUUCUUCCGGUUUUCGUAGAGACCUUUCUUUAAUCGUCGUCGUCUUCUUCAGCUAGGGCUCUGCUUUUUAAAUUCGUUCCGUGUAAAUUUCUCAGUCCACUACUUCAGAUCAUGGACCAAUAGAGGUCCUCCACUGACAUCAUCAAAGAAGAAUAUCUCUCUCUCGCACUUGAACCCGGCAAACUCGUAAGUUCACUUUUCUUCCAACUUUGGUGUCUUAUUGCGCGUGAAUUAGGUUGAAGUCGGAGGCUAGUUUCGUAGAGACCUUCCUCAAUCCUCGGCUUCUUCUUCAGCAAAGGGCUCUGUUCUUCAAAAUUCAUUCCACAUUAGAGUCUAAAAGCAUAAGUUCCUCAAACUAGCAAUUUUAUCUUAACAAUGGAGUAAUUGAAAUAGGGAAAAGAAUGAAAGGACUUUUAUUGGGACAUAAGCUGGUGGUUGGAGGUUCGAAAAGAUAACAAUCGUCUCCUUUUUUUUGUGGAUAGAUGUGUUGGAAAAGCAAUUCCUAAGGUGUCUUAGAAUUAGAAUCCAAGUCCUCUUAUAUGGAGAAAUUUGACAAUGUAAUUCAAUGUCGGAGAAGUAGAAUAUAUAUGUUAAUCGCACAAAGAGACUAUGUUCAUAUGGACUAGCAAAUUGCAAAGAAUGUUGCUGCCUCCAUAACUAAAGAGAAAGACCUAAUCGAUAAAAGGCUGGCUUGUUGUGAUUAUGAAAUUUCAUUACAGAUCUAAUGAUUGAUAAUUUUUGUUUUCAAAUAGGAGAUGCUAUUGUAUUUUGUUAUAUUAAUCAGAUUUGGGGAAAAAAAAGAUUUUACUUUGUCAAAUUGAACCAAUAGUUUGAUAAAACCUUAUUUGAGCUGUGCUUGAAAGAAUCAAAUAGCUUAAGUUUAAAUUUUCAAUUCUAUUCAUGUUCCAGUUAUCAGUGUAUUUGCUUUUUUCCCUGUGAUUGUGAUUUGUAUGGCUGAAAUUGAUUUGUUUUAAAUAUAUAUAGAGGACCUGGAAGGCUUCUUCUGAAUGUGUACCCUAUUGCAUUCUUGGAGCAUAGAUUUGACCUUGACUUUGGAUUAAUGGCUUUCGUUAUAUGGUUUACUGUCUAUUAAACUCCUGAAACUAGCAAGUAAUGCCUUAAACUCACAUUGUGUAUGAUUUGAUUCUCUCAUUAGGGUAUGCUUAUGUUUUGGUCUGUUCUUCACCAUAUGUUGGUUUUUUGACCAUGUAGACGGGCAGUCUGCUCCUGUUCAAUUCAUCACGCAACAUAUUCAGGAAAUUAAGCAAAUUGCUACUCUCAGGUAUUCGGACAAGUCAUGGAUGGUGAAGCCAAGGAGUUGGAGAUGAGAUUUUUUUUUUUUUUUUUUGUGGGGGGGGGGGGGGGGGGGGGGGGCGUUCUUUUCCACUGGAUGACCCGCAUUUGCAAUAGAAAGUCAUUUGCAAGUAGAAACUCAUUGAUAGGGAUGAUUUUUUGUUCAGAGUCUACAUAUUCACUAGUGCUGAUUAGGAUUUGAUUUACAUUGAUUGAGAUGAACUCAGGAAUUGUCACUUUUGCUGGUCCAAAAUGAAUUCGGUAUUCCAAAUAAAUAACUCCUUUAUGUAGUCUUGAGGAAUCAAGGAAGUGUACUUCUAUGCCAACUGGGUUUUAUGAGGUUGAUCGUAAUCUAGAUGCACACUCAUUAAUGCCACAUUCCAAAUCUGAAUGAACUAAAAACAAGAUGUCCUUUUUGGUUUAUGCAUUCUUGUUAUGUUGCUCUUCGUUUUGAAUCUAAAAUCUGGUCUCAUAGGCUUAUUAAGAUCAUGGGUUUUAUUUUUCCUACAGGGACUACCAAAAAGGUUCAAGAGGAUGCUUUUGAGAGAAUGGUGCAAUUAUUUGGCUUGUGGAAUUGGAAAAAUGUGAUAAGAUGGCUUGGCUAGCAAAGGGUUGGAAUGAAUAUGCAGAGCAUUACUCUAUUUGUGAGGGCCAAUUUUUGGUCUUCUAAUCUGAAGGGGACUCCAUUUUCCAUGUCAUCAUAAUCGAUGAAAGGAUGUUUGAGAUAGAAUAUCUGCCAAUCAAUGUUGAUGUGAGGAACCGAGCCUCAGCAAUUGUGGAUUUGUCUUGCUGAAAGCGGAAGAUACCUUUGAUUUAUGAUGUUUCAGCCAAGCUUGAAGUCCAGGGGGAUGGAUUGCAUUCAACCAAGUGCCCGCAGUCUUGUAUGGAAAUGGAAUCUGAUCAGGUUUGCAAAGUUCUUGGCAGUUCCUAUGCACAUUCAUCAGCAGAGUUUGGGGAGGAACAGAAGUUCAAACUGCUCAUCACAAGAUUUUCCAGGUGUGAAUCUUAAUAUAUUAGCUAAUUCUCCCCUUGAUUGUAUAGUUCUCGUGUUUGAUUCAAAUACCAUAGAGGAACUAUCCAUGUCGUUAAGCUAAGAGAAACUGCAUUAUAGAGUUGAUGCUAAGAGAAAGUGUUACCAGAUAAUUCAUUCUAUUAGUGUUUCUUUGUCUCUAGAUCUCCCGUGUGUGCAUAUGUAUGUGUUGGGAAUGUGCCAGCGAUUGCCGUGAUGUUUUGGUUGAGCUUGAAGUCUUGGGGGAUUAAUUGCAUCCAGCCAAGUAUCCUUAGCUUUGUAUGGCAAUGGAAUUUGAUUAGGUUUGCAAAGUUCGUGGCAGCUCCCAUGCACAUUCGUUAGCAAAAAGUUUGGGGAGGGACAAAAUUUCAAACUGCUCAUCACGAGGUUUUUCGGGUGUGAAUCUUAAUAUAUUAGCAAAUUCUCCUCUUGACUGUGUUUUUCUUGUGUUUGAUUUGAAUUCCAUCAGGAACUCUCCACAUCGUUAGGCUAAGAGAAACUGUGUUAGAGCUAAUUCACUCUUGUAGUGUUUCUCUGUCUAUAGUUCUCCCGUGUGUGAAUAUGCUUGUGUUAGGGGAUCUCAUAAAUAAUGGAAACAAGCUGAGCCAAUCAUAUCAGAUUUGAUUGCGCUGAGAAUCGUAUUGGUGUGCAUAUAGGCCUUGGGAAGCUAGACCAUUAGUCAGACUCAGAUCAAUUGAUUUAGGGUUGCUAUGUCGGCAGAUAUGAGUUUUACAUAACAAGAAUAGAAUACGACUAAAAAGCAAAUGCUUUCUUCAUGUUCUGUUUGCGACUGCUGCAGGUAAGCUGAGGGGCUUGUGCAGAGCUCUUGAACUGGCCAGCAAAUUUAUACUCGAUUAUUCUUUCUCCGAAAUUGCGGUGAGGUUAAUACAUUUGAAGAAAAACAAUGUGGUGAGAUCCUCGUGAUACUGACAACUCUGGGAUUUAAAUCACCUGAGGCAUCCUCAUACUGUCUUCCUCAGAUAUCAUUGGUUGUUCUCUUCUUUUUGAUGACAAAAUUGCAAAAUGUCUACUUGAGCAGAAAGUUCCUGCUUCAUUCACAAAGACACAUGUUAAGAAAAGCCCGUAGACCAUGGCUCUCAUUUUUCAAGACAAAUACUGGCCGUUGAAGCUCAUCAGCCAUGAACAUUCUGGAAAGUCAUCUGCCCUUUGGGCCACAUCACGAGAGAAACUUUUCUGAAGGUGGAAGACGUGUGUGUGUUCGAGCUUUAUUGAAAGGGACGAUACCAUGUUCAGAGUAUCUAUCUUCAGAACCACUGAUAAGAUUUGGGUGUAUAAUAAUACUGUGCAAUACAAUACAGCAGAGGACGCAUCGCGUUAGCUCACUUUAGGUGAGAACAGAACUUACAAAAUUGCUAAGCUGAAUUCUGCUUCCGGUUCGGCAAUGUGGAUAAAAGCAUUAGUUUUGUUCCAAUGGAUGGAAUGGUUCUGAAUGUGUACGAUACCUUUCCUUGAUCCUAGACAGCAAUCACAAUGUGAGCAAGAGUCGUGAGUCGUGAGUCAUGAGUCGGAGGAAGCUGAUUACAGAUGUCGAUUCUGUAGUUUCUAAUUCAGGAGACAAUCUCUCUCUCAAAUUGGGUGCUUCUUUAAGGUUUCCGGUGGCUCAACCUGACCUUUAGAACUGUAAAGCACAGUUAUGUCGAUUACGCUUCCCUUAAGCCAUAUAUCAACCAUGAUUUUGCAAGCUCCGGUGAACUUACAUCAGAUUCUUUGCAUUCUCUUUCCGAUUUCUUGAAGAUUUUGUGAUCAGUCUUUUUGCAUGUGGUUGCAAAUUGAAGUUUGUCAGUUUCUUCUCAUGUGAAAAGCAAUAGAAAUUUAUUUAUGUUUUUUCAUGUUUACUGAAUGUUGAUAUGCAUGAUGAAGUAAAUAUGCUGCAUCUUUGCGUCGCUGCAGUACGACUCUUCGGAGCCUCCGACAGUGGCUUUGCACCUUUAGAAUCAGUGACAUCCCGGUGCUCUCGAAUUUGAACUUGCUCUCGUCAACAAAUAAUGCUCGGCGAUACUCUUUCUCUCUCUCUCUCUCUCUCUCUCUCUCUCUCUUCCUUGCGAGAACUCGAUACCUCCUCUGUAAGUGCAACCUCCGGCAAUGGAAAUUUGGGAGAUGGCUAGAGGAUGGGAGAAAACAAAAGUGGAACAGAAAUCAACGGACAAAAUUGAGAAUAAAUCAAAGACAAUUCUAGAGUUAAAUCAGAGACAGAACGUCCUGGUAAUUGUGACUGUUGAUUAAGGAAACUCUGUGGUCGAGUUCUGCCGUUGUGGCGGCGAGUGGCAUCUUCGAACCGGUAGCGACGCUUUUUGUGCUUCGGUCGGUGCUGGAAGCAACAAUCGUCAAAGAGCUCGAUCUCGAUAAAUCGCUGGUAGAGCUCCAAUCGCGGUUGCAAUAAAUCAUCAGCUAGAGAUCAAUCCCCCUUCAUUCAAUUGUUCCUCCAAGCUGCAAUCGAAGGCUUCUCCGACUCUCUCCACCAAUUCAGAUCACCCUGCAGUGAACGACACUAUCAGAUUCCGCAUUCAAGGUGCGGCCACACUAAUUCCUCUCUGAUUUGAGUUGUCACUUUCCUGUCCUUACAUAUGUCUGGACCACAUUCACCUGUCGCCCGGCCAUCUCGAGCUCAUGUCGCCAUCACCACUGACCCAUUGUUACGCCAGUUUCAUGUGCAAUCGAACUGCCGAGUCAAAUUUCGAUUCACUCCAGAAUACGUUCUGUCAACUCUUGCCAAGGCUGAGGUCGGAUGGAUCAUCAUAUGGAUACCAUUCGCGGAUACGAAGGAUGAGAUUCUUUGGUUUCGCUCUUGGCACUCUUGCCAGUCCGACGUCACUUCAUCAACCGUGGUAGCCAUGGCCAAUCUGAGUCAUCAUCCUUCGAGACGAUACACCGAGCGUGAAGAUUGGCAGCGGCGAGCAAACAAUCUAGAAUAAAAAGGUGCAAUGCAAAGGGGUGGAUGGAGGUGAUUCAGAUUUUGCGUGGGAAUUUUGGGCAAAACAGGGCAAACAAGGUGAAGCUGGUGGUGGCUCUUUGGAUGAGAAGGAAGUAGAGUGUAGAAAAAAAAAAGAUAAAAAAGGAAAAAUAAAGUAAUAAUAAAUAAAUAAAUAAAUAAAUAAAAGAGACACGAAAGGAAAAUAUAGAGAGCACACGAGAAAUCGGUCAAAUGGAAUACUUGCACAAGAGAUGUAAUUCGUCACACCAUCGAACACCUUCCUUGCAAACUCGAUCCCUCCUCCACAGUGCAAUCGAUGGCAAUGGGAAUUCGGAAGAUGGUGAGAGAAUUGGAGAAAAUCAAAAUGAAAUAGAUAUCAACGGACAAAGUUAGAAUGUAUCGAAAUUAAUCCUAGAGUCGAAUCGGAGAUGAAAUGACCUGGUGGGAAGUGCGACUGUCGAUCUGAUAGAUAUCAUAAUUACCCGAAUGUCAGUGAGGAACCGGCUGUCCGCGGAUAUUUCUUAUGGCGCGAUCUUCUUUCCUCCGCUUUUUGUUACAGAGUCGUCUCACCCUCUGUUUCUCUCUUGCGCAAUUCAACGAACACCUUCUGCUCAGAGGACGCAGCACAUUCACAACGACCAGGAAACUACGGGGGUCAAGUUCUUCGCCAUGCAACGUUUUCUCUGUCUAUCUUUAUUUUUUCACCAGGUCUUCCUCUAUCAGGAUUGUUUCCUAUCCGAUUAAACUUCUGAGUCCAAUUUCGAUUCAUUCCAGUAUAAAUUCUGUCGAUUCUUGCUUCCUUCUUUUCCCUUCCACUUCAUUGCCGCCUUUUGGAUUCCAAAUGCGGUCGCUUGCGUCCUUCGUUUCGCCCUCCUACGCCGCGCAUGAAGGGGAUGUCGGGCUGGUGUAUAGGAUCCGCCAAUUCGAGGGAUGAAAUCUUCGAGUUCACUCUCGGCCCUCCCGCCGGUUUGAGAAGCCCGUCAAAAGGAAGACUUGCAUAAAAGAUGGAAUUCCUUGAGAGGAAGAUUCAUCUCAUAACUCAGCCAUCAUUCUCCUUUUCUUUUCCUUUAAAUAGGUAUAAAAAACUCCAAACGACGCCAUUGCAGCGUUUCUUGGCUUCAGGUACCUUUUUUGUUAGGAAAUCAAGUGGAUGUGCAAAUAAAAUAAUCACUUUAUUUUAUAUAAGCAAUAUUGCAAACUCUUUACUCACACCACUCUCAUACACCUCUCACACCUCACACAAACACAAUUCUUGCACACACCCACUCACUCUUUCUCACUCUACACUUCACGCCACCUACUCCCACCCACUCACACACUCACGUACACACCCCACACUUUACGUACACACUCCUCACACUUUUCACACCAAGAGACAACAGCCCCUAUUUAUAGGAGCCAAAGUCGGUGGAGUCCACGGACAAAAUGGCCGAGAAAAAUCUGGAGAGAGAGGGAGAGAAAAUUCUGGAGAGAGGGAGAGAAAAGUCUAGAGUAGAGAGAGAGAGAGUAAUCUGGAAAAAUCCAGAGAGAGAGAGGCGGUGCCUUUUUCUUCUGACACUCCCCCUCACCGACUACUCUCUCUUAGCAUGGACAUUGUGUCAAGUUGCUUUUCGGCAUAUGCUUUUGUCUUCUUCCAUUCAGCACAUUGUGAAGCUUCCUCGUACGUGGAUGGCUUUAUGACUCCAUCUUCAGUUGUUUCUCUUGCGAUUUUCCAUUGAGUUUUGUGAUCCUUGAAUUUUUGCAAUGCCAAUUCAUUUUGCCCUUUAGUCUCAUUUUCCUUCUCACUCAAUUCAGUCUUCGUAUUUAGCAUAUCUCCUCUAAGAAUUUGGAGAUUAGAACUCAUUCGAUCAAGCCUCUCACUUGUGACUUUCAUUUCGUGCUUCAACCGAUUCAAUCCCAUCCGAAGCACUUCAAUGUAGACCUCUUGAUCAUUUUCCUCAUAAAAUUUCUUCCCCUAGAUCUUAUUCCACCGAUCCUUACACCAUGGGAUGUAGGGUGUAGAUGGCCUCCUUUUCUCAAAGAAAACUUUAUUUUUCUCCUUCAUUUGCUCAUUGUCUCUUCCGAUAUGAUUAAUUCGGAAUAUCAUAGUGGGCUUGAGGUCCUGAAGCUUCUGCGGCUUCUUGAACUCAUAUCGGAACUUCUCUAGCCCCUUUCUUUUGCCUCGAGCUCUCGAUCCUUCUGCCUUAUCAUCUCAUCCCUUUUCUUCAACAUAUUCUCCAUAUUUGCCUUCUCAACUUUCAACUUCUUUAUCAUCUCUUGCAUCUCAUGCAAUUUCUUUUCACGACUGCUUGUUGGCAUUUGCUUCUUCGAGUUCUCCCUUGGCUUGCUCUUAUUCGGGGUCGUGAUGGAACCUGUUGAAUCAUCCAACUCAAUUAUACAAGCAGUUGCAAGCUCUUCUCGUUCCUUCACUGCAAUAGGUACUUGAAAGUCCCAUUCUUCUUCGCUUUCAAUCUCCUUCUUGUAGGAAGUGACGACAUUUCCUUCUUCUCGCCUAUACCAACAGAAUCUGGCAAUAUGUCCUACCUUGCCACAAACGUAGCACCGUUUGCUACGCCUUUUGUUGUUCUUAUCUUUGUCGUUGUCGUCGUCACGAUCUUGACUAGCUCCCCUUGGCUGAUAACCCUUCUUUUUGGGUUGCCUCCACCAAUCUCCAUGAUCUUUCCAUGGUUUACCAUCUCUUGCACCUGCUCUAUUUCUAUUCUGGCCCUUGAACCCUCUUUUAUAACUGAAGAGGGCACUUUCAUCCUCCUUAAUUGAGACCUUAGGGAUUUGUUUAUCUAAGGCCUCUUGAUUGGCCAAUAUAUUUUCCAACUCAGUUAGAGUUGGCUCAUUUGCCCAUCCACGAGUGGCCGUAACAAUAUCGUUAUACUCCGGCCUUAACCCAUGAAUUAUUAUUCUUCUCAUUCUUGUCUCAGAGAUGGCAUUUUGAGGAUCUAAUUUUGAAAUUUCUUCACAAAUAGAUUUAACUUUAGAAAAGUAUUGACUUACCGUCAUACUUUGUUGCGAGAUUGAGAGGAGCUCAUUCUCUAGGCAUUGUAACUUGGCAUCGUUUGUCCUCGCAAACAGCGUCGCCAAGUUAUCCCAGGCCUCGUUCGGGGUCUUCGCACUCUUUAUGUGUGGUAAUAAUUCAUCAUCAACAGUCACGGCAAGAACAUAAAGAGCCUUACCUGACUUGACGUUCCACUUUCUUAAAUCACUAUCAUUUGUGGGUGGUGUGAUGUUGUUGCCGCCAACAAUAUCCCAUAAAUCUUGUCCAAGCAAAUAAUAUCGCAUGCGGAUACUCCAAUUAUUAUAAUUAAAAUCAUUGAGCUUUUCCAUCCCGUUCACCGGACUCGAGAAAUCCACCAUGAUGACUUGAGUAUAAUGCCCCGCACUAUACCAAGUAAGCCUGGUCCCGGACCAACCGACUUCACAAUUCCAGAUUGUGCACUGGUAGAACUCUGACGUCCUUCGCUUCUUUGCUCCUUGGCUCGACGAUCCCUGAUCUCCUUGCUCACUUACAAUGGUCCUCGACCACUGUCUUCGCACGGCCUCCGACGACCUGCUCUGAUACCACUACCUGCUCUGAUACCACUUGUUAGGAAAUCAAGUGGAUGUGCAAAUAAAAUAAUCACUUUAUUUUAUAUAAGCAAUAUUACAAACUCUUUAUUCACACCACUAAACACCUCUCACACCUCACACAAACACAAUUCUUGCACACACCCACUCACUCUUUCUCACUCUACACUUCACGCCACCUACUCCCACCCACUCACACACUGACAUACACACCACACACUUUACGUACACACUCCUCACACUUUUCACACCAAGAGACAACAGCCCCUAUUUAUAGGAGCCAAAGUCGGUGGAGUCCACGGACAAAAUGGCCGAGAAAAAUCUGGAGAGAGAGGGAGAGAAAAAUCUGGAGAGAGGGAGAGAAAAGUCUAGAGCAAUAGAGAGAGAGAGUAAUCUGGAAAAAUCCAGAGAGAGAGAGAGGCGGUGCCUUUUUCUUCUGACAUUUUUCGGAUCUCUCCCUCCAUCUUGACACGCUCCCCCGCUCAGUGAGUUCCGAGUCGCUCCACCAUCACCCUCGCUAUCUACUGCUGCUUUGAAACCGAGCUGCACUCGCCUCAUGAUUGAUUCUGUCGCUCACCGUCUUUAGAAACUUCGGUGAUCUUCUCUCUUUCUCUCUUCUUUUCCUUCUUCCGGUUCGAAUCGCGUUUUCGUUUUGUGCAUUCUUAUAUAUUUUGACAGAGCGAUGUUUAAUGCUCUUGUCGUUUUGCUCAUCAAAGGGUUCAUGUCCGGAAUUUUUUUCUUUUUUCCUUGUUUCCAAUCGUGAAUCCUAGACCACUUGGAAACGAGCGAAGAUUGAACUGAAAACGUCGUGAGCAAUCACCACAGCGAACGAGAGUUGUGCAGAGUUAAGCUCGGUCGAACAGUGGUUCGGUUUUCCUCUAUUUUUUGGCACCCUAUAGUCGCUUCUGGAUUCAGUUGUGGUGCGGGGGUGACUCGCUAGCCAUUCCUGAUCGGUCCUUCGAUUAACACUUUUCUCUGUGUAGAUUUCUGAGCGGCUUGGGACUUGGAGAUGGGAGUGGCGCCGAUGAGUUAUGACAUGGAAGGGGGGAUGCUGGAGAUCGGCAUGGGUAAGCUUUUGGCCCUCUCCGCUUUCUGAAUUUUUUUUUUUUUUUUAGCUACGGGCGAUAGAAAUCUGUUGGGAUGCUUGAAUCUCGUAAUUAAGCUUUGUCUGUACUGUGGGGAGUAGCUUUGUGUUAUUGUUUGUGGCUUAUUAUGUCUUUCGCCAUCUAAAUUUCACUGUGCUUGGAAUCAGAACUUUAAUCAUGGGGUAUUAUUGUUUUCGAGGCUUUCCAUGUAGCUUUAGCGUUUCUGAAAAGUUUGCGCUGCCCCUCUUAUGACAACGGUUAAUACACUUACUACUUAGAUCUACACAAUCUCUAUCAUUUUACAUGUUUUGGUUAAGAGGUGAUGAAUCAUUUAGCUCUUGUCCGAGUCAAAUUUUUAGCAUGCCUUAGCCGCUGGGUCUUAGUUAUCAGUUGUUCAGACAAUUGCUUUGCUACUUGCAGAGCAUAGGAUUGUUUAUGGUGUUAUUGGGCCGUUGGUUAUACUCGACAAAGUCAAGGUAAAUUUCACUGGUUAUAAUUUUACGAGUUUCAGUGAACUCCUAUAUUGACAUGUUGGAUUACUUUUAUUGUAUAUUAGGGACCAAAGUAUCAAGAGAUUGUAAAUAUCCGCUCGGGAGAUGGAACAACUUGACGUGGGCAUGUCCUUAAAGUUGAUGGAGAGAAAGCUGCUGUGUAGGUUCAGUAUAAGCUGCCAGCCUCUUCUUUUUUGCUUUAGCUCUCUUGAAACUGCAUUUUUGUUGGUUGGACUACAUUAGUUGGGUCACUUUGGUGUGCAGUACUUUUUAGCUAAUGACCUAGUGAAAUCUCUGCCGUUAAUUACAAGCAUCAGAAAAAGCAGAACAUGUAGAAUAUUUUCUUGGGUAUAUGUGAUGAAAUGUGAGAACAUCAUAUGGGAUAAUAAUUUAAAAAAUUGUGAUUGAGUUUUUUGAGGAGACCAAUGUUAAGAGUCUAAUUAGCAUUCCAUGUGGGCAUACCCUCUCUCUCUCUCUCUCCCUCUCUCCGCAUCUAUAUCUGACGAAUCAUAAGUUCACGCUUCAGCACACAUUAUUUUAACCGUGUGCCAGAAUUUCAUCCAAUUUUUGUGUCUUGUUGCGCAUAAUUUUCUUCUGAAUUUCAUUAAACCUUCCUCAAUCGUCAUCGUCUUCUUCAGCUAGGGCUCUACUUUCAAAAUUCGUUCCACAGUCAAUUUUUAUGCAUGUAAAUUUCUCAGUCCACCGCUUCAGCUCAUGAACCAAUAAAGGUCCUCAACCUAGCAAUUCAUUUUCCCUAAUUCUACAUCUCGUGAGUAUAUAUGUAUGGUCGUCUCUCUUUAUCACACUGGCUGCUUUGAAAAUGUGGAUGGGCGGAGUUCUUCUCUUCCAGUUGGCAAGAAUUUGUGAUAAAAACACGUCUGCGUUGGAGUAGGAGAUUUCUUACGUGUUUGAGCUCAUGGAUGGUGAUGAUAUGGUGGAACUUGAAAAUAUUCAGAGAAUCUUAUGCCUUGUCAAAAUAUGAGUCACUUUUAUGCCUUGUUCUCCAUAAACUCCGGAGUGCUCAUCAUCACGAGAAUUUGGAGGGGUGGCUCGCGUAACUCUCUUUCCAUCGUUCUCUUCGAAUUCUAUAAUAGUUUCUAAGAAGCUCUUGUUUUGAUCUUGAUUGAUUAUGAAAUGAUGUGGGGAUACUAUUAACUUCUGACCUAUGCUAAAUUUUUUGAUGGCAAGUCAAAUUAAUGAAGUGUACAUAAACUGUCACUGAAGUUGUCGCUUUUCAGUUACAGGGAGGACCAAACAGUUAGCAGAUUAAGCCAUCCUGAGCUGGUUUUCUUAGGUCCAAUGCACCCAAGGGCUCUCACUACUCUUGAAUCGACCGGCAAAUAUUCUGACGGAGCAUUCUUUUUCAAGGUGGUGAUGAGGCCAUCUCAUGUUAAGUAUGGCUUGGUAUGAUCCCAAGCUUAUUUACUCAAACUGGCAUGUCUGGAAAUCAAAUACAUUGAUGCUGUUUAUAUCUUUGCUUAUACUCUAGUGUAUUUCGAAGUUUACUGCAUUGUGUAGUAAACCACAUCAUAUGUUAUUUUCCUUAAAGUGUUCAUGGAUAUAUGCUUAAAACCAGGUAUAUAUCUUAACAAUGGAACAUAAGCUGGUGGUUGGUGGUUCGAAAAGAUAACAAUCAUCUCCUUUUUUAUGGUGGAUAGAUGCGUUGGAAAAGCAAUUGCUGAGGCAAGUCUUGAGAAUUAGAAUCCAAGUCCUCUUGUAUGGAGAAAUUCGACAAUGUUAUUCAAUGUUGUAGAGGUAGAAUAUAUAUGCAAAUCGCACUAGGAGACUGUUAAAAUUGACAAGCAAAUUGCAAAAUAUGUUGCUGCCUCCAUAACUAAAGAGAAAGACCUAAAAGAUAAGGGGGUGACUUGUUAUGGUUUUGAAAUUUCAUUCUAGAUCUAAUGACUGAUAAUUUUGUUGUCAAAUUGGAGAUACUGUUGUCUUUUGUUAUAUUAAUCAAAUUUGGGGGGAAAAAAGAUGAUUUUACUUUGUCAAAUUGAACCAAUAGAUUGAUAAAACCUUUUUUGAGCUGUGCUUGAAAGAAUCAAACAGCUUAAAAAUUUUCAAUUCCAUCCAUGUUCCAGUCAUCAGUGUGAUUGCUUUUUCCCGUGAUUGUGGUCUGUGUGGCUGAAAUUCAUAUGUUUUAAAUAUUUAAUAGGACCUGGAAAGCUUCUUCCAAAUGUGUACCCUAUUGCAUUCCGGGAGCAUAGAUUUGACCUUGACUUUGGAUUGAUGACUUUUUCGUUAUAUGGUUUACUGUCUGUUAAACUCCUGAAACUAGCAAGUUAUGCUUAAAACUCACACUGUGUACAAUUUGAUUCUCUCAUUAGGGUUUGCUUAUGUUUUGGUCUGUUCUUCACCAUAUGUUGGUUUUUUCCACCAUGUAGAUGGGUAGUUUGCUCCUGUUUAAUUCAUCACAUAACGUAUUCAGGAAAUUAAGCAAAUUUUGACUAUAAGGUAUUCAGACAGGUCAUGGAUGGUGAAACUAAGGAGCUGAGGACGAGAUUUUUUUUUUUUUUUGGGGGGUGGGGGGGGGGGGGGCACUUUUGACAAGAAAAAGUCAUCUGCAUGUAGAAACUCAUUGAUAGGGAUGAUUUUGUAUUCAGAGUCUACAUAUUCACUAAGGCCGGGUAGGACCUGGUUUUCAUUGAUUGAGAAGAACUCUGGAAGCGGUACUUUCGCUAGUCCAAAAUGAAUUAAGUAUUCCAAAUAAUAACUCCUUUAUAUAGUCUUGAGGAAUCAAGGAAGUGUACUUCUAUGCUGAUUGGUUUUUAUGAGGUUGAUCAUAAUCCAGAUUGCAUUCAUUAAUGCCACAUUCCUCAUCUGAAUGAACUGAACAGUAUGUGCUUCAAGAUGUCCUUUUUGGUUUAUGCAUUCUUGUUAUUUUGUUCUUCAUUUUGAAUUUGAAAUCAAGUCUCAUAGGCUUGUUAAGAUUAUGGGUUUCAUUUUACCUACAGGGAAUACCAAAGAGGUUCAAGAAAAUGCUUUUGAGAGAAUGGUGCAAUUAUUUGGCUUGUGGAAUUGGAAAAGUGUGAUGAGAUGAUUUGGCUAGCAAAGGGUUGGAAUGAAUUAGCGGAGCAUCACUCUAUCUGUGAGGGUCAAUUUUUGAUCUUCUAAUCUGAAGGGGACUCCAUUUUCCAUGUCACCAUAAUUGAUGAAAGGAUGUCCGAGAUAGAAUAUCCGCCAGUCAAUGUCGAUGUGAGGAACUGAGCCUCAGCAAUUGUAGAAUUGCCUUGCUGAAUGUGGAAGGUGCUUUUGAUUGCCGUGAUGUUUCAGUCGAGCUUGAAGUCUGGGGGGAUGAAUUGCAUUCAGCCAAGUGUCCUCGGUUCUGUAUGGAAAAGGAAUUUAAUCAGGUUUGCGAAGUUCAUGGCAGCUCUUAUGCACAUUCAUAAGCAAAGUUUGCGAAGGCAUAGAAGUUUGAACUGCUCAUCACAAGAUUUUCAAGGUGUGAAUCUUAAUAUAAUAGCUAAUUCUCCCCUUGACUAUGUUGUUCUUGUGUUUGAUUCGAAUUCUGUACAGGAACUCUCCAUGUUGUUAGGCUAAGAGAAACUGUGUUAGAGCUAAUUCAUUCUUGUGAUGUUUCUCUAUAGUUCUCCCACGUGGAGUAAAUUCAUUGGGAGAUCUCAAAAAUAAUGAUAACAAGCCAAGCUGGUCAUAUCAGAUUUGAUUGUGCUGAGAAUUGUAUUGGCGUACAUAUAGGCCUCAGGAAGCUAGACCAUUAUUAAGACUUAGAUCUAUUAAUUUAGGGUUGCUAUGUUGGUAGAUAUGAGUUUUACAUUACAAGAACAGAAUACGCCUAAAAAGCUAAAGCUUUAUUCAUGUUUUGUUUGCAACUACUGCAGGUAAGCUGAGAGAGCCGGGCUUGUGAAGAGCUUGAGCCAGCCAGCGAAUUUAUACUCGAUUAUCCUUUCUUCCAUAUUGCAGUGAGGUGAAUAUAUCUGAAGAAAAGCAAUAUAGUAAGAUCCUCAUGACAAUGACAACUCUUGGAUUUAAAUCAGAGAGUCGCUAGACUAUGUUAGCUCUAACUAUUUAAUCACGUGGCGAUAAUUUUUUUUUUUUUUUAUCGUUUACAUGGUUUUAAAAAAAAAAAAAAUCCUCAUACUGUCUUCCUAAGAUUUCAUUGUUUGUUUUCUCCUCUCUAAUGACAAAAUUGCGAAACGUCUACUUAUACAGAGAGUUAUCGGUUCAUUCCCGAAGAAGCACAUUAAGAAAAGCCCGCACACCGUGGCUCUCAUAUUUCCACACAAAGCACGGCUGUUGAAGCUCAUCAGCCAUGAAAAUUAUGGAAAGUCAUCUGCUGGUUGGGCCGCAUUCACGAGAGAAACUUCUUUGAAGGUAAAAGACAUGUGUGUGUUCGAGCUUUAUUGAAAGGGACGAUAUCAUGUUCAGAGUAUGCAUCUUCAGAACCACUGAAAAGACUUGGCCAAUUAAUAUAUCCAAAUACUAUACAGCAGAGUUGCUAGGCUGAAUUUGGCAAAAUGGAUAAAGGCAUGAGUUUUGUUCCAAUGAAUGGAAUGGUCCUGAAUGUGUUCGAUACCUUUCCUUAAUCCUAGACUUAAUAAUCACCAUGUGGGCAGGAGUCGUAAGUUGAAGAGAGCUGAUAACUAAUGUCGAUUCUGUAACUUCCAUCUCAGGAGACAAUCUCUCAAAUUAGGUGCUUCUUUAAGGUUUCUGGUGACUUAACCUGGCCUUUAGAAUUGUAAAUGGUAGUAACAUAGAAUACACUUCCCUUAAGCCAGCGCAACCAUGAUGUGCAAGCUCCUGUGAACUUACAUCAGAUUAUUUUCAUUGUCUCUUUUUGAUUUUUUUAAAGAUUUUGUGAUAAGUCUUCUCACAUGUGGGCGCAAAUUGAAGUUUUUUAGCUUCUUCCCAUGCGAAGAGCAUUUGCAAUUUAUUUUGUCAAAUUAACUAAAUUGUUAUACGCAUGGCAAAGCAAUUUCCAAUCUAUGUUACAUCUUUUCAUUGGUUAGUAAAUUAAGGAAAUUUUUACACCAAUGUCUACUAAAUUGCUCAUUGUUCAACUGUGGAAAGAAGAAUUUCUAGUCACCCACGUUAUUACCCUCGGCCAUGCCGCCAAAUGAUAUGAUAUCAUAGUAUAGAUAAAGAAAGUCCCCCAGCUUGGAAGGAGUAGCUUUGUUAUUUCUAUUUAUAUAGAAAUGGCAAGUAGUCCAUAUGCUGAUUCAGCCAUUCUGUGUUGGUUUUUCAUGGUCCUACACUUCCAGACCUCUCAUUACUCCUAAAUUAGCCUGCAAAUUCGAUUUAUAACUAUCCUUUUUCAAAAUGGUGAUUCCGCAACUUAUAUGAGUAGUCCGGUAAGAUCUUGAGCUUAAUUAGGCACUGGUAUACCUAGAGCUUAGUUAUAAUUGCUAGCACCAGUGAUACCACGACUGUUUUAGCAGUCGAUGUCUACUUGUUGGAGAUUUUUUUUUUUUUCCAUUUAUACAGUGUCUAUAGUUGAAGCCAAUAGCAUCCUAGAACAAUACUCAUUAAUAACAUGUAUUAAAAAAAUGAUGUUAGCUGUUAAUUUCUUUCAUCCUCAAGCACUUUCAAACAAAUAAAUUUAUCCUUGGAUUUCUUCGACUUCAAAUCAUUACCUUCUUGCUCUUUGCCCUCUGAUUUUGUCUUUGCAUUUCUCAUUUCACUUAUAUAAUUUCAUAGCUCGGUCGUUAAAACAUGUAAAUGUGCAGAGUAUUCUGGAUGGAUUCAUUAAGCAACAUAUUCAGGAGAAGCAAAGAGCAACUCUUAGGCAUUCCAACAAUGAAGUUCAUCGGGAGCCAGACUCAUAAGAGGGGCCUUGUCUGUGUCCUUUUCUUCUGGUUGAUGUGCAUUUCGGAGAGAAACUCGUAUGCGUGUAGGAAAUGUCUGCAUGAAUGAAUGAACAAAGAGAAUCACCUGAAGGCCUGCAUUCUUUGCAGCAAUAGCUUCUCAAUAUCAUGUGCUUAUCACAAAUCGUGACUCGGUACCUACACAUAACUAUGUGUUUUUUCUUCUCCACAUUUAGUGUCGAAAAUCCAUGAAGACACUACCUCAGAUCUCCAUGAUUUGUAUUUCCGGAGUCUUUAUGCUAAUCUGCCGUCAUAAGAUACAUGUGUACAAAAACAAAUGCAGCAAAUGGCCUCUCAUCAACGAAGAAGUUGCCUAGGAGGUGACCUUUUGGGGCUCACCAAUUUCAUACCCUGCAUUGUGACAGAAUGAAACAACACAUAAUAUUGAUACUAAUAACCAUGAACCAAAGCAGACCCAAAACAAAUUAAUUCAACCCCUCGAACAGCAGAGCAGGUAAUUAACAAAUAGAAUUCGAUGAGACUGAAUCAUCGACUAGUUAUCCUUGUUACCAGAUGGAACAACAAUUUAGAGAACAGCAGUUAAGCUAUGCAACAAUAGGUCACCCAUCAGAGUUUAUGAGGGCAAAGAGACAUCGAAUGGCAAAGCAAUUACUACUUGGGAACAGGACAAACAUGUCCAGAAUUUGUGAAUGGUUGCUUACCCUUCCAAACAAAAGGAGACAUGAAACUUUCUGAGGCUAAAACCAAAAAUUACAAGCUGAGUUAAGUAGAGUAAUUACAAUGGUCCCAUCCUGCGUCAACGAUCUUAUAAUGGGCACAUGUACCGUGUAUUUUUCUGUGCUUAUGUUGAUUCCAUCAUAAUAUUAAUAUCAACUGAAAAGGAGACUUUGAGUAAACACCAAUUAAAUUUGCAACCACGCAAAAAAUUCACUCCUUGACAACAACGCCUUCAAAUAAUGCAACUAAACACACUGCAUUAAUAAAUUAGUGACAGCCAAUCUGGAAAAACGGGAGGAUGAGGAAGCACUUUGUUGGAGGGACAAACCAGAAAUGUUACACCGUUCAUGAGCAACUCUCAUUUCGCACACCAUGAGCCAUUCUCGAGUCCGAUAGAUCCUGAGGGUGACGAGUGAUCUAACGAGGUGGGAUCCGGAAAACCUUCCUCCAGGUGGGAUGGCUAUGUCUUCAUGAGGCUUGGGAAUGAUGGGCACUGACUCCUGCUGCAGCUCCUCUCGAAACUAUAGGGACUGAUGUAUUGCCAGCCAACAUAUUGUUCAUAUUUGCACCAGAAUUUAUAACGUAGUCAAUCGCCUGCAUAGCGAAAUUGAAUUUCAUAAACUCCACAACAGGCCUGAGAACCUAGAAAGCAGCAUCGACUUCAACUCCAGAAACCAACCUCUGUGAUUGCAGUAUCAACAACCCUCUCAGGUCCAUGCUUCUGCCCAAAAAAACAAAAAAAAAAAAAAAACCUCGUUAUUCUCCGACCACCUCACCCAUUAGAAAGACUCUUAGGAUCUGCAGAUAUUUCAUCGUCAAAUGCAGUAUUCAGAGCCUCUCUCACAGUCUCCCUUUCGCUGCGGUGGCAUAACUAUGUAACGGCGUUUCUGCAUCACAACUUUUCCACAGCCUUUCUCUCAACAUCACAGCAUCGAAGCCUCUGGCAGUGGCUUUUCCUAUUAGAAUCAACAACAUCAUGCCCUCUCGAACUCGAACUUGCUCCCACCGUCAGAUAAAGCUCGCUAAUUCUAUCUCUCUCUCUCGAACGGGUAUCCUUAGAAACAGAGUCCAGCUUGGUCAUUCCAUCAAACACCUUCCUUGCAAACUCGACUGGAUUUUUCUCCGACCAAUUUUUUUUUUUUUCGCAUCUCUCUCUGGCUCUGGAUUCCCCUGAUUCAUCUCCAGCAAUUCAGAUCAUCCCCACAGUAAACCACACCAUUAGAUUCCACAUUUGAGUUGCGGCUCUGAUUCAAGUCCUCGCUUUCCUGUCCUUGCCCAUGUCUGGACCAGAUUUUUCCGUCGCGGGGCCAUCUCGGGCUUACGCUACCAUCGCCGCUGAACCAUCAACAGGACCAUUUCAUGUCUGAUUGAACUUCCGAGUCAAAUUCCAAUUCACUCCAGAAUAUGUCCUGUCGACUCUUUGCUUCGUUCUGCUCGCUCCCACUUCAUGCCGCCUUUCGAAAUUCCAUUAUUCCACCCAUCUAUGCCGUGCGCAAAGAGGGACGCGGGGUGGUGUUCGCUGUUUACAAGAGCCUUUUAUCCGAUUGCCAAGGCUGAGGUUGGAUGGAUCAUCAUCAUCAUCAUCAUCAUCAUCAUCAUCUGGAUACGAUUCGCCGAUUCGAAGGAUGAGAUUCUUUGGGUUUCGCUCUCAGCACCUCCACUGGUCUGGCAUCGCUUCUUCAACCGCAGCAGCCGAGGCCAAUCCGAGUCGUCAUCAUCCGAGACGAUAUGCCGAGCAUGAAGAUUGGCAGUGGCGAGUACGAAGAGAAAAACAACGGAGAAAUUAAAAAAAGGCGCGAAGCGAAGCGAUUCGGAUUUUGUGUGGGAAAACGGGGCGAACAGGUGAAGCCAGUGGUUGUCCUUUGGAUGAAAAGAAAUUGAAUUUGAAAAUAAAAGAGAAUAAAAAGGAAAAAUGAACUCACCGUCGUUUCCCGAAAAAGUCGGCGAAAAACUCCAAAUUAUAUUUAUUUUUGUCGCAUUUAUUUUUCUUUUUGUUACGCGAAAGCUCAAAAUUAUGUAUAUGGCCUAUUUACUCUAGUUCUUAUGAUGUCAAAAAUUUUAAAUUUUGUACCAAUAUGACAUAUUUAUCUUUUGUCAAGAUUUCGUAUGAUGGAUUUUAUAUUUUUUCUUUGGUCAAAAUUGUUCUUAUUUCAUUUGAUGUCAACACUAUUUACAUUUCGUCAUUCAUAUAGGCAGUCUUUUUUUUAACGAUACUCAUUGACAGAGAAUGAAUAUACACAUAAAUAGAGUUUGGAGUUUUUUGUGACAUAAAAAUAAAAAAUAACAAAAAACUUAAGAUGGAUGUGUCAUAGUUGGCAUAUUUUAGGAUUUUUAGUGAUUUUCCUCCUUUUUUUCUUAACUUCAUCAAUAAUCAAUCACAACUCAAAACCGAGAAUGCAUCGAUCUCUCUCUACUUGUUGCCUAUCGGCCAUCACCAAGCUUCCAUCACCUUGUCCCUCCUAGAUGUCCUUGGUGGUGUUUACGUCGGUUGUUCUUGUCCCCUUUAUUGUUAGAAAGGCACUUUCGAUUGAUUGCUCAUAUAAUGAAUUUGCAGCUUAAAAUUCGCUUUCAUAGAUUAUAAGAGUAUGCUUACUGUGACUUGUUCUAGCUUGAAUGAACGGUACUUUAAUAUCACUUGUGAAAGGAAAAUUCCACUUUUCUUUCUCGUAAUUUCAAUUCCAAAAAAAUAUAUUUAAUUUCCACAUGUCUAUUGGCUUGAGAUUUCUAUUUAAAUUUCCUAUUAUUGGAAAAUUGACCCAUUGUCAUUUCCAAUUAAUGGCGUAGGACGACUAAUGGCGUCGGAAAUGAUGGGAUUCUGAUUUUAAGUGAUCUUCGGCUAGGUAUGGGUUGUGGCCUUAUUAGCAAAUAGGGUGGGCCAGAGGAACUGCAUCCAACCAAGCUUGAUGCACUUACGACGAAAUUUCAACUAGGGAGAGCUAAGUGAGUGGGGCCACGAACCAGAAGAGGCCCCCUUUUUUAACACCCAUCAUUUUCUAAGAGUUCUUAUUUUUUAAUUAGUUUAUCAUUUAUUUUUUUAUCCAUUCUUUUUAACUGCUUUUUGUUGUUUUUGCUAUUUUCCAUUUUUGUAAUUUAACAAGGACGGACGCUUGAAUUGUUGAUAAAAAUUCAGGUGUAGACAACAUAUGUGAUAACACUAAAGUUAGUGCCAUGGAAAACUCAGUACUAUUGUAAAUUAGUUGUUUAACAAAUGUAUUAUGCAUUGAUUAACACAUUCCUUGUAAAUAUUUUCCACAAAACCAAAAAUAAUAAUAAGGAUAAAAAGAAAAAGCCCCUCCGCUCCUUAAAAUUAGUCAAAUCUAAUAGUAUAGAAAUCAAAAUUACAUUCUAUAUCGGCAUUACCGAAUUUUUUUUGUUAAAUUGUUACUCCCCCAUCUUCUUGUGAACUCAUCUUUAGCUCUGAUACCGCGAAGUAGUUUGAAACUAAACAGUAACUAACGUAUGGAACUCCUUAAACAUUAAUGGUUAGAUUACUUACUUCCACGAAAACCAUGACAAAAAUUGGGCAUGGGGAUGAGAGUGCGUAGUGAAAGCUUGUUUAAGUGGAGUCUGAUCAUUAUUUUCCUCUAUAGUUGCAGUAAAACUUAGCACUCGUGGACAUAUAUUAAGAUCAAUUAGUGCAGAAGCCAACUCAAUGAUCGCCAAGUUAAACUAGAAAGGGCUUAACCAAAAAUUUGAAAGGCAAAAGCAUCACAUGAUUCAUUCUAAAGCAAGCUCCAAAAGUGAUUGCAUCUCUUAAUAUUUCUAAAUAUAUAGAAUUUACAUAUUGAGAAAUGAUGAUGAAAAUGUUGUAGCUAGAAGCCCAAAUCAAGGUAAUGAGAUACAAGCUGGUCAAAAGCCAUAACUGUAAAUCCUACUAGAUUUCAUUUCCACUAUGGAUACAAUAUGUUCCUUGGUGGGUAGCAUAAUAAUUCAAGAGUGACAGAUUAUGCAUCGAAUCGAAUAAAAUAAUCCAAACCUAGAAAUAAGACCAGGAACCACCUAGACAUAAGACCAGGAACCACUAUGGUUUGCUUGUGAAGCCACCGGAACGAGCUACAAAACGAUUCUCAUUCAACUGGUCCGAUCUAAUACUUUGGUUUUGCAGCAAUCCUAAUGUCAAAUCUUGCGGCAACAUCAUCACCAUUGAAUCUAGCAUCAAUCGAAAGUGAAUCGACAAAUAUCAAAUUCCAAGACCCCAAUGUCGCAUCAAAAGCGACUUAAGAAAAUUGAUGGGAAGAAAAGAAGGGGGGAGGAGCCAUGUGGUGAAAAGAGGAGGAACGGCCUAUUAUUGGGACUACGGUGGCAUUGUCGAAGUGGCCCCCAAUCCUCAGAUAUGUCAGAGAUCGGACUUAUCAACAACGGUGAUAGUGGUGUUGAGGGCAGUAGCAAUGACCUUGGUGUGGGAGGGAGGAGAGGAAGAAAUGGAGGGGUUUCCAAGUAGUGUGACUAGAGGGACCAGAAAAUGUGAAAUCAAAAGGGAAAACCUAUCCCAAUUGAUUUGAGAAUUUCAGUUGCACCUAUGUAUUGUCUUACCUUUCAGUCUAAUACAUGAAUACUACCAAAUUAUAAAUUUUGGACAAAAUUACCCUUAUUUAAGUCGUCGGAAAACAUCAGUUGGUGGCUAGCACAUAAGCUUAGACCCUAAUUUGAGGCUAGUUUGGCCAGUUUAUGUGUGACGACCCAAACUCGAGGCAAUAUAGAGGGAUGGACUGAGAUCGCCUUGGUAGUACGCAGGUGAGGCCAAGGACAUGUCUCCCGUCCCACAUCGCUUAGGGGGAGUCCUAGGCUAGUUUAUAAAGGCUUGGGUCCCUUUUAAUUUGUAUAACGUGUUUUAAAACCGUGAGGACUCAAUGUCCAAAGCGAACAAUAUUAUAUAAUGGGGCUCGGGUCGUUACAAAUGGUAUCAGAGCCAACUCCCGACCGCAUGUGGGGGCCACAGCGAGGACGCUAUGCCUUAAGAGGGGGAGAAUGUGACGACCCAGAUCCGAGGCAGUACGGAGGAAUAGACUGAGAUCGCCUUGGUAGUACGCGGGUCAGGCCAAGGACAUGUCUCCUGUCCCACAUCGCUUAGGGGGGGAGAGUCCUAGGCUAGUUUAUAAAGGUUUGGGUCCCUUUAAUCUGUAUAACGUGUUUUAAAGCCGUGAAACUCAGUAUCUAAAGCGGAUAAUAUUAUACAAUGGGGCCCAGAUCGUUACAUUAUGCCCUAACUUAUAGAGCAAAAUUGACACUUUUCUUUUUCUCCAUAAAGGAAGCUUGCUAGAUGAAAACGGAGAAGCUGGACUUGAAAGAUUUGCAGGAAGACUUCUCGGCAACUUUGACUUAGUAAAACUUUUGGACUAUUAUCACAAGAAAAUUUAUCGGAUGAUGAUUAUUGUAUCUUUUGUUAUUUCAAUUUUGAAGAGCUUGAAUGCUUUAGGAUCUUAUUUCUCUUGAAUUCUUCUUCUUUACAGGCACAAUUGUCUGCAAAGAGCAUUCAUACGACACGAAUGGCAAAGCAAACAUCUAUUCAUGGUUAGUCAAUUAAACAAUUUUUUUACACCAAUAUCUACUAAGGCUUCAUCCAUUUUGUAAAAAAUAUUACGUUUUUGGAAAAUAUUUUCUAUGAAAUCAUUUUCUAAGAAAAUGAUAAUAUUUUCCAGUGUUUGCUUGAAACUUAAAAAUGAAUUAGAAAAUAUUUUCCACCGUUUGGUUUGGAAAAUUCAAUUUGAUUUCCCUUUGUGCACUCAUUUUAACAAAUUUUUUAUCUUUUAAAAAAUCAAUUUUUCAAUUUUUUUCUUCUUACAUCUUAUUAUAUUUUUUCCUUGUAUUUUUCUUUUCUUUUCCUCCUCCUUCUUCUUUAGUUGAUCAUCAUGGCCACAGUGACAGCCGAAAAGCUUGAGGCCUUGAGCCUCACCAAAUUGGCAAGCCAACGAGCCAAAGGCUCACACUCACUAACUUGGAGAGGCUCGAGCUCAAGGCCUUGGGCCUCGCUAGAUCGAUGAGCGAACUUGCUGCUUAGCAAAGGCUUGCUUGAUUGGUGAGCGAUGAGCAUAGCUUGCCAAUCUGGCGAACCCUAAGCUCACCUAUGGUUGGUUGCCGACAACUGGCCUAGACACAAGGAAAAAAAAAUAAAAAUAAAAAUGAAAGGAAGGAAGGAUAAUGAGGGUAUGAGAUAAGAGAAAACAAGUGAGGAAAAUGUUUUCCCAAACUUAAAAAGUGAACAACAUUUUCCUCUAUUUUAAAAGACAUUCUUUCAUUGAUAAAAAUAUUUUCACCAUCUAGUUCAUUCUUAUGAAACGAACGCUAAAAAAUCUAAAAAAUAUUUUCCUGAAAGUUAUUUUUCGCGAAAUGAACUAAGCUUAAAUUUCCACCGUGGAAAUUGGAUUUCUAGUCACCCCCGUUGCCCUCGACCAUGCUGCCAAAUGAUAUGGUAUCACAAGAAAGUCCUCCAACGUGGAAGGAGCAGCUUUACUAUUUUUAUUAUUAUAGAAAUGGGAAGUAGUCUCUACGUUGAUUGGGCCACUCUGAGUGGGUUUUUCAUGGUCUUUCACUUCCAAGACCUCUCAUUACUUUUUCAAAAUGGUGAUACCGCAUCUUAUAUGAAUUGUCUAGUAAGAUCUUGAGCUUCAAUCAUCACCGAUGUACCUAGAGCUCAAUUAUGGUUGCUAGCACUUACGAUACCAUGACCGCUUUAGUGUUUGAUGUGCGCUUGUUGGAGAUUUUUCUUCAUCUAUAUCGUGUUCAUAUAUAAUCCAAUAGAAUACUAAAAUGAUACUCAUUAAUAAAUGUAUUAGAAAAUGAUGUUAGCUAUUAAUUUCUUUCAUCCUCAAGCACUUUAAAACAGAUAAAUUUAUCCUUGGAUUUCUUCAACUUCAAAUCAUUACCGUCUUGCUCUUUGCCCUCCAAUUUUAUCUUUGGAUUUCUCAUUUCACUUAUAUAAUUUCAUAGCUCGAUCAUUCAAACAUGUAAAUGUGCAGAGUAUUCCGGAUGGAUUCAUUAAGCAAUAUAUUCAGGAGAAGCAAAAAGUAACUAUGUGCUUAUCACUACCUGUGACUUAGUGCCUCCAUGUAACUAUGUCCUUUUUCUUCUCCACAUUUAGUGUUGAAAAUCCACAAAGACACUACCUUAGAUCUCCAUGGUUUGUAUUUCCAGAGUCCCUAUGCUAAUCUGCCAUCAUAAGAUACAUGUAUACAAAAACAAAUGCAGCAAAUGGCCUAUCAUCUACGAAGAAGUUGCCUAGGAGUGAGCUUUUGGAGCUCACCAAUUUCCUACCCCGCGUUAGAACAGAAUGAACAGCACAUAAUAUUGAUAUUAAUAACCAUGAAGCAAAGGAGACCCAAGAUAAUUAAUUCAACCCCUAGAACAGUAGAGCAUGUGAUUAACAAAUCAAAUUUGACAAGAUGAAUCAUCAACUAAUUACACUUGUACCAAAUGGGACAAUUUAGAGAAUAGCGUUUAAGGUAUGCAAUGAUAGGUCACCCAUCAAAGUUUAUGAGGGCAAAGAAUCAUUAAAUAGCAAAGUUAUUACUACAUCGGAACAAGAGAGGCUUGUCCAAAAUUUGCGAUUGAUUGCUUACCCUUUCAAACAAAAGAAGGUAGGAAAAGGAUGGAGGAGACGUGAAGCUUUCUGAGGCUAAUACCAAAUAUUACAAGCUGAUGAAAUUAGUGUAACAACAAUCGUCCCAUCCUGCACCAACGUUAUUAUAUUGAGCAUGUGUCAUUGAAUUAUCUCAUUUUUCUGUGCUCAUGUUGAUACCAUCAUAAGAUCAAACUAAAAAGAAGUUUGAAUGCAUUAUCGUCAUGGAGUGGAUAGUUUGCGUGGAAAUUUACUCAAAGCAAUGUAACUAACACACUGCAUUAAGAAAUUAGUGACUACCAAUCCGAAAAAAGCAGAGGAUGAGGAAGCACUUUGGUUGGAGGAACUUACUAGUGAUGUUAUACAAUUCAUUUCGCCAACUCUCGUUUCGCCAACUCUCGUUUCGCAUGCCACGAACGAUUCUUGUGUCUGAUAGAUCCUGAGGGUGAUGAGUGAUCUAACGAGGCCAGAUCCUGUAAAGAUUCCCCCAGGUUGGAUGGCGACGUCUUCACUCAGCCUGGGAGUGAUGGGUGGCAACUCCUCUUGUCGCUCCUCUUGAAACUAUAGGGAUGACAUAUCGCCUGCUAACAUGAGUCCAUCUUUGCAGGAGAAUUUGUAAAGUAGUCAAACAACUGCACAAUGAAGUACACUCCACGACAGGCAUGAGACCAUAGAAAGCAAUGUUAGUUUCAACUCCACAAUAGGCCUAAGACUAUAGAAUCGAGGACUUGAUUACACUAAUUAAUCAGAUAGUGCCCUUUUGGUGUCUAAUGUUGUUCAUUUUACAAAAAGAUAUUUAUCAAGUAGUUUGAAUUGAUUUUAGAUCUAUCCCUAAUAUGUGAUUAUGCGGGUGCACAAUUAUUAUAAUAGUAACUAGCAACCAAGGACAUCGAAUAAAUUGCAUGGCAAAAUGAGCAUUUAUCUCUAAUAGAUAAGAAAGAUAUCAUUCCUAACUAGUAUAGGGGUAAACAACAAUAUAUAUUGAAAAGUGCGUAAUCAAGUGAUAAUUCUUGUCAAAAAAGAAAACAUUGAAAUCCUAUGGCAAAGCCCAAAGAGUUUGUUUAAAUAUUGAGCAUGAUUUUUUUAUCAAUGAUUUCCCACAAUUUUAAGAGAAGACUUCCCAAAAGACUAUUUUAAAGCUUUUUCCAAGGAAUUCUAUUUUUCAGAAGCUUUUUCUAAUUUUUCAUAAAAUUUAAACUUUUUAAUUCUUCUAAUUUUUUUUUUUAUAUUUUCAAAUCUUUAAUAAAAAUAAUUUUUUAUUCUGAAAUGGGGACUCUGGCUGGGCCCCCAAGGCCCUGUCAAAAGCAGGCUGCCGUCUGAUACCUCGUGGGUUUGGCAAACAAGGCUUUCAACAAGCUCAAUUUCAAAUUGAUCUAAGCCCACUUUUUGAAAUAAUUAUACUAAGCUCCUCAACUAAAUACCAAAACCAGCCCACAUUUGCCAAGCUUCAACUUGAGUCCAACGCCCACUAAUCCCAUCGCCUAAUAGGUCAACCCAAAAUCUCUGAUUUCACUUCCUCAUUCAUUAUGCCCUCCACGCCCCUCUCCACUGUUCCUCUCUCUUACGUUGUUCAUGUCCUCAUCUUCCGGCUCGAAGACGGCGACGAGCGGGCAAGCUUGUGACAAAUCGGGCUAUAUGGUAUGCCGCCUUAGUAUCUUCAAGCCACAAUCCUCGGGCAAGGGAGAAUUGAACCGAAAAAGAAACUCACCGACGACACAGAGAUAUGGGAGCAAAAGACGGUGUGCUCGAGCGCAUCGGCCAGAGGUUGUCGGAGAGGGUUCGAACGCGGCGGAGCUGCUGGAGAACUCCUUCUCGCUAUCGAGUUUCACUCCCCUCCUCUACUCUCACUCGGAUCUCCUGCUGUUCUCCGAACCUUCCUCGUUUGAUUCUUGCAGCCGUGCGAGAGAGGAGCGCACUUGACCAGCCCCACCUCCGGUCCUUCACCGCCACGACGUCACCUCCUCCACCAUCAGAACGCUACCACCACCGAAGAUAUCGAGAGUGCAGUCGGCUCUCUCUCUCUCUCUCUCUCUCCAAGAACCAGCCUCCCUCUGGCUCACCCUCUCUCAAGCUUGCUCUCUCUCUGUGUGGCUCCCGCGAGCAGCUCUCACCGUCUCCUUCUUGAGCAAUGCUUGCCGUCUCUGGUUUUCAGCCGAACCCCUCAAGAAGCAGCCCUCGCCCUUUCUCUCCAUCUGUUUUCAGCCGAUUAAGAAGCCCUUUAGAGCUCACUCCCUCUUUCUCUCACGAUCUCACUCACCGGAUCUCUCUCUCUCUCUCUCUCUCUCUCUCUUCUCUCCUCUCCCCCGGUUCUCUCCCGAGCUCAAGGAAAUAUCUAGUGGUUUGCUCUCACCACAUCAUCAGCUAACGUGGCGAGCAUUGUUUUGCUUCCAUCUAAUUACAGCUUGGCACAUAUUUGCUAAUAUGGAAUUUGAAAUGGCUAGUAGAACAUCUAGAGGAGGUGAAUAGCUGUGAAGACAUAUUUUUGCGAAUGCAGUAAAAAUGCUAUACUUUUAAACUGAGUUUGAUUGACUACAAACUUUUCAGAAGGGUUCUGAUUUUAACAACUAUUUUAAAACAUAGAAUUAUAUUGCAAUAAAUAAAGUAAAUGAGUUUAGGGAAGAGAAAAAUAAACACAAGAUUUAUAUUGGUUUGGCUUAUAUCAAGUCUACCCCUACUCUCCCACAUUGACAGCCUUCUGGCUGGUUUCCACUAUGAAUCGAAAGAGAAUGUUAUAGCCCUAUGAUCUCGACUUUUCAAUGAAGUGAUUCUACUACUCUCACAAAAUCACUCUCUAGAGUUUCUCUCUUUUGAAUACAAUUUUAAGCACUAAAUAAUGAAGGACAAGUGAUUUGGAAGCUUCAGACUUUGGAAUUCUUCUUUCACGCUCUCCUCGAAUGACUUGAUAAACCUCCUUAAAUACUCCUCUAUGCCUUCUCAGUUGUUGGCACUUUCCAGAGAAAUUCUUUCAAUCAACCUAUUGGACAGAAUCAAUCAAGGAGAUCUCGAGCCGUUUGAAGAUUGAGAUGAAAGCUAGUCAAUCCUAUUCGCCCAUACAAUCAGGAUCUUGAUUUUCAUAAGUAGAUUCUUUCGAAAUAAACUUGCCUUCCGAAAUGAUAUGCUUCUUCGAAAUUGAUUCCCAUUAAGAUUAAAUAGCGUCGUUUCAUGUAAUUUUAGUUCAUAUCACACCAUCACCCUUACAUAUAAGAUAAUCGGUCAUGAUUAGACUGACAUGUGAAACAAAUGAGACAAAACUUGGCCGAGAGAACUUGAUUACACUAUUCCUCAAAGAGUUAAGAUUAAAUUGGUUCAAUUGAAAUGUUUAAAACUCGAUUACAUUCCAUAUAAUAUGUUUAAUACCGCUUGUGCAAUUUUCUCAACAUACCAAAACACUAGUACCUUGAAUUUGAUGAAAAUAGAAGAUUCUUGUGUAUGUCUUCAUAUUGAUCAUGACACAAUCUUAACCUCGUAGAUUUCAUAAUAUCUCAAAUAAAUUGAUAAUUUGCUCGUCAAUUUUGAUCGUCUAAUUUGAUGUCCUCCCUUGAUCAUGAAACUCUAUUUCCACACGUGAAAAACUCUAUGCUAUUAAAGUAAUUGGAUAAAGUGAUGUUUCGAAGAUAUUUGUGUUUCAACAUUUAUCAUAUGGAUCUCAAGGGAAGAUCACAUAAUAGAAAGUGUGAGAUCAUUUGGGCUUAUGAGGAUAGGGUUCAUGCAAUUAAAAAACCAUUUUGUUUCUGCAAAAUUUGGCUCCUAUGGAAAUAAGGAACAUCCUUCACUCAUCUGUCAAGAUCAAUAUGAUCUUUUCUAUUUUCUUAUUUUUACAAUUGUUUAAGUUGAAAUAGCUCAUAUUUUUUCAUAUUAUCUAUUUUUUCUCAUUGUCUGUGUUUAUAUUUUGAUUUUUUGUAUUUAUACAUUGCUUUUUCAAAUAUGCAUGUGGGCAGAUAAUUCUCUUUGCAUUAUUCAUAGAAUCUAUUAAGAAAAAUAAUCGAAUUGCAACUCUUAGGCAUUUAAACAAAUCGUGCACGAUGGAGCCGAAGAUCCAUCACAUCUUGUCAAAAAGUUGAGGAUUGAAUUGUAUUUACCUUAUUCUCUACCAAGUCUGAACUAUAAUCAUGAGAGUUCGGUAGUGUCUCUUGUACUUUUAUAAGCCAUGUUUUUUUUUUUUUUUCUCAUAUUGCUAUCUUUUGACUAGUUUUUAGUUAAAUCGCAUCUUUUCCAAAUGGCAGGUACUUAAAAACAUGAGACCCUAUCAACGAUGAGCAUUUUACGUCACAUGAUUUGAUGAUGGCAUCCAGUUCUCUUGCUCUAUACUUUCGUUUUAUAUGGCAUCAUUGUUAAAGUUAUUAUUUCCAAGAAGGCUACAAUGCAUAAUUUCCCCAGUCCAAGAUUGAACCAUGUAUGCAAAAGUGGGGUCCAUAUGUACUAUUUUGUCUUAUAGAGCUCUGUCGUUGGAGAAUAUCUUUGCAUGUUGCUUAGGCCCAGAAGAAGCAAUUAUUUAACUUGACAUUAAAAGUCAAGAUAAUACAUGAAAAGUCAAUACUUAUUUUCAACAUAUGGUAUUAAUAAGAAGAACAUCAUUCAAAAUUGCUAUUAAUAUAUAAUCUCUACAUUGGCAUGUCGUUGAGAUCACCGAUCUCUUUAAUUCUUAAUGGGACAUCACAAGGUUUAUUUACUUCUAUCAUCCUGAUGGCGCAGUAGAGACACGACAUGGGAGGAUUCUGCAGUAGAUGAUUUGCAUCUCAUGUAUUAAAAAGGGAUUGAAAGAAUUAAAAUAUAUAUACACACAUACACAAUGUACAGGCACAAUUGACCGAGAAAAAAGAGUUCAAAGACCUACUGACAAUUUUCGCAAAAAAUUCAAUUACUACUAUGCCUAAAUUCCUUAUUAAUUAUCAAAUCCUGCUCCAAAUCUAGUUUGAGCCAUCAUUUAUUUUUUUUGGAAAAUGCAAUGAAUGAAACCCGUUUCUUUUAUUUCACAUGUUGCCCUAUUAAUUCGUGCAUGAUGCGUCGAGUCUGCAAACUACCUCUACUUUGUGGGCCAAUGCCAACACUUGUCCCUUCAAGCUCCAUUGAUGUACCAUGAAGUUCCUAUUAGUCUUCGCCAAACAAGAUGUGUUUGUUCGAUACUCCUCAAAAGGUGCGACCAUCCAAGUGCAUCAAGUCCAUUCAAAAGAUCAAUAAUAUGAUUCUAGUGGAUGCAUCAGGACAGACUAUUGAAGUGCACGAAAUGGAACAGCUCGUCUAUCAAUUUGAAAGAGGAAAGGACGAAAGUUUUGAUAGCUCAAUGAAUACUUCGAGUGAAUAGAAACACCUCACUGUGGGUGCUGUGUAAGGCAUCUUGUCUUGCACAAUGCCUCAUAGGCAUGCAUUAAUGAGUCCACUUUGCAUUAUUGGUGCGAGGCUUGCUCUCUCUUUCUCUGAAGAAAAGUCAAAGGAAAUUAUCGAUUGAAUCUAGCCUUCGAAAAUAAUAGAUAUAAAUACAUUAAAAUCAUAUCAAUAAGUAAUUUUUGAAAGAGCAAGAAUAGAGAGGUAUUAAAAAUAUGGCAAUUUUAUGAUAAUUAUUUCACAUUCUAAUUUAAUAAUUAUGAUGGGCAUAAAAAUCAGAUAACUUCAAAUUUAUUUUGUGAAUUGAGUUUUUUUUUUUUUUUUUUCACUUAAAGGGAUGCCUGGAAGGGCUUUCUUUCAACAAAUCUGCCAAGAUAAUACAUGAAAAGUCAAGACUUACUAAUGGUUAAUAUUAGUUAGACAUAAGGAUCUAAGUUAGCCAAAGUCUAAUGUGUCAAUAAGGAGAACAUUAUCAAAAACUACUAAUCGAUAGAUAAUCUCUAUAAGGCAAAUCAUCAAGAUCACUCAUCUUUUGAACUCUAAAAGGUACAUUACAUACCUCAUGCAACAAGGGUUAACUGAAGUGAAGAGAGAAGUUUGUUCAUUUAGGCCUCAUCAAGAGAGUUGUCAGUUUUAGCUUAAUAAUUGGCAACUCUUUUGCUUAAUGAAUCAUUGCCUCAAGAGGGGUGAAGUAGGGAAGUAAUGUUUGUCGACUGUAAAAGGAAAGAGGCCAGACAAGUGAGGGCACCCGGUCAGUUCAUGCAUUUAUGAAAACUUAGAUGUUUGUCCAAUAGUGAUGGACCAAAGGACGUAGAGGUAGACAUCGGCGAUGGUGACUAGUCAAGGAAAGGAAUAGUAAAAUGCAGAAAUCCAUCUCAGCUCUUGCAACCUAUGUAGCACCGACACGGACAUGUGACACGUGACACGGCACGACACGAUACGCCGACACGUCAUUUCUUAGAAAUAGAGAAUUCCGACACGUUCCGACACGUUAUAUAUUAAAUAUAUUUUUAUAUAUAAAUACAUAAAUAAAUAAUAAUAAAAAUAGCCUAGAAUUAAUUUACAUGAAAAAUAUUAAAUAAUAUCAUUCAUUAUUUUAAUUUGUUACAAUAAUACACAAAACUUAGAGGAAAAAACAUUGUUUAAAGAAAAAUGCUGAAAUGAUAUUUUUAAAUUUAUUUAUUUAUCAUAUAUAGCAUUUUUUUAUUACUUCUUUCAUAGUAAAAGAAUUUUUUAAAAAAAUAAAACAAUUCUAAAAAAAAACUGAAAAAAAUGACCCCGUGCGUGUAUAUUUAUAGCAAUUUUAUUACUUCUUUUGUGUAUAUUUAUAUUUUGACCCCUCAAGUAUUAGAAAUUUUUAAAAUUGACCCCGUGCGUAUUGGAAUUGCGUGUCGGAAUUCUGGACUCGCGUGUCGGAGCGUGUCGGAAAGAGUUGACCACGUGUCGGAUUUUUUGACACUCGUUGACCGCGUGUCGGAGCGUGUCGGGACAUGUCGGAGCGUGUCGGACACGUGUCGGAGUGUCGGACACGACACGAAAGCUUCCGGAGAGUGUCCGUGCUACAUAGCUUGCAACCACUCUCUAUUACUCUAUCUCCCUCUCCCACAACUUACCCUAAUUAAAGCAAUCUUUCAUAUAUUUGGAUGGUUGUCCACAAGAAGUGAAAGAAAGGAGGUGGAGACUUAGACAUUAGUGAUGGGAAUUGAUCAAGGAACAAUAAAUUGUAAAAAAGUCAUUCAUUAUGUAUAUAUACUUACGUUUUAUGAGACAUCUAUAUCUAUCGCUGGGUUGUUUAUAAGACGUAUAUCGUUCGUCUUGAUGGAGGCAACCGACAUAUAGAGGCCCUCUUGUAUUUUUUUUCCUUUGGCCAGUGAUGACAUGGGGGCAAUCUACUUACCACUCAACUUCCCAAGUGGAUCUCCAUCCAUACCCUAUCUCCUCUUUCUUCCUUGGGUUUUUGAGUCAUUCUUAAAUUUCUAAAUCAUUGGAUAGCUAGUAUUAGAACUCAGUCGUUUAUUGCAAAAUGUUGCUGUUUUCCAACGCUCCCUAUCCUUCAAAAAAAUUAAAAGUGAAAGAAAAAUUAGGGUUAUAAAUUAUCAAAAGCCACAUAACUUUAUUUAUCAAUAAGUGUAUAAUUUUGUAAAAUUUUAAAACUGAUUUGUGAUAAUUGCAAUAUUUGAAAAAUAAAUCUUAAAAGUAAAAUACCCGAAAUAGACCCAAGCAUUUGAAAGAAUUGAAAGAAUAGGGGAAAACUCCAAUUGGAACGACAUAGUACUGUAAGUGGUGACUCGAAUUGUUUCCCAUAUCAAUGCUAUCCCGUAAAAAGUAGCAUUGUUCAAAAAAGUAAACUGGUUUAGAAUGUUUAAUUUACUUAGAAGUUUUGAUCUAAAAUGUUAGUGGCAACUUCAAUUGUUUCCCAUUAAUUGUGUCCCGUAAAGAGUAGUAUUAUUCCAAAAAGUAAACUAGUUUAAAAUGUUUAAUUUACUUCGAAGUUUUGCUCUAACAGUUCCAUAUGAAGUUCCGUCUACUAUAACAAUUACAAUUGACAUUCUAGUCUAAUAAUUUGCUUAGUUAUAAUGUUACUUCUAUCACAAAAAAUUCAAACUGAUAUAUUUAUGACAAAUUUACCCUAAAUGAAAAACUUCAAAUUAAUAUACCUGUAAUAAAUUUACCCUCAAUUAGUUUAUGUUAAAUUUUACCCUCAAAUUAUUGAGUUAAAUGACAUAUGACAGCUAACAGGUAUACCAAUUUAGAUUUUUACCUUAUGUCUAUCACAUUUAUACUAGUUUUGGGUUUUACCCUCUAUUUAUCACAUGUGUACCAGUUUGUCACUUUUCAUGAUAUUAAUCUAAUUUCACAGAAACUAGGGAAGAGUAACUUGAUCACAAAUGAACCAAUUUAGAGUUUUUGAGGUUCAAAAAGUUAAUUUUUGAUAAAUUUAUCACAAGUGUAUCGGUUUAAGGUUGUUGGUGGUAAAAAAAAAAAUAUUAUCAAUUUGGAGUUUUUCAUUAUAUUAACAUUUUUUAAUAUGAUUUCAUUGACUUGCACAAGGAGCGGAUUUUGGAUUAGUACCUUAUUGGUGUUUGUCCAUUGAUAGUGAAGGAAAGGAUAAAAGGAUGGUUCAAAAUUACUAUAUUAGCAGUGGGAAAGGAGGAAAGGACGGAUUACUCAUCAAUGUUUGUCCAUUAGCUGUGGAGGAAAGGAUGGAGACAAGGACACGACGGUGAGGGUGAGAGUGCAUUUAGUAAUCAUUAUAUUCCUCAGAACAAUUUAUGCUUAAAAAUAUUUUUUUUUCCAAUUCUAUUCCCUUGCCAAGUUUCUAAGCAUUUGAAUGUAUUUUAAUAACUGUACAAAAUUUUUAUUCCUGGAUUAGAAAUAUGUUUAGUACAAUCCUAAUUUUUUUUUAUUUUACUUAGAAUUUUUUAAUUUUUUAAUAAUUUUUUCCUUUUCUUUUUCUUCUUCCUCUAGCCAGUCGCUGGCUAUAGGAAGAAGAAGAAAAAGAAAGAGAAGAAAAGACAAAAAAAAAAAAAAAACUUGAUUCUUGAGUCAUUCUUAGGAACAAAUAAAUAAUUUUUUUUCUGCUUCUUGAUUCUAUUCUAAAUUUACUUUAGGAAAUAAUUCUAUAUUCCGGAACAAAAACAUUACCAAACAGGACCUAAAGGAACAACAAUGUAGAAAAUCAUACAUUUCUAUGCUCAAAGUAUUGAUUGGUGUUUAGUUAAGGCCUAACUAUAGUUAGGUUAACAAGCUCCAUGAUCUAUACCCAUCUCCUCUUUUUUUUUUUUCUCUUGUGAUUUGAGUCUUUGCUACAAAAUCAUUUAUUUAUAUGUCCAUUAAUUGAUGUUUACAUUUUAAAAUGUUCAUUCAAUAAUCAUGCCUUUUAAUCGAUCACGUAAGUAUCAUAAUUUUUUUUAGAAUUUUUAAUUUAAAUACCGGAAAUCUGACGUGAUGUAAUAUUUUGGAUGAACGCUUUGAAAUAUUUUGUGACACUUAAAUUAGUACUGCACAAUUAUUAUAACACGUGCUAUCCUUUUCUCGAGAUCUUUAGCAGCAAAAUAUGCAAUGAAUCAUGAGAUUGAUUGAUAGGUCUAGCAAGCCUAGUGUAGCAUGCAACCACUUAGACUAAUUAUCAACUUUUCCAGCAAUAACUUUGCACUUAAAUCUUUUCGCUUUCUUCUUCUUUCAACGUUCUUGGUCUGUUCCAAUCUUUCUUUCUCUAAAGAACAAUUAUAGAAAAUUCCGAUCGAUGUUGUUGUUGAGAAUAACUUGAAAAAUUAUAUUGAAUUCAUAUCAUUAAGUAGUUUUUAAAAGAGCAAGAAGAAGGAGACAUUAACAAAAUUCCUACCAGACCAUAUCCUCAUAUGACAAUUUUAUGAUAAUUAUUUAACUUUAGGAUUGGCGCAAUUUUAUGAUUCUAUAAUGACAACGAAUGCUAAAUACACUUACUCUCUUUAACAUCAAUCUCUCCUCCAUCUUUACACUGGCCUGCAAUCCGUAGCGACCUCCAAUUCAGUCGCCACCCUUACCUCAAAGCUAACGUCGAGGUUGAGGCCCACUGUAUUAUCAAAAUAUACUUAUUCCUUAUAAUAAAAAAUUGCGCUUGCUUAAUACUAGGAUUAGUGCAAUUGGGCGAGGCGUUGUGGGAUUUCUAACUCAGGGACUGGAGGUCAUUUGAAUCUACAUGCAAACUGUUCAGGAUUGAGCCACCUAUACAAGCCAAAAACAUGAACUUAAACUGUUCAUGAAACUUGCAAGAUAACUUAUGGGCUUCUAGAUAAACUGGUUAUCAUGUCCGGGCCCUUAUAAAAGAAUUGCUUUUAUUUAGGAUGAUUCUAACUUUACAUGAUAAAAUUUUUAUAUGCACCUUCUUAUUAUGCAAAUUAUCCUUAAGAACUUAAUUACAAGGAAAACGUUCCUCAUGACCUUAAUUAGUGAUAACAUUUUUUUCAUUAGAAAUUUGUCAUGACAUUUUCAAAUAGUCAUAACAGAAUAUUGAUUUAGGAGCAAUUUCACAGUCUAAUCUAAUAAUUAUGGUUGGCAUAAAAAUUAAAUAACCUUAAUUGUUUUUAUUCACUUAAAGGGGCGCUUUGAGUGGCUUUUUCUCAACCGAUAUGGGAAAGAUAAUACAUGAAAGGUUAAGAUUUAUUUUCAAUUUAUGAUUAAUUAGAUAUAAGGGUCUAAGUCAGCCCAAAUCUAAAGAACAUUAUCAAAAAUUGUUAUUCAACAUAUAAUAUUUGGAUUGGCAAAUCAUCAAGACCAUUCCCCUUAAACCCUUGACAGGAUAUCCCAUAUCCUAGCGCGACAAGGGUAAUUUGAGUUGAAGCCAAAGCUUGUUCAUUUGGUUCUCAUCAAUGGAGUUGCCAGUGUUAGGUUAAUAAGUGACAACUCUUUUGCUUAAUUGAUCAUUUCCUCGAGAGGGAUGAAGUGGGAAAACAAGGUUUCUCAGCGGUAAAAUGAAAGAAGGAAGACAAGUGAGGGUACCCGGUCAGUUGCCAUACAUUUACGUACACCUUGAUCUUUGUCCAGUAGUGGUGGACGAAACGACGUGGAGAUAGACAUAAGUGAUGGUGACUGGUCUACCAAAGGAACAAUAAAAUGCAGAAAUCCACUUCUAGAAGAGGGACCUGUCAUGUUAAAGUCCGUAACUUUGCUUGUCUAUAAUCGUGUUUUGAAAAUUUGCAAUAUUUGGAAAAUAAAUGUUUGAAGAAAAAGACUCAAAACAGACCCAAGUAUAAAGAGAAAGGGGAAACUCCAAUUAGAAUGAGAGACCAUGUAACAAAAUUUGUAGUGACUUGAAAUGUUUCCCAUAUUAUUUUUGUCCUGUAAAGAGUAGCAGUAAUCAACAAAGUAAUCUUAAUAAAGAAUGGCAAAAGUUUAAUUUACUUACAAGUUUUGAUCUAACAAUUUUAAUUGAAGUUACGUCCAAUUUAACAAUUGCAAUUGACAUGCUAAUCUAACAACUUGCUUAAUUAUAAUGUUACUCCUAUAUUUUAGAUAUGAUUUCAUUGACCUGUGCAAGGAGCGGGUUUAGGACUAGUACCAAUCAUUGUAUAUCUAAUUAAUGAUGGAAGAAAAGAUGAAAGGAUGGAUUAGAAUGAAUACAUUAGCGUUGGAAAAGGAUGAAAGGACCAUUUGCGGUGCCAAAGGAUGAAAGGAUGGGUGACUCAUCAAUAUCUGCCAUCAGCGGUGGGGAAAGGAUGGGAGUGGUGAUGGUAAAUGGUCCACUAAAGGAACGAUAACGUAGAAAAUCAUCCAAUUCUAUACCCAGACUGGUGUUUAGUUAAGGCCUAAACUAAGGUUAGGUUAACGAGCUUCAUAGUCUAUACCCAUCUUUUCUUUUUUCCUUGAGGGUUAGGUCUUUGCUAUAAAAUUCAUCCAUUUCUAUGUCCAUCUAUUGGUGUUUACGUUUGAAACUUAUUUACUUAGGUGUCAUAACUUUCAAUUAAUCACUAUCAGUCAUAAAAUUUCAAGUAGUCAUAAUAAAUAAAAGGAUUUAUGAGUAACUUGACAUUAUAAUCUAACAAUUAUGGUUGGCAAAAAAAGAUUAAACAACUUCAAUUUUUCCUUAUGAACGAAGUUGUUUUUUCCUCUUACACUUGAAGUGAUGGCUAUGAGGUGCUUUCUAUCAGCAAAUUUGUGAAAAUUUGAAGGACAAUCCACAAAAAGUCAAGACUUAUUUUUAACUAAUGGUCCAUAUUAAUUGGGCAGAAGGGUCUAAGUUGGGCCAAGUCAGAUAUGUCAAUAAGUAGGAUAUUAUCAAUAAUUGUUAUUUAAUAUGUAAAUCAAUAACACAUUUUUACAUUUUAGAGAUAUUUCGAUUUAUGUACCACUUUGAAAACUAAAUUCAAUUUUUUACCAUUCACUUAGCUUAAUUAUAAUAUUAACUUCUAUAUUUUUUAUAUGCUUUCACAACCCACACAAGGAAUGGGUUUUAGGACUAGUACCUAAUUCUUUUUUGCACCCAAAACCCUUCGCCUUCUUCGUCUCUUGUCAUUCUUGCUCUGUUGUGCUCCUUCAUCAUUCUUUUUACAUCUCUCUGUUUUUGUCCCUUUCUUUCUCAAAAAAAAAGAAUUAAAAAAAAUAUUAGAUCAAUACAAAAAUCAUAUUAAACUCAUAUCAAUAAGUAAAUCAUUGAUGCAAGGAUCUAAGUUAUGAUUCAAUGAGCAAGAACAGAGAGCCAUUAGAAAAAUUCCAACCAUAUCAUCAUAUGUCAAUUUUUAUAAUCUGAUGUGAGUAUAUAUACCUCAAAUAAUCCACCUCUCGAGGAACUCCAUCAAUUUUACUUUUUAACUCCUUUUCUUUAAAGUGGAAGUCAUGAUGGCUUUUUCUUGGAUUGCGACAAACUUUAACGUUAAAUAUUUUGGACGACAACGCAUAAUCAAUUAUGAUAUUGACAUGCUUCUCUAAUCUUUCAUUGAUGCCCAAUCAACAUUAUCAAUAAAUACCACUUUAAAGUGAAAGUCAUGAUAGGGUUUUUUUUGCACUGAAGGGUAAAAUUCACCAAGACAAAAAAGAAAAAGAAAAGAUUCCUCUAGUGGGCCUUCCAUUCCACUAAAACCUAUGAAAAAUGGUUAGGAAGAUCUUCUGAAGUUGUUGUGAUGAUUGGUGUACAAACAUGCAUGUUGGGUGGGGGCUAUUUAUGCGCCCAAUUUAGCUUAAAUCACAUCCGUCUAAGUAAACUUAGUCAUUAAUGGACCCGACUUUUAUUUCGAAAGAGAAUAAUAAAUAUGCCCUUUUCAUUUUCUCUCGUAUCUAUUGCCUUGUUUAUUUUCUUAUUUACUAUAGACAUUUGAUAAGAGAUUUUGGUUUGAAUUUUUUCACCUACUCUUUUGAUUCCACAAAUUUGUUUAUGUAAGAAUUCAUCUGAAAAACGUAUUCAGCCUUUGAAUCAUAGAAAAGAAAAGGCUGAUUUGUUUAAAAGAAGAUUGGACCUUAAGCACGUUCUGAAAUAUUAAAUUAAAUUUAUGCUUUCAUCAAGCUUUAGCUAUAAUUUUUUCAAAAUAUCAUGAUCAAACGUCCAAUUCUUUUUAUCAUUUCUAGAAGAGAUCAUUUCAACAAGUUAAUUUGGCAAUAAAUUUUAUUUAGCUGAGUCCAUAUGUUAGUGAACUAAUAAAGGAUUCUCUUUAUACAUAUGUUGGUUUUGACACAUUAGAAGUUAUUUUUUUUAUAGCUAAUUCGUUAUUCCGCGCUAAUAAUGCUAGAAAGUUUGGGAGAUCACUGGGUGAGAGUUUCAUUUUGUGCAUAUUAAUUCCUUUUGUUUCGCUGCAUCUCUAUAGUUAUAUUAAGAGUAAUGGUAGUUGCUAAACAGAAGAAAGCAAUACGGAAGCCCGUCCAUAAAUUCAACUUGUUGACUAUCCAGAAUCUUUUGGCAUAUGAUGCGCAUAAAAAAUUGAUUUGACGGCCAACUGCGUGAAGUUACAAGUCAAGUGUUCUCUCUUUGUCAAACAGUACAGCGUGGUAAGCGUUAUAACUCCAUGUCACGUGGGCGCUGACACGCCGUGUAAACUACAUAUCCCGAGGGGAGGGUCGAAUCACCUGUUCACUACUUUAACGGCUGAUAAUCAUCUCUUUAUCCAUUCAUUGCCAAUCCACGCUUCCCUUCCCUCAUCCUUUUUCUCCGCUCAAAUCUCUUGGCUUUGUUCGUCUCUUGCUCUGUUUCGCUCUUUCUUCUCCUCGGCUCAACCAUUCUUCUUCUUCCUCCUCCUCCUCCUCUUCUUUAGUUUUUGCUGCUCUUCUCCCUCUCCGUCUCUCUUUUUUCUCGCUCUUUCCUUCUCAAGAAAAAAAAAAAUCAAAGAACAAUGUCGGCAGAUCCUGUCGUUGGUAUUGGAUGGGAUGUCUUGAAGAGCUAUGUAGUUGUUCCCAUCGAACGUGGAUUCGGACACGUGAUCUGCUCCAAAUGAUUCGCCGACCGUCUUCGGGGGGAAGUCCAGAAUCUGGAGAACGAGGAUCAGAGGGUCAAAAUUCUUGCGGACGAGGCUAGAAGGAAUGUUCGGAAAUUGCUCGAUGUCUUCACGACGUGGAAGGCAAGUGCUGAGAAGGCCUUGGAAGAGGCGCGAGAGCUGUUGGAUGACUUCGAAAAGGCGACCAAUACUUGCUGCUACGGGACUCUUCCCGACCCCAAAUCUCGCUACCAGUUUAGCAGGAAGGCCGAGGGCAAGAUCGAGGCCAUUAAGCAACUCACUCAAAAAUGCAUCAGAUUCAACGGAUUGAACGACAUCUCCUUCAUCGAUCCUGCUUUCACUUCUUCUGCCUUGACGUCAAUGAAGCUUGGGGAUGAUGGUGCCUUCGAAUCCAGAGCUUUGAUGAUACGGAACAUCAUGGGCGCUCUUGCUGACAACACUAAUAGUGUGGUCGGGGUUUAUGGGAUGGGCGGGAUCGGCAAGUCCACCCUUUUAAUGGAUGUUGAAAGCAAAGUAAGCGAAGAGAAGUCGUUUCAUUGGGUCGCGAAGGCCGACGUGUCGGAAAAUCCAGACAUCAAGACGAUUCAAGGAGAGAUUGCGGAUGCAUUGGGCCUUCAUGAGAUAAAGAACAAAGAGACUAUCAGCGGGCGAGCCAAACUUCUGCACGGGAGAUUGAAAGACGAGGAGAGGGAGAAAAAGAAGGUCCUCAUAAUACUGGACAACCUGUGGGAGGGGCUCGACUUAAACAAAGUCGGCAUUCCUUGCGGACAUGACAACAAAGUCAUGGGAUGCAAGUUGUUGAUGACGUCGAGAGAUCGUGAUGUUUUGCGAAGGAAAAUGGGCUGCGACAAGGACUUCCUCCUCAAUGGGCUAAAGGAGGAAGAGGCAAAAAGAUUGUUUGAGAAGCUGGUGGGAGCCAAAGUUCAUGAUGACCAGUUCAAACCUCUGGUAAAUGUAGCACUCGGCAAAUGCGCUGGUGUGCCUUUCCUAAUUGUGGCAAUGGCAAAACGUUUUAAAGAUGCUAAUUUAUCUGAACGGAAAGAUACUUUGAAAAAAGUCGAGAAAUUUAAAGAUAAAGAAAUCAGUGACUCAAUACACCAGAUGUUGCAAUGGAGUUAUGAAAAAUUAGAAGAGGAGGUGAAGUCCUUAUUACAACUAUGUGUUGUUUAUGGUAUUUCCAAGCCUUCUCUUGAAAACUUGGUGAGGUACAGUGUUGGUUUGGGGUUAUUUCAAGAAGUUAGCAGCAUGGAAGAAGCUAGAAAUAGAUUAAGCUCACAUAUCCGCACUCUUCAAGCCUCCUCCCUUCUGUUAGAUAGUGAAGAUGCUUAUGGUUUCAAGAUACAUGACUUGGUUCGUGAGUUUGUUGCCUCCGUUGCUUCAAGAGAUCACUCUUUUUUCGUGUUGAAAGAUAAAGAUAAGUCAAUAACAGAGUUGCAGAAGAGCAAGCUCAAAAGUUAUAGGGCAAUAUGCUUUCUAUACGUCGACAUGAAAGAGCUUCCCAAAGAAUUAGAUUGCCCUGAGUUGCAGAUCUUUUUGUUGUUCACAAACAACAGAUCUCUUAAGGUCCCAGAUUCAUUAUUUCACUCUAUGACGAAACUCAUGGUCUUAAAUCUCACCGGGAUACAUCUCACUUACUCGCCUUCAUCGCCAUUUCAACUGUUAGAGAACUUACACAGUCUGUGUCUUGACUGUUGUUAUUUAGAUAAUGUAGCCGUUCUUGGCAAGUUGAAAGGGCUACAAAUUCUUAGUUUUACAAACUCUAAUAUUCAUCGAUUGCCAAGAGAAAUCGGGCAACUGGUAGAGUUGAGGUUAUUAGACUUGAACCAUUGUCAACUUCAGAUAAUUGAACCAGGGGUACUUCAAAGCUUGAUCAAGUUGGAGGAGUUGUACAUGAAGAAUAGCUUUAAUCAAUGGAAUAUCGUGGACCAAACUCCACCAGCUAAUGCCAGUCUGAUUGAGUUGAAUCACAUGAAUAAUCUCCACACUCUGCAUGUUUCCAUUCCUAAUCCAAAAGUGCUUCCAGAGGAUCUAAACCUUGAGAAAUUAAGCAAGUAUGAAAUCCAAAUAGGUAAUGUGUCCUACUGGUGGAGCAGGUGCAAAGGAUCUAGGAUAUUAAAGCUCAAGUUGGAUCCAUUAGACGAUGCUCCUUUGAAAGGAUGCAUUCAAAGUAUCUUAGGCAAAACUGAUCAUCUGUUUUUGGACAAGUUGGGUAGAAAUGAGCAAAGUAUCUGUGAGUUAUCCCAAAAAGGUUUUCCAGAAUUAAAGCAUCUACAGGUCAUGAAUAGUGCUUCUAUCCAUUGUAUCCACCAAUCACCAUCCCAUACACAUUUUAAGAUGUUGGAGUCAUUACUUCUCAAGAAUCUCAUCAACUUGGAUAAAUUAUGCAAUAGCCAUAUCUCAUCGAAGUCCUUCAGUACAUUAAAAGUAGUAGAAGUUGCACGUUGUGACAAGAUGGAAGUAUUGUUUCCUCUUUCAGUGGUGGGAGGACUUCCACAACUAGAAGAGAUUAAAGUUGUUGAUUGUAAGCAAAUGCGAGGGAUUGUAGAUGCUGAUGAUGGUGGCAAAGUUGAGUUGCAUAAUUUGCGUGUAUUGGAAUUGUGUGACUUGCCAAAUAUUAAGAGCUUUUUUGCUAUAGGGACAGCUCCUUUGAGUAGUGCAUUAUACGACCAAGUUGGCACCCAAAUUGCAUUCUUCAAUGAGCAACUGGUAACCUUCUUUCAAAAGAAUAUGAUACUUAUUUCUAUUUUCUUCCUUUGUUUAUUAGAUGUAACACAGAUUAUGAUGCUUAUUUAUUUUGUUAUUUUCAGUUUAUUAUCUUCCUAAUUGCCUUAUCCUUUCAUGCCUUGUCUAUAAUUAGUUAAAGUAAUCUUCCGUUUCACUUAACUGUGUAGAAAUCCAACUAAUUGUAUAAAAUCCAUGUAAAUUUAGUUUGUGAUAGAUUUUGAAUUAUUUUAAACUAACAUGCUACAAGUAUAUCUAUAUUUAUAGGGUUUCAUGAAGCAAAACUGAAGAGUAUUUCAACGUUCAAGUAAUUUCAUAAGUACAGUAAUUUUUAAUAUUUUGAAAUGAAUCCAUUGAAUUUAGUUAUCAAACUUUGUUAUUAUCCACGAAAUGUAUAAAAUAGGUGACUCUUUUGAAAAUCAAUAUGAAGAAUGGGAAGGAGAACCGCUUUUUAAAUUAAAGCAACUAUACUAAUCUAAUUUAUGCAUGUCUUUUGUGUAUUGUGUUUAAAUAAGCAUUCAAUCAUCGCAUAGGGCCAAAAUUAUAAGAAUACAAGUUUUUGUGCAUUUUUUUUUUAAUAGUGAAAGUGGGCCUAGGCAAUUCUAUGACUUAUAGUGAAAGCAGGCCUUGGCAAUGGUAUGAUUUUUAUUAUGCCACACCAAAGUCGUCAUUGCAAAAUUGAAAUUCUUGCCGUCGGAGUUCCAAACUGAUCUUUACAUUUCUCUAGUCCAUACAGCAGAAUUAAGGCUGAGUAGCUACAAUAUCAAAUGAUGGAACUUGAUGCCUUGAUGGAAAAUCCACUGUCUUAAAGUCCAAAUAAUUUUAUAGAGACUUAAUUCAAAUGUUUUGAUGGGCCUAGUAUUUUAAUUUGGCUACUUGGUAUGUCUUAGUUUAAUUUCCAAAGCUUCAAGUGCUCCACAAUUUAAUCUUCAAGAUAUUUGUGGUGAAAUUUGAGUUUUCUUUUUGUUGAAUCCAUCCAAUUUAGAUUGUGAAUUUUAUGUAGCUUCUAUAUCUUAUCAAGAGAAACUGGUGGUUGCCCAGUCUCGUGGGACCAUAUGUGGUCAUUGUGAUUUCUCUUUAUGGCGAUUUAUAAAUCUAAAUAUCAAGUUCUUUAACUAAAUGUCUUCACAUUUGGCCUUUAAAGUAUGUAUGGAUAUAUUUGUACACAAAUCCACAGUUUGUGUUUAAUAUCCUAUUAAAUUGGUUAUUGAUAGUGAUUUAUUAACAUUAAAAGAAGUUAAGUAAAUUGAGGAUAAAUAAUUGUCUAAUUAAGGAAAGCACAUGGCUAUUUUAUAUAGGAAGUAGUUGCUGCUGGUGGAGCCUUUUGGCUCACUACAUAAGAUUGCCCUUUAAUUGUGGUGUGAUUAUAGCUGAAGUUGAUGGUGAGGCCCAAGACUUGCGCCAUAUAUUAGUUUCCCCAUCAGUAAAGAAUCAUGGAGAUUUAAGUUGAUGGUGGGUCCCUCAAGACUACAUGUCUAAGUAUCUCCACUUCAACCUCGACUUUUCCACUUCGCAUGCAAGAGAGGAGUUAGAUUGGGAGGGUUUGCAAAGAGGCUUUGGUGCUUUUAAUUUUCAAGCGUUCGAAAUCUUUGUUAAAGAAUUUUACUCUUGCCUUGAUGCCUUCUCAUUUUGGGCGUAGAAACUAGGGCUGCAAAAAUCUAUGGGAUUAUAAUGAAACGUUUCUAAUAAUUGUAAUAAAUCUCUUCCAACGUUCUAAAGAGGUGGAGCCGAUGAAAGUAGCAGUGGAAGGUUGGAUUGUCGGGGAUGACAGUAGUUGAACAAAGAAACACACAUAAGUUAAACUUGUUGUAAUAGAUGGGAGCAUUGGGUGAUGGUAAGGUAGAUGGGAGAUUUCAAGUAACUUUGCAGAAGAAAGGAUUUUCUCAAGUUGAAGCGGUGAACUUUUGAAGAAGACUAGUUACUCUUUGCCCAAAAAAAAAAAGAGAAAAGAAAAUAAAGCUUUUGAUUGUGAUUUAUUGUUCAGAAGGAGUAAAACUGGCUCACUAAUCAAAUUAAUCUCCACAAUCAUUUUCCAAGUAGAGAUUGGAGAAAGAUUCAUUAUAUUGUUUAGCAAUAACACUAGUAUUGAGAUUUUCUAACUCCUUUUUUAUUUUAUUCUUUUUUUUCCCCUUCUGUGCAACUUAAUAAUGCCCUUCUCUUCUUGGCACACGUAUAUAUUAACAUUUUGGAAGUUCCUAAAUUCGUGAUUUAACCGAAUCACCAAUUCUAUGAGUGAAUAAUGCAGGUUGCCUUUUCGAAAUUGGAGACAUUAGUAAUAUGGGGCUUGGAUAAUGUCGAGUUUUUGUUUUUCGCAUCCAUGGUUAAAUCUCUUGCACAACUGGGAGAUCUACAGGUAUCUUACUGCAAAAAGAUGAAGGCAAUCAUUACAAAGGAAGAAGGGUUGGGAUUGGAAAUAUCAGAAACUCUGGCAUUCCCAAUGUUAACUAACUUAAACUUAAAUCAUUUGGAAAGUUUGAUGUGCUUCUCUUGCAAAAAGUGUAAGAUUGAUUUUUUGUUUUCAUCACUAAAUAUCUUCUUGUAGAUAAAUUCAUCCUUGCAAUACAAAUGGCAACAUUCUUUUCAUCCAUUGAAAAACUAAUGACAGGUUCACGAGAAGCUCGGAGUCAAGACCGCAUCAAGUCAUACUCCAUUGCACUCUUUAGUAAAGAGGUACAUGAUUAACGUUAUGCCAAAAUAUUAUAUAUAACAAAAGUAUUAAAUAUGCAAAAGACAAAACACAGCCAACAUAAGAACUAACUAAAUUACUCACAAAGUGUACUUUAAUUAAAAUAUUUUAAAGAAAAUGAGUCGCAUACAAACAUAAGUAUUGAAAGUUGCCAACACGUAUGAGUUGCAAUUGUUUAAUUUUAAUUUCUCCUAAAUAGUUUCCAUAAAGAUGGUCAAAUAUCUCUUAUGGUUAAAAGCUUGUCGAUGUUCAUGGGAAACUUAAAGCUCUCAGCAACCUCGCAUGUACAACAUCGACAUUGCACGCAUGCACAUUGAAAGCAAUUUAAAAACAAUGGAGAGGAAGUGAGCAGUAAGGUUCGAGAGGUUGUAGAUGAAAGGCCUUUAAGGUACUCACUUGACUUCAUUUGCUCUUAAAAGAUCUCUCUUUUUUCCCCCCUAAUCGAAGGAAGCUUUACUCUCCCUUAAUUGAACCAGCAAAAGGUAUCUGAGUCCUCUCCAUUGCUAAACUGAGCAAGAUCUCUAGGGACUAGGGCUUCAGAAAUCACCCCUUUUAGUUUUAACAUGAGCUGCAAGACCAAAGUGAUCAAUUCAGUGACUUCUCUAAGUGCACUGCAAUUUCAUUGAAUAAUUUCAUCCAUACUGUAACUUAAAUAACCAUCUCACAAAUGUUAUGUACACUAACUAUUUCAUCCUUUGGUUAGCAAAAAAAGCACAAAGUGUAAUUUGAUUAUUUUGGGAAAUUGACUAAAUUCAAGAGAGGGAAUGACAUAAUUUAAAUUUGGGAUUAUGAGGGACUAAUGUGACUAUGUGAUAGUUAAGGAGCAUAUCCAAAUUACCAUUUUGCCAUUAUCAACAGAAUCUAGUCAGAAUUCCUACUUUUUGACUUGUUUGCGGUAAAUUCCAAUAGCCUUCUAGUCCUAGAGUCAUCAACAUUAGUAUGGGCAUUUUUUACUCUUUUUUUUUUUUUUUUACUUUACUCUUCUUCUUUUUUUCCUUUUGUGCAACUUAAGACAUAAUCAUCAAUUUUAUGAAUUCCAAAUUUACAUCUUGACACUCAUCUAUCUUGGAAGUUCAUGAUUAACUCAAUCACCAAUUCUGUGAACGACUAUCGCAGGUUGCAUUUCCUAAAUUGGAGGCAUUAGAUAUCACUAGCUUGGACAAUAUUGAGAUGAUAUGGGAUAAUAAAGUUGCUGCGGAUUCUUUCCCCAAGCUAAAAUCCCUUUGUGUGGUUGACUGCAAUAAGCUUGUGAGCGUAGUUCGUUCUUUCAUUCUAAGAUGGCUCUUGAGCCUGGAAAGAUUGGAUGCAAGAAGAUGUAAUUCGCUUGAAGUUGUUUUUGAACUUCAGCCACUGAAUCAUCUAGAUGGACAUCCUAUUGCUCUUCCAUUUGAAGAACUGACGAUAUCAAGAUUACCAAAGCUAAAGUGCAUAUGGGAUAAGGAACUCCACUGUCAAAUUAAAUUCCAGUGUCUACGUUCUAUUAGUGUUUCAAGAUAUGAGGGCCUCACCUAUUUAUUUCCAACCUCAGUAGCUAGAGAUCUAAUCCGACUUGAGGAGUUGGAGAUCGAUGAAUGUGGCAUUGCAAAAAUCAUCAAGAAUGAAGAAGGAUUAGUUCCCAGGUUUGUAUUCCCAAUGUUAACUUCCCUCAAGCUUAAGUAUCUGAGAGAGUUGAAGUGCCUCUACAUUGGAGCACAUACUUCCCAAUGGCCGGCAUUGAAGACCUUGAACAUGCGUGGCUGUGACAAAGUGGAGAUACUUGUAUCGCACUCAGUAAAUGAGAUGCCACUUGAUAAACCGCCUUUCUUCUUGAUAGAAAAGGUACGAUCGAAGAUUACUUCUUUUACUUUUAUGGUGAAUAUUUUGAAGUGAUGAUUAAGGUCACAAUCAAGCAUCUCAUACAAGUAGGUCUACGUAGGAAGAUGUAAACUGUACGACUCACCUUCAAUUUAUAGAAAUAUUUCUACAUUGAAACAUCACAUGUUCUUCAAUUGUUGACCGAACAUUCUUGUCAGAUGUAUCAAAUGCAUUUUUAAUGAUCCCCUUUUAAUAAAGUUUUAUGCUAAUUUCGAUGGUUUAGCUCUCUCCUAAGUGCCAGAUGAAAACACAUGGCAUGUGUCGUGAUCUUAGCAUGGUACAAGUGUAUUGUCUAAUUUGAAUCCUAUAAAGAUUACCAAAGUUUUGCUAAAAAUGGAAAGAUGUGACGUUUUUGUUGACAUUAAUCAUUGAAAUUUGUGCACGUGCAACUGUAAUUAAUGCAUAGGUUAUUUUCACAAGGGAUUUAUCUUUAGAAUUGUGAACAUAAUGAGUUGCUUAAGCUCAAAUAUGGAUCCAAGUUGAAUAUAAAGAUUAUUGAUAAUGUUUAUUUGAUGUAGGCACAUUUCCUUUUAUUGAAUCACAUGAGACUCAACAUUCUAUAAAUGAAGUUAUUGCGCACAACAUGCAGGACUUAUAUCAUAGUACAUGAAUGCUCUUUUAACUAAGUUGGCUUUAAAUUAUGAUUUGACUAUUUUCUCAGGGCGGAUUCCCUAGUCUCCAAGAGUUAGAAUUGGAUUUAUCGGAAUGGAUGGAGAUAUGGCAUGGGCAUUUUCAUCAUGGAGCAUUCUUUUGCAAGCUUAGUUUGCUUAAGCUUCAUCAUCUCUCCCAGGAGUCUUUAAUAUCCACAUGUCGCUUUGUUGAGAGUUUAACCAACUUAAAAGAGCUAGUUGUAUGUGAAUCUUAUCUAGAAGACCCAAGCAGCAGUGAGGAAGCCAUAGAAGGCACAAGUCAUGAGAUGAAAGUAAUAUUACCCUUUUCAAGAUAUAUUCGACAUUUGCAAACUCUAGAUGUGUCACAUUGUGAUGGGUUAUCAAAAAUGUUCACACCAACAACUGCUGAAAAUUUGGUGGCACUCACAAAAUUGAAGAUAAGUAAUUGUAGAAUGUUGACAGAAGUCAUUAAUGAUGAGAAAGGUGGGGAGGGGUGUGUGGUGGCUUUCAAUCAAUUGAAGUAUAUGGAGCUUGAUGGGUUGACAGGGUUGAGAAGUUUCAGCUCACGGAGAUAUACUUUGAUGUUCCCUCUCUUGGAAGAUGUCAUUGUGACUAGGUGUCCCAACAUGAAGUUUUUCUCUCAAGGACCGAUAGAGGCAUCAAAGUUAAAGAGAGUUCGAGUAUUAAAGGAAGCGUGGUUUUGGGCAGGAAACCUCAACAUCACCAUCCAAAAUAUGUUUGAAGAAAUGGUAUGCAUCAAUUACCAAAUUCCAUGUAUUUGGAUGGUUUUGACCAUUAAAUGAAUAAUUGCUUUUUGCUAGCUAGAAGUUUACAUUUAAUGAUGCAUUUUUUGACAGGUUUCCUUUGCUGGAGUAAAGAAAAUGCUGCUAUCUGAGUUCCCCAAGCUGAUUGGAAAAUGGCAUAACGAACUAAAUCCCAUCAAGUCUUAUUGGCAAUUAGAAUCAUUGGUGGUAGAUAAAUGUCCAUCAUUUGUUAACGAUAUUCCAUCUAGAUUGAUGCCUGUUUUAGAAAAUCUGAGCUUUUUGCAAGUGCGUGAUUGCGAGUUGCUUGAAGAAAUAUUUGAUUUGGAAGGGCCGGGGGCAAUGGAAAGCACUAGAGUACUACCUCGGCUACAUGAAUUGAACUUGGCCAAUCUACAAAAAUUGAGGCGACUAUGGAACAAAGAUCUUCAAGAAUGGCCUCACUUCAAUUCUCUAGGUUAUCUCAUCCUUUAUAAUUGCAGCAACUUGGGACAUGCUUUCACUCCAUCGAUGGCUCGAUGCCUUGCCAAUCUUGAACAGGUGGAAAUAAAGGAGUGUGGUCAGAUGGAAAGAGUGAUUGCAGAGGAAGAAGGGCAAGGAAGCAUAGUGGAGAAGAUUACAUUCCCAAAGCUCAGGUGGAUGAAACUAAAAUGCUUACCCAAUUUGACUUGUCUUCUCUCGAGAAAAAAUCAUACAUUGGAAUGCCCCAAAUUAGAAUCGCUAAGCAUUGCCCAUUGCCCUAAGAUGAGAAGUUUGACUAGGCAAUCCCGAAUGGAGAACGACCACAGCAACCCUUCACUUUACACUCCCCAGGUCAGUCUUUUAAGCAAAUGCAUUUUUUGGCAUUUCAUUGGAAACAUAUUCUCGUAGUAUUGGACAAUGCACGGUAUGAUGCAAAUUUAGUGCUUUGUGUGGGUUUAUAUACAUAUCUUCUAAAAUUAUUCUAAUCCUCAAUAAAUAUAACUAUGAACCAUCCAUCUCCACAUCCUUUUAGAAGUGUUAAAUUGGCGUCAGUUCAUGAAAUCAUUAUAUUCAUAGUACUUUAGAAUUAAUUAGCGAGGUUCUUAAAAAAGUUACCACAAAAACCAUAUAAAGACAUUUUCUUUUUGCAAUUUCAACAAUAAAGAGCUAAACAGUAAACAUAGUAUAGCAUCUAAAAAUGACAAAAAAAUGUAGUAUUGCCACUUCAUAUUUUCUUGCACGGAAGCAAACUAGCAUCGUUCUACUAAACAUGAAGAAAAGGGGAAAAGAAAACUUCAUAAUGUAAAAGCUUAGUUCACAAAUUGCUUAGCAAUGACAAAUCAUUGUACCAUAAAUCAUCUUCCCAAUCAAUGAAAUUAAGGGAAUUGGAGAGGGCGGCACUUUUAAUUGGAGUGUUAUAAACUUCAAUGAUGAUUCGUGCAAUCAACUUUUUUAUUUCUUAAUACUCACCAAUGCUUGAGUUGGGUCUUCAUAAUAAAAUAAAUACAAAUAAAAAGGUCAAUAUGCAUGGAGCGAUUUGUCUUCUUCAUUCAUAAAUCCUACUUGAAUUGCUAUAUUCCAACAAUUUAUCAAGUUAGGUACCUGUGUUAUGCAAUAAAUAUUAACUUUGAAUAAUUAUAUUUAGUGAUAAUUAGUUUGAUAAUGUGCUCAAUUUAUAUUUGGCAAGAGAAAAGGUAGAUUGCUUUUUCCAAGAAAAGUAAUGGCGAAAGAAAGGAAAAAUAAAUAAAAGAGAGGAAAGGACAGCUGGAUGAUAAAUAGUAGCAAUUCUGUGGGCGGUUGCCGACAUUGCAAGUCUUAUUUUAUAACUAGAUGACAAUAUUUAGUCAAUGUCCAAGCUAAAAUAAAAAUUUUAAAAAUCAGAAUAAAUUAUCCAAUUGACAACAAUACCGAAGAGAAAAUAUUAGGUGCAUUGAAUAUUCCCCAUAAGAUUCGUACUGAAUAAUCCGCAGAUCAACACAUGGCAAAGCCAGGCCCGCCUCUCAAUUGAACCAUCAAAAUUUUUGCUCCCCCCUUUGUUCAUUUACGUCCUGUCACUGGAAAGCUCUGCUCUCCUCUUCCUAGUGUGGCUCUGCUCCCUCUCUCUCUUUCAUAUACGAAGGUGCAUCUCUAUACGUGAACCACACCACCCCUUUGGCCUCCAUCGGUUGCGGUGCGCUCACUGGACAAAGGGAAAAAAAAUAGAAAAAGGAAGAAAUUAGACAAAAGUCUAUUUGGUGUUUCAGCUUCUCCCCCCUUGAGAACUGUUCGCUCUCAGUCAUUUCGUUUGACCUUGUUCCUUCUCUUUGCGAUGAGGGGAAAAAAUAAAGUGAAUUAAAUCUACGUAGUCAAGUAAUGAUAAGUCUUCUUCCUCCCCCUCCUCUACCUUCUUUUUUUGGGGCAAAUGAUUGGGUGGUCUGUCCAAUGGUUGAAUUGGAAGCUUCAGAAUCACUUCUCUGAAGCUCGCCUCCUCUCUGUGCGCGUGCAUGCGUGGGUUCCGAGCGAUUACGCGAACCGGAGCUUGUUGGUUAUGGUGGGUCGAAGUGGAUCUCCGAUGCGGAAGCGAUUUUGAAGUCGAUUCGAUCGGGGCAUUGAUUCCGACGAAGAAAAAUUAAAAAAUCUUAUCUUCAGCCCUCUCUUCCUCCUCUUUCAUCCACAGCUGCCCGACCUCCGCCCCUCCUCCGUUGUCACCAAUGGCGGAGUCAUCAGCGCCUUGCUUAGGCUGAUCCUCACUACGUCCAAGCCGAGCAUGGCUGGCUUCCUUUGCUUUGUCCAUCUCAUCAUCCUACAGAUCUCGAAAUCUGGCCGUCCAUAGCGACGUAGUUGCAGAUCUAGAAGUCCACCACUAUCUUUAGCAGCCAUGGACGUGCCACUGUUGCCGGAACGAUGGCUUUAGACUUGGAAGUCCCAUCGUGAAAAAUGAUGGCUUAUGGACUGCCAUUGUCCCCUCCGUAGUCGCUCGCGAUCGGCUCAUGGUCGGCCCCGUCCAUGGCUGGCCACCCCUCCAUCAUCACAGAUGCUUGUGGUCAUUGCCCAUCCAGAUCUGGAUUGGAGUCGUGCCUCCAGAUCUAGUAUCGUCCAUAGCUCGCGAGGAGGCUCCUCCACAGAUCUAGCGACCGCUGCUUGUCCAUGGCCAUGAGCCUUGACGACAAGUUUGAGAUCCUAACGGCCAAGGACCCCAAGGUCAAACAGCGAAACAAAAAACAGAGGAAUAGAUGUCAGGGAAGAGUGGCCACAGACGAGAUGGCCGGAGCUUGAAUGCGGCCAUGGACAAGGGGCGUCAUGAACGGGCAGACCACAAAGACGACGGAGAGGGUUGGACGCCCGGAAAUGGUCGCCUUGGACACAGCGCCGGCAACUCCGCCGUUGGCAACGGCGGAGGGAGGUGGGAAGGUUGCGUUCAAUGUGGGUGGAGAUGGAGGAGAAAGCCUAGAUGGAGGAGGAAAGUGAGGUGGAUUGAGAUUUUUUAUGUUUAGUCAUCUGACCAAAAAAUGCUAAUAUUUAGUCAAUGUCCUAGCUAUAUAAAAAAUUAAAAAUAAUAGGAAUCAAUCAUCCAGUCAACAUUUCCAUUCCGUUCCAUGAAGUUCUCACGGGAAGACUGAACGCAAUAAAUGACGACCUCGACCGGCACUUCUUUUUUUGGGUCGAACCUUGAGGCACUUGAAAAUGUGCGAUAUCAACCCAAAUUUGAAUUUUUGGCGUUCAUUUUUUUUUUUAUUAUGGAUUCCAUAUAAGUUUCGGUUAUUUCUUUUUUCCCUUGAGGGAAGAAAUGCUUGUGUUUUGUCUUAUUCUAAUACUUUUGUGCAAUUCUUUCUAUCGUUGCUUACGAGUAGAAUGUUUAAUCAUGAGGAGUAUCUAUAUAUUUGUUUACUAUUUAUCGUAAACUUUAUCGCUAAUUAUUUAUUUAUUUCUAAUGUCAUUUGCAUGUAUAAGUUGUCAUGUAAUAAUAGGUAUCCCCACAUUUUGAGGAUAUUUCAAAAAGUCAUUAUUACAUUGAAUCAAGAAUACUAAUAAAUUGGGGAAGCAUAAAAAUAGUCAUAUGAUUUUUUGGUAGUGACAAGUUGUGAUAGCGUUAAUUUCAUUUUUAUGUCAAAUAUGAGCUACCUGUAAUUAUAAGUUGCUCCCACAUUGUUAGACAAUUUCAAAUACUCAUUAAAAUCCUCAAUUAAGAAUACUAAUAGAUUAAGGGAAGUGUGGAAAGUCAUUUUGUUUUUUUUUUGUUUUUUUUUUUGUGAGAAGUCAUAGGUGCGUUAACUUUACUUUUUAGUGGACAAUCAUAUUGUGGUCAUAACACGGUAAAAAAAAAAAAAAAACACGGCUGAUUUUCUCCACACAAACAUAUUGUGGUCAUCCGCUUCUUUUUUCUGUUCUUUUUACGUUUCUUUUAGCCUCCAACACCCGAACAAAACUCCAAAAGCCUCAACACAAGGCAUCAAUUAAGGAUAAGAAAUUGGAUACCAUUUUUUGCGAGCAGUUGCACCACUGACCCACCACAAGAUUCUACCACAAAAGUGAAUAAAUAAUAUUUCAAGCAAGUUAUUAAUGGUCCAAUGUAGAACUAGUAAGUUGGCCCAACUUGCUUUUUUAUGAGAUCAUAAUAUAUGUUAAUUAUUCCAAUCAUUAUAUUGCCCGUGCCUGUUACAUAUUUAUUUUUUCGAUACAAAAAUUUUUAUGCACGUAAUAAAGAAAAAACUUGUAAACAAUUGAAGUUAUUAUUAUUUUUAUCUGGUUCACCAUCUAAUUUGCAUGAUGCUUCUCAUUAGUGAACUUUAUUAAUUGAAGAUGCAUAAGUAAUGUUCGCAAUUGGUAUUAGUGUUGAAUAAGUAGCGUGCUCAUAGUAAAUAGAGGAAAUAAUCUCUAUCGUAGGAAGACACAUUUGAUGAGUGUUGGACUCGAGUUGUCAAUCAAUUGUAAGUGAAGAUGCACAAAUCUCACUCGUGCUCCCAUUUUGUGGCUUAUUGAUCCCAACUAUUGAUCUAUUUAAAAAAGUUAUUUCUAAAAUUUAUCACUCAAUGCAUCAAUGAUUGAUGAUGAUUGAGGCACCAUAUGGUAAAAAAAUGGGGGUAGUGCAUCUCCAUCCUUUCCAUAUAUACAUGGACAUGCUUAUAUAAUCAUCUUCUAAGUCCAUGCUAUUAAAAAGCAAAUAAGCAUCACUGUACAAGAUUUCUUACCUCCAUACAAAUAAACACGAUGUCCAUGCUGUUGAUUCACUUUUGCUAAUAAUUUUCGAUUAUUCUAAAUCUACUAGAGAUGAAAAUGGGAAGUUAAUUCCUUUUAAUUGAUAAGAAAUAUAUGUAGAACCUGCUUAUACCUAUCACUGGAGCAUCAUCAUCAUAUUGCACCCAUCAAUGCAGCAUUGGACCCAACAUAAGGAAGAGAGAAGAAUGAUAUGUAUGUAUAUCCCGAUUGGAUUGCAAUAUGAAGCACAUGCAUCAAAGCUUCUUUGAACCGUGCUUCGGCUACAUUCGUUCCUCGAACCAAAUAAAUUUAAGAAAUUCUUACCUUAUCUAAUGUUGCAUUAUCAAAAAAUCAGUGCAAGCAACUUUGAUAAUGAUCAGUUGAAUAAUCCAAGUAUUCAUCAUUGAACUUUCCAAAAAUUAAAGAGAUAAGGCGUUGCUAUUAUUUAAUGUCAAUUGAGGCACUUAAAAGUCAAUGCUCAAUGUACUAUUGAUUAUAAAUGCAUUUAUAAUUUCAUGCUUGUUGCAAUGCAAUAUGCUUGGCCUUAGUCAUUAGUCAACUUAAAUGAAAGGAUUAAUUAGCCGCUCCCUUUUUUUGUCAAUAACAAGUUCCCACAUUCUCAUGAUUUGUGAGAGUAAGGGAAGUUUAGAAAUUCUUUCUUUGAGGUCAUAACUCAAUGUAAUCACAUUCAUUACGUCAUUUUUCUCAAUAUGCCAGGUACAAUGUCCUAAGCUUAAGCGGAUGUUUCUCUCCCAUAUGGACAAUUUAAGCAAAAUAUGGAGUGACAAUCCUCAAGAAACUCUCACUUUUGACAAUAUAUGGAAAGUGCAAGUUCAAAAUUGUAGGAGCCUUGAAAUUGUGUUUCCGCAAUGGGUGGCUACAAGUCUAACCCAACUUAAGGAACUUCAAGUGGAGUCUUGUGGGAUUGAGGAAAUAGUUGCUAGUGGGAAUGAGACUCCACAUUCCAAUACCACUCAAGAUCUUUUCCCAAAACUAACCUUUCUAGUGUUACAUGAUAUGCCACAACUCAAGAACUUCUGCACCAACUUGCCUGCUUUGAAAUGGCCAAUCUUGAAGGAACUGCGAGUGACUCAUUGUGAUAAAGUAAACAUGCUGUCUCUUGUAGCAUCUAUGAGCAAUUGGGCUCAAAAAGAUUAUCAACGGGGCCUUUUAGACCAAGAAGCACACUCUUUAUUUGAAAUGGUAUGAUUUCAGUUGCUCUCCCUUAGUUUCUAUUUUGUUCUUUAAAGCACUCACUGAUCUCAUAUCCACUACAUAAUCAAGCCACGUUAUAUUGCUAUAGAAAACAUGAUCUCCCUUACUUAUUAGUUUGUUGACAACAUUAAAAUAUUUCUAAUAUCUUAAGUAUACUUUUCAUUUGUGGACAACCAUAAGAUAUUUCAUUACCUAUAAUUACAAAAAUAAUUAUAGAUUUUUGUUGAAGGCGCAAUAUAUUCCUAAUCUAGUCUAGUGGUGCUCCUUAGGGAAAUCAUUGAAAAUUUGACAUGAGGUCCACUUCAUUGUUGACAUGUGUUGCACAUUUGAACUUUUUUUCUCCAUUUCAUCUUCUAAAAACUCUAAAAAAAAAAAAAAUCAAUACAAACAAUUUUAACAAAGAUAAGAUUAGUACCUUAUGCACUAUUUUCUUUUGUAUUCCUUAAUUGAUCUCGUCUUAUACAUAGUCAUUCUGUUGUAUUACUUUAGACAACCUGAAACUCCUUACCUACGAGUUUGAAGAUAACAUAAGAUAUUUUAUUAUAUCUUAGGCACACUUUUAAGUUUGUGGACCCAUAUGUUUCAGUAAUAUCAUCCGUGCAUCCCAUUACAUAAGUUUCCAAAGAUGACUAAUUUUAGUUAACAAGAUAAGAUAUUUCUAAUAAAAGGUGAAGAUGAAUUUGGUGAGCUUGGAGAGAUCUUGACAAGUUCACUCUACAAACUUAACCAUACCAACCUCUAUUCGAGACUUUUAAAAGCUUGAGACUUGAAUGUAGGGCUCUUGAGAUAUAAUAAACUUUAAGAAGAUGGCCACCCUCCAUGUGAAUCAUCUUAAUAGGUUUACUUUUUACGGCACAUGAUUUAUUGUCGAAAUUUUGUUGAAUUUACUUCUCUUGUUGUAUUGGCAAUUCAACAGGAUUUUUCCAACUUGGAGAGACUUUUAUUAGUCGAUAACAAUAUUCAGAUGAUACAAGAUGGAAAUUUUCCGAAUGACAUGUUUAGCAAGCUAAAAGCAGUAACACUGGCAUGCUUUCAUGAUAAAAAGGCUACCUUUCCUUCCAUAUUCCUCCUAGAGAGAUUUCAAAAUCUACAAAGCCUUGAGGUCUUUUGUAGCUCCUUUGAAGAUUUAUUCUCGGACGAAGGGCUUGUAGAAGAAGUGAAACAUCCGGUGCUUGAAAAUUUAAGAGAACUUAAGUUAAACAAGCUACACAACUUAAAGUGUGUGUGGAGAGAAGACUCGUUAGUAUCGAAAAUUCUUCAGAGCAUCAAAACAUUUGAGGUUUGGGAUUGUCCUUGUUUGACAAUAAUAUUUCCAACCGUGACAUCCUUCCAGAAGCUGACCGGCUUAGAGGUAAAAAAUUGCUCUGGAUUGGUACAUUUAGUAACAGCUUCAGUGGUCACAAAUUUGGUGCAUCUUGAAUGGAUAACUAUAAUAGAAUGUGAAAGAAUGAAAGAAGUAAUGACAAAUGAUGGAAAUGGAGAAGAAAAAGUGAUUUCUUUUGGAAAUCUACAAUAUUUGACACUCCAACAUCUGCCAAGCCUAGAAUGCUUUUCCUCCAUCCCGAGUUGUACUUUUAGGUUCCCAUCCUUGUGGAGUAUUGAAGUGGAAGAGUGCCCGAAAAUGAAGACAUUUUCUAUGGGUACGCUAAGCACGUCAAGACCAUAUCAUGUGUCAUUGUUCAGAUAUAAGUGGAGAGGGAAUUGGGAGACGAGUGAUGAUCUCAAUACAACCAUACAAAAAUUAUCAGCAUGAACAAAUUCACAUAUAAUUGGUAAGAUCCAAUUGGCGUCAUUCUCUCAUCAAUUUUUUUUUCUUUUUCUUUAUUCUUUUGGUAGUGCCGUAAGUUUUUAAAAUUUUUCUUUUUGUGACUUUUCUAUUAUUUAUUCCGUCAGAUCAGCAUGACCAUUCCGUCAGCUCAUCCUUCAGUGAACAGCAGGAAGCAAAGCAGGGCUCCCCUUCUCCUCCUUGACGCCAGAAGCUCUCUCUUCAUCUUUCUUCUUCUUCUUCUUCUUCUUCUUCCUCCUCCUCGGUGAAGCGAAACUAGGGGGAACCUCUGCUGCCUUCACGAAGGACGGAGCGAAAAUGAAGCAUCAGGAAUUGCCAGGACUGCGAGAAGCGAAGCUGCACUUAGCGGAGCGAAGCCAAGUAGAUUCAACCAGACGCUGUCGUUGUCGCCGUCGUCGCCGCCGGAGGUGGCACAACCAAGUCAGUCGUCCACUCACUUCAUCAAAGAUGAAGAAGAUCACACUCUCUCCCCGCAUCUGCAUCCGACAAAUUGUAAGUUCAUGUUUCUUCCGAUUUUGGUGUCUUAUUGCGAGUAAAUUAGGGCUCUAUUCUUCAAAUUCGUUCUACAUUCGAGUCUAAAAUUAGGAGUUCCUCAAACUAGCAAUUUAUUGCCCUUAAAUCUACACCUUCUAUGCUUCCCUCGCGAGCAUUGGCGAGAUUUCUGCGUGUUUGAGCUCUCAUAGAUGGAGAUGAUAUGUUGUGUUCAAGGUCUCAUGUUGAAAUUUCUUUGGGUAGAGAUAUCUUUGUAACAUUAGGUACAAAUUUCUACCAGGAAAAAGGGAGAAAUCACGGAACUUGAAAAUAAUCCGAGAAUUCCACGCCUUGUCAAAAAUAUGAAAAGUCACUUUUACGCCUUGUUUGCAAUAUAGUCUAGACUGUCUGAGGAAUCACUUGUAAUCUUGAUUGGUUAAGUGUUGCUAGAAGGACAAAAUUUUAUUUUCAAUUAAUGCUAAAUCUUUUCAUAGCAAGUCAAACUAUUGAAGUGUACUUAAACUAUCUCUAAAGUAGUCAUUUUUUAAGUAUAGGCUAGUCCAAGCAUUCAAGAAGAUUGAGGCAUCAUCAGCUGGUUUUUAUGAUCCCAUGUGCCCAAAGCCUCUCACUGCUCUUACAUUGGCCAACAAAUUUCAAAUGGAGCAUCCCUUUCUCAAAGAUGGUGAUGAGGCCCUCUUAUGUUUAGUUUGGCUUGGUAUGAUCCCAUGCUUACUGACCCAAACUCGCACGUCUGAAAAUCAAACAUAUGGAUGCUGUUUAUAUCUUUGCUUAUACUCUCGUAUAUAUCCAAGUUCACUUAAUGUAGUAAAUCACAUGACAUAUUAUUCUCCUUGAACUAUUCCUAAGUGUAUAUCAAAAAUCAGAUAUAUAUCUUAACAAUGGAGUAAUUGAAGGAGGGAAAAGAAUGAAAGGACAAUUAUUGUGACCUAAGUUGGUCGUUGAGGUUCGGAAACAUAACAGUUCUCCUUUUUUGUGGAUAGACGUUUAAGAAAACAAUUGCUGAGGCGAGUCUUAAGAAUUAUAAUCCAAGUCCUCUUACAUGGAGAAAAUUGACGAUGUUAUUCAAUGCUGUAAAUUUAGAUUAUAUACGUAAAUCAUCAUACAAGGGGACUAGUUGAUAAGGACAAGCAAAUUGCAAUAAUGUCAUUACCUCCAUGACUAAAGGGAAAGACCUGAAAGAUAAGGGGGUGGCUAGUUAUCAUAGUGACGAAUAAUUUUAAUGCUAAAUAGGAGAUACUGUUUUAUUUUGUUAUACUUAUCAUAUAUUUGAGGGGAAAAAAAAAAGCUUACUUUACUUUGUCAUAUAGAACCAAUAGUUUGAUAAAUCAUUAAAUUUAGCUGUGAUUGAAAGAAUUGAACAGCUUAGUCUAAAUUUUCAAUUCCAUCCAUGUUCGACUCUUAGAUGUCUUUGCUUUUUCCCUUGCGGGUUGUGGUCUGCAUGGCUAAAAUGCAUGUCUGUUAAAUUUAUAUAUGACAUGGAAGGCUUCUUCUGGUUAUGUACCCUAUUGCACUCUAGGAGUGUAUAUUUUGACAUUUGACUUCAUAUUGCAUGUUGAGAUUGAUGACUUUCAUAUUGCAUGGCGGGGCUGGGCGAGCCUCGUCGGCAGCUGGGCGAGCCUCGUCAGUAGCUGGGCGAGGUCGAGCCUUGCCGGUGGCUGGGCGAGCAUCGUCGGCAGCUGGGCGAGGCUCGGCCUCGCUAGAUCGGGCGAGGUCGAGCCUUGCCGGUGGCUGGGCGAGCCUCACCCAGCUGCCGGUGAGGCUCGCUUGGCCACCGGCGAGGCUCGGCCGACGAAGGCGGACCUCGCCGAGGGCUGGCGAUGCUCCGGUGAGCGUCGCCGGCCCUCGUCUGGCUGGUCGCCGGUCUGGCGACCGACCAAAUGAAGAAGAAGAAGAAUAGGAAAAAGGGGAAAAAAAGGAAAAAAGGAAAAAAGAAAAGUAAAAAAAAAAUUAUUUAAAAUUUAUUUAAAAAUAAAAAGAAAUUAAUUUGGAACAUAAUCAAUUAACACAGUAUCAAACGCAAUUCUAUUCCAGAAUAAAAAAAUUUGGACAGUUACCAAACGCACUUUUUUACUCAGAAUCAGUUCCCGGGAACAGAAUAAAAAUUAAUCAUUUCUAGUCAGAAUCAGCUCCCGGGAACAGAAUCGUUGCCAAACGCGCUCUUAGCUGUCACCAUGUGGGCACGAGUCAUGAGACGGAGGAAACUGAUUGCCAAUGUCAAAUUAAGUGCUUCUUCAAUGUUUCUAGUGGCUCAACCUGACAUUUGGAGCUGUAAAGUGUAGUAACAUCGAAUGCACUUCCCUUCAGCCAUAUUACCAACUCUGAAUUUCAAGGCACAACCCAUGGUUUUACAAAGUUUAAUGUGGACAUACAUUAGAUUCUUUUCAUUUUCUCCUUUCGAAUUCAUGAAGAUUCUAUAAUGAGCCUUUUUUUCCAUGUGGGCUGCGCAAAUUGAAGUUUCUGAGUUUCUUCUCAUGUGGAGCAUUUUAGAACUUAUUUUGUCAAAUGAACUGAGUCUUGAAAUGCGUGUCAAAGCAAUUUGGAAUGAAACAACCUGGUAAGGGGGACCAGCAAAUGACAUACGUCGGCAUCGUCUGAAUGUCACAAGCAACCGGCUAUCUGCGGGUAUUUCUUGAAGCAGCAACGUUCAUCAAGGAGAGUUCGGAGUUCGGCCUGAAUGACUUUUGCUUGAGAGAGAGAGAGAGACCAUGGGUCCUGAGCUUCAUCAACUCAUUCCAAAUAUGUUGGUCGAUUUUUGCUUUGUUAUGCUUUCUUCCACUUCAUCGCGUCCUUCGGAUUCCGUUGCCGUUGUUUAGGCCCACGUGCAAAGGGGAUGUUUGGAUAUGAUAUGCUGAUUUGAAGGAUGAGAUUUCUCGGUUCCACUCUCAGUCUUCCUGCUGGUGCGGUGUACCAGCAUUGACGUGGAUAUUGGUCCGUCAGCUGACAAUUAUGUGGGCAACUAUUAAUAAUAUUUUAUUUUAUUUUUUGAUUUUUUAUUAAUUUUUUACUUCAUCGACCAAUGCAAUCGGAGGCCAAUUGAGUCAUCAUCGUUUGAGACUACAAGCCAAGGGCGUGAAGAUUGGCGGCGAGCUUGAAGAGAAAACAAUGAGAGAAUGCAGUGCAAAGCAAAGCCCGUGGAGAUGAUGGCCAAUCGUGUUCAUUUACAAAGGAAAAUUUCCACUUUUAUCUCUCGCAAUUUCAACUCCAUAGAAACAUUUUAAUUUUUCCUUAAGUCUUUCAAUUUGAGAUUUCUAUGUAAGUUCUCUCUUAUUGGAAAGCAAAUUGAACUAAGUUCAUUUCCAAUUAUCGAGAUGUCAUCCAUGUAAAUUAACAUCAUGAUAAAUGAAUUUCUUCUCCUAUUUACGGAGUAAAUCCUAACUUAAAGAAUGUCUCGGAUAAAUGCACAUAAGACCUUUCAAUAGUUUAUCUGCACUUUUUGCCUUAACUAGUCCUACAGAUUUUAUCAUACUUUUGUUGACAAAUAUGACAUGAGAACUCACAGGUCGCACAGUCUUUACCACCAUAUCGAGGUUGAGCAUACGAAUGACAAGAGUCAUGACACCAUUUGACAAAUGACAUCCUAUUCUGACAAAGUCGGCCAUAAUAAGGGUUCAAUAAGUUGAGAACAAAUCGAAUUUAUGUAAUAUCAUUAUGUGGUUUUAGGAUUGAAUCGAAUCUACAUACUAAUCUAGUUCGAGCAUUUCAUCAAACAAGUAAUAUACAUUUUGAUCAAGGAGCUCAUACGCAAAUGUACGGCAACGAUUGACUUUCAGAUCAUCACAACAAUAACAGUACAAGUCUGAAUUGCGAAUAGAGCUUCAAUCUCAACUGAUUUACUCACAGACAUUAGCUAAAGCUAACAGGCUCUGUUUCGUUCAUGAGCGGCAGAAACAGAGUGUGUGGGAUUUACCUUGACAUUUAAGUUUUUAACCUCGGACGGUCAUCAGAUCGUUGACAAAGUUCCCAGUGGUGUCGACGCCGAUGAUCGAGGCCAGCGAAAGGGGAACAACCAAGGUUCGUGAACUUGCGAGCGUCCUGACCAGAAAACAGAGCAGAACGAGAGUUGGCCUUGCUACAACGAAACCGGCAAUGGCGGAGCGGCUACAGGGGUGGCUAACGGUGCCUGAAGGACGACGGAGAAGGAGAGCCGAUCUAGAAGCCUCAAGAAUUCCCAAGAAAGAGAGUUUCUUCGUCAGGUUCAGCGUAUGCGUACUGUUGUGUUAGCGCUGAGCCUGUGGUGGCCGUCAAUGGUGGCUCAACGGUGGCUGGUUUGGCGAUUGGAGAUGGCGGACGGUGGAUUUCUGGUGUUGAUUAGUAGUGGAGAAUCUUCUGGAACUCGGUUGAUCGAGA